Molecule: long non-coding RNA, 232826 nt
Filed under: Vitis vinifera (wine grape)
Lineage: Eukaryota; Viridiplantae; Streptophyta; Magnoliopsida; Vitales; Vitaceae
Description: long non-coding RNA (VVIN_LNC001392)
Rfam family: tRNA (bases 9008-9079)
Source: RNAcentral
UUUUUUUUUUUUUUUUUUUUUUUUAUCAAGGGGAAGACCCCUUUCUCUUUACUACUUAUCCCUUUUAAUAAAAAUUCUUCCACAUUUUUCCACUUUAUUUUGCCAACAUUCUUUCAACCCCUUUUGCACAAAAAUGCCAAAGAUAGUAUUAGGAUAACCUUUUACAACCAUUGCUAACUUUUGACACAAGUUGCUAAAAAUUGUUGAAGAUUUGCUUUUAAUGUCAGGUAGGAUAGCAGAUUGGUUCUAAUUGAAGGUCAUUUCUUGUGGAGGACCUUACUUAUAAGUGAGAUGAUUGUUCCUAUCUUCAUGGUUUUAUGUUGUAUAGUUAUAGAGACUUUUUAGAGGCUAUCAGCUUUAGAGCAAAUUUAUGUUGUUUGUUAGGGAUUAAGUAUUUUAUUCAAAUUGGGUGAAUGGUACUACCUCUUUACUUGAGAUGGCUUUGAGAUUGGGUGGUUGAAUAGUAGUACUUUGGAAUGGUCUAGUUUUUGUUCGCUUUAGCUAUCAUUUUCUUAUGCUGUGUCUAUAGACGAGUGGAGACGUCAUUUGGAAAUUGGUCAAAUUGCCCGUGAAAUUGAUCAAAUUGUCAAGUUGUCAUCCUAAAAUUGACUAAACCUAGUUUGUAAAAAUGAGAAACGACCGUCACUAGCGACUAACAUCUUCUCAAGCUAAGUAUUAAUAGAUCCAAUCUGAGCAUAAAGGGCAUCUUAAUGUUGCAGGUUCAAUGCUCAUGAAGCAUAAUAUUUUGGAUACUUGGUGUGAGACACCUCAGCAUAAGUCUAAUCCAUAAGGAUAGUCUCCUCAGGAGGUUGAGAUGUGGGCAAUUGAAUGGUGGCAUCCAUGCCCUUGGUUUGCAUCUCCUGUUGAACAUCCUCACCCCCUAAUCCUUUAUGGUCACCCUCAGUCUCUAUCUAUAGAAUCUCUGCCUCUUACUCAACCCGGUCUUCAUUCAUAGCAGGACCCUUUCUUUUUCUUUCCAAUGAUCCAUUAGGCAAUUUCUCAAACAGCAUUCGGUCUGGAUUUUACGUUAUAGGUAUCAUAGGAUGAGGCCUGAAUGUUUUUUUCUCUUCUUAUGUCCACAUUGAAUGCUUUCAGGAUUUUUGUGAUCAGUCUUCUUCCGUUGGCCACUACUUUAGAAUUGCUUUUACAACAGUUUUUCAUGUGUUGAAAGAUGAUAAGGAAACCUUAGAAUGGAUCGGAGUCAAUAGAAAAUGCUACAUAAUAGGACACCUUGUCUCUAUGUCCACCCUUAGGUAGAAAAAUAUGUUUGAUCAUGUGGUGGUGCACCCUAGAGAUAAUGCUCAAGGCAUGGGCAUGGAGCUUUGAAGUCACUGUGUCGAUGGGUAAGUUACAUAUCCUCUAGAAAGCCCUACCUAGGUUAAAACUAGACACUAUAGGCCAUCCCUUCGUCUCAAAUAAACAAAGUCCCCCACAAAGGAUCUCCAAAAUAUCACAAAGCAUAUCAAUAUUUAGUUUAAUUCAACUCCUCUAACAAAUGUGCUAAUUGGCCUUCAUAUAUUUUAGGUUCAAGUAAAAUACCUGAACAAGGUUGGGGUAUGUAGGCUCUCUUGAUGAGAUGGUAUUGGUGAGUAUUUUUUUUUCUUCAAUACAAAACUAUUACAACACUUGGUUUUUUUUUUUUCUAAAAAAAAAAGAAAAAUAAAAAUAGUUUUAUAUUAUACUUAGUUUCAAGAAAAAUAAUAAUCAAAGCAAAAUGAAAAAAAAAUUCUCAUAUUGGUUUCUCGUGAAAAAUAUAAAAGCAAAUAAAAUACAAUUAAAAUUAAUUAAAAUCUUAUGUAUUUUUAAAUUAUUAAUUUUUAUAUAAAAAAUGAAAAAUAGUAUAAUGAAUUUAGAAGAAUAUAUAAAAAUAAUGUAUUAACUUUAAAUCUUUUUUUCUUUAUAUAUAUAUUUUCCCUUCAAUUUUCUAAUACCAACACAUAAUAAGGUUAAUGUCUUCUAGCCAACCAAUUGUAAGUCAAUUUUCAUAGAGCUUUUUUUUUUUUUUUUUUUUACAUGCCACCAAGUAGUUAUAUAAGCAUUUUUGCAUGUUAUUGUUAUCCAACAUACAAUAACUAUAACAUCCAAUUAUUAUGAACAUGAACAAUAAAAUUAGAUGCAACUAACUAUUUAGUGUAUAACAAGAAGUUGGUGAAGUAAUUCAUCCUAACAUGAUUCAACAAUUUUUGUUUAUUUUUCAAGAUUAAUUAUAACAUACCCAUUCUAUUAAAGUUGUUGAGAUAUUUGAGCAAAACUAAAAAUCAACAUUAAUUCAUUUUAUACCCACAAGAGAAAUAAGAUUUGUUUUUUUGUUUGAUAAUAAAGUAGUUGUAGUUAUUAAUGAUAAUUUUGAUCCUAAUUUAAUAGGUAUCCAAAAAAAAAGGAAAAAUGCAAGUAAACCAAUUCUUAUCUAACACAAUUAUUACCACCUUAAAAUCCUGAGGGGUAGCUCAGUUGAUCAGUUCGAGUCCCUUUAGGACCAUGAAAAGCUUACCCGAUGGUUCACCUUAAGAAAAGCAAAGCAUUUAUAUAAUUCAACUGGUAGUUGAUAAGUCUUAGAAAGGGUUUUGCCAUCAUUGGCUUCUCAGUAAAGGGCAAAUUUGGGUUGUGGCUGACAAUUAUUGAAUUUGUGAAGAAAUAUGUGAAGAAAGGAAACAAAAAGAGUUGAGGACAGAAUUCUUCAAUUAAAAAAUGGUUAGCCCAUGAACCCAUUCUUCAAACAGUAAGCCAAUGAGCCAAUGAGCCAAAAAGAAAGAAGAACAGCUGGUUUCAUCUUUUUAUCUUAAUGACUUUGACAACCCAUCUUUCUUUUAAAUACUUGUGACUUUGGAAUAUAAUUAAAAUGAAACUUUGGAAUGCCCACAUCUGAUUCACGGCCUUUUUACCUGUUUUCUUGUUUAACAUUUUUUUAAAUAUUAUAACAGAUGGAAAAACAUGAUUCUAACAGGCUGGAAAAUAGUGGAAGUUGGAACACCAACCAUAACCAAACUAUACCUUCCAUCUUUCUCCAACACUCGGAAUUAUUGAUACAAGUUGGUGGUUUUAUGAUUGUUUCUAUUGAGGGGACCCCUCUCCAUUUCCAAUUUCAAUGGAAAGGUUCUUCUUUCCCUACUUUUUUUUUUUGUUUUUCAAAUUCUUGUAGUUUUGUCUGUCUCUCUCAACAAAGCAAACUGCAAUCACUAAUUCAAAGAAAAGGAAUCCUAAAUGAAAAGAAAAGAAAGGAAAGGAAUGGUAAUUUAGGCUAUGAUGAUGCUCCUAUAUAAUGGCUGUAAGUCAAUAACAACACACUGGACCCGCCUCCUAUCUCAAAAGAUCACAAACCCAAAUAUCAUAUACUUCCAAAUUUCAAUUUGGUUCCCUGUUUAUAUCACAAUCUGUCCUAUAUCCUCUUAAUACAUCUAAAAUCUCUCUAUAUCAUAAAAAUAAUGAUGGAAAAAAAAAUUAAAAAGAAAGAAGGAAAAAAUGACAAAAAAAAAAAAACCUUGGUGCUGCUAUGGGUCCAUAGGAAUUGGCAGGACUGCACUUCUGGAUCCCCUUCCAUGGCCAAAAGAAAAGAAUGAUCUUCGGAAUCUGCUGCUGCAACCUUCACUAGGGCUGAAGUCACUGACAGGCCUGUUCUGUUGCAAAAUCUCUUGAAUUGCUAAAUACAGCUGCCUGUCGUUGGAUGAGUCCAUUGAAAAAGACCUCCUGAUGGGUUGGAUUGAGAACUGAUCAUCUUUGCCUCUAGUGUCAAUGCACUCAUCACCCAUGCUUGCAACAUGAUGAAACUUCCUUGCCUUUUUAGGCACAAUUCUCUGCUCUAGCUUCCUAGGUGAUGGACUAAUUGAUGGCGCAGAUAACUCUCUGGAAUUCAGUCUUUCUGGUGGCCUAAGCAGUGAUGAAUCAGCAGAACUAUCAUUUCCCAAUUCAAUUACUACAAAAUCUUCAUCCCCUCCUAUGUAAUUAUUGGCGUAGGGGCUUGGAUCUUGGGGGGAAGAGCUAGGAGCAAUGAUUUGGUGAACAGGAAACCGGGGUGUGGUUGAAAUGCUUGUUCUGCAAAGUGGGCAAUUAGCAUUGCUUUGAAGCCACACGUCUAUGCAAUCUAUAUGAAAUAUGUGACUGCAGUUUGGUAUGAUUCUUAGCUUCUCUUCUUCUUGAAACUCAUUCAAGCAAACCGCACACUCGCAAUGGCUUCUUUCUCCAAACUCUCUGCCACCUCCUUUCCUGAACUGGAAUAUUGGGAUUGAUCUGAUGACUGACUCGUCCAGGCCUCGACUCUCGAUUGCUGGGGAGUACACCAUUAAAGGGUCUUCCGGGUGCCGACUCCUUGAGAAAGAAAAUCGUCUCAGCAGAUCAAUCCGGUGCCAAUUGAGGCAGCAUUUGAUUACAAAGAUGUAGUAGCUCACCAGCAAGAAAGCAGUGGCCAGGAUUCCUAUUACGGCAAUGGCUAUAAUGGGGAAACUGGUGUCCGAGGAAUGAGAGGGAGAAGGAAGCACUGAGCUCGCCUGGCUUUUGAUGGGAGAAAAGGCUUGUGAUCCAUGGAUGGAGGAGUCUGUGCUCACAAGAUCCAUGAGAGAGGCUAUGAAAAACAUUUAGAAAUGAGUCUAUUCGGAUCUUCAAUUCACAGAAACAUGCAAAUGCUAGAAUAAAAUCGACAGACACUCAGAUAUAGACCCUACAGUUGUAAUGCAGCAUACCAUAAAUGUGAUUGAGUGAGUGAGGCUGAAACAGCAAAUGGGUCACUUCAAGAUCUCAACAAGACAGAAAACCCAUGUUGAAUUCACCAGGAGAGUAUUGAAAAGGGAAAAAUUAAGGACAUAUAGCUGUAUUGAAAGUUGAAACAAAUGCAGAAACAUAGAGAAGAGAGAGAGAGGGAGAAAACCCAGGAGGGUUGAAUGAGAGCGCUGCUGGGGAAGACAUCAAAACGCUUCAAAUUCAAUGAGAAUCUGUUGGGGACCUCUUUAAGAGGACUGCACAAAGCCUGAGCGUAGGGUACGUGGUUGGUUGGUGAAUUUCUCGGCUUCCAAAAGAGAAAUUUGGUGAGAAAAUUUUCAAGUCUCUUGAUUAUAGUAACGUAGCGUUUAUUUUAAUUUUAUGUAACCGAAACUAAUGGGCUGGUUCAAAAAAAUAAAAAAUAAAAAAAGGAACUUUCUAGGAUAGGCCAGCAGUCCACCGUUGGUCAUGUGGUUUCUUUUGCAUGUCCACAUCUUCCAACUAGUGGAGGUCCCUGUCACAACAGUAAGAAAACACCCAAUUGAAUAAAAGUAUGAACUUUUGGCUCCCAAUAUUACUUAUGCCCUCAUUCAAUACCUCAAAUAAAGCAGAGAUUUUGUGUCCCAACUUUUAUGAUUUCAUUUCAUCUUACUUCAAAUGCUAAUGACAAAAGUCCAAGUAUAUUCUGUAAUCACCCACACCCCAAUAGUUUUGAAUCACACUUGAAAUAGUUCCCAUGCUUUCUUAAUAAUUUAGAUAAUUAUUUACAGAAAAAAAAAUUCAGAACAGGAUGAUAAUCAUUUUGUGAUAGCAUGGAAGAAACUUUACUAGCCACUUUGGCCCCAUGAAGUUGAGUACUUGAUGCCAAUUAAUGGCAGGGUGGAAAAUAGAGAAAAGGGAUCAUAGUCAAAUCUAGAGUACAAGGCAUUGAAUCUUUGUUAAUAAUUAACAAAUGGGUAAAGCAUGGGUCACAGGGUCUACAGUUUGGAUUGCAAAAACCUCAGGCUUCUAUAAAAAGCUCAUCCAUUAUCAAUCAUCAAUCUGAAAGCCAGAAAGUCCAAGGCACAUGCAACCCACGACAGGGGUAAGAUUUCUGCAUCAUGUCCCUGAGUUGCAUUCACAUCAUAUGUUUCCCUCCGGGCCGUUCCAAUUUGAAAUCUCAUGGAAAUCUUCAAGAGCAAGGCUACAGAGUUUAAGAUAAUACUAGGGGUGGGUCCUGAUGGGAAAAGAGGUAGUGUAGGAUAGUCAAUAAAGGGCAUGUGUCUCUGGUGUGAAGUCAAAUCCAGUGUACCAUCCUCAAUGGAAAAUUUAGAAAUAGAACCGACACUCUACAGACUGCCGUGUUGACAGAUUAGAGAAAGACAAACCCACUUACACUUGCCUCAAAACCCAGUCCUGCCAUUUCAAAGGCAAAAAAAAAGGGUUUCUUUUUAUAGUCAAAGGUUGAGGCCUGGCCUGGCCUAGCAAAGAAACUUCACCUACUCUUUUCUUAUUUUUCAAAUUAAGGCCAUUCAACUUUUCCUGUUUGCAGGCUUGCUGCCAUAUCUUACUCCAAAAAAGGUGAAAACCCAAAAGAAAAAGAGUGUUUGCUUCAAUGGAAAACUCAUGUUUAAUAAAUUCACCGCACGAGUUUUGUUCCAGCUUUUCCUAUGAAAGCUGUGAUGCGUUUGGUAUGAAGUUGAUUUUGUUCCUAAAAAUUUUGAUCUUGGCGUGGAAGGCAACUUUUUCCUUUUCCCCCUUUUUCUUUUUGAAAAGUUCGGCAUUAGUUACCAAAUGUCCUUUUACUUGCAUGUAGGACAGCGGAAGCAUUACACAUCGCAGCAAAAUCCCAUUUACCCGAAUUUUCCACUAACUCUUUUUAUUUUUUACCAUCAUUUUUUAAUAGAAGUGAUGCACUCUUCAAAUUACAUGAAGCUUUUAAGAAGGUAAUAACCCGUUUCAAAGCGAACUUAACCUACAGAGUAUGUUUUAAAAAUAUUUAGGUAUUUGAUAAAAUUUAAAAAAUAUUUUUUAAAAUCUUUAAAAUGAUUUGUAAUAUUGAAAAUUUAUUUAUACUUUUUUUAAUAAAAAAACAUUUUAUAGGUAAUUUUUCUAAAAUACUUUUAGAGAAAAUGUCUUCCCUUCACUAUAAAUAUUAUAUACUAUCAAAUACACUUUAAAAAUCUGUUUAACAAUAAUUUUAUAAAGUGUUUUUAAUUUUAAAAAUAUUUUUAAAAACAAAUUAAAUUUUUGAUAAAAUUUAAAAAAUCUUUUUAAAAAUUUUGAAAAAUAUCUCGUAAUAUUAAAAAAUAUAUAUAUUUAUAAUGUUUUUUAUAUAAAUACUCAAAAUUCAUUUAAUAGUGAUUUUAGGAAAUGUUUUUAAUAUUUCUAAUACUUGAAAAUUUUUUAUCAUUUAAGUAUUAAAAAUAUUAAAAACACUUUAUAAAAUCACUUUCAAAUGGACUCUUAAUGAUUUUACUAAAAACACUUUUCAUAGAAAACAUUUAUAAAAAAUAAUUAUGAAAUACACUCUAAAUUAAGUAAAAGUUGUUUUUAACAUUACCACUAUUUAUUAAUAGUGCAUUUGUUUAAAAUAUUUAUAUGAAAAAUUCAUUAGGGUGGGAUAUAAAUAUAGAAGUGUUUUUCUUUAUAUAUUUUUUAUAAUAAAAAAUGAUUUUUGAAAUUAUAAAAUUUGAAUUUAAGAAUCAUUUGAUAAUAAUUUUUGUUAAAGCACCUUUAAUACGUGGUGCUUCUAUUGAUAGCGCUUUCAUUUCUAUGAAUGGCUAUAAAUUAUAUUUGAAUAAAUUUUUUAUAAUGUAUUAUAUAAUAAAAAAAAAGUCAUUUUUAAAAAAAUUAUACAUUAAAUGAUUAUUCAAAUAGUAUUUCCUAAAUUUUAUUAAACAUUUUUUUCAAAAAAAAAAAAAAAGUUUUCAAAUACUAGAAAACGUUUUUAAUCUCUCACACGAUCACAUCCAAACAAGUCCUAAUGCUACUCCUAGAAACACUCCAAAACAAAAGUCUUCCUCUAUUAAUGUUCAUAAAAUCCACAUAUAUUCUUCCAUCGUUUUUUCAAAAUUCAAAAUCAUUUCUAAAACAUCAAAUCAUGUUCUUUGGAUUGGCUGACUUGUUUUUUGAAAAUAGAAGGCUCAUUAUUGACGUCCGUUGACUUCAUAACCCAGUCUUGAUCUCUUGAUGGAGGGCAUAAAUGUAAAUUGGACGAAACCCUAGGGUGCGCUAGAGUGUAGAGGAUGAAAGGUUGGAAAAAGGAUGAGGUGGGGGUGUAAUAAAGAGGAGGGUUGGGAGAAUGGGACAUGUGUAGGUGAAGCAUUAAAUUCAAGACUAUGCUUACCAACAACAUAUAAAUAAAUAAAUAAAUAAAUAUAGGAACAGCACAUGGGGUGAGUAGGAGACAUCAGAAGAUGUGAACAACCCCUUGUCAGUCCAAUUUGCGUCUUUUAUCUACUCUAUUAUCUAUAUCGAUUUUCGUAUUUAUUUAUUUAUUUAUUUAUUUUUACCAUUUGAUUUUGCAUGGAUGUCGAAGGGUUUAUUGGCUGCCACGUGUAGGGUUAUGGUCAAGAUCACGUGGGGUGCCUACAUGGGAGUCACGUGAGUGCAUGAGGCAGGCUUGAAUUGCAGGAGGAGCAGGAGCAGAGCAGUGGCUGUUGUCUUAAGACUUUGCUCUCUUGGUGGAACUGCAGCUUAAGCAGCAUCCACGUGUUGUCACGUGCAAUGCGAGCCAUCCACACCACCAGUUUCUUUUUAGUGAUUUUCUAAAGUCAGUUAAGGUUGCAGUCAAUACCUUCAAAUGUUGACAGAGUUAGGGAUCUUUGUUAAAUGGAUUUUAUUAAGAUAUUAGUAAGUUAAUUAAUUGAGGGUCAACAUAACAGAUGGGUCGGGUUGGGUUGAAUCUGAAUUUAAAACGAUUUAAUUUAUGUUUAAUCAAAUUUAACAUUUAACUCGAAGCACUCAACUUAAGUUUAAUUGAAUCUUAGUUUUCAAAACAUUAUUUAAAUUUGGGUCAUUUGGAUUAAAGUCAAAUGGGUUAGAUUAAUCGGGUUAUAUGGUUCAAAAUCCACUUACCUUAUUUUUUAUACAUUAAUAUUAAAAUUUAAAUAAAAAAUAUUAGAAGAAAUUUCAAACUUGGGAUUAGUUGAUUGUAGCCAUGCAUUUGGAUGUUGGUAUUCUUGUUUCUUGUCUUGUUUCCAAAUACCCUUUCAAAUCGCUUUGUUAUUCAAUAGCAUCCUCCCGAUCAUUUAAAAAUUUAAAGAGCAUUGGUAUGAUGGAGGAAUUCAGAAAUUUUAGUUGAAUAAGUAAAAUUUUUCUCUCAUAAAACCAAAUAGCCUCUAUAGCUCAGUGGUAGAGCGUCAGUCUUGUAAACUGAAGGUCUGUAGUUCGAUCCUGCAUGGAGGCAACUUUUUAUAUUUCAUGAUCCAUUAUGCUCUAGUGAUUUAGUUUUCAUUAUAAUUUUAGAUUAAAAAAUUACAUCAACAUUUGAUAAGUUGGUUAUGACUUUGAUAUAAGGAUGAAACUAUCAAUAAUAUAUAUAAAUAUUUUGACACAAAAUAUCUAAUAUAUUAAAAAAUUAAAAAAAAACUCUAAAAAACAUUAUAAAAUUAUAUAUAUAAUUUAUCAUAUUUAAUAAUAAUAUCUUCUACCCUAAUAAAAAAUAUAAAUUUUAUAAGCAUACAUUUAUUAUUACAUUGUAUUAUAUAUUAUUUUACAAGAAUAUUAUGAUAACAUGUCUAAUUUUAAAAUAUAUUUAAUAUUAAAAUUAUCAUCAAUUUUAAUUUAAAUGUAUUUAAUGAUAUCAAAUAAUAUAUAUAUAUAUAAUUUUUUAAUAUUUAUAUAUUUUUAUAUUUAAUAAAUAUAUAAAUUAUGUAAAAAAAAAAGACCUAUUAAGAAGAUUAUGUUUUUAUAUUUGGAUCAAAAUUAAGUUUUUCCGAUAAAAUAUAUGAAACUAUUGAUAAAUUAUUGAUUGAAACGUGAAAAAAAAAAUUCAAAAAAUAGAUGAGAUAUUAGUAAAAUAUCCGAAAAUAUUGAUUGAUGAAUAUAUCAUUUCAAAUUUUGCAUCAACAUCCACAUAUGUUGGAUAUAUUGGCCAAAUAUAUUUAAACCUUGUUUCCAUGAGAAGUCUUUCCUUCAACAAUUUCAAAAGGUUAAUGAGGUGGUUUCCAAGAGAUGUGUGUAGGGGUCUCCAACGGGCGGGCCGGGCCAGCGGGCUUUUUGAAAUAAGCCAAAAUGGCUUUCAAAAAAGGGAAGGGAGAGGAUUUAAACCCCUUCCUUCAUGCUUAAAUUUCAAGGUUCUAACCAAUUGAACUACAUUCCUUUAAUGUUUAUUAAUUGAGUUAGUUAUAUAUAUAUAUAAAAAUAAAGUAUAUUAUUUUUUAAAGGGGCGGGCCUACGGGCUGGGCCGGGCCGAAAGCGGGCCACGGGCCACGGGCUUUUUGGAGACCCUUGGAUGUGUGCAAUCACAUUUGGUAUUAUAGGUGACAAAGUUUGAUAAAUGAGUAAUUAUUAGGUUAACUUAUAAAAUCCGAAUUUGAUUUAAAUUGAUUCAUUUAAUAAUCCCAUUUAUUUACCCAAUUAAAACUUUAAAUUAUUUAACUUAUAUUUAAUUUAAUUAAAAUUUGUUUUUAAAUAAAUAGAUCAAUUAAAACAUAAACAUAUUUGAUUGAAACAUUAAUAAUAUAGAUUUAAAUAAGACCUAAUUCAACCUAACGAUCAAAUAGAAAUAUCUAAUUAUUAAAUAAAUUAAACAUGUUACUUGCUUAAUAAUUAUGUGACAUUUGAAUUUAUGCUUUUGAUAUAAUUAUUAUUUAUAUCAGGUUUAUAUAAUGAAAUAUCUAGACUUUGACACCAGUCAACAUUGUCCACCAAUACAGAUUGCAACUCUUAUAUGCUACAUCACAUCAUGUUGAAGGAAGAGGAUGACGUUCAUUGGCAGCAGAGCCUCCAAUCAUAAGGAGCUUGAGCAAAUUCAAUCUCAACACUGAAAUUCACUAGAAAAAAAGUUUAUUAUUGAUACUUCAUUUGUGUAAAAGCAUUAUAUUUCUUGCAUCAAUCGUAAAGCAUGACAUUCCAGUAGGUACGGAAGAGAAAAUUUGUUAUGAAUUGAAAAAUCUGUCAAGCUUAAUUUGGAGGGCCCAAAAUUGACACGUUUAAGAGCUCUAUCAUUAGCCCAAUGAUAAGAGUCCAUUUCUUGAGUUUCAAGGAAGGCCCAAGUUUAACUUAGAGGGCCCAAUCUUGGUACCUUCUAAAAGGUGCAAACUUUGGCCCAAUUAUAAAAGCUUAUCCUUGCUUCCUAAGCAUCAAUGAUAUAUUUGAUCGAAGUAUUCACAUAACUAUCACGAAAUGAAAUGAAAUGAAAAUGUAUAAGUAAAUGAUGAUUUUGAGUUAUUUACUGACAAUAAAGAAUUAGGUGGUGUUUGUUUUUUUUUUUUUGGCUUUUUACUAAAAGCAAUUUGUUUUCAGAAUUUAGGUUAUUUAUUUUUCUAUUUUUUCAUGACUUAUUAUAAACUUUUUACUAAAUAAGAAAAUCCAAAAUAUAUAGUUUUUUCUAAAUAGAAAAAAUAACAUAUUGGUUUUCUUUUUUUUUUACUUUUUAAUAUUUAAUAGAAAUAAAAUAUUAUAAAAACAAACAACCUAAUAUUUAACACUAUUAAGUAUUAAGGUUUUAUUUAGAAUUAAGUAAAAAAACAAACACUACCUUAAAAUGAAAAGUAUGUAUAAUGACCUUAUACAAAAAAAGUCUCAUUAUUUUCUUCCAAAGAACUCAUACUUUUGUUUUUCAACUAUUACUUUGUUUUUAUUUUUUAAAUAAUAUUUCAAGUUUUUUUUAAUAAUACCUUUCUCUUUAUUAGAUAAUUUUAAUGACUUUAAAAGUAUUUUAAUAUAUUAAUUUAUUAUAUAAUUUUAAUGAUUUAAAAAUAUUUAAAUGUUGAAAUAUUUAUUUUCAAGUCUAAUUUUAAUUAUUUAUUUUUUGAAGUAUUUAAAUAUAUAAUAAAUGUGGGAUUAUGUAAAUCUAGUUGUAAUUAUUUAUUUCAUUCUAUUCAUGUUUUUAGUUGAAUUUGCUCAAAAUUUACACCUCUUUAUUUAAAGAUCAUGGAUUAGUUAGGUGUCUUGAGAUUUUUUUUCUCUCAAGACACUACUUGUUACACUAGAAAAUAAUUUGUGGCUAUAUUUUUUAGGCAAAAAGAAUUAUAUGUUAAAACUUCCUUUAUUGACUAGUUUAUCAUAGGGUGUAGAGGAAAGUUUGUGAUGUCUUUUUAUGUCAACUUUGGGAGAAAAAUAUCACUUUAGCAUUUUCCUUAGAAAAUUUUCAUACAUAAUUGAUUUUGGAACUAUGGAGGAGCAUAAGUAGGGAUAGAUAAUUCGAUUUUGGAAAAAUUAUAAUAGCUUUUCAACUUGGUGUUAAUGAUAUAUUGUUUAUUUCUUAUUUUUUUUCCAUUUUAAUAUAUAAUUGGGGAUUUUAAACUUGUAGAACAAGGCUUUUUCAAUUGAAUUGACACGUACAUAUGAAAGUUCUCUUUGGUUGCUAAUCACAUUUUUUUUUCUUUUGCUUUUUGUUUUUAUCAUAAUGAAUAUUGAACUCGAAAUUCAGUUUUUAAAAUCUUAUGAUGUUUUAAAGUUUAUAAAUAUUAUUGAUUUUUAUAAAUGAUGUUAUUCAUAUCUUGGUAAAGACAAUAUUUUCAUAUCGGUCAAGAUGAUUAAUAACAUAUAAGUUCAUAAAGAAAAACCUAUUGAUUAAUGGAUAUUUAAUGAUUUUUAUUAGGAAUGUUUUUUAAUUAGUUUCAAUACUCAUCUUUUAGAGCAUACAUAUAGGGUUUUAGAUGCUACAUUGGUUUUCAGCUUGUGAUUUAAAUUAUUGAAGCAAAAAAUGAGGGUUUUGCUUUAUGGAACUAUCUAAAGGGAGGUGAAUUAGGCGGUCUUCCUUUUUAAAAUCCAAAAAUUAGAUUUUUAAUACUUAUAUUAGUUAUACAUGUGUUCAAUAAUUAAAACAAAGAACAAGUCCAUAAUUUACAUGUGAUGUGCAUGGAAAAACACCUACAAAUUCUCUCAAAUACUUUACAAAUGAAAAAAAAAUCAAGGAUCGAUCAAUCACAGAGCAACUUCACUAAAUAUGAAAACAUGACUAUACAAUUUUACUUGGAUGAGGUGCUACCUUCUCUUAAGGGUUUUUACACUAGCCAACAAUUACACUCACCUUCACUCUCACCAUGCACCUCUAUUGUGCUCCAUAGUAAACACUUUAAUGACUGUAGCAAGAUUGCGAUAAAUUACUGCGAUUAAUUUGAGAGUGUUGAUAAUGAACAAAAAAUAAUGAUAAUUAACUAGAGAGCAUAUGAUUUUGUAAAAACACCAAAAAGAGGCAUAGUUAUAAGUGAAAACUUUAAUGGAUUGGAUUGAAUAUAUAAUUGAAGUAUGAAUGAAAAAUUACCAAAACAAUGUUCAAAACCGUGCUAAUCAAAGCACAAUCACUUGAGUACUCUCAUGGGGCACUUGAAUGCUCCUUUUAAUCACCGUAAUGCUGAAAUUAAUAAUUUGUCUCAAAUUGUUUUUCCAAAACAUAAAGCAAAAUAUUAUAAAUUUAUAUAAUCAAACCCAAUUUCAUCUUAAAGCUAGCCUACUUAGUCUUAAUUCAUGUCCAAAAAUACUCAUACUUGUCAAAGAAUGAAUAUGGUAUAAACAAAUUCUUUAUUUUCAAUUAUAUUCAAUUAUUGAAAGAAUAAAUCGGUUUACAUACAUUUUGAACAAAGGUAUAUACACAUAGACUAAAUCAAGGAAAUGAGGAAAUCAAUCACAAUCAAAUCAAAAUCAAAUGAUAGGUUGAUAUCUAGGAGAAGGUUAAGUUAGAACCAACUCAUGUAUUCAAUAUUCCCCCUUAAGAUGGCAUAUGGAGAUCAUGAAUAUCAAACCUAGAAAGUAAGGGAUAUGAAAUAUCUAUACCAAGGGAUUUUAUGAAAUAUCAACCAAUUGUUGUUGUGAUUAAACAAAUUGAAUAAGAAUAAUUUCAUUUCGAAUCUUUUCAUAGAUCAAGUGACAAUCAAUUUCAACGUGUUUAUUCUGUUCAUGGAAAAUUAGAUUAAUAGCAAUGUAUAGAGUUGUAUUAUUGUCACAAUAUAGAUGCAUUGACCAAGGAUGAUGAACUCCAAAAUCUAUAAGUAAAUAUUGCAACCAAUGCAAGUAGUAAUCAUUAAAUAAUAUUUCACUUUUCUUCAUGAGUGUUAUAUCAUUGAUUGCUUUUUAGAUCUUCAAGAGAUUGAUAGGCCACCAAGUAAAAUACAAUACCCUAUAAUUGAACAUCAAGAUUAUGCACAAUAGGCAUGGAGGAAGGCAAAAGAAUUCCUUGACCUAGACGAUUUUUUAAAUAGUAUAACACUCAUGUACUUGUGAGAUAAUUGAGACUACAUUGGCUUGUCAAGAAUUUGAACAUAAUUAGCAAUAUUAAGCCCUAUCAUUAUGAGUCAAAGUAACUUCCCAAUCAAAUGCCUAUAAUAAGAAGCAUCCAACAAAGGUUCUCUAUCUAAUUUACUCAAUUCCAAAUUUUGUUUCCUAGGAGUUUUUAAAGUUACAUGUUCCAAGAAAACCAAAAUCUUUUAGUACUUCUAGAGCAUGUUUUCAAUAACUUAAAUAAAUCUCAUUCUUAAAAUAUGUCAUUUCAAUGAUGAUGAAGUACUUUAAUUUUCCAAUCUCUUAGUUAGUUUGAAAAUGCUAUAUAGGUUUUCCUUGACCACCUUAAUUCCUUUAAGAUCAUUCAUUGUAAUAAUUAUAUCAUAAAUGUAAACAAGAAUGAUUGUGAAAUAGUUAUUUGAGGCUUGAGCAAAUAAGAAGUAAUAUGUACGUCUUGGCUUGCUUGUAAACCAUAAACAUCAAUGUGAUAGAUAAUUUGGCAAACCAUCAACGUGAAGCUUGCUCAAGGCCAUAAAGGGAUUUUUUAACUUUGCAAAUCAUAUUUUUGGUUCUAGAUUUCCUACAAACUUGGUGGAAGCUGCAUGUAUACCUCUUUAUCUAAGUCUUCAUAAAGAAAAACAUCGUUGAUGUCAAGUUGGUGAAGAUGUCAAAUUCUAAUUAUACAAUAAUUAGGGGUGACAAUGUGUCUUAUCGUGUUGAGGUGAGAAAUAGUGAAAAUUUACUUAAUCCGACUAUGACCCGUUUGAUAAUCGUGUCAAAAUAACCUAACAUGAAUACAAUUAGUUUAUUUCAUGUAACAUGACCCUUUUAACAUGUUUAAUAAAUAUAUUAACUUGGAUUAUGUAUUAAUUGACAUGAAUAACUCAUUAACUUGAUUUCAACCCCUUAAACUCAUUAACACAAUUCCAACCCAAUAAACUCGUUAAUAUGAUUUAACUCAUUAAACUUGUUAAUAGGAUUAUAACCUCUUUAACCUAUUUAAAAUUUUAAAUUUAUAAAUAAUAAAAUACUUCUAGAAAGUUUAAUUUUUAAAAUUUGAACUAUAAUACAUGUAUGCACCAAUUUCAUGAAGUCCUGAAAAAUUAGCAAAAUUAUAGAAAAAUAAUAUAAACAAAAAUUUGUAUUAAAAUUAAUAAGUAUGGGCUACAAUAUUAGUCAUAGUACUGCUUAUUUCUGAAUGACUUUAUUAAAAAGCGAAGAAUACAUGUGUAGUUCUUAUGUGAUUUCUUAAACUUGUAAGGCGAUUUUAUAAAGUUUUUUUUUUCUUUGUGAAACCUCUUUUUCUAUGUGAAAUUGUUUUGCCGAUUUGAAAUCUUCAUUAAAGGAAGUUACUAUUAUUUAUAAUUGAAAUUAGAGAAUGAAAUGUGGAAUCCCCAUGAUUUAGUUGCUUAAUUCAAGGAAUUUGAUUAAUUGAUUUUGGUAACUUGUCUCAUAAAAUUUUCUAACAAGAAUAUUUAUUUUUAAUCUCUUUUAUUUCAAUUGGAAUAUUUGUUUCCUUUGUAAAUUUGUCAAUAGAAUAUUUAUUUAUUUAUUUAAUUCUCUUUUGACUACAAUGAGAAGAUUUGAUUUUGUUUGUAAGACUAAAUUUUAUAACCUUUCAAAUUUGGCCAAGUGACACCUUUUGAAUAUAUGUCACAUGUCAAAUGUGUGUGACUCAUUAGUUGUUGAACCUAAAUUUUCUUGAAUUAGAAAGCUAUACUUUUGAAGACUAAUUUAGUGAUAAUUUAAUUCAUUAAAUUUUUUUGGUGUCUACAGUAUAUUUAUAAUAUGAAAAGUAAAUUAAAAUUUUAAUUUUUUUACUUGUUUAUUAUUUUAUUUAUUAUUUAAUGAUAAAUAUUUUUAUUCUUUAUUGAAAUAUAUAAAAUUUUAAUUAAUAUUUUAAUUUUUUUAAUUUCUAUAUAUAAAAUAUAUAGAUUUAUAUGGUCUAAUUGAGUCAUUAAAAUAAAUAGGGUAAAUAACUCACACAUAAGUGAUGGAUCAUUCUAACAUGAUUAAAUUAACAAGUUAGAUGAAUUGAGUAGUCAAAUACAAACAUGAUUUGUUUAUUAAAUAAGUUAUAUGAAUUGAUACGAUUAUGACAUCAACUCAAUUAAACUUAACUCAAAUAAGCUUUGUCUUUUAUUUUAAGUUGUCUAGUUGUUCACACAAAUUUUCUCAAAAUAAAGAAAUUAUAUAUAAAAUUGUAAAUUUGAUUAUUUGAGGGGACCAUUUUCAAUACUCUUUUUUAAGUAAUCUGGUGUUUAAUUUUGAAUCAAAGGGGCUUUCAUUAACAAAUAAUAGACUGUAGUUUUCAUAUAAGAAGAAAUCUCAAGCCUUUUUUUCUUGAAGGAAUCUUUAAAUUUUCUUUGAUACUUUAAAAAAUCAAUCUUCUUUGAUUUUUUAAGAAAUCUUUGAAUUUUCUUAAAGUCUUCAAAAAAAAAAAAAAAAAAAAAACUGAGUUUAAGGAAUUUUUUUAAUAACUCUCCAAAUUUCUUUGAUAUUCCAAAGUGUCCUUUAGAAGGGGACAAAUCCUCUAUUUACAGGAUUGAGAGUUUUAUUUUAAUAUUAUCUCUUAAUUUUUAAGAAAUAACUCUCUUAUUUAUGAUAAUUACUAUUUAUUUUAUUUAUCAUAAUUAGUUGCCUAUGAUAAUUAUCAUAAUUAAUUUUUCUAGAGAUAAAUAAUUAUAUAUAUUUAAUUAAUCAUGAUAACUAUAAUAUUUAUUUAAUUUUUUAUUAAAUUAUUUUACAUAACAUAUCAAUAUAUAUUAUUAGUCAAUUAUUAACACCGAAAAUUAAUGAGUUGGCAUAAAAUUUAUCUCUCUAUAAUAGUAUCAAAGCGAGCCUUAAUAAUAACAUUGCUUAUAGUCAAUUUCACAUGCCAACUUUUUACUGGGCAUUGGCGAUUUCAAUUUUGAUAGUCCGGUUAGAAAAAGUAGGUAAAGAUUAUUUGAUGUGGUAGGUCAUUUCUUUCAUAAAGACGAUGGCGGUGAAUUCAUGAGACAGGUGAUAAAGGAGAGAUUCUUUCUUUUGGCUUUGGAAUUUUAAUGAGGUCCUCGAUCCUCAUCCAAAAUACACCUCUCCAAUUAUAAAAAUCUUAUUAAAAAAAAAAAGAUUUGACAUGUGCCUUUCGAACUGCUGGUUUUCUGUUCCAAAAAUGAGAAUGGUUUCAAGUGGAUGAAGGAAGGUGAAGAACCCUUGGUUUUGUUAAGCGAAAAGCCACAUGAUUAAAUAAACAUAAGGCGGCAAAGGCUGAAAAUUUAAAAUUAUACUAAGGAACCCACCCCACAGGGCGACUACACUUUUGGUGAAGCCACGAGAAUGAAAGAUAUCGAAGGUGACACCAAGACAUUAAGCAGCACCAAGGUUUCGAUAUAUUAUAAGAUGGGAUCUUAUGAAAGACGAUCUCUAAUCUCUCUCCAAUCUCUUCUUUAACCUUUUCUUACUUAAAUCCAUUUCCAUGGUAGGGCACAUGUCCAGCUGACCCUACCCCCUCACCUACCUAUACUGCUAUACCCUUUUGUAUAAUUUGAUAUGGAUUGGAAGCCACCCCAACAUCUUUCUAAUUGCUCGUAAAUGUUGAGGUGCCUUUCCAUUUUGAGGCUGCCCUAAUGUGUGGCUGAAGUACGUAGGAAAAAAAAAUUGUGAUACAUGCACUGACGAAUCAAAUCCCAAUGUCAAAUUAUUAGACUCACCUGGUUCUUAAAUUAUUGUGAAUGCCGCUGGCCAUGGAUAAAUGGAAUUAGUGCGUGGCUUAAUGAAAAUUUAUUUUGAAAGGGAUAUUAAUUUGAGAGAAUUUUGGCUGAUACUUGGAGUUGAACGUAAGCAUAUAUGACCUCAUUUCGGGUGUGAUAUUGUGCUUAUAACGAACCUUUCGUUCUUUCCAAUUCCAGUGGGUAUUAAAUAAUUAAAGAAUUCAUGGUUCGAAGGCGAAAGGUAGAAGACCAAAAAGGGAUUACAAAGCCAUCGGCUUGACCAUCCAGAUGCAAUGGAUACAAACUUUGGACUCUAUCGAAAGUUCUUUGGGCACGUGCCCAAGUGUCCUACCCAUAUGAUAAGUUACACGUGGCUAAUUGCGGACCGGUUGCUCGUGCUAAACAGGGUACUUUUUCUACGCAUAUAAGAUGUUUCACUAGUGGGGCUUCACCAUGCAAACUCAUGGAUGAAGACCCUGAGGCCAAGAUGAAGGAACAGAAAGAAGGCGGAGGAGAGGUUCGGUAUCGAGGCGUUCGGAGGCGGCCAUGGGGGAAGUUUGCUGCGGAGAUACGUGACUCGACUAGGCAUGGAGCGCGCGUCUGGCUCGGGACUUUCAAUUCUGCGGAGGAGGCUGCAAGAGCAUAUGACCGAGCUGCUUAUGCCAUGAGGGGUUCCUUGGCGAUUCUCAACUUCCCUAAUGAGUAUCAUACACCCGGCACGGCUAGCUCUUCAGCUUCAUCCUCAAUGCCCGAAGGUGAUCAGCAGGGAAAACAAGUCAUUGAAUUGGAGUACUUGGAUGAUAAGCUGCUAGAGGAUCUUCUCGACUCUGAAGACAAAAAGAACAAGAAAACCUGAAGUUUCUGCUGCCUCGAAUCCCCUGAAAUCUAGUGCUUCAUCGAAAAAAAAUCCCCUCGCUCCUGAUUAACAACAUUUUUAUUUUAGUCAAUGAAUGUGUUCUCGGAUCAUUAUAAGUAUUUCUGCCGAAGUCCAUUGAUUUUUGGAGACUGAAAAAUGUCAGAAAAAUUGGUGCGAACAGGUUUACUCCUUUCUAAAUUAUGCAAUUGAAGUAUUUGGAUUAGUGCGCAGUGUAAACAUCAAGGAAAGCAUGAUCCACUAUUUUAAGGAGCCUAAGUGCUUUCCCCUUUACUCUUUUAGGAUGUCUUUUCAGUGAAGAAAGUUGGGAGACCACCACUUACCCUUUUGAUUGGUAUAUAACUGCCAACUAAUAACUGGACUAACAUUUGGCCCGUCUGGCCCUACUUCUUUGACUUUGUUGUUAAUUUAUAACUUUAUGUGAAGUGGGGGCUGUUUGGGAAUGUGUGAAGCAAGGAUUUGAGCCGACUUCGCCUAAUCUGAUUCUCCAUAAGUGACUUCAUUUUAUCAUAUUGGUGUUUUUUUUCUUCUUCUUUUUAAAUGGCUGGGGAGGAGGGGAUUUGGGAGGGAUGCAAUGCCAUGGUUGCAUGCUGGAUUAUCCUUCCAAAUGAAACAUCCAUUUGGUUUCUAGUAACUAAUUGCAAACAAUUAAAGAGAAUAAAAUUUUAAGAUGAUUAAACAAUAAGUACCUAUGUCCAUGAAAAGGAGAGAAGUUCACUCAUGGGUGUUCAUGAAAGACAUCACAAAGAACCAUCAAUAUGAGAAGAAUCCUGAUACAAUUAACUUUCAUGCAUAAGAAAAGACGCUCAAAAAAGAAUAAUGCUUACAAGGAAAGAAUCUCACUACGAUCAACUGAAAAAAUAUUCCAAUUUAAUUGGAAAUCCUUACAUGGGAAGAAUAUCAAUAAAAUCAACUAAAAAAAUAUUUUAAUUUUAUAUCAAAAUAUUUGUGAUUUAACCCGUAUCAUUUCAUCAUGACUUCUUAUAAAUUUUGUUCCUUUUUAUCAACACCACCCCUUGAGUUGGAGCAUAAAUAUUUAUUAAGCUAACUUGAACAAGAUCUUGAGAAAUUUUGUCGCAGGAUUUGUUUGCACUUUUUUUUUUCAAAUAAAGUCAUAAUUAACUUUAAUAUGUUUAAUCAUUUCAUGAAAUACUAGAUUUUAAGCAAUGUUGAUAGCAUACUUAUGCCUGAAAGCUUUAUCCCAAAUCACAUGAGUACAUGAAGUGAUUGCAUCAUUAAUGGUAGUAUUAUUACUUUAUAUUCAACUUCUCCACUUGAUAGGAUGCAUGAAAGCAUUGUGCUUUCUUCUGUUUCAAGUAAUAAAGAUUAUCACCAAGAAAGGUGCAAUUAAUACCUAGUAACAGAGUACCUAGUGGUAGCAUGCACCUAUCCACUGAACUUGUACUCGACUCUAUGAGUGUACGUUACAUAGUCCUUUUUUCGAAGUCUAAAUGUCCCUUGAUAAAACCUUCUAAUAUUUGAGGUUUUGGUAACAUUCAUGUAUCAAUGAACAAAUUAAUUUACUAGCUAAACUUUAAAAUUAGGCAAUGUUUUUCAAUGGGUGAUCAAGAUCUUGGAAUUUUCAAUGUUGUUUGAAUAGCUUCCACACACAAGCAUAUUUUCUCCUAUUUAGGAAUAAUCCCUUUUUUGAAGGUGUGAUCUUUAUGCUCAAAAAAUAAAGAUACUCAAAAAUUUAAUAUUGACCUUCUCGUGAAGGAAAAGCUUUAUAACUAAUUUUUUUUGUGCAUUAUAUAUAUCCUCAAUAUAGACUUUAAAAAAAAAAGAAGUAACUCCCUCUACAAAGAGUGAAGAGUCAAUUAAACUUUUUUUUUUUUAAAAAAAAGGAACCAAUUACUCGUAAAAGUAAUGAUUAUUUUUACAUACCAAACUUGAGGAGAUUACUUAAGAUCACAAAAGUUUUUAUUAAAUUGCAAGCUAGAUGCAUUUGAAACGAUCGUUGAUGUCUUAGCAACACCUUAUGUAACUCAUCAAUCUUUAUGUAAAAAUGCAUUUUUAACACCCAUAUAAAAUAAUGAUCAAUCCUAAUUUAAUAGAAACAAAUGGUAAUACAUGAAUAUCAUUCAUAUUAAUGAGAAAAGUAAAUAUUGAUUUAUAAUCAACUUCUUAAGUUUGUGUCAAUGCCUUAAUCAUUAGUUUAACUUUGUCAUUCAAUGAUACCAUCAUUACGACAUUUAAUUAACUUAGAUUUGCGUAAAUCCCUUAAUCACUAGUCUAGCUUUAUGUCAUUCAAUGGUACCAUCAUUAUGGUAUUUAAUUGAUCUUAUACCCCCAAUUUGUAUACCCCAUGUUUUUCUUAAUUUACCAUACAUCACUUAACAAUGUUCCAUGCAUGGAUUUUGUUAAGUGCCUUAAGUUCCUUUUGCAUAGCCUUUCUCCAAAUUGGAUGAGGAUUGGCUUCAUUAAUGUCAUUAGACUCAUGAUAUAUGGAACUCAAACAAUUGUUAAGUGAUUUUGUAUAUAUAUAAAAAAAAAAUUGUAAUUAAUGUGGUAGGCAUAAAAAUCUCACAAAUGAGGAUUGAUUAAUUGUUAUAAUUGAGCAACAUGCUUGAGGCUUAGUCACAAUACUAGAACUUGAAGUCAGACAUUCUCUUCAAAUAAGGACGUAUAUACAUUAUAUUGGAUCUCCAUUAAACAAGUAAAGAACUAUUUAGUAGACAAUGAAACCUCAUUGAUCAAUGGUGGUAGAGAGACACAUGAUGACCAGACUAUUCCCCUGGAAAUGAGAAUAAAAAAUAUCAUUAGCCGCAAAAAUCUCAAAAAAAUUUAGAUAAUGGGAUAUAAAGAGUUUAUGAAUUUUACAAUCAUAACUCUUAUACUGGUUUAAGUGGUAGAGUAAUCAAGAACACAAAACGAGUUUGAUGAGUGGUUGAGAUAUGAACAAAGCAAAGAUUUCCAAAGACACCAAAAUCAGAAAUCUCAAUUUUUGGGCUAAGGAUUUCAAGAAGAAAUUUAAAAUUAACUACAUGACUAGAAAAUUUGUUCAUCAAGGAAAUAGAAGUAACGAUAUCAUAACAUCAUAAUUAAUCAAUAUUUUUAAUAACAUGCAUUUGGAACAUGAUAUACCGGCUUUCUAAUAAUCAAUGAUUUUUGGUUCAACCACACCAUUUUGUUUUGGGAUGCCAAUACAACAAGUUUAACGAANNNNNNNNNNNNNNNNNNNNNNNNNNNNNNNNNNNNNNNNNNNNNNNNNNNNNNNNNNNNNNNNNNNNNNNNNNNNNNNNNNNNNNNNNNNNNNNNNNNNAUGUAAGUGCCAAAUUAGGUAGUGUCGACAAUGAAAUGGAAAUUUUGGAAUAUAGAAACAACCUCAUUUUUAUGUUCUAAUAAGUAAACCUAUGUAGCAUAAGAAUAGUCAUUAAAAAAAAAGGUAACAAAAUGUUGAUUUCCAUCCUAUGGAUCAAUUAGGACACAACCCCAAGGUAAACUAAUUUGAAAGUUGCAACAAAAAUGGAAAGAGAUGAAAAAAUAAUAGAGGAAUUUAAGGUUGUUUCAAAAUUUCAAGACAUGCUAAGAAACACAUGAGAUUAUAGAUGAUUAGGUAACAACCUUGGUUAAGUAUAUUCAACAUAUAUAUCCCACGAGGAUAAAUAUCUUCACUAAACUUUUCCUAUUAUUCAAUCCCCUAAUACCAUACAAGUGAAAAAUUAAUGUCACGGUCAAAAAUUUUAAUAAGCUUCCAAAGAGAUAAUAAUUUUGGGGAAAAAAACAACCUAAGAAACCUAUGAAUUGAGAUAAUUUAGGAAAAAACUAAAUGUUCGUUAGCUCUAGAAGGGAAUUGAAGCUCAUCAUCAAUAAAGAUUGUUGCUAUCUCGAAUAAUAUCAAGUAAACCAUUAAGAUCGCUAUUAAUGGUAUGAUUAGCAGCACCAAUUAUCGACAAAAAAAUUAUUAAAAAUAUAAGAAAUGAGAGCUUUAAGAUUAUCUAAUUGAUUUGUAAACCUAGGUAAGUGAAUCAGUAUUACGUUUUGUUAAGGAAGCUUAGAUCCAAUUGGUAUCAUUCACCAAGUUAUUGGAUUAAAUUACACUAUCAAACUUUGGCUUUAAAUGAGAAUGAAGAAUCUAACCACAAUCCUUAUUGGGAUUAGAUAUGUUAUUGCAAUAAUGUUUACAAUCGGAUGAGUGCUAAUUUCUAUUGAAAUCAUGAAGCAAUCUCUGAUCAUUGGUCUUCUUUGUAGAAACAUGAGCAUUGAAUUUAAAAUUAAUAAUUGUUACUUGGGAUUCAACCUUCAUAAUCAUUGCCUGGGUUUCCUAAUCACUUUCAAGAAUUACUUAUAUAGUGAAGGCACUCGAAACUAAUCAAAUUUGUCCUCUUAUAAAGUUGUCAUAUUCAAGCUUCAGAAUAGCCAAUAAUUGAAAAACUUAUCAUACUCCGCAAUUUGUUGAAGAAUAUUUGGGUCUAUUGAAGGGGACAAUAUAGGGAAUAUUUGUCCCAUAUGCUCAAAAUGUUCAAUUAACAAAGUGUUCUGUAUGUUUAGGGAUUUGUUAGCUUUAAUUACACAAAACAUUAGCAGUUUUAGAGAAAAUUAAUUUUUUUUUGCAAUCUUAGGUUCCAUGAAAUUAAAAAGCCAAUAACAAGUCAAUAUGGCUUGAGACCCAGUCAUCAUAUUCAAAGUCAUCCAACUUAGAAGCAUUCAUUUUGCCACUAACAUGUGCUAAUUUCCAUUUUCUAUCUUUCAAGAGAAAAAGACUGCUCUUAACCAUGGCAAAUAAUUGAACCCAUUAAGAAGAUUGAGGAAAGUAUCAUAUGAGGGUUGUCAUUUUCCUCCAUGACAAAGAAAAAGCAACAGAGAAAAACUCAUAAUAUUAGAAAGAGAAUGAAAGAAAUUGAGUCAUAGAUACACACAGAAGAAUCCAAAAAUAAAGCAAUAAUACAACCACAAAUAUGAGAAGAAGCUCAAUUACAAAGAAAGGAACUCAAUACAAUCAACUAAAAAGCGUUCCGAAGUUCAUACGAAAAUAUUCAUAAUGUGAAGAUCAUUUCAUGAUUCCUACAAUUUCUUCCUUCUACCAGUCCACUCCAUACAAGGUUUGAUCAACAACUUCUUCAUUGAUUUUCUGGUCUCUCUCCGGUGUAUCAUAGAGCAUUUUUGACAUGUUUCUGCAAGAUACACUUGUUAACUUUAAGCGACAUAAGUGCAAAAAAAUAAGAUCAUGUUGUAUUGCCUGUGCUUCCACUCUGCCUUGUUUAGUACUAUUAUGGAGCAGUACUUCCAUAUAGAACCAGUGAUCUCCAGUUCAUUAUGUUGCCUUCUUUAAACUAACUUUAAUUAUCUAUACAUAUAAAACAAAGUGGUCCCAUCAAGGGGCUAAAUCAAGAAUCAAGUGGGGCGAACAGGAAACAGUGGCAUCAAUUUUUAAGUCCAUAAGCUUUAAUAAAAGGAAUAAAACCAAGGAUAUGAAUAUGUUAUUUUUUCAUUUGUUCAUGCACUGGAAGAUCUUUCCUCUUCAAGCAUUGAACCAGCAUCCUUCUGUGCAAGUUGCUGUCGGAACCUUCUAUAAUUGUCAGAAGUCUGUUUCUGAAAUAUACAGAUAAAACUUUUAGCAAGUCUUGACAUUGCUCAUCACUAGGACAUUGUACUAGGAUACCAAUUCAUCUAAUUAGGGUUAAGUUGGCAUCUCGUACACUAUUUUUUAUUUUUCCUUCAUCUUUUGUUCCCAUUUGCAGUGGAAGUGGCACUUAGAAUAUCUGAUCAUGAAGAAUUAGCUUUCGGUGAGAUGAUACUAGGUCAAUUGCCAUUAUCUUUUUGAGUUACUGUGCGAGCAAUCUUGAAAAUAUUUUGGGAUAAAUAGAAUUUGUGCUUAUCAUAAACAUGCUAAACAUCCAAAUCAAGUGCUUUUACUAUUGAUAUCAAAUCAGUAAUUGAUUUUAACCUUUAUGCUUAUCUUUCAGAUUCUCAAUUAUGUAUCUUGAAUAAUGAUAUUAAGCAGAAAUCAUGAAUUGAAUUGCUUUAAUUAACUGUGCCUUAUCAAGCUUGUCAGCAGUGCUAUUGCUACCGCGAAUCAAAUUCGCUGUGCUUCCCGCCUUCUCCAAAUAAGCCACAAGCCCAAUUAUAUCCGCCCUCCUCCCAUCUCCAAGGGAUCAAAAAAUAAAAUGACUUCAAUCAAUUUUCAAGUUUUCCAUCUUGAUCAGUAGACCACCCGGCAUGAAUGUUACCCUCAGUUUAGGAAUAGGAAUUCCUUUUACUAAUCAUUUGGCACUAAAAACUAUGACCCCUAGCAAUUCAUUCCCUCCAUUAGAUAUCUGGGGGCAUCUUGGCUCAGCCAAAAAUGAUAAGUCAUUGCAUUUCACAUUGCAUUCAUUUGUAUUAAUGAGCUAAUUUUUUUUCACAGAAUGUGAUGUGAAUCGAAUUACUUCCAACCAUGUGUCUCUAUAAGGGUUUAACAAAUGUAAUUUGCAUUGUCUGUACACUUUUUUUUCGGUUUCUUUUCUUUUUUAUGCAUGAUUCAUUAGUCCACGGAUCUUCUAUGCAAAGUGUGCAGGCCAAACACCUCCUUCAAUGCAUUAUUCUAGAAGUUAAGACUCAGUUUACUCCUUAAUUGAUCUGUUCCAUUUACUUCAAAUCAUUUGAUUACAUUAAAUGAAUCUUGAAAUUCAAAAAUGCAUCAAAGUUAAAAGACCUUCCAAUGCAUUAAGAAAUCAUCUGAUACAAAUAUAUGUGAACCUGCAACAACAAUAAUGUCAAAAUGGAAAACUUAGGUAGAAAAUAUUAGAACGGAAACUUACGACGAACUCAAUUUUUGGCGCCUUUCUUCUUCUCAUCUUCUGAUCCAAGAAGCUCUUCCAACACCGUGUCAUCCAAACACUCGAACUCAAUGACUUGCUUUUCUUGCCCAGAAGAGGAACCUCCCAUCUCUAAACUCCUACAAGGCCCAGAAGAUGACGAGGAAGACGAUGAGGAUGGUGAUGGUGGGGGGCGAUGGGAGCCCAUGAUUUCAGAAUAGUACUCAUUAGGAAAGUUAAGAAUGGCAAGAUGACCCCUUAAGUUAAAGGCCGCUCGAUCAUAGGCGCGAGCUGCAUCCUCCGCCCUGUCAAAUGUGCCUAGCCAUAGACGAGCACCUUGCCUAGACGGAUCCCUAAUCUCGGCUGCAAACUUCCCCCAUGGCCUCCUCCUCACCCCUCGGUAUCGAACUUCUUCCUUUUCCUUCCCUUCCUGCUCCUGCUUCUCAUUCCCUUUCGAAUGAUCUUCCAUGCUAAACGUGUCGAUUUGCUAGGCGCAAUUUUUUUGGUUUCAAAUGUGCUGGUUUACGAGAGGCAUGGAUGCUUAUGUAUAUAUAUGGUUGCCACAGUCAGGUCUGACGUCACCGCUCAAUGUAUGUUCCACAGCGUGGGUUGACGAGCUUUCUGAGGGGGUUUCCUCGAAUUCAAAGCAAGUAUAAAAAUUCGAUUCUCCGACCUUUCCAAUGAGGAUCGAACAGGCCUUUUAUUAGAACCGUAUGAUAACUCCACACUGUUUUCAAAUAGUCAAUGUGAUCUAGAUUCUUCGUUAAUUUUUUCCACCUGACUGAUUGUUUACAAUUUUAUUUUUCACCGUCCCAAAUUUAAACCAUUUACGCGAUUCCCUGGAUUGCAUUUUUCUUUAAUGUUGACUUUACGAGGCAAUAGGACCCCCCAGCAACCCCACUAGGGCGACUUCAUGGGAACCAGAUUACUUUUGGAUCCAGAUAUGGUCCAGAAGAAAUAAGACAAAUCAAUUAAUGUCCACUAAAGUUUUGAUGGAACCCUUAGUCCGUGUUUCCUGUGGAUGUAUGUAUUGUAUGCACCUCAAUUUUCACCAAUCCCUGCUACGAGUCCCUUUAAUUUUGACGUUAUAAAUGUUUUUCCUGACAUUAGCAGAGUGUUUUUCUGCCGUCUUUGAGGACCUUCCACGGCCCAUAAACUAAUAAGGAUCGUCCAGUGAAUUUAGUCUUCCCCAGUUAAUUAUCCUGCGAGGGAAACUUGGGCAGUAAGUUGCCUACAUGAGUGGCUCCCGCCUACAUGAGUCAAGGGACCAUACGUCAGGACGACAACCAGUGUGGUCACACCAAAGUGGGUUGCCUGGACUCCAGGGUGGUCGCUUCAAAGUUGUCAAAUGAAGGCUAGCUUGGCAAGUUUUGGAAAACAAUUAUUGAAAAACAUUUUUCAUGAAUAACAGUUUCUAUGAACAGAUUUUAAGAAAGUUUAUUUUGUGAUUUUUAGGAAUAUUUUUAAUUUAAAUUUUUAUAUUUUUAAUUUUUUAUUAAUUUAUUGAUUAUUUAAUAUUAGCUUAAUUAAUGGAUUUUUCUUGGUCCCAAAUUAUUAAUUUAUCAAGAUUUAAUCGCAUCCAUAAUUAGUCUAAUUUCUUUUGGAGUGAGUGUGACAAAGUGCAAAUUUCUAGAGUUUUAUUAAUGUUAUUCAAUGUCAUAAUUUAACUAAUUAUAUUAAUUAUUUAUUAAUCAAAAUAAAUCAUUCACUUGAAAUAUGAUAAUUUAAAUUAAAAGUUUCAAUUAUUUAUUAAUUAGCAAAGUAUGAACUUUUCUUCUUGUUUUAUUAUUGUUAUUCCAUGUAUAUAAUUUAAUUAACUGUUUCCAAUAUUAAUCAAUAAAAAUAGAAUAUAAGCAUGAGAAGAAUUAGUAAAAUUCAUUGAUUUGGAAUUAGAUAGCUAGAGGAAGAACUUCAUCAUCUUCCCAUUACUUAAAUUUGUAUAAAUUCUAAAUAUUUAAACCCCCCCCCCCCCCCCCCCCCCCAAAAAAAAAAAAAAUGGUAAAGAAAGACUCCCCAAGCUUUCUUGGUUGGUGUUACCCUAAAAUUUGUACAAUAAGAUGAACCAUUUGGCUUAAAGCUUGGUGCGAAACCCCUUAUCAAUUGAAAAUAUCAAUGAAGUUGUUGAAUGGUUUUAGAGGACUAUUCUUAUGCAGAGUGGCAUAAGAAGCGAGGAGAUGAAGAGCGGAGAGACGUUAACAUCGGAUGCUGCUACGAAGGUGGGAAUACGGUUAAUUAAUUAGAUUUUGUGAUGGCUUUGAGUUUGAAGGAGUUAGUUUAAUGGGUAUUAUUAGUGAACUGAUAAUUGGAUUUGAUGUAAAGAAGGUUGGUCCAUUGGAUUAGCAAUUGGUUUGGCCUUUUGGGGGCCCCAUUUCCAAAUGCAUUGCCUUUUACAAGCAUUCAACAUCGCUGGACGUAACCAGGCUUGGUUCACCUAAAAGUAUCGCAUGGAUUGAAUUGACUAAGUUUUCAUUGUAGACUAGCCUUGAUUUUCCCUUGACCUGCCCACCAAAUCCUGAUGCCCACGCGAGGGAAUACCUCAAUUUUCUAAUAAUUUAUGCAGUUUCUCUUCAAAGCUCGUGUGAUCACUUGGGUCGGUAAAAUAAUGCAUUCCUCUACUUUUUCUCCCUUCCUAGAUGCAUGUUAUACCAUUAAUUCAAAUGUGAACAUGGGCUUGGCUUUGAAACUUGGUUCAAGGCCCAACAUGUUGACCCACAAUUGAGGUGUAAUUGAAUUUGUACACUUUUCGACUUUGAUACCAUUUGUCAUUACCAUUGACAUUGGGUCAUUGUUGAUUUUGAGUCCACAACUUUUAAGGUUGUUAUUACAAUUUUAAAUUGCGCCCACCCAAUUUAUAUGCAUUAUCCCUUAUAAAUACCGAUAACCUCUCUUUCUUCGAUAAUAUAAAAUGUCACAUAUAUUAUAUAUCUCAAUGUUUUCUUUUACUUUUUUUUUUUUUAUCGAUCGACAUUCUCUCUCAGAUGAUAUGAGAUGUCACAUAUAUUAUAUGUUUCAAUGUUUCUUUUACUUUUUCUCUUUUUCCUCAUGAUUGACAUUGUCUUUCUCAAAUGAUAUGAGUUGUCACAUAUAUUUUAUGUCUCAAUGUUUUCUUUAACUUUUUUUCUCUCUUCUUUAAUGAUCGACGUUCCUUUUCUCAGAUGAUAUGAAAUGUCAUAUAUAUUAUAUGGCUUAAUGUUUUCUUUUACUUAUUCUUUCUUUAUUAAUAAUCGACAUUUUAAGCAAUAUGUGAAUAUAAAGCAUUAAAAUUAUCUCCAUCGUUUUUGGAUGUGGUAUAAAUACACAAUUCUUAUUUUUGUUUUAAAUAUUUCUAUUGCUAUCUAUUGAAAUUUUAUGCAUGAAGCUACCAAGUUAAUUAUACAUAUAUCUUAAGAUUUUUUUUUUUUUUUUUUAUAGGAUAUAUUGUCCAUGAAUAUUUUCUGCAAUGGUAUCUUGUUUGAUUACUAUAAGAAAUAAUAUAUAUAUAUAUAUAUAUAUAUAUAUAUAUAUAUAUAUAUAUAUAUAUAUAUAUUAUAUUUCAAUGUUUCAUAUUUGCUUAAAAUAAAAAUUAUAUUUUAUCACAAUAUUUGGUAUUAAAAAAAAUGAAAUCUCUCUCAUUUAUUAUUACAAAAAAAUUAUAAUUUAUAAUUUUCUAAAUAAGUUUUAUUUAUUUGCUAACUAUAUUCAUGAUUAAAAGAUUUAAAAUUUAUAAAUAAAAAAUAUUAUGUCAUGUCAUUAAAUAAAUAAAAAUAUAUGUAUAUAUUAAAAUUAUGUUUUAUUGUAGCUUUUAAUAUUUUUUUUUUUAUUCUUUUCUUUUUUGAACUACAAUUUUAAUUUUUUUUAAUCAAAAUUUUUUAAUUUACAAAACGAGUAACAUAAAACUUGCCUUUGAACUUUAUUGGAAUGUUAUAUACUACCAUUUGGCUUUCAAGACAUUAGAAAAGGCAUAAGUGUCCCUUUUAUUUUUCCGAAAGGCAUAUUAGACUAUAGUAGGAAGUGUUGUAUAGAGGCAACUAAAAGUUGCCUUUAACUUUAUGAAGUCAUAUACUCCUCUUUGGCUUUGAUGACAUCAACUAGCAAAUUGGAUUUUGUUUCCUUUGCAACAUUUUUCCAUCCAUUAGCCAGUUUUUUUAUACUGUUUGGUGCUUGCCAACAUGGCACACACUAUGGUUCUUAAAAAGUAUUUUUUUUUUUAAGAUACUACGAAAUAAAAUACACGAUUGAAAGAUGAGUCACAAUAAUUUUCAAAACUAAAUUUUUUAAUAUUGUUAAGAAAAUUUGACCACCAAAUGAUUGAUUUUAAAUUACAAAUACUUUUGUUAGCUAAGAAAUUUGUUGUUCUAUUUGUUUCCCUAUAAAUAUGACAACAAUCAUAAAUAUUUUCAUUUUAAGAUAAUUUUCAAAUAUCUUCCAUUAAUAAUAUAAUAGAAUUAGGAAUUUUUUUUUUAGUUAUAACAAUCUAUAAUUAUUUAAGAGUCUUCCUCAAUCUCUAGGUUUAAGAACUUAUUGUUCUUAACAACUAACAUGUCAUCUCUUAAAAUAAUACAUUCUGCAAUAAUUAUUGAAAUAUGAUAUAAUAUAUAUAUCUACUUACAACCAUUUUUGUAGUACCAUUAGAAUUUUUAAUUACCCAUUCUAAAGUAUUUUUAUUCUCUAUUCUUAAACCAUCAAAAUUUAAUUUAAAUCUUUCAUUAAUUGGAUAAAUCCAAUGAAUCUAACAAGUUAAAGGAUUAUGAAUCCGACAAAACAGUUGAUAAUAAAUUAAUAAUGCCAUUAAUAUGAUUUUAAUGUGAAACACAAUUAUCACAUUUAAUACAGUUAGUCCUUGUAUGAUUAAUGUUUUGGAAGCUAAAAUCAAUCUUUUGACUAUAAUAAGAGUUUCUACUAUUUCUAUUUUUGGAUGAUUUUAUAUUUUUCUUAUUGUUUUAGUUUAAUACAAAAAAUAAAAAUAAAAUUACAUUAGUAGAAUUUUUUUAACUUACUCAAAAACCUAUUUUAGUUGAAUGAUUUUUUUAAAAAAAAUAUAAAUAUUUUGUUAAAAGGGAUAAAAUAACCUUACCUUGUGAAAAAGACCUCUUCACCCAAGAUUACUUGUUCAUAAUCCUUUUAAGACGAAAAUGCCCCCUUCCUAAAAAAUAUUUCAUCUUAAACUUAUUUUUCUUUUUAUUGCCCUUUGUUCCAUCCUUCCGGCUUGGGAGAGAAAUUCAUUCUUCUUUUGCGAAGAAAAAUUCCUAUUGCGAUUUUUCAUUUCAAGUGGAAAAAAAAAUUCUUAUUUCAUUUUAAAGAAAUUGUACAUUUUCAAUCUUUCUCUUUGUUCCUAGUUGAGGGUUUUUUUUGUAAUUUUAUCUUAACACUACAAAUUUAAAGGUGAGAUUAAAUCUUAAUGGUUAUUAGUUAAAUCACAUAUCUAACUUUGUUUUUGUCAGGACCUAUAAUAUGAUUGGAACCACCAUCCAAACUUCAUUAGGUGGGAUACUCCCCACCCUCCCCCUCCCCCCGCGAAAUCCUUGGAUUUUAGUUUUGACUUGGAUUUCAAUUGCCCGUAUCAAUUUUUCUUUAUUUAUUAAUUUAUUAAUUUUCAACUUUAACAAAAGCCUUGAAUCAUAUUUAAAUUCAAAUAACUUAAUCCUAAUUAAGUUCUUUUUAAAUAAAAAUUAAUCAUUGAAAAGUUCAUGUGACUAUUAUAAUUGAGAAUUUAUCCCAAGUUGGGUUUUUUGCAAAUAAAAUUUUAUUAUAGGACAUCAUGAUGCAACAUAACAUAAGGUUGUUACUUAAGUUUGUUUUGACCUUGUAAUAUGUUAAAAUGAAAAUGAAGCCAUUGUAACAGGAGAGAAUGAUGAAGCUGUGGAGAGAGCUUAACAAAGCUUGGGUUGGAGAGACUUCACAGGAAGAGAGAGAGAGAAAUAAAGGGUAAAAUUAUCAAAAGAGAAAAGAAAAAAAAAAAAAAAAAAGAAGGUUAUGUCUUCAAAUAAUCAAUAAGAGAUGUCAUUUUUCUAAUUUUCAAAGUUCUUUUGGUCCUUCUCUACAAAUAUCCCUAUAAAAAUAUUAUAAUAUCAAGUUAAUUUGUCAAUACCAAAAUUUAUAUUUUAUAUUAGGGCGACUAAAUAACAUAUAGAAAGAAUUUUAAAUGAGUAAAUCAAAUCAAUUUUGAAACCAAAACUUAAUAAUUACCAAACUUGUAAUCUUAGUCAUUAAAAGUGUACGAUGAAAUCUAAAUUAUUAAGCAAUGAAACAAAAAAUUAAGAUUAAAAUACAAAACGUUAAAAUCAAGAUACAAACUAUUAAAAUGUAAGUGGGAUAUGAGAUGAUAUUAUAAAAAAUAGUGUGAUCCAACAAAAAGUCUAGUACAUCAUUAUCUUCACUUCCAACCAUGUUUAAAAGGUCACAAGUUCUAGCGGUUUCCAAGGACAAUGUUAAAAAUAAUAAAAAUAAAUCCAAUUAAAUAUUAAUUAAUUUAUUUGAAUUUGAGUCCGACAAAAUAGUUGGUAAUAAGUUAAUAAUGCCAUUAAUAUGAUUUUAAUGUGAAACACAAUUAUCACAUUUAAUACCCGUUAGUCCUUGUAUGAUUAACUUUUUAGAAAUUAAUAUCAAUCUUUUGAUUAUAAUAAGAGUUUCUACUAUUUAUAUUUUUGGAUGAUUUUAUAUUUUUCUUAUUGUUUUAGUUUAAUACAAAAAAAUAAAAAUAAAAUUACAUUAGUAGAAUUUUUUUUAACUUAUUCAAAAAACCUAUUGUAAGGUGAAUGGUUUUUUUAUUUUUUUUUUAAAUAUAAAUAUUUUCUUAAAAGGGAUAAAAUAACCUUACCUUGUGAAAAAAGGCCUCUUCACCCAAAUUUACUUGUGCAUAAUCCUUUUCAGACGAAAAUGCCCCCUUCCUAAAAAAUAUUUCAUCUUAAACUUAUUUUUCAUUUUUAUAACCCUUUGUUCCAUCCUUAUGAUUUGGGAGAGGAAGUCAUUCUUCUCUUGUGAAGAAAAAAUUCCUACUGCCAUUUUUCAUUUCAAGUGAAGAAAAAUAUUUAUAUUUCAUUUUAAACAAAUUGUACAUUUUCAAUCUCUCUUUGUUCCUAGUUGAGGUUUUUUUUUUUUUUUUUUUUUUUUGUAAUUUUAUCUUAAUUGUACAAAUUCGAAGAUGAGAUUAAAUCUAUAAUGGUUAUUGGUUAAAUCACUUAUCUAACUUUGUUCUUGACAGAUCGUAUAAUAUGAUUGGAACCACCAUCCUAACUUUAUUAGGUGGGAUCCCUUUUUUUUUUUCCCCAAACCCUUGGAUUUUAGUUUUGACUUAUAUUUCAAUUGUCUGUAUCACUUUUUCUUUAUUUAUUAAUUUUCAACAAGUUCUUUAACAAAAGCCUUGAAUCAUAUUUAAAUUCAAAUAACUUAAUCCCCAUUAAGUUCUUUUUAAAUGAAACUUAAUCAUGUGAAAGUUCAUGUGACUAUUAUAAUUGAGAAUUUAUUCUUAGUUGGGUUUUUUGUAAAUAAAAUUUAGUUAUAGGACUGUGAUGAUCCGUUCUCAACCGUAUAAAUAUUGUUCGUUUUGAAUUCAAAAUAACUUUUACGGCUUUAAAACAUGUUUACAAGAUUAAGAGGAGUCCAUAUUUAUAUAGCUUCACGAACUUUCCCCCCUAUUCGAUGUGGGAUGUCACAAGGACAUCAUGAUGCAACGUAUAACAUAAGAUUGUUUCUUAAGUUUGUCUAACCUUGUAAUGUGUUAAAAUGAAGAUGAAGCCAUUAUAACAGAAGAGAAUGAUGAAGUUGUAGAGAGAGCUUAACAAAGCUUGGGUUGGAGAGACUUCAUAGGAAGAGAGAGAGAGAGAGAGAGAGAAAUAAAGGGUAAAAUUAUCAAAAAAGAAAAAAGAAAAAAAAGAGGGUGAUGUCUCCAAAUAAUCAAUAAGAGAUGUCAUUUUUCUAAUUUCAAAGUUCUUCUGGCCCUUCUCUACAAAUAUCCCUAUAAAAACAUUAUAAUAUCAAGUUAAUUUGUUGAUACCAAAAUUUAUAUAUUAUAUUAGGAUGACUAAAUAACAUAUAGAAAGAAUUUUAAAUGAGUAAAUCAAAUCAAUUUUGAAAUCAAAACUUAAUACCUACCAAACUUGUAAUCUUAGUCAUUUAAAGUGUUCCAUGAAAUCUAAAUUAUUAAGCAGUGAAACAAAAAAUAUAAGAUUAAAAUACAAAACGUUGAAAUCAAGAUUCAAACUAUUAAAACGUAAGUGGAGACGUAAGAUGAUGUCAUAAAAAAUAGUGGGAUCCAACAAAAAGUCUAUUAAUCAUUAUCUUCACUUCCAAUCAUGUUUAAAAGGUCACAAGUUCUAGCGGCUUUCAAGGACGAUGUUAAAAAUAAUAAAAAUAAAUCCAAUUAAAUAUUAAUUAAUUUAUUUGAACAAUAGAUAGGACCAAAAUAAUAUUCUAAAAGGAAUCAUAGGGAAGUCCUUGGACAACCUACGACAUUGAACAAAGGUACAGUGAGACAAUGCACUUAGCCCUUCCUUGUCAUUGCGAUGAAUAUAAAAAGACACCCUGAUUGAGGGUGCCCCACUAAGCCAAGAGUGAUUCUUUUGUAUUGUAUAACGUGAAUAUUUUUGAACUUUGAAUGACCCUUCCUAUAGUCAUCAUUGUCAAAACUAGAAAAUCAGAAAGAUGCGAUGUACGAAGGCACCAUUGAAUAAGAGGCUUAAUUCUCUUUGGCAAUUAGGAUAAAGUUUCAAAAUAGAAAAAUUAAACAAAUGUACAGUGUACGGACACUUGGGCAUUGCCUAUUUGUUUUGUUCUUCUAGAGUUGUAUAUGGUAAAGGUCAUAUUGGGUUGGUUCUAUUUGGUUAUUGAAGUCGGCUAGAAUAUUAGAUUUGGUUUCAAUCUAAUCCCAUAUGAUAUUAGAAUACCAGCCCAUACAGAAUUUUUGACCAAAUAUAAUAUUUCUUUUAAAUAUAAAUAUAGUAAUUAAUUUUAGUCUAAGAUUAAUUAUGUAGUUUCCUAAAGAGACCACUUCCUAAACGGUAGCUAUGUGGAAGUUGGGCCAGGUCCUGCCGAGAAGGUUUCCACGAGCUGAGCCCAAAACUGAGUAGCUGUGAUGGGAUCAUUCUAGCAUUCAGCCUGAAACUUGUAACAUAACGGAUCGAGAGGCCUGAACUCCAAGACCAUGGUUCGUCAGCCCAUUAACUUCAACAGCACGCAUUUUAGAGGACUGGGCUUGCAAGGGGUGAGGUUUCCGGGCCGCGACCCCAAAUAUGAACAGCCUCAGAAGUGAUAUUGCUUACUGGCACGUGAAGAGCGCAAGCGUAACUAGAAGAUUUGUAAUGCCGCUUUAAUUGUUUGAUUAUAGAAUCCCACGCAUUACGCAUGGAAAGUGUAAAAGAUAAAAGAUGUAGAAUUUUUUCUUAGAGAAAAGUUCGUUUGGAUAUAGUUAUUGUUUUUUUUUUAAAUAAUAAUUGUUUUUUUUAUAAAUUAUAGAUAAUCUUAGAAAUUUAUCUUUAAAAAAAUAGUUUUUAAAAAUAUUUAAGGAGAAUAAAAGUGAUAAAAAAAAACUUUACAAUUUCAAAUUUUUAAAAAAUGAAAAUUAUUUUUAAGAAUAUAAGUUAAUCUCCUGCAUUUAAAUCUUAGGUGGUUUUUGUUUUUUUUACUUUUCGCUGAAAACAAUUUGUUUUCAAAAUUUAGGUCAUUUGUUUUUUCUAUUUUUUCAUGAUUUAUUAUAAAUUUUUUACUAAAUAAAAAAAAUCAAAAUAUGUAACUUUUUCUAAAUAAAAAAAAUAACGUAUUGAUUUUUCUUUACUUUUUAAUACUUAAUAGAUAUAAAAUACUACAAAAACAAAAAAUCUAAUAUUUAACACUAUUAAGCAUUAAAGUUCUAUUUAGAAUUAAGUAAAAAAACAAACACCACCUUAUAUUUUAUAUAAAAGUUACUUAUAUUUUGGUUUUUGGAAAUAAAAAAUAUAAAGCAUAUCCAAACAUGAGCUUAGCUAUUUUAAAUCAUAUCAAAAUAAUAAUCCCAAUAAGGUAAAUGGACUUUUAUACGGAGAAUAAUCUUUAAGGUUUUCAUUUUUAUUGGAUUUUUUUUUUGUGGUGUUUUUUCAAUCCAUCUUCUCAAUUAAUUCCUUAAAAUUAUUUUACUGUUUUUUUUUUUUUCAGUUUCUAAAUAUUUGAUUUUUCCAAAAUGCUUAAAUGGAAGACACUAAUUUUUCAAGAUAUUUGGUAUUACAAUUUUCCCUGUUCUCCCUAUUAUCUAUCAGAUUCAUGGCCCUUUUGUUUUUUCAUUGGUUUUCAAUUUAAUUUUCCAAAUAUUACAUUGUUGUGUUUUGAAUUUGUGAAACCAAUUUUAUAUAUAUAUAUAGUAUGUAAGUCUACUUUGGGUAACAUGUACAGAGAGGUUUUCAUGUGUUUGAAACCUUUUACCUCAAAAAUUAAUUAUUUUUAAUUUUAUAAUAAAUCUUUUUUUAUUUUUUAUUUUAUUUAGGAAAGCCUAUAUUUAAACUACAUGUUUGCAACGCAACACCAUACAUACUCCUAGUGGAACUUACCUUAGUGCUUGAGGGGGAUGCAGAUCUUCUUCUAAACCUAACUAAUAAGCAUAAAAUUGUUCACUAAUUAGCAUAUCUAGUAAAUCAUACAAAUUGGCAAUAUUUCAUGUUUUUCAUGUUUUGUCAAUAAAAGGCGUCUUGACCAUUUUGUGAGUUUUGUAAUAAAUAAAAAAAAAAAAAAAAAAAGGGCAAAAGGUGACUAAAAUGAGGCACUUUGGAAAGGUUAAUAACCUAAAAGGAAGAUGAAUUAAUACCCCCUUAUUCCUCUUCAAAAACCAUUGAGAAAAUGCAAGAAAUGCUCUUAGUUGUAUGCUAGGCUAACAGCCUAGCAACCAUAAUACCCUUCUUUGCAAUUGUAAGCAUUUUUUUUUUUUUUUUGAAGGCCAAACAACGUUGCAAACUUCCCAAAUCCCUUCUUUAUUUUUUAUUUUUUUAUUUUUGUUUUUAGAAGGAGAAUGAAUUUGAUGACAAACUCCUUGUCAAUCUUAUCCAAACCACGAUCGAACAGAACUCCUUGUCAAUCUUAUCCAAACCGUGUUCCACCUCAAAAACAUGUGUAGGACUUAAGGCAGCAACUGGCAAGCAUGACUGAUAGGGCCAAGUGCCCUUGUCUCUACAAUCCAUUAAGUUAACCAAGGGCAGUGAACCAUCAUUCUUUUCAAAAGCUUCAUUCCGUGUUGAAAAUGUGAGACUGAAGCAUGGUGCCCCCAAAAAUAACGAUCUAUUUACUAGCAGCAUGCCUGGACCCAUUAAAAAUACUCUACUUUAGGAAUAGAAAAAAUUACAUCUUUAUCCAAUAAUUUUAUAACAAUUCAGACGUUUCAGUCUAUAAAUAAUUGUACAUAGUUGCCAACGUUUAGCUAGUUUCAAAUGAAUAGCCUAGGUUCAUGCACCAGUUUGGCUGGUGGAGGAAAGGGAUUCGAGACAUUGAACCCUCUUUUUAGUGUGCCAAAUAUUCCACAAAAAUCACUACCUUCUCUUUGUGUUUGUUCACUUUUAGUUUAUAUUUAAUAAAUCUAUGUUUUCGAGUAGAGGUUGGGUUCAGGUGCGACCCACGUCACCUCUCGGACGGUCUUGAAAAAGGAGACCGGACCACGUAAUUUCAAAUGUAGUGACCAUCUCACUUUUACCUCCAUCCUUGAAGAUGGUUUCCCAAAUCAAUAUUAAUCUUUUGUUUACGACAAUAUCGAUCACUUUAUGUCUAUAUCGUUGUUAAUUUACCUUUUUUUUUUAGCCACAUUAUUUGAAAAUUGAUGCAAACUUUACCAACAUCUUGGUACCAUUUUAAAAUAUUAGAGUUAUUUGAUUAAAAAAAUAAAAUAAUCUCGAUAACUUGUUUAUAAAAUAAAUAUCUUUUAACAUUUAGACUAUUCUCACGCAUGCUUUAAAAUUGUAAAGAUAUUCAUAAAGUGGAACUUUAGACUUAAUCAAUAUCGAUCACUUUAUGUCUCUAUUGUUGUUAUAUUUUUUUUUUACAACAUUAUUUGAAAAUUGAUGCAAACUUUACCAACAUCCUAAUACCAUUUUAAAAUAUUAGAGUUAUUUGAUUAAAAAAAUAAAAUAAUCCCGACAACUUGUUUAUAAAAUAAAUAUCUUUUAAUAUUUAGACUAUUUUCACCAUGCUUUAAAAUCAUAAAGAUAUUUAUAUUCAUAAAGUGGAACUUUAGACUUAAACAUGAUAAUAGUUUUUUUACAAUAUUAUAAUUAUUUUAUCGUUUUAAUUAAGCCCUUUAUCAUACAUAUAAAUGUAAAUUAAUGCUAAAUUUUUAAAGCAACGUAUAACCUUUUACAUCUUUUUUUAAGAUGGUGCGAAAAUCCUAUGAAAAAUAAUAAAAGUCGAUGCAUAAGAAGAUUGUUUUGAUAAUUCAAUAGAAAAAUUCUUUUAAAAUGAUAUUAAAAAAUACCCAUAGAGCCUUUAUUAAAAAAAUCAAUUAUUUUCAUAAUAAAAAUUAUAAUUUUUUAUUAUGUAUUAUUAUUUUUAAGUAUCUUUAUUACAAAUACUUUUUUUGAGUUUAUGAGAGGAAUCAACAGGUUGGUACAAGCUUAGGCGUCCUCGUACAUGUUCCCGCUGUGCAAGGUUUUUGUCUUGUUUCGAGCUAGUCGGAAUUUACGUGUUUGAUAACGUUUUGUCCUAUUUUUGUAACGCUUUAAAGGGCGGCCCACCGUUGGAACAGUUCAAGCCAUCCAAAUCAGCCCGGAGGGUUAUGGCGACGUGGCAUGACGCCUACCACCUUAGUUCACAUGAACCCUAUGAUCGUACUACCCUCACAUGACAUCUGUGAUUCUUCACCUCCAAACCCUCUUUAACUUGGUAAUGUAUUCAAAGCUUCAUCAAAUCAUAGCGAUUAGCGACCCUCUUCCACCCUAAUUUUAUAAUAAAAAAUAAAUCUUAGUGGACAUUAAAGUAGUAUUUUGUGGGGGGAAAGAAAAACUCUAUGGGCGUAUCCACUAAAUACGAGCCAAGUAUAAGAGUUAUCACCAUGGAAUCAAAUUAUGAAGCAUUGACAUUUUAAUUGUAUUCAGAUUUGAGGAGGGCACCGCGGCACCAGCUGGCCCAGUGUAGUCUGCUAGCCUACCCGCCAUAAUGACCAAAUUAAUAAAGUAAAAAGGAUUACAGGGAUAUUCCCAACUUUAUUCUGGGUCUGAGCUGGAACUUGGGAGUUAUCACGAUCAACGGGAAAGAUGGUGGGUAGGGGACGAGGAUUGAGGGCUCCAUAUUCACAUCAGUGAAAAACGAAAUGUAUUGAGACAAGUCUUCUAAGGAUUUUCUAGCGUAUUAUAUGGUUUAAAUGAUUAUAAAUCUGUAGUUACUGGUAAAGAGUAGAGAGUGAAGACGAAAGACGUUGAGUGAAAAGGAAGGAGGAGAGGGGAUGGGGCCAUCUUACCGUGUCGGGGAGGAUCCAUAAAAGGACUACGUUCCCUGAAUCUGUAGGCAUCAUGCCUCGCCUAACGGGUUAGUCAAAAUACAGUGAUGUGUGUGAGUUGGGGGCCUCACUCCUCAUUUCUUUCCUUCUUUUCACCCCCACCCCCACUUUUUUUUUUUUUUUUUCGAAUUUUUCUUUGUCCUUUUCUCUCACUUGCGCACGCGGGAGAAGGACCACAAACUAGACAAUUCCUCUGCUCACGUGACCCCGAGUUUUUAAAUAUUUGCCUAUUUGGAAAAUAGUCAUGAAUCAUGAUCGUUAACAAACAAUCUUCACUUUAUUUAUUUAAGAUCUAUUUUUUGGAGCUCUAGUUUAGUUUAUUAUUAUUAUUAUUAUUAUUAUUAUUAUUAUUAUUAUUAUUUAGUAACUCCUCUUAUAUUAAUGAAAAAGAGAGGAGGAAUCCAAACUUGUUUAUUCUUCCUCUUUUAAGGUGUUUGUUUUUUUUAUUUUAUUUUUAUGCUUCAUAUGUCUUCAAUUUCUUAGCAUUUGUCUUAUAUUUCUUCUUAUCCGAUUCAUUAUUGCAUCCUUGGUCAAUCUUUCACGAGGAGUGCCUACUUUUUUCCUUUUUAUUAUUUAAUUCACUUUAUCUUUAUAUUUUCCUUUUACACUUUAUUUCCAAUUCAAAACGUGUCAAAAAAAAAAAUUGGUAACAAAAAAAAAAAAAAAAAUCAAUUGUAAUGAUUCUUAUAUAAUUUUAUUUAAUUUUUAUUAAACAAUAAAGAAAUUAAAAAUAUAUAAAUUUUUAAAUAAUUAUUAUAGUCUUUCAUUUUUGUGUAUAAUUUCUUUUGCAAGAAAUAGUGUAGGCUUUCCACGGUCUAAAGGAAAUGGAAUAUCAAAUGAGAAGGUAAUAAUAAUAAAGUGAGUUAUAGAUACUAAUCAAACUAAUCCACUAAUGAAUUAUUUAUUUUUAUUUCACAUGGACAAAUCCUAAAAGUUGGAGUUCUAAUUUACUUUUAUGUUAAGCUUUUUUAAGUAAAAAUCUUUUAUUAUUAUAAUUUAUAGACAAAAAGAAACCCAUUAAUGUGAUGGAUAAAAAAUUUCAAUUUAAAAAAAAAAAAAUUAAAGUUGCUAAAUUUUUGUAUUUAUUAUUUCAAACUCAUUUAAAUAAUUUAAAAAUAUGUCUUCAAUUAAUUUUAAUGAAACAAAGCAUGAUUUUUUUUUAAUUUUUUUUUCUUUACCAAAUAAAGCAUUAUUAUAAUACGUUGAUUAAAUUUUCAUCAUGUCUCUCAAGAUUUGGAUUAAAUAUACUUAGUUGUCAUAAAUUUGAAAUUUUAUUUAAUGUAUUUUUUAUUUUAAAUUAAAAAGAUGAAUGCAAAUAAAAAAAAUAUGUAUAUUUUAUAAAAUUUUAAAUUAAACGAAGGAUACGUGUAUUUAACCAAGGUGAAUGAAAUUAAUCCAAAUACUUUUUGGUAACUUGCAAAAUAUCUUGACGAAAUCAUUAUGGCAGGCAUCGUACAAGCUCAACCCUUGUCGCCUUGCUAGAAAUAGAGAAACAAAAAGACCCCCAAAUUGGGUUGCAUCCUAAAUAUGAAGAAGUGGUAACAAAGGAAGAAAAAAUGCUGUGUUAUUGAAUAGUUAAUACAUUGAACAUGAUAUGUUACAUAGAGAGCCAGAUUAAUCCUAGUGGAAUUCCACUGUCACGAUGGUAACCUAGGGUUAUGUUUGGUUAUUGAAAAUACCAAGAAAAGAAAAAAAAAUAUAAAGGAAAAUAAUUUUUUCAUUUUUGAUUGUCUUAUAAAAGAUAUAAAAAAAAAACAAAUAUAAUUAAAACUAAUUAAAAAUUUAGGUAUUUUUAAAUUAUUUAAUUUUUAUAUUAAUGAGCGAAAAUAAAUAAAAUAAGUUUAAAAUAACAAAAAAAAUAAUUUACCGAUUUUUAAUCUAUAUUUUAUUUUACUUUUUCUUUGUAUUUUUUUUUUCUUAUAUUUUCCCUCAAAUUUUCUGAAUCAAACAUAGCAAAAAAGGAGCUACCCCUUUCGAAAGAAACUCCCAAGAAUUUCAAAGAAACCUGCUGAGAUAAUGAAUGAGGGAUCACUGUCGGUAAACAGUAUCCAUUCUUUUGGGAGGACUUUCAAACUGAGAAGUUGUUUUCAUGACUUGGAAACAAAAUUUUGAGCUCUAAGGGGGUCUGUAUUUGGGCCCUAAAAUUCAAUCCAUCAAUCUGAAAAAUGCUUAGGAUAAUGAUUUGAUUUAGCCACAAUCACUAAACAAAUUCCAGAGGAAAAUUUCGCUACUCAUAGGUGGCUGAUUCUCAUAAAAAGACAUCGUGGUAGGGUGUCUCAAGUGCAGGCUCACCAUCAACUUGCUGCCCUUUUUAGAUUAUUGUAAAAUGAUUUCACAUGAAGCCCAAUGCAAAACUUUGAAAGAAAAGGUUGGUGGAGACGUGAAGAAUAUGUAACCCAUAGGCCAUAACUAGUACCGAAGAUUAUUGAACAAACAUUCAAGGUUUUUGUAUAGACGAAACUGAAAAGAAUGUGUACCAGACUCAGGCGUUCAGAUCAGAUGAUGCCGUAAUGUGGAUUGUGGAGGAGCAUUGUGCAGACAGAUAAUGAGAUUCUGAAAGCGAGGCCACUGAUGGGCCCUUGGAAGGGGGGCGUGCCUUCAAAAUUAUAUAUAUAUAUAUAUAUAUGUCAUUGAAAAUUGGAAGCAACUUUUCUUCUUAAGUUAUUUUAAUCGAAGAAGAAACAAAAAGUUAAAAACAUACAUUAUUCUUCCUUCUUACGAGGUUUCCGGGUCUAAAUUACUAUGGUCUCUGCAACUGGCGUCGUUUUCUCUCCCCUCUCUCUAUUUUCCCUUUAUUUUUUCACUUUUAGAAAGAAGCAUCCCAUCAAGAAUCUACUACAACCCUACGCUUCCAUUUUGAUUUAGAAAGUUAAAAAUAAGUUUAAGUUAAAAAAAAAUAUUUUCUUAUAUAAUUAUUUAAACUUAUUUCUUUUCCUUUUUAUAUAAAGAAACAAAUAUUUUGCAAAUAAAUAAAUUUCUAAUUAUUUUCAUUAACAUAAUAAUAAUAUUUUUCAUAUGACUUUAAUCACAAUUUUUUUUACCACUUGUCCAAGGCGGUGAGAGGUGAUAAAAUGUAUUAAAAAAACGAUUAAAUUGCAUUAGGUAUAGAAGUUUUGUGCUUCAAUUAUCACUUAUAAAAAUAAAAUAAAAAUAGUCAAAUUUGAGUGUGCAAGUUGGUAUUCGUAUGUAGAAGGAAUUGGGGGAUUUGGGGGUCCUAACAAAUUUGAUAUGAUUGAUGGAAGGAAAUGAUUAUUAUAGGAUAAAGUCCGAAUGAAACGCUGACGAGGGGGGAAAAACAACAGUGGCAAUGCACUAUCCACAGAUCCAUGAUUGAUUUAUGUUAGCAAUAAUGAAUUAUUUUGACUUUGAUAACCUUGGUUAAGAGAAUUUGGUCUUGUUAUUAUCAUUUUUUCAAAAAAAAAAAGUGUAGGUAACUAGGUAGUUGAUUUAUUAGAAUUUAGAAAUGAGGAUCCCCUCCUCCUGCAAGAGCCGUGACAGACAUGCCUGCUUUCUUGCCAGAUUAUACCAAUGUGCCCAAAUAAUCCCCCAUCUAUCAUCUCUGCACCCUGGAACACGUCACUCCCUCCUUUGAGCAAUAAAAUAUCUCUUUUAUUUUCUUUUGAACCACUCUUCUAUUUCUUUGUACCAGACUGGACCCAUUUAAAUUCUUCGCUACGCUGUUCCCAAGGACUACGAGAAUCAAAAUAGCAAAAUUCUUGAAUCAUUUUAAUGGGUUCAGAAACCACAUGUUUCUCUAGAUCAUAAGAGGAAAAUCUUUUUGGAUGGUGUUUGUGUUGUGUUGUGUUCAAUAUUAAAUACUCAAUUAAAUAAGCUAAAUCAAAUAUCACAUGAAAAAUAAUCAAAUUAAAAAUAGGGAGAAUUAUGUUUUGAGGGUAGAUGGACCCCAAAUUAACAAAAGGUUCAUGUAACUCUUCAAAUUGAGCCCAGACCCAAUGAAAAUAUGGAAAUUGAGUUGAAGUAUAUCAUCAUUCAGUAUUUCCAAAAAUGUCCUUUGUUGAUUUUGAGAAAAAAAUUAAUAUUUUUGAAAAAUAUUUUUAUGUAAUUUAAUAUUUUUUUAAAUACUUUUAUUUAAUUUAAUAUUUUUAAAAAAUAAAUUUAUUUAAUUUAAUAUUUUAAAAAAUAUUUAAUUUAAUAUAUUUUUUAAAUACUUUAAUUUAAUUUAAUAUUUUUGAAAAAAAUUUUAAUUUAAUAUUUUUGAAAAAAAAAUUAUUUAAUUUAAUAUUUUUUAAAACUAUUUUUAUUUAAUUUAGUAUUUUUGAAAAAAAAUUAUUUAACUUAAUUUUAUAAAAUAUUUUAUAUGUGUUCUUAAAGGGUAUAUUUGUCCGUUACUAUUUCAUAUCCUUCAACUCAAUUUAAAGAGUUAUAUGGACCUUUUGUUAAUUUGGGGACCCAUCUACCCUCAAAAGAUAAUUCUCCCUUAAAAAUAUAAAUUUAAAUAUGACAUAAUUAUUAAAUAUGUUAGAUCUUGUAUGAGUUUAUAAGAUUUAUGUUUCAAAAUAACAUGUUUAUAAUUCAUCUAUUGAUUUAUAAUCAAAUUUUAAAUAAAUUAAAGUUAUUCAAGUUAAUAAAUAUGAUUUAUGUUAUAAAGACUAACUAAAAAAUAAUUUAUUAAUUAAACGGAUCCUGGUCAAUAAAAAUUUGAUUUAAAUACGAUCAUACUUAAUCAAAACUUAGGUCAAAUUGUAUUGAUAAAUUACAUCAAAACCUUGUUGUGUUCAAUAUUUUAUAUUAAACUAUUUUUUAAUAAAAUUAUUUUUAUAAAUAUAAUAUUACAUCAUUUGGAGAAACAAAAUAGUAUUAUAUUGAUUUUACAUAUAAAGCAACCAGUUAACCCCUCAUUAUUUUGAUCCAUUUCACAUCCAUAUCAUUCUCAUAAUUUUUUUAUAAUAUAUUAACAUGAUGGACGGUAAUUGAGGGUAGAAAAAAAAGAUGAGAAGAAUAAAAUAAUGUGAAUCCUCUCUAAAUGUUACAUCUUCUGACAAAUGAAGUCUAUAGAAAUGUGUAAAAAAAAAAAAAACACUUAAUUGUGAGGUUCACUUGAUUUAGCAAAAAAUUAAUAUUUUAUUUGUUGUGUGAUUUAAAAAUAAUAUUUUAUUUUUAAAAAUAAAAAAUUAUUUUUAAAGUUUUUUAACACUAUUUUACUAUUGUUCUUUGAAAUAAUUUUUAAAAUUAAAAUGAAAUAACUAAUAAUUUUUAGAUAAUAAAUUAAAGUUGUUUUUAUUAGAUUUUAAAAAUAAAAGAAAAAUAUAAAACCAUUUGAUCAAAUUUUUUUAAACUUAUUUUUAAAAGGUUUUUUUUUUUUUUUUUUUUUUUCUAUCCUAAGUUAAAAGAUAAAAAAUAAUUUUUAAAGAUAGGUUACGAGCAAAUGCCACAAACUUUUUUCUUCUCUUUCCCUUGUUCGGAUAGAAGUGAAAAAUAUCCUCCCAUGGAUCGACAUUACGUGAGCCAUCACCAUUCCCCAACUGCAAUUCAACCGCCAAAGCUGAGGUGUCAUUAUUAGUUUGAACAAAAGUCAGCAUUGUCCACGUGGUGACAAGCGGAACUGACCCAACUUGCAAGGCAAAAAAAUAAAUAAAAUAAAAUGAAAAAAUCAGAUCACCAUUAUGACGUCAGUCCAAUUGCUGACCUGGCCGCCGUCCCCCAUUUGACCCACGUGUUCAUUUAACCCAUUCGCCGUAUGCCGUGGCUCCCCACCCAUAUGGCCAUAUCUGCCAUUUAUUUUAUCCGUUGCCUCCAUUCGGUUUUUGGAUUUUACCCAUUCGCCCUCGUCUAUUCCCAUUUCCGUAUUUGCCCACCAAGGAAAUUCAAUUCCCAUGCUUUUGUUUUACAUUCAAAUCCUCCCCCCUCUAUAUAAAGGAGGGAGUAGGGCUUGAAAGUUUCUCAAGCCAACAUGGACUGUUGAGAGUGAAAGACAGAGGAGCCACAAACAAAUAUCACUCACUCAAACCAAAGCCAAAACCAAUACCGAAUUCAAUUCAAAUGACUUCUUUCUCUCUCAUCAAUUCCCUGAAUUCCGAUUCCGAUUUCAAUUUGUUAUCGGAUUCUUUUUCCUGGGAAAACUCCCUACCUUUCAAUGAAAACGACUCCCAGGAGAUGCUCCUCCUGGGCAUGCUGGCCAGCUCCACUCAGGAAACCUCAGAAACAGUUUCUUUGAAUCGAGUGAAGGAGGAAGAAGUGACUUCCCAGGAAAAUCCCGAGAAGGAGAAGUCAUACAGAGGCGUUAGGAGGCGGCCAUGGGGGAAAUUCGCAGCAGAAAUAAGGGACUCGACCAGGCAUGGCAUAAGGGUGUGGCUGGGAACAUUUGACAGUGCAGAGGCAGCUGCUCUGGCCUAUGAUCAAGCUGCUUUUGCGAUGCGGGGCCCUGCGGCAGUCCUCAAUUUCCCGGUGGAAAGAGUGAAGGAAUCGAUGCAGGAGAUCAAGUGCAUCUUGGAGGAGGGGGGCUCACCAGUGGUGGCCCUCAAGAAGAGGCACUCUAUGCGGAGAAAAAGUCCUUGCAAGAAACAUAAAAGUGAAGAGGUGAGGUUAGAAAAUGUGGUAGUGCUGGAGGAUUUGGGUACUGAAUACUUGGAACAGCUCCUCACUUUCUCUGAGACCUCUAGUCCUUGAUCAUCAUCAUCCAUCACCUGGAUAGCUUCUUCUCUUUGCUCUGUUUCUUACUUUUCUCUCUCUCUCUCUCUCUCUCUCUCUUUUUUUUUUAUGUAAUUUUUCUUAAUGUAUUUUUGGAGAUGGCGGGGGUGUAGUGGUGGCAAUUAUCCAUCUAGAAUUUUUCAAAAGAUAUGUUCUUUUGUUUCUUUGUAUAAAGUUGAAAAGUGGGGAUCAAUUGUGAUGGUGCUCUAUGUUCAUCCACCCAAUUUAUAUAAUCAAGGUGAUUAAUGUUUUUUGAUAUCAACAAUUUGUGAAUGACAUAGAGAGAGAGAGAGAGAGAGACCUUAUUUUCUACACUCAUUACGGUGGUUUCCAUUUGGGGAAGGAAAAGGAAAUGGCUAAGAAUGUUACCAAAAGAAGUGGGGUGGCUUUCAUAUGCGUGGUGGCAUACUUGCAUACAAACUUUUCAAUUGUGUUCUGCAUGCCACUCGGGUCAAUUUCAUUUCUUUUACUCCUAGUAGCCUAAUUGGAUUUCCUUUUUCUCAUGAGACAUCAAAUAAAUUUCAUUUUUUUAUAUUUAAAUAGUUAGGUAAGUUUGAUAGUGAGUUAUAUUUUAUACAUUAAUUCAUCUUUUAGAAUGUUGUCUACAAUAUAAACAGUGUAAUUAAUUUCAUCAUUACAGAACAGUCAUCUUAUAAAAUAACAUAAAAAUUAUUGGAUCACUUGUAUGGCACCACUGAUUUGGACUUGGUAUGGCUCUGUUUGGCUUCAUAGAAAAAAUUUGGACCCAAUUUGAAUGUCUUGCAUAAAAAGAGAUACGUCCCACUUUGAAUGAUAUUGAAGAAAAAAAUUUCUGAUGAAGAAUAUAUUGUUGGCAGGGUCAUGCAGGCCAAUAGGGAAACGAUAAAUUCAGAAGAAUGAGUCCAAACCAGUGGGCUUGAAAAUUAAGAAGAGAAUUGCUGUAUAAAACAAUCAUUUCUUAAUCGAGUUCACUUUCUGAAUAAUCGUCACUUUGAGAAUGCAUACUUAGGAAGAUGAUGAUCCUUAAUGGGAAUAAUCAAAGGCAUCAAAAAAUUGUUCUGGAACAAUUCUUGAUUGUCUCCAGUAAAAUUCAAAGUCAAAAGUCAAAAGUCCAGUCGGUCAACACCAAACCAGGCCAGUCCAAAAGACAUUAAUUUGCAAUCUAGAAUCUAUGAUGAGGUGGCGAAAUCAAACCUUGGCUUUUCACCAGGGAAUGGUACUCUGAAUUUGGUCAGUUCACUGUUUCGAGUGAAUAGGGUGUAGUAAUUAGUAAAUCAUAUUUUAGAUUUGUGUCACAAGUUACAAGGGAUAUGGGCUGACGUUCAAUUUUGGCGACAAUUUGUGGGCCCGUAUAUUUGUUGAGAUGUGGAAAUUGGGUGUGUGCUUUUUUCUGCUACCACAUAAAUAUAUUUCUUUGAAUUGAAGAGUGUUUCAGACCAUUUUUUUUCAAGUCACAAAUGGACAACUGAUUGAGAUUGUAUUGGUGAGAGUAGGAGUUUAUUUUGGGCUGGUUGAGCGAAGUUGAAAGUCGAGUUGGACCUAACCCUUGAAUUCAGCAGACUACAGUCCGAUCCUGUAUUUUGGAUUUAGGGAACCUUCUUUCCCAGAAGCUUCGUCUGGGUUUUAAAGUCUAAAUGUGGCUACUCUUAAACAUUGGAGAAAGGAUGAGCGUUCACAAGCAAAUGGGUAAUUGUGGAUGGUUCAAGGACCUGGCCAGCUGGUCUUCAAGUUUGGAUGCCGGUUUGGGCCUGAGAGAGUCUUUGCAAAGUGACUUCACUUCAGCCUAUGAGAUCAAGAUAUCAUGGUGAUGUCCGAUCACUUAGGUUUCAUUUUCACCUCGGAUUACCGUUACCAUGUUCAUGAAUAAAAAUAAAUAAAUAAAUGAAGCCUUAUAGAGAAAUUAAUGAAGUGAGCUAUACAAGCAACUGGGCCAGGAGCCUACAAGGCAGAAAUUCCCUGCCCUAGACUAGGCCGAAUAAAUUAGAUGAAUGAAUUGGGGAAACCUGGGCCAGCCACACAUCCUCCUGAAGGCUGAUGUCGAACUCGCUUACGAGGAAUGGACAUGGGAGAUUGGGCUGGGACCAAAUAACCAAUUGACAGCCCUAUCCUUGUGGCAAGACGUCAGUAAAAUGGUUCAUUCUGAUUUUACGCUGCCAUUCAAUUUAAUUUUAAUUUUUGUUUAAAGCGAUGUACAAAUUGAAUGGUGUCUAGUCACUUAAAGAGUGGUUCAUAAUACACUUAAUUUAAACAAAAAAGAAAUUAUUAGAUAGGGGAUUCUCCAAUAAAAACCACCCCAUCUUGUCAGCAAGUCCGGAAACUUCCUUCACUUAGGGCGUAUUUGUUUUUUUAACUUUAAUAUUAAAGAAAGUUGGUUAAACCUUAUGACACUUUUAUAUUAUUUUAUGAAUUUUUUUUAAUUUUUAUUUUAAUGGAAUUUUAACUUUAAUACAAGUUGGAGUAAUUCUUAUCUUAAAAACAAAUCAAAAUUACUUUAAUUUUAUAUAGAAAUAAACUUACAGUAAAUUUACCAUGAAAAUUUCUAAGUCAAAUACACCAUAAGUGCUAGUAUUUUAUAAUAUUUAGAAACAUGUUAAAUUAUUAUUAUUAUUUUUUAAAAUUAUUAGUUUUCAUAUUAGUUUUAGGGAAACUUGUGCUUUAGGUCUUUUAUUUGCAAAUAAUAUGGUUUUCAAAUCCUAAGAAUAGAAAAUAUGAGAAUCAACUGUUAAUGUGGAAAAUAAUAUCAAUUUUGUGCAAUCUCUAUUGACUCAUUUUUUUGUGCCUAGAUUGCCUUCACCCACUUCCAUGUCAACAACCACAUUAAUAGAUUGUUUUUUUUUUAUAAAACAAAUAAUUAUUAUGUUUAAAAUUUUGGGGAAACUCUCUAUCUCUCUUACUUCUUCACUACAUCCGAGACCCAUCUUCCUUAAACGUUUGCCUCUCAUUUUGCCCUAACCCCAAAUCUCAUAAAUUUCUCAUUUUCUUGCCUCAUUUGAAAUAUGAAGAUGACCGAUUCUCAAACAUCUCUGUCUCUCUCUUCACGUUUUGACCAGUCUAAUUGGAAACCCAUUUUCCAAAAACCUUCUUUCUUUCAUUUUGCCCUAACCCCACUAUCUCCCUCUUCAAGACCUAAUCACCCAAACUCGAUAUCUAUCUUCCCAAAACCUUCAAGCAAACUGAACUAGACCCAUAUCUUCUUUUUUCAUCAUCAAAGGUGAAAUUUUUUUAAGGCUUUUGGAAACCGAAUUGGAGCUUUCCCUUCUUCUGGGAUUAAUCAUUCGCAAGUGAGUUUUCCAUUUAAGGCUUUGUUUGGCUGUUGAAAUCUUGGGAUCAAAGGUCUUUUAUUUUCAGGUUUCUUGUAUUUUGCUUUAUUUUCUUGUAUAUAACAAUAAUCAUUGUAACAUAUGCUAGUAGUUACCCUUGGUGCAACUUUACAUUUCCAAAUACCCUAAAGUCCAAAGCUUUUAAUUCCCUUUUCAAAGCUUUCAACUUUGAAAGCAGACUAAACCAUAAGAACUAUGAAACUUAUAUCUCUAUCACCACUAAUUAAGCAUGUCUAUGAAUCCUUCCACUUUAAGUCACUUAUUCUCAAACCAAGAAGGGCUCCUCUCAUUCUCACCCCACCUCAUCUAAAUGAGGGAAAUGAUCAAUUGCAGCCAUGCUUUGCACCAAAUUAGAGAAGUGAUCCUCCCAAUCAUCCAUUACCAAAAAUUGAUCAUGCUGAUGAGAUCAUAAGAGUCUAUUCGGAACUCCCAGUUUACUUGCCUCUUAUCUCAGGAUCCUCCAUUACCCCCUGUCUUUCCAACAUCAAAUCAACUUGCAAACAAUUCCUUUGUAGAUAAAAUGUUUUUAAUAUUGCAAAAGGGGACUUAUCAUAAUGGUUGAAUCGAUUUAUUUGAUAUAAUCACUCAAAUUCAAGCUUAAAAUUGAUCAUAAUAAAAUGUUUUUAAUAUUGUUAAAAGGAGAUUAUAAUGGUUUUAUUUGAUAUCAUUACUAAAAUUCAAGCUUUCAAACAUGCUCUACAAAGAAGUUCUAAAAGACUACAAGAAAGAGUUUCCACUAAAGAAAAACAAUGAAACCAUUUCUACUAAAGACAAACAAUGAAACCACAGAUGCUUUGUGAAAUAUGUACCCGCACAAUCCAACAAACUUUAGAAAUUCACAAACACUACCUAGAAUUUUUGCUGACCAGCAAAAAAUUUAUGCAAUUUAAUUCUUAUUGUUAUUAUUAUUUUCAAUGUGAACAAAUAUGAUUGAAUUAUGAAGUAUUUGGCCAGAAGAGGAUCUUGCCUAAUUAUAGUCAUUAAACAACCAUUUAUACCAUAGCCUCUAGACUUUAAAAAGUUUAUAAAACUCAAGGGCUUCCACCCAAUUUCUAGAUAUCUCCAUAACAUUCUUCUGACUAUUAGAAAGCAAUUACCACUUUAAUUUUUCAUUUCAUGAGUGUUCAAUUCAGAAAAAGACCAGGAUCGAACUUGCGAUCAUGCAGUCGAAAAUCCACCUGUGCAUGAAACUAUUGCCUCACGAUUGCAAACUCAAGUUGGAGUCCAGUAACAACUCUAGGUUUGCUGAUGUGCUCCAUUUGAAAUAAAGGAACUAAAGAAUACUUUAUAAAGAUUAAUUACCUUCAUAUUUUAGGUUGGGGUUAAGGCAAAAUGUGAUAGAUUGAGAGGAAGAAAAUAUAUCUUGUUCAGGAAGCCAAUAUUUUGGAGUUCACCUUUCCAUUCGAGUCCACUCUGCUAUAGCAAAAUCAGAGUCACAACUAUGCCUCUUUAAGCUAUCCUUUAAUUGGAUGAAUUGCAGAUUUGGUUGCUGAGAAAGUGGAUAAGAAAGAAAAAUGCAUACUGUAGCUUGAGAUUAAGAGUUUGUUUUCUAAAAUGAGAGAAAGGGAAAGAGAAAAAAUGCAUAUUGUAGCUUGAGAUUAAGGGUUUGUUUUCUAAAAUGAGAGAAAGGGGAAGAGAAAUGUUCGACAACUUUGAGAUGACAAAUUUUUAGAUUUGGAAAAUUUGAGAUGAGUCUCAGGUUUUUUUUUUUUUUUUUUUGUCUUUGUCUUUGUUUUUUUUUUUUUUUUUUGUUUUUUUCCCAAAAACAACCUGUUAAUGUGGUUGUUGACAUAGAAGUGGGUGAGGGCAAAAUGGGCAUAGAAAAAAGAGUCAACACAAAGUGCACAAAACCCAUAUUAUUUUCCACAUUAAUGACUGAUUCUCAUAUUUCUUGUUCUUGGGAUUUGAAAACCAUAUUAUUUGCAAAUGGACCUCCCAAAGCACAGGUUUCCCUUAGUUUUAUGUCUCCAUCUACAUUUUACAUAUAAAUAGAUUAUUUUAUAAAAUUUGUUUUGUAGAUAUAUUAGUUAAUAAUUAUAUAAUUAAUGAUAUAGAAAACAUAUAAAAAUCAUAUUUAAAAAAGAUAAUUACAUAUUCCUCAACAAUCCAUCCCAAGAAUUCGAGGUUGAGUUGAAAACAUGUAGAGUCUUUGAUGUUAUUAUAAUCAUAUCCAACACAUAUGAUUAUUGUUUAUGAGAUAUUAUUAGAAAGUUUGUCUUAAAAUAAUUGAUUUAUUACCCACCUUUAGCAAAUGCCCAUUUUUGCGUCUUUCAAAAUUUUCAUUUUUUUUUUGUUUAAAAGAAGUAUUGUAAAGAAUGAUGAAAUAAGAAAUUUGUUGAGAAAGUGUGAGUAAAUAAUUUUACAUAAAAAGAGAUUUAAUACUUGAUAAAUAAAAUAAUAAAAUCAUGAUUUCUAGUUGUAUAGGGCCGGGUGGAUGGAGUGGCUAAGAUGUAAUUCUUGAAAUAGAGGAGACAACAUCAAUGUAUAAAAGUUUAACAGAGAAGGAAAGUGUGUUUGAAUGACUUUAUUUUCUUCAUUUAAAGUUUUGACGAUGAGUGUUUAUACAAGAUAAAUUUUCAAAUGAUAGGACUCCUAUUUACAUGGAGUUUGUGAUAUACUAUGAUUAUACAAAUUUAAAAUUCAAACAGAUUCAUGAGUUGAUAGGAGUCUGCUCAAUACGCCCCUUCAAAAUGGUGGGAGAUAGCACACCAAUCUUGACUCGAAGGGCCUAAACUCGUGCAGAAGAUGAGGGCUUUGUUAGAGCAUCGACAAGUUGAUCCGUGGUUGACAUAUGGGACACCUUGAGCUCACCUGAUUAAACCUUGUUUCAAACAAAAUGAAAAUCAAUCGCCGAUGUGUUUCAUGGAGAGUGAAACAUGGGAUUUGCACAAAGAUAUGUUGCACCCACGUUAUCACAAGAGAUAGGAGGUGGUGAUAAAUUUGAAACACUAAGUUUUGAGAGAAGAGAAUUAACCCAAAGAACCUUUGAGGCUGUAGAGGCCACGACGUGAUAUUUCGCUUCAGUGGAAGAGCGUGCUAUGAACUUUUGUUUCCUCGAUGACCAAUACACAAGAUUGUGACCAAGAAAAACAAUGGGAGCAUUGGUGGAGGAUCUGACAUAAGGAUUCCUUGCCCAUUCAACAUUCGAAUAUGCAUGUAGAUUGAUGGGCGAUUUCUUAUGCAAGAACAGACCAUGCACCAUUGUGCCGACUAAGUAUCUAAGCAAUCUUUUAACACAAGACCAAUGUGUUGAUGUUGGAUGGUGCAUAAAUUGAGAUAAUUUAUUCAUCAAGAAGGUGAUGUCAGGGCUAGUAAGAGAGAAGUAUUGAAGGCUUCCAACAAUUGACAUAUAUUUAGUGGGACCAGGAAAAGAGGUGUCAUCACACAGAUUUGGAACAUUGUUGAGGAACAUCAAUGAUUGAACUGGUUUGGUAGCCACCAUUUGUGUUUUCUUAAGAAGCUCUCGAAUGUACUUGAGAUAAAAAUAAUCCUUUGGAAGUAUGUAUCAUUUCAACACCAAGAAUAAAAGAUGAAGUCCUGAGAUCCUUAAUGGAGAAUUUGACUGCUAAUUGAGAGAUCACGCGAGCACGAAAAACAUUAUUGUUACUUGUUAAAAUAAGAUCAUCAAUAUAAAUAAGUAGGUAAACAAUGAGACCACUCUUUUUAAAAAUGAAGAGGGAUGUCUCGGUUUAGGAGUUGACGAAGGCUAUUGAGAGGAGAAAUUGGCAAAGUUCAUGAUACCAUGAUCGUGGAGCUUGUUUAAAGCCAUAAAAAGCCUUACAAAGUUGGCAAAUGUGAUGAUGUGUGUAUUCGUGAACCCAGGAGGUUGAAUCAUGUAAACAUCUUCAUGAAGUGUCCUAUGCUAGAAUGCAUUAUUAAUGUCCAAUUCAUGAGUUGAUAGGAGUCUGCUCAAUACAAUGUGGGAGUGUGAUUUCAAAAUUAGGGUAAUUUCGAAAUGGAUUUUGUAUUCACAAGUUGAAUUUCAAAAUUAUUUUGAAAUGGUCUUUUAACUUUAAGCAGUUGUGUUCAAAAGGUCAUAACUUCUUCGUUUCAAUUUUGAUUUACACAUUGUUUAAAACAUUGGACUCUUUACUUCCCGAGCUUCAAAACGAUAUAUAGUAUGCUCAAAAAUGACAUCAGGAUUGGUUCAAAUUUCAUCUUGAUAUUAGAGUACAUGUUGUGAUUAGAUUUUGAGUUCCAAAUUUCCAUGUAAACUUGAUUGCAUUUGCUUCAAACCUCCUUCAUUAUGGUUGCUUGCCCUCUAUCUCACUUUGCAACAUUUGUUACUAGUAUUUUAUGUCCAUGACUUACUCAUUUCAACCUUUCUUGGAUUCUUCAUGGUUCACAAAUUAUGGAUUCUUCAUGGUUCACAAAUUGAGUCUUUCAAUUAUGCAUGUUUAACUCCUAUUUCCUUGGUUGAUAAUGACUUUUACACUUAUCAUUUUCUUUUAUUCUUUAAACCUGAAUUUAGACUUACAAAAAAAAGUUAGAUCCAUAACUAGGGUCUUAGCAUCAAUUUGAGUUAAGUUGGAUGAUUUGAAAAUUUUAUAUUACAUAAAUCAUAUCAUACAUGUGCCAUUGGAGUGCACAUUUUGGCUCUAAUCAUGUUCCAACCCAUUGUUUUACUCUUGCAUGAAGUAUGUGGCCAUUGAUUUUAAUUUUAUUUGCGAUUAGGUUCAAAAUGGUGCUUUUGUGUUGCUCAUGUGUCAUCAGAAGAUCAACUAAUGGAUUCUCUAACAAAACUACUACAUCAUAGUCAUUUUUUUUUUUCUUAAGACCAAGAUUGAGAUCUCCAAUCGGAGCCAACUCCAUCUUGGGGGCAUGUUAGUGAAAGAUAAAAUUUAUCUUUAAUUUAAAUAUUAAUAUUUAUCAGUUAUUAGUUUUAAUUAGAGUAAAAGAUAGAGUUUAAAUUGGAGUAGGAGAUAAACUUGUGUUUGAACUAGAAUAGAAGAUAAAGUAUAAAGAUUUAUGUUUGAAUUAGAAUAAAAUAUAAAGUUUGAAUUAGAGUAGAAGAUAAACUUGUUCUUUAUUUGUAUAUAAAUAUUCAUCAAUUCUUGAGAAGAAGAUUAUUUCAUAGUUUUUCUAUCUUCUUUUUUCUUCAUACAUAUCUGCAAGAAAUUGAAGAUUUCAAGUAAAAUAUUUUCUGUUUUAAAUAGUGAAAAAAGCUAGAAAUUCACUUUGUUAUCUCUUGGGGUAAAUUGACAAGGUUUAACGUUAAGAAGGUGAAUUAUUUUUUCAGAAAAACUGAAGUAGCUAGGAUAUCUGGCCAGUUGUGAUCGAUAAAAAAGUUGUAAAAUCUCUCAUAUACUAAACAGGUUUUGGAUGUUGGUAUGGUAAAUCCAUCUGCAGUCAUUCGUCAUCUCAUCUAGUGAGAUGUUUGGGAGGUGGUGACCGCCGGAUUGGGUUUCAUUUGGUUAAAUCUGUCAGUGGGUUGGCUACUACCCGAGCCUCUUGCUUUGGGGGAGGUGGGUUCUAGAUAUAAUGUUCAAACCAUUUUAGUUAUCAUAUGCAUGACAUGUAAGCAUAAUCUCUUUAUCACUUCUUCAAUGGGAGUUCAUGGUUAGGAAUUGACUUCUUUUCUUCUGGGAUGCUUGGCAUGUAAUGGACAAAGUUACUUUUAUAUCGAUCGAAUUUCUAGUAUUAUAGUGAAGACUUACCCUUUUGACAUUUUAUAUCGAAUUAUAGAAGAUGAAAGGGACAUACAUGCAAUCGACUGACGCUUUAGUGAAUAUGCUGAAAAUAUGCUGAUGCUGUGGAGAUCGUAUGAGGACAGAGGAAAAAGAUAGAAAUGGAUAUAUAAUUAGACCUAGGUUUUUAUUAAAUGAGAUGGGGAACAUAGAGUGAGGGAAAAUCAAAAUUUUUGGCUGCAGUUCACAUUGGUGAUAUUUUGGAUUGACAAAGACUAACGACUUUUCUAUUUUUCUUUUCGGCCUGACUGGAUAGUUGGACAUGGACAAUACAGAAUCCACAGAAGGAUUGUUGGGACCGCUGAAAAUUAGCUAGAAGAAGCUGAGGAAGUAGUCUACGUAGUCAAAUACCAAACACAAAGAAAGAAAGAAAUGGAUAUCAUGGAUGCCUAGAGUUAUACUCCUAAUACCGUCACAGGUAUUUUUCUUUCCUCCUUUUUUUUUCUACGAUAAUUAGAGCAUUUCUCCUCCUCCUCCUCCUCCUCCCCCCACCCCACCACCAAAAAAUAAAAAAAUAAAUUAUUGCAAGUAACACUUCAAAUAUUAAUUUAUACAUUCUAAAGUAUAUAUUCAUGAAAUAACUUGAGUAUCAUACAUUAGUUCUCAAAAAAAAAAAAAAAAAAAAAAAAAAAUUACUGGAAGAGAAAAGUUUAAGAAAACAUAAAAAUAUUCAACUACUAUUUUAAAGAGAAAAUUUAAUUUUUACACUAUAAAUUUGAAGAGAACUUUUACAUGCAUCUUAUAUAAACUACCAUUUUUUGCUAAAAGGCUUAAAUUUGUCAAAAAUACCCCUUAGGUGCUUAACGUUCUGGUCAUAAUAUAAUUGGCAUCUUUUCUCAAACAUAAGGCCUGUGUGUGGGAACAAGAUUUAAUGUUAAUGAGCUUCGCCACCGACAUUUAGUUCCAGAAAUCAUUAUUUUAAUAGAGUGGGCUCAAUUUACAACUUUAAUUAAACUCUAACCAACUGCAUUGUGAAAUGAAUAUGUUUCUUUCGUGGUGAAUCCAAUGAGUUGGGAGUCAAACUUUGCUUCAUUGUGUAUAGAUGAAAUGUUAAGACUCCAUGUAACCUCAAACAUUUCCGCAAUNNNNNNNNNNNNNNNNNNNNNNNNNNNNNNNNNNNNNNNNNNNNNNNNNNNNNNNNNNNNNNNNNNNNNNNNNNNNNNNNNNNNNNNNNNNNNNNNNNNNUUCUUUCGUGGUGAAUCCAAUGAGUUGGAGUCAAACUUGCUUCAUUGUGUAUAGAUGAAAUGUUAAGACUCCAUGUAACUCAAACAUUUCCGCAAUGAGCGGGAGUUCUAAAUUUAAUAAUUGAAAUUGUCAGUGGAACCAGUGGACAAGAGUUGGUUUGUGGUUGACAAACUUAUCCGUUUGAUCUUUACUUGAACAGUUCCAGUGUGUGGAUGGGUACUGAUGAAGUGUGCGCAUUUAUUUUGAGAAGCCUGCUUGUUCGCAUAGAUUUUAACGACAUGAACAUUGUGGUAAGGUUAGAGAGUAAUGCGAAUGUAGGAGCUUAUAUUAGAAAUGACACAAACACGUAAAUAGAAGUAAUCUAUAUAUGAUAUUACUCAUGGACUACAAGCAAAGAAGUACAAUACAUGGAGUAAGUGAUGAAAUGAGCAUUCCUCACUACUACUGCUUGACUGAUGGAACAUGAUGCACGAGAUAGCAUAAGUAGUAGUAGGAAGCAGCUCUUAUUUGUGGCGUCGGUAUACAUCAUACUAGGUAGAUGGUUCAAUUGGCAUGGAUGGGUGGUGGAGCCUUGAAGUGCUUGUGAUGGGGAGCCCACGGCUUCUUCUCAGGAGUUGGUGGCUUCUUGUAUGGAGUUGAUGGAGGUGUUUCUACUGGAGGGUGGCCAGGGUAGUGACCCUGGGGUGGUGAAGGUUCUUUUGUCGGUGGUGGCCUCACUAUUAUUGGCGGUAGAGUUGGUGGCUUGGGCGUUGGCGGUGGUCUCACUACUCUUGGGGGUAGAGUUGGUGUCUUGUGUUUUGGUGGUGGAGGUGGCUUAACAGGAGUUGGUGGCUUGUAUUCUGGGGGUGGUUUCUCCACCGGAGGUGGCUUAUAAACUGGAGUUGGUGGCUUGUAUUCUGGGGGUGGCUUCUCCACUGGUGGUGGCCUGUAAACAGGGGUUGGUGGCUUAUAUUCUGGGGGAGGCUUCUCCACUGGAGGCGACUUAUAAACAGGGGUUGGUGGCUUGUAUUCCGGGGGUGGCUUCUCUACGGGAGGUGGCCUGUAAACAGGGGUUGGUGGCUUCUCCACCGGAGGUGGCUUAUAAACGGGGGUUGGUGGCUUGUAUUCUGGGGGUGGUUUCCCCAGUGGUGGAGACUUGUAAACAGGAAGAGGUGGUUUGUGCUCAUAUGGGGGUGGCUUGUGGUCAUUAGCAAGUGAGGGAGUGGUGAGGACCACCAAUCCAAGGAACAACACGAGUGAGCAAGCAGAAGACAUGUUUGGGCUCUGGUGAUGCACAAGUAGAAGAAAUGGGAACCAUUUAUAAUGCUUCGAGACCUUGGUUAGCACCAAAAUAUGUCAAAAUCUUGAUUACUUCAUUUCAUACAUAGAUUUAAAAUUAUUUCAAUCAACCAUGAUCCUUAAUUUUCUGGGUGGUCCAUAAAUGUAAUGGGGUCAAUUUGGGACCUAACAAGCUGAGAAGUUUGACAAUGCUGCAAGGCUUCAUCCGAAAGUCCGGGGAAGAAUAUUAGGAGUUACACUCCGUUUCCUUUUUUGGGUGCAUUUUUCUCCUUUAACAUUCUAUUCCCUUUUACAUUAGCAUUUGAUCUUAGCUCAUUUCAAGUACAAGUUUCUUGAACCCUAUACCAUUGUCAAAGUUGAGUAACCAUCUCUACUUUGCUCAAGAAACAUAAAAGACAAUGACAAUAAAGAAAAAGGAGAGAGACCAUACGUGACUUGGUUUAUAGGUGGCUUUGUGUUGACAUUUGAGUAUGGAAGCCGACAUGCAUCUUAGCUUCGAUUUUAAUUAAAUUUGUACAUUAGUGUCUGUGUCAUUCAUUUUGGUAUAAAAGGUCUCUUGAUUUCGUAAGUUUGGUAAGAACCGUUGAAAAUAGCAGUAGCAGCACAUGGUCCACUUUCUUUCACAAAAUAAUUUUAAAAGUUUAGAAGCAUAGGAGGUAACAUUAGUGGCCUUGUGGCUCAGCCACGAGUACUAUGUGGUGCUCGAGAAAUUGAGUUUAAUUUCCUUCCGAUAGUUCAUGAUAAGGUCCGUCACUGUCCUGAGACAGAUUGCGUUUUUUCUUUUUUCCUUUUUUAGUGUUUUAUUGACUAGCUAGGUGUGACUUUUCCUACUUUAAGGCACGAGGCAGAAAAGAAACUGGGAUUUAGUGCUUAAGAAGGCAAAUUUAAUUCGAUUUGGAUCUAAAAUUUGCCAGCAACAUGAGAUUUUCCAGCCUAUCGUUGCUCCACAUAUAGACAAGGCACUUGUAGAAGUGGCUUGUUUGUAGCCAUUCCCGAUAUUUGGACUCACUUGAUUCACCGGACACUUUGAUAAAAUUUAAUAUUUAUUAUUUAAUAAUUUAAAUUGAUUUAAAAUUAAAUUAUACCGAAGUUGUGAUUUAAAAAUUAUUAUUUAAUUCUUACUUUUAAAUAUGAAGAUUAUUUGAUAAAAAUAAUUUAAAAUUUAUUAUAAAUUAUCAAAUUAACAUAUUUAUCCUUAUAAAUUAUAAUUAAAACAGAAAAGGUCAAAUGAUUUGAGUAUCCAUAGAUGUGGUAAAAUAAUAAAAAAGAUUAUAAAAACAAUUAUGAUAAAUAAAGAUAAAAAGUAAAAUGAAUAUGUGAAUUUAAAGAAUAAAUUAAUUAUUUUUAUUUAUUACUUAAAAUUAUUUUUGACUUUAAAUUAUAUUAUUAAAUUAUUUUACCAAACAUACUUAAUUUAGUUAAUAAUUUAAAUUUAAUUUAAGUUAUUAAAUUGAUUCACCAAAUACCCACUUAAUCAAAGACUGAAGUAUACAUUAUUUGGCCAAAUGCAGCUAUUGAAAUUUAACUUUUUCCAAACUUAUUCAUUUUGUGGAAAUAUUUUUAGAAAUGAUUUUAAAAAUGCACUAUUCUGUGUGUUGAUUUUAUAUUUUGGCAUUAAUCCAACAUAGAAAACGGUUCUUAUUUUCGCUGUUAAAUAGGUACCAGAUCCUUAAUUAGUGCCGUGAAUCCGGCAGCUUCCAAUGAGUAAUUUGGACUUGGGUAUUGACAAUGUGUGGCCAUGCUUCUACUAUUUUAUUAUUCUUGAAACAUAUAUGAUAUAUUGGACUUUAUACAGGGAAAAAAAAAAAAAAAAGUCUUCACCAAAAAUGAUUCCUCCUAAAAAAUAGACUCCACAAACUAGGUUUAACAGGAAAAUGAUUCUAAUCUAGUAGUUUCCAGCCACAUGAGCAUUUACGUAACAAUAGUAUAGUUGAUAACGACUUUUAUUUUAUUUAUUUUUAAAUAGUUAAAGGGAUAAUUUUUGAGCUUAAAUUUUAUUUUUUUAUUUAGAAACAUUUUACUUUAUUUUUUAAUCAUAAUUCUAUUAUAUUAAUGUUUUAUUUUCUAUUUUUUAAUAUAUAAGGAGAUACUAAAUUUAUGUGAUUAUUUUUUAAAAAUUUAGUAUAUGAAAUUAAAUAAUUGGAUAUAUAUACAUAUAUCAUAUAAUGUUUUUUAAGUGUGAUUUUUGAACUUUUUAGUCAUUUUAUAAGUUUAAGCUUUUGAUUUUUUUUUUUAAACUUUGGUAUUUUUUAUUUUAUAUAAAACUAUUUUGAUUUAAUUUUAUUAAAAAAUAUUGGUAUUAUAAAUUAUUGUAUUAAUUAUUUUUUUAUAUUAUAAUGUAACUGGUAUAUACUAAAAAAUGUAUGCAAGUUCAAUUUAAGUUUCAAAUUAAAAAAUUUCAUUUAAAUAUUUAAUAACUUGUUCAUAAUAAAAAAUUAAACAACAUAAUACAAAUGAAAAGAAACAUAAAAGAAAAAGGAAAAAAUGGUCCUCUCUGUGUGUCACAUUACUAGGUCAUCCUCUUUUUCUAUGACCCUUACAAUAGAAUGGCAUAUUUGUCAAAUCUACUUAUGAAAGUUGGAAUGUUUCUACAUGUGUAGGGUCCAUUGGAACUAAUGGAGGAAAGGCUUAACGUCUAUGUAAAUCACAACGUUGCCUAGGUGGGCAUAGAUCUAGUUGUGUAACAUGAGAUGGUGUGAGAGUACAAUAUAUGCAUUGUAGUCUCUAUGGGAAGAGAGAUAGGUAAUGGUAGGGUGGUAGACGGUAGGGUGAUCUCUAAUAUAAUGACAUUUGAUGUGGUGGCUUCUAAGAGAGGAGAUAUAAGAGAUGGUAGAAUGACAUUUGGUGUAAUGGUCUCUAGUGCAAUGACAUGUGAUAUGGUGACCUAUAAAGAAGAGAUAUAGGUGAUGGUGAAGUGGUAUGUGGUGUAGUGACCUUUGAGAUAGAAAAUAGAGGUAAUGGUAGGUUGGCAGGUGGAGUGGUCUUUGGUGUAGUGACAUCAAUUAUAAAUGUCUCCAAGGGAGGAAAUAAAGGUGAUGGUAGGUAGUAAAUGUUGAGGUGGUCUUUGAUAUGUUAUGCUCUAAGAGAGAAGGUAUAGGUAAUGAUAAUAGGGAAUUUGACAUAGUGGUGUUGGAAAUAAAAAGUGAAAGUGACCGUAGAGGUGAAAGGGCAAGUGUAAAAGCCUCAAGUACGAAUGGAGUAAUUAAUGUGGAUGGUGCUAACAUAGUCUUAGGUGGAUACACAAAUAGUCAUAGUCAUCAACUAGCUUGCCCACCAUCUGUCUUUCUGCUAGUGAUAGGUUACAUCUUAAUAGUAAUGGCCAACAUAAGUGGUGUGGAUCCGAUUUUUUUACGUGUGUCCCCACUCAAUCGACAAGACUUAUUUUUUAUUAGUGAAAAAUUAAUUUUGGAAAAGUUGGAGUCACCACUUAUUUUAUUUUAUUUUAAAAAGGAAAGUAAAACAAGAAAGAGAACUCUAAAGAAGUGACUUCAUAGUUUUGGAAAAGUUAGUCUUAAAAAAUCCAAGUCUUGGUCCGGAGAUCAGGUUACUUAUUGGGAAGAUACCUCUAAGAGGUAAUACCCCUCUAAACCCUAAAGAAGUCUCUAAUGACUAAGUUGAGGAGAAUGUGGUAAUUAAUUAAUUGAUUGAGGGUACCUAGGUAGACUAAGGUGAUUUCAGAAUUAACAUACCAAGCUAGAAAGUCCAAUCAUGAUCAUAAAAGAGAGUCAAAGUAUGUACCUGAACUGCUUCUCAAACGCUAUCAUAAAACAUCAAAGUUAGUAUAGAAAUAUAACACAUAAUAUUUGUUUUAUCCAAGCAAAUAAAGCAUACAUCUAAGCACCCAAGAAUCACAUCAAGUAUGGAUAUAGUCAUCAAUAGCAUACGUGUCCAUAGAACUAUCGAAAGUAAAUGUGGAGGAGCGUAUCUGGACAACAUAGAUAACUUAUAAUGUGCUUCCACAAGACAUGGGGGUUAGAUAAAAGUUAUAAUAAUAAUUAGUAAAUGAAAGAAUUCUAGCAUGUUUGGUAUCUAAAUAACAUAGCAAAAAUGAACAAGAGUACACGAAAACAUCAAUUAUCACACGAGUCAUAUUGGCUAGUAUUUAAUCAAUAAACCAACAAUAAAUGACUAUAAACAUAUAAAAUGACAUAUUCAAAGAGACCCAAACAUAAAGAGCCUAGAACACAAGCUUACACUAAAUUUAGAAAACUAAAACAUGGAAUUUUAAAAGCAUAAAUUAGCAAACAAAUUGAUGGAAACUAAAUUUAGAUAACUUAAGAAUAUUUUUCUUAUCCUUCAAUUUAAAUCAGUAAGCCAACAAUAAAAAAUUAUAGAAACAUGGAAUAUCAAGAUCAAUGGGAUACCUAAACUAUAAUUUUUAAAAGAAAAUAAACUAAGCAUAAUAUCUACAAAGCAACUAAACUAACAUUUUUUUAAAAAUAAAUUAAACAUGACAUUAAUGGAGUAACCAAACUAAAUUAAAGUAAACUAAAAACAUUUAUGAAUUUUCAAACAUGGAAUCAGCUUUCUUAGUAAAUUAAAAUUAUUAAAAUAAAAUCUAAGCUUAAAAAUGAAUUAAAUACUAACUAAAGCAAAUCUAAAACCAAAUAUUUAACACAUAGGAUCAAUUAUAUUAACAAACUAAAAUUUUAUAAGAACACUUAAACCUAAAGUUGAAUUAAAAACUAACCAAUUUUUAAAACUAGAUCUUUAACCCAUAGGAUCAAUUAUAUUAACAAAUAAAUAAUAAAUAAUAAAUAAAUAAAACUCAAACCUAAAGAUGAACUAGAAAUGUACCAAAGUAAAUUCAAAACAAGAUCUUUAACACAUUAGAUCAAUUAUAUUGACUAACUAAAAAAAAAAAAAAAAAACACUCAAACCUGAAACGAUGUAUUAGAAACUAACCAAAGCAAAUUUAAAAUAGAGUCUUUAACACAUAGGAUCAAUUAUAAUCACUAACUUAAAUUACAAUUUUUGAAACAUGAACUAAUUAGUGUUGGAUUAAUUAAACUAAUUAACUAAAAAAAACUAUAAACUAGAAUACGGUGAAUCAAGAAUUCAAAUCAACAAACAUAAAAUAUGGGUACAAUGAAAUGAAAAUCUAUUAAACUAAUAAGACGGAAAUAUGACAAACUCAUGAACCCACAUUUUGAUCAACUAGGAAAUAGAAAUUAAUAGACCUGUAGCAUGGAUACAAUGAAAUGAGAUCAGUUAAAUUUAUUUGCCGAAAUUCUAAAAAACACAUACACUCAAAUAAGAUCUAAAUCUAAGACCAAGCAAAACUCAAACUUUCUCAAUCUAAUGCAAUGAAUCAAAACUAAAAUUAAAUAGAAAUCAAACCAUUUUUUUUUUAUCUAAUAUAAUAAAUCAAAGCUAAAACUAAACAAAAUCGAAUUUUCUUAAUUUAAUAUGAUGAGUCAAAGCUAAAAUUGAACAAAGUUCAAACCUUUAUAUAAUGGAUCAAAGUUAAAUCUAAAUGAAAUCCAUACUUCCACAAUUUGAUAUAACAAAUCAAAAAUAAAACUAGAUAAAAAAAAAGUCAAAGCCUUUCAACUUGACAUAGUGAAUCCAAACUGAAACGAAACAAAAUUUUAACUUUUCCAAUGAAACCCAAUAUAGAAAAAAUUAGCUUACCUUCUUUAGAAUAUAUGUAUGGGCCAUAAAGAAGUCACCUUGGUGCAUGUGUUCCUCACUUUGACGCCAAUGGACGACUUUCUAUGGUAGCAAAUGGAGAUCCUUUUUGGUGGUAACUUGCGUGUGGAAACCUAUGGUACAACCAAUGUCAUCUUUUAUUGUGCGUGUGGACCAAUUUCUUCUCGAGAACUCAUGUGUGUUGUGCUCAAAAUAUGUUGCCUGUGAGAAUCUAUUGGUAUACCCCACAUAUGGUUUCCUUGAGAGAAUCUGUGGUUGUGUGUGGGCGUUUUCUUCAUGACAGCAUGUGGAUGUUCCCAUCUAUGGUAGAUUGGUUGUGAUGCUUUAGUGCAUGGUCUCCAUAGGAAUAGUGUGUUAUGGAAAUUUGGUUUUUUUAUUGGUGCAUGUUGUCUAGACUUUCCCAUAUGCGUGGACUGUGUGUUCAUGCUUUUCUUUUCGGAUGGUCGCCUGUGUUAAUGUGUGGCGGUGUCUACAAUGAAAGAUACAACCCUUUCUCUCCUUCUGCGUGAUAGAAAAGUCAAUCCCCCAUGGUGCGACUAUGUUCCCUCGUCCUUUUUGAAAAAUUUUGGUGUUUUCCCCCCAAAAAAUCCCCUCCAAAAAUCUAAUUAUAAAUGUCUGCUUUGGCCUAAUGUGUGUGCUACUUUUUUUUUCCUUCUUUUUAUGGUUGUGCGUGCUUUUCUUGAUACGUGGCUUAUUUCUUAAGGAUAUGAUUCGCUCCCAAUUGGUGUCUCAGCUGAUUCAUGUCCUUUCAAUGGUCCCUGACAGUGGUGCCAUUUGAUUCGUGUCCAGCUGGUGUCCCUUGAUUGUGGUCCUCAGAAGGGAGUAAUCAAUAAAAUUUAUAACCUAUUACACCAUGUAUUAGGAUAGCCUUAGCUAGCAUAGCAUAGUGGCUCUAGGGUCGUUUAUUGGGAUGAGUUUUCACUUCACAAUUGAUAUUAAUUCAAGAGCUGAAUUGGUGCCUUUUCAUUUCAAGGUUAGCUUUAAAAGAAAACAUAAUCUUUGGUGGAAAAAGGUUUGGUUUUAAACUAACCAAAAAUAGUAACUGAUUUUACUUACAAAGAAAAGUGUUCUUUGGAGUUUAGAUCACUAGGCUCAGGUUCCUCAUACAAAAAGGAGAGUUCCGAUCAUUUGUUUCUUUUCCUCGCAUUAGAGAAUUAACAUAUAGUUAAUUCUCUAACCGGUGCGGUACAUAUGCUUCCCAUUAAUGGGUUCAAACACUAAAUACCUCUCACUGAUGCACCUUGCAAUGGCUCGUGCCUCUCACCUAGCAUUUAUCAUUCAAGGUGAUCUUUAACCUUGGAUUACCCAUCAAAAGCUCGCAAGAGAUAACUAAAGGAUGUCUCCUUAGAGUCCAAAAGCUUACCAAGUGUUGGUUAUUCUAGAAAAUCCUACCUUCAAACCACCUCCCAAAGGCUCGCAAGAGAUAAACAAGUGCAUCUCAAUGGAUGAAGAUCACUUGCCUUACCAAGUUUUGGCCCAGAUGAUUUAAUGACAUUUUAAGUUAACUAAAAAGAUAAAAACCAUUAACGGGUCACACUUUCUCUUCAUUAAAAACUAAAACAACAAAACUUCCAAUUUAUGCAUGAGGAAACUUACCUGGCUUUCUUCACUUCAAGAGAUGAAGAGCCUAGCCACUCAUCAUUUGAGGAAAAAUCCUCAGAGUUUGAUUUGCUAGAAAUAAAAAUAAUGAGAAAACAAAAAUAUAUAUAUGAAAAACAGAGCAAGUUCUCUGUAAUAUAUUUUUCUUCCUUAUACAAAAGGUUGUCUCUAAGAACAAGUUCCCGAGAUCUAUCUGAUUGUAAAUAAAAUUACAACUAUAUAUAAGAGGUUAUUCACCCCUUUGUUCUUUCUUAAAGACUAAGGAAUCCUAUGAUAGGUGGGUUACAAGGAGAGUUUGGGGAUUUAGACAUCAAAUAUCUAAAGCAAAAUAUCUCAAGAUGUUAGUCGGAAAUAUCAGGAAGCUUCAGGAGAACACCGCGACACUGUAUACUGAGAGAAAAACUCUCCGGGUAAGCUCUAUCAAAGGAUCCAGACAUGUCUGACUGGGAAAGUUGAAACGUCCUUCUCUCCCAUCCGGAUGUGAGAUAUCCGGAGAAAGUGAAAUGUCGGUCGGACAGAAUUCUUUCCCCGGGUGGAAUGAGUUGUGUUGCGCGUCGCAAGGGGGACCGUCUGCGUGUACAAGUUGUAGGGACCCCUCUCCCGGAUGACACCGAGCGCGUAAGGCUAUCCGGAUCAACUCCAUUCGGAUUCCCCAAGAGGACAUGUGGCGUGCUCCCCUAUCAGGACUCCCUUAGGGAGAAGCACACGACACUCGUGAACAUCAUACCCGGACGAUAGCAUGUCCUAUCCGGAUGUGUUGUCCGGAUCAUUGACUAAAGUGAGCAAGCCUUGCUACGUCAUUCGGACAGCUUGCCACAUACCAUGUUCCGUCGCCAUCUGAUGGUGUGUCCGAACGCCUUGUCCGGACAUCUUUUGCUCCUUGCAUUCCGGAUUUGCUUAUGACAAAGGACUUCAAAGCUUCGGUUCUUCAUGUUUCUGAGCUUUCCAUUGCUUUGCCAUGGAUUCCAAAGAACUCUCCUUAAUCACGGAUUGCUUUGGUGAUCAAAAAGUUAUCAAAACACAAAAACUUAACAUAGUUUGAUUAGAAUUGAUUGCAAGGGUUCUUAAUAUGUUAAUUGGGUUAAAAGGUGAUAACUACUACUCAAAAGUGUUUAUAAGAAUUAAUUACAAGCUAUGAAAUAACACUUUUUGAGUAGUAAUCAGGAUACAUCCUAGUUUUUCAUGGAAUUGAUAGUGGGUUGUUGUGCAUGAAUGCCACCAUUUCAACUAUGCUGUUGUUAUUUUUAAAAAAAAUAUGGAUUAUGCGCGAGUGGCAAUUCUCCACUAUGGAAAGUGGAUUGCUCCUUCAACCCAUGCAUGGCUACGUAUUCCUAUGUCUUUCUACUUGUGUUUGAUCCUCCAAAAAAAAUUUCGGUUUAGUGCUAGUAGAUUUUAAGUGGUGGAUCCCCAUUUUUUGAAAAUGAAGUGGCAGCCUCCCAUUUCAAGACAAAAUGGUAGCCUGCCUUUAAUCUUUGGAGAAAAAUCUGUGCAUGACCUUUUUUUUUCCCAAAAAAUCCGUGCAUGGUGUCCUUUAAUAUUUGGAGAAAAAUCUAUGUUGGAUCUUUUCUUUUCUAGAAACAUUUGUGUGGUCUUUUUUGUUAGCCCAAGGGUUCUUCUAAUCAAGUUUUGAUGAUAACAAACCAUGGUUAAGUGACUAAUUGGUUUAAUGAUUAAGAAUCUCAAACAUAAAAUCGAAAAUUCAUCAAAGGACCAAAUGGAUACAAGAUCGAGACGCUUGGAAGACUUGUAAUCAUAGGAAACUAAUGUAAGAUGAAUGCAUGAGUGCACUUAGGAUUUUCACACGUUUCAUGCAACUUAGAAAACCCAGUUUAUUCUUUAAAACUUCAUCCCAGUUUAUUCUUUUUAUGGUUGUGUGUGCUUUCCUUGAUACGUGGCUUAUUUAUUAAGGAUACAUCCCAGUUUUUCAUGGAAUUGACAGUGGGUUGUUGUGUGUGAAUGCCACCAUUUCAACUGUGCUGUUGUUAUUUAAAAAAAAAAAAAAUGGAUUGUGCGCGAGUGGCAAUUCUCCACUAUGGAAAGUGGAUUGCUCCUUCAACCCAUGCAUGGCUACGUAUUCCUAUGUCUUUCUGCUUGUGUGUGAUCCUCCAAAAAAAAUUUUGGUUUAGUGCUAGUAGAUUUUAAGUGGUGGAUCCCCUUUUUUUGAAAACUAAGUGGCAGCCUCCCAUUUCAAAACGAAGUGGUAGCCUGCCUUUAGUCUUUGGAGAAAAAUCUGUGCAUGACUUUUUUUUUCCCAAAAAAUCCAUGCAUGGUGUCCUUUAAUAUUUGGAGAAAAAUCUAUGUGGGAUCUUUUAUUUUCUAGAAAAAUUUGUGUGGUCUUUUUUGUUAGCCCAAGGGUUCUCCUAAUCAGGUUUUGAUGAUAACAAAUCAUGGUUAAGUGACUAAUUGGUUUAAUGAUUAAGAAUCUCAAACAUAAACUCGAAAAUUCAUCAAAUGACCAAAUGGAUACAAGAUCGAGACGCUUGGAAGACUUGUGAUCAUAGGAAACUAAUGUAAGAUGAAUGCAUGAGUGCACUUAGGAUUUUCACACGUUUCAUGCAAUUUAGAAAACCCAGUUUAUUCUUUAAAACUUCAAUUUCAUUAAAACCCGAGUUUUUAACUAAUGUACCUUAGGCAAAAUGUUUUAUAAUUGGCUUAAUAAUUCACCUAAAUACAUUUUCUAAGUGUUAGAAAAGAAAGGAAUUAAAAAAAGGUUUUCGGGGCAAAAAAGGCUCAACCGGUCGAGGCUAUGGUCAACCGGCUCAACCGGUUGAGGAACCAAUCGAUCGGUUGUGCUUGUCCGAUCGAAGACCAAUCGAGGGAUGCCAAAAAAUUUCUCUCUCUCCUAGUGGCCUUCUCUUCCCGGUCGAGGUUCGGUCUAGGCAACGGUAACAUGUCAAGCAUUAAAUGCUCCGACGACUAGUGAAUCGGUCGACCCCUAGCCCGAUCGGACGAGGUUGCCUUUUGCUGUUUUUGACUCCCGAGCUUAGAAACCUAUAAAUUGAGAGCUCCACUUCAUUUAUUGAUAAAAGAGAACACUUGCAUUCAAUAGUCUACCUACCUUUUCUUGAUCAAAAAGCUCUCAUUUCCUUCAUAGUGCAUUAAAUCAUCACUUGCAUAUCCUUUAGUGCACUAUUGUGUGUCAUCCUAGCUUUGUUUUGUAUUUGAGCUAUCCUUAAGCUAGGUUGAGGGAUUAUUUCUUAUAAAAAUCUGAGUGUUAAAGCCUUCAAGAGAUUUGAAUCUUGAAGAGAUUGUGUAAGAGCCCAUUGGAGCCGGAGUCCAAGUGUAAGAAGAUUGGAAGCUUGGUUGAAGCUUCAAGUUAGUGGAACCCUCACUCGGUUAGGAGGUUGAGGAGAGUGGACGUAGGUAAGGAAGUGUCGAACCAUUAUAAACCCGAGUUUGAAUUCUCUAACUCUAUCUCUUUAUUUUGCUUAUAUUGUGUUUGAAUUUGUUGUGAUUGAAAAGAUUUUAAAAACCUAAUUCACCCUCCCCCCUUUUGGGUUUUUUUUUCUUAAUUAAGCAUAACCUUUGUUUUCUAAUUUUCUUUUUAGGAAAAUCCAUGCGUGGUAUGUCCAAACUCUCCAAGUGGCAGUCUGCCUUCUUCUAAAAAAUUUGUUUCUAUUUCUUUAUUCGACUACCUUCCAUGUCUUCCUAAUGAGUGCUUGUGCUCAAUGGUCAAUCCCUGGUGGUUGCCUCCUUUUCCCAUAUAUACGUGUUGCAAAAUCAACAUCCCACUAUAUGUGGGUUGCCUCUAUGGCAAGUUCACAUUUCCCACAUGAAACCUAUGAGUUUCCACCAAAAAUUGCCAUGAAAAAGUCUUUAUAUGCAUCUCAUGCAAUAAAAAGUCAAGCCAAUACUCAUCUUAUCUCGAAAAAUAAGUAACCAAAAUCAAGAUCAUGCCUAAGUGAACUAUGCCAAAAGAAGUGUCCAAGUGACCUAUUAUGAAAAAAGUGCCUAAGUGACCUAAGGUGAAUGUGUGUAAGCUGGAAGGUGUCUAGGAUGUUUAGGACAAUGCCUAAGCCUAAAAUAGGGUUGCCAAGGGUCACAAUGGGGUUAGAUAAAUCUCUCAAUCAGAGUCUCCAAGGUGGCUCAUAAAAGAUAAGCUACACGAGUAAUGAUGGGCCACCAGGGAAUUAUUGUAAAGCACCAAACGAACACAUAAUAGGACAUGUGUUAGAAUGAAAAAAUGGAGGGUUUACAAGUGGUCUCAUGGAUGAGCUUGAUAAUUUAAAUGACUCACAUAAUGAACGUAUGUGAUGUUUCUCUCCAAUAACAAGCAAAACAUCACUAGCAAUAUGAUGAAUGUCUCCUAAAUCACUUGAAGUAGUCCUAGCAAAUCAAUUAGAAAAAUCACACAUAUUGCUCUAAUGUAAUAUUAUAUACAUCUGUCAAUGAAUGGGAGAACUAAUGACACAACCAUCAUGUUGAUAUCUCGAACCCUCUAAUCUCAUAUGUAGGUGGGAUCACACUUAGAAACUCAUAACACAGUAAUGACCAAUCUAAGUCAAAAUGUGUUGGUGAUCGGAGGCCCAUGAAUAUGAAGUUCUAGGAUGAUAAUGACAUCUUAUAAAGUAAUGAUCAUCUCCUUAAUAGAUAGGUGAAAUGUGUGUGUCUUAGGACACCAUCUCUCAACAAGACUUGUGAUCAAUCCCCAGUCUAGUGUAACAUGCCUAUUAUGACAUCCAUCGUAAAAUCUAGACUAGAUAAUAUAAGGACAAAUGUGAGGGUUCAUCUCCCUUUCCCACAUAAAUUUAAAAAAUUAUUAUUGACAAGUUAAGACCAAACUAAGUUGCAAAAUAUAAAUAAGUCCAUUAGAUAACAAAUUUAUGUUUUCUCAUUUUCUCAUUUUUAAAGAGAUAUUAUGUGCUUCCAUGUACAUACAUGCUAAAGUCAAUUAUACGAGACUUAUAUCCAUCUUGUAGAACCAAAUCGAACCUAUCUAAUAGAUCCAGAUUAGAAGUAUGUCCUCUAUACUCCAUAUUUAUAACACAUUUAUAAAGAUAAAUGCUAAAAAAAUGUUAAAGAUAUAAAUUUAAUGAACCAUACUUUAUGAUUUUAAUUCUCAAUUAUUGUUCAUAUUUAUAAGAGAAAAGUUAAAAAAAUUGAUAGAGUUUUCCCUCUAUCAUGGACAUUAUCCCAAAUAAAAAUAAAUUGAUUAUGCAAAUUACAUUAAUAUUUGUAACCAAAUGAUCAAUAACUAUCUUGUAUCAAUUUAGUAAAUAAAUUUAAGUAUAUCUUUUCAUUUAUGACUAACAAAUAACUCAUACUUGUCCAAUAAAAGCCACACCUAAUUUCUAAAAUUUUGUCUUCACCUCAAGUGAGUGUUACAUUGAGAAAGAAAAAAUAUGAAAGAAAAAAUGAACACCUUUUUCUUUUAAUAAAAAAAGGCCAUAACGAAACAUUAAAUCUCACUGUUACACCUAUCUUCAAUGGAAACAUGAGGAUGUGAAUGGUGGCGGUGAUAUUCUUUGCUUGAAGCUCAUAAACAAAUAUUCCUUACUAAGCCUAUGCCAUUUAGUAUUUCAAUAGUGGACCCCCCCCCCCCCCCCCCCCCCCUCCUUGCAUUUCAGAUUUAGCAAACUUAGAACCAAAUAACAAAGUGCAUUUGAACCCAUAAAGAAGUAAUGAGACUCUCCUAUAUUGGCAAUAGAAGAAAUUUUUGGAGGUAUAGGAGAUUCACGGAUGAAGAAGUUGGGCCCCAAUUGAGAUAAGACCCAAGAAAAGAUGGGGUAGAGAGGGAUGGUUGGAAAUUGUAAAGUAAGAUUUUCAAAAUGUAGUUGAUGACUAAGAUUUUGACAAUUUAAAAAAGGUUUAAAAAUGUAGUUAGCAAUCGGGGUUUUGUAACAUUUAAAAAAUAAAAUAAAAUCUCAGGCCACAUGGUAGCCCAUGUGAUUCAGAAGCUUGAGAAUUAUUUUAUAAGAAGACUUAAUUUGUGAUUUUUUUAUAACUAUAUUAUUUUUUUUCUUAACACACGAAAAAAAUUAUGAAAUAAGACAAUUUUCCUAAGAAAGCAUGUAAGUGACUCUUGGUUAUUUUAUUUAACUUCUUCUAGUUUGGAGAGGAUUAAUACCUUUGCUUUUACUCACUUGCUUGGAUAUGUACACGUUGUUCAUGUCACUUUUCAUUUAAUUUUCUGAUUAAGGGAAUUGGAACCGUACGUAACUGUCUUUAUUCCCUCUGAAACUUGGACUUGGAGUUGGACUUUCAAUCUCAUCAGUCGUGUUUCCAUAAAAAAGAAGAUGGAUUAACCAAUUUUCCUAUGCCUACUAAUCAUACACAAAACUCCACUUCCAAAUAAAAAGGAAUGGGAUAUCACUUGUUAAUAGUGGCUAAAGACUAUUAAUAACCAUGCAAAGAAAUGUCACAUUUUUUGUUCUACGCAAAUUUUAUUCAUCAACUACUAGAACCAUUUCAUACAAUAGUAGCUUUUCGAUCCUUUGAUAAAUGGACACUUGAUGUGAUAACACCAACUACACCUAUAUAUUCAAGCAAUCAUGCGUAUAUAAUAGUGGAUAUGGAUUACUUCUCUAAAUGGGCAAAAGUUUUGUCAUUCAAGGAAAGUGAACGAGGAAACACAAGUUUACUUUCAUCGGAACUAAUAUUAUAUAUUGAUAUGACUUCCCAUUAUUACUUACGAUGGAAUAUGCUUCCAUAAAAUGGCCUAGAUGAACAAACUAUCCAAGAAGUUUGGGAUCAAAUAAUAUAUAUAUAGUUCAUGUGUGAUUCUUUGGUUGACAACCUUGUUAAGGGGUGAGUGAAGCACUUUGGGCAUACCACAUACUACAUGCUAGACUUCCACCCAAGCUACCCUAUAUUCCUUAUGAACAAAGUAGAAGUUGUCAUCUCUCUUGAAUACCAAAUCCUUUCACCUAAUAAUGCUAUCUAAAAAGGUCUUAAAAAGGAUAAAAAUGCGCAUAUUUGAAUUUUUGAAUUAGGAGUGCUACUUAAAAAGAAGCUAGAUAUACAAUAAUAGAAUGUUAUCAAGCAUAUCUCUUCAAAGUUUUUGACCAAAAAAUAUAUGAUUUCUCAUUUUAGGUAGGAGACUUAGUACUCACUAUUCAAAAACCAAUUAUCAUUACUCAUAAAAACUAAUAGAAAGUUUGGGCCAAAGUAGGAUGGACCUUAUAUUAUGCAACAAUUAUGCCUAUAAAAUUGUUGCAAAAGAGGUUUUAGAAUCAAAUCAAUGAAUGAAAAAUUAUUAAAGCAUUACUAUGCUUGAAGGCUAGUCAUUUUCCCUUAAAGUGCAAUAUUAAGUUGCAUAGUACUAUGUGGAUCCGCAUUUUUCACAUGCGUUCCCACUCAUUGUCGAGACUCACUUUUUAGAAGUGAAAAAUUAGUUUUAUUAAAGUCGAAGUUGCCACUGGGGAUUUGAACCCUAACAAAAGGUUCAAUUUAAGGAUAAAAAUAUCGAUAAUCACAUAUAUAUAUAUUGGUACUUUGAUUUUAUGAAUAUAUUGAAGAAAUAUGGACAAAUAUUUUGACACAAAAUAUGUACAAAAUAAAAAUUAUAUAAAAAGUAAAAAUAAAUAUUUUAAAAUUAUUUUUUUAAAUAUAUAUAUAUAUAAUUUGACAUAUUUGAUAAUAAUAUAUAAGGGUCUCCAAAAAGCCCGUGGCCCGCUUUAGGCCCGGUCCGACCCGACAGGCUAAAGCCCGGCCCAAGCCCGCCGGGCCCAAGCUCGGCCCGAGCCCGUUUAUGGGUGGGCCGGGCCGCGAGCCCGUAGGCCUGCUCCUUUAAAAAAAAACUACAAAAAUAAAAAGUAUUAAAAAAAAUAUUCAUUUCAAAAUUUUAUUCAUUGAAUGUAUAAUUACAUUUGAAAAUGUGGGAAAAGUUUACAUCACUACAAAAUAAAUACAUCCCAACUAGGUUGGCACCUAUUUAUUUGUCAAUCAUCUGUAUUUUUCAACCACAAAAAAUAAAAAUAAAAAUAUAAUAUACAUUUAGUCAUUAUUUUCUGGCGGUGAUGGCGAACUAUCAUGCAUCCAUGAAGAUCUUGAUAAUUUUAAAGAUUCCAUAUCGGUAAGCAUCUUUGUUUCUCGAAUGGAAUCAUACAUCCUUUUAUCUGCUAUUUCCCAAUCUUUCACACAUAUCCCUGCUUUAAUAACAUCUGACGCUAAGUUGCAUCGUUUUUUACUAACUACUCUUCCACCUGCACUAAAAGCAGCUUCUGAUGCAACUGUACUCACAGGAACUGUUAGUACAUCACGAGCAAUUAUAGAAAGCACAGGAUAUUUGUGUUGAUGUGAUUUCCACCAUAUUAAAAUAUUAAAAUCUUCUUGAUCUUCAAAUGAAAUUAUAUCAGUAUUAAGAUAUUUAUCUAAAUCAGAUGUAUUAUUUGGAGAAUUAUUUGUUGUCUUUUUUCGACUUUUCAACAUUUCUAGAGCUCCUUUAUAAAAAGAUGAGGAGUUUGUAGAUGUAGGUGGUAAUUUAAUAGUAUUAAUAUCAUUACCAUAUUUUUCUUUAUAAUAGUUAUAUAAAUUAUAUAAUAAUGAAUUUAUUUCAUUUUUAAUUUCUUCAAUUUUUAUUUGGUCAUUAAAAUAAAUAAUUGUUAACCAUUCAUCCAAAGCUUCAAAUUUCAAUCUAGGGUCCACAAUUAAAGCAAUAUAAAAAAUUAAAGGUAUUUCUCCCCAAUAUUUUCUAAAUUUUUAUAUCAUUACAAAUAUUGUAUCAUUAAAUAUUUCAAAACUUAAAUAUUUUUGAAGUACAAUAAAAAUAUUAGUUAUUUGCGUAAUAACUCGAUUUGAAGUUGGAUAAUAUACACCACAAAAAAUGUUUGUUGAAGUAUCAAAAAUUUCAAAAAGAUCUCUUAAAACAUCCGCAAUAUGCCAAUCAUAAUCAUUUAAUGCAUAAAUAUCUGCUUCAUAAUCAUUGUUAAUUAAUUGUAUUUCAUAUAAUUCGACUACUUUUCUAUAUUUUGUAAUAUUUUCUAAAAGUUUAUAUGUGGAAUUCCAUCUAAUAGCCAUAUCCAAAUUUAUAUUUUUUCUUUUCAUAUUUAACAUUUUGCAACAAUCAAAAAAUAAUUCAUGUUUUGCUUGAAAACUAUUAAUACUAUAUGCAAUGCCUCUAAUUUUUUUCCAAUGUACUAUCAACAUUUUUUAAUCCAUCCUUUACAAUUAAAUUUAAAAUAUGUGCACAACAACGCACAUGAAAUAUUUUAGCAUGAUCUUCUUUUACUUGCCAAUAUCGUUUUAGUCUAUGUAUUGCUGCAUCAUUAUUAGCAGCAUUAUCUAAUGUUAUUGUCAAUAUUUUAUCACGAAUGCCUAAAUCUAUAAUUUCAUCAUUUAUUAAAGAUGCUAUAUUUUUACCACUAUGUGGAGUAUUUAUUAAUUUAAAUAAAAUUAUUCUUUUAUUUAAUUUCCAUUCAUUAUCAAUGUAGUGAACAAUUAUAUAUAAAAAACCAGUAUGAGUUAAAGAUGUCCAAAUGUCAGAUGUUAAACGAAUAUUUCCUUCAAAAUUUGCAAAAUUUUUUUUUAAAAUUUCUUUUUGUGUAUAAAUUUUUUUCAUAAUAUCUCUUUUAACUGUAUUUCCAGAUCAACCUUUAAAUUGAGGAUUAAUACCUCGUUGAAUUGUUCUUGCAAAAUCAUGAGUUUCCAUCAUGUUGAAAGGUUGUUCUGCUCUUAUUAUAUAAUCAAUCAUUUCUUCACAACAGUUAGAUUCAUCAUAAGAAAAUGUUUUUAAAUUUCCACUUUCAUUUUUACUUAAUUGCAUAUAAUUUCUAAUAUCUACAUUAUUUUUAGUUUUACAAUUUUCAUGAUGUCUUUUUAAAUGACUUGUAUCUGCAUUUGAGCCACCAGUAAGAAAUUUAUUACAAAUUUUACAUUUUGCUUUUAUUUUUUUUUUAUUAUUUUCUAAAAUUAUUUCUAUUCUAUCAAAAAAAUUCCAUAUAUUUAAAGUAAAUUUUUUGUUUGAUGAUAUUUCAUCACAUGGACUAGACGAAGAAGCACUUGUCAUAUUAUAAUUAUUGAUAAAAUAUUAUGCCAAAAAUAAUAAAGUAAUAAAUAUAAAAAAAAAUGUAACAAAAAAAAUAAAGUAGUAGGGGUGAAGUAUGUUACUCAAUUAGAGAACCUAUGCAGAAAUUCCUAGCAAAUUUGAACUCUUGGAGCCACCAAUGCUUGUUUUGCACCAUCAACAAUAUUGUAUAAUUUGAGGGAAAAAUAAAAGAAUUUAAAAUAUUGUAGAAUGUGAGAGAAAUAGAGAGAAUUUGAUGAAAAAAUGAAAAGGAAGAAAAUGUAUUUAUAGGAAGGUUAAAAAUAAUAAUAAUAAUAAUAAUAAUAAUAAUAAUAAUAAUAAUAAUAAUAAUAAUAAUAAUAAUUGGCCAUGUGACCGUUGGAGGCUUAGCUCCAACGGUCACAUGGGCUGGAGCUAGGCUCCAACAGUCACAUGACCGUUGGAGCCUUUAAUUUUUUUUUUUAAAAUAAUAUACUUUAUUUUUAUAUAUAUAUAACUAACUCAAUUAAUAAACAUAAAAAGAAUAUAGUUCAGUUGGUUAGAACCUUGAAGUUUAAACAUGAGGGGAGGGGUUUGAAUCCCUCCCUCUCCCUUAGGGGCUUUUUUAAAAGCCAUUUUGGCUUAUUUCAAAAAGCCUGUCGGCCCGACCCGCCCUGCAGCCCGCGGGCCUAGCAUUUUAGCAUGGCCUGGUCUGUUGACUAGUCAAAUGGCUCAUAGGCUCGGCCCGAACUGGGCCGCGGGCCUCUUAUUUACGGACCGGCCCGACCCGGCCCGCCCGUUGGAGACCCUUGAUAAUAUCUUCUAUAUUAAGUUACAUUAUAGUUUAUUUUACAAUAUUAUUAUGAUAAUAUGUCUAAUUUUAAAAUAUAUUUAAUAUUAAAAUUAUGAUCUAUUUUAAUUUAAAUGUAUUCAAUGAUAUCAAAUAAAUAAUAAUAUAUGUAUAAUUCUUUUAUUAUUUAUAUUUAUUAUUUUUAAUAAAUAUAUAGAUUAUAUAAAAAAGACCGGAUAUAUCUUUUCAAAUUUUGUAUCGCUCUCCAAGGAUAUUAGAUGUAUGGGAAUUUGUAUUGCUAUCUACGGAUACGUUGAUAUAUGGGUGAUUUAUCAGGAUAAUUAGAAAUUCUAAUUAUGUAAGCAGGUACGGAGUUCUGUGUCGGUGCGAUCUUGUCGACAACAGCUCCAAAUUGUGCAUCUUGCUCAUAGAGAGUAGCGGAAUGCACCAAUCGUAGGCUCAGAGUACCACUGAGUCGUCUGGCAGAGACCCAACUGAAGGUGCCUGUGUUGUUCCUGAUCUGAUCAGGCUUCAAACUACAAGGUGGAAUACUGGUUCCCCUAUAUCAGAAGCUGGAGAUACCCACCCCAUAUGCUCGUCUGGAUGUGCUCCUACCCUUUGAAGCCUUCUUCCGAGUCAAGUCCGAAUUGAUAAGGCUAGUGAGUUCCCAACCAACUGUACUCAGCAUGCUGCCAGGUGGAGACCCUCCAUAUUUGAUGGCUUCCUAAUAUUAAAAUGCUGACCACUGGUCUUCAUGUUCCACAGGCUUAAUUGUGUCCUUUGCUGAAAGAAUGGAUAGUGAUCCAUUUUAACACAUGAUUCACGCCGUCUUUGCCAUUCUUCAUGGUCUAGCCCUUUUAUAUAUAUGCUUCCUGAACUGUUGCUAUUAAUAAAAUGUGGUAUCUAUCCCGUACACCUUCCUGAUGGCCAGCGAAUGCAGAAGCUACAGAAACGGUUCCAUCUUUUGCUUCCGCCACUUUGGCAUCCUCCAUGAUGAGAUCGAAGGUGAAUAAUCAUAUUCUGGGGAUUUAUGUCCUGGAUAUUCUCAGUAAUGCCCAAUUUCCUGGUGCCGGCCUCAUUUCCAUGGGAACUGAUGGAUAACUUAAGGCUUCUACCAUCUGCGUGGUUCGCUUCUAACACAGGAAACUUCACGGCUAAAAGCAAGAUACCAAGAACAUCAAGGCUGUGACAAAAAUUAGUAUUUUUAACUUGUAGGAAUUUGAAAGGCAACCAACCAUCUAGCUCUGUUCUUAAAGCUCCCAUAGGAGGAUCAGAGGCUGGAUUGCUCAAGAUGAACUCAUCCAUUGUUGCACUUAAAAAGAAUUGGCAUGAAUUGUGGCCGCUCUAAUAGGUUCCCUAAACCAUCAUCCAAGUGGGCUUGCGGAAGGUAGCGAGUUUAAAACACCUAGGGCGAUGAACAGUGGACUGUGAUGCUCACAAAAGAGAAAAGGAAGAAUUCAAUAAUUCCUAAGAAUCCAUUUGCCUGUCAUCCAAAUUUUUAUAUUCUCUUCAGUCUGACGCGUUAUGCCAUAUAUUAAAAAUAGCGGCUUCUUCCAAGCCGAGACAGACUGUGCAAAGUUCGCAAGGCCAAUCAUCACCAUAAUCUGAAGUUGGCCUCCUCAAUCGCAGCUUGUAUCCGAAUGCUCACUUCACGGGAUGGAUUGUAAUGAAAACUAAUCUCAGUCCCAGCUAUGGCAGCAUCCUCACUUGACAGCAUUUUCUGCAUAUUCUAGAACAAAGCAAUAAACCCUCAAAGGCUCCUUCGGAUCAGAGUUAGAAGACUGUCCCUCAGGAACGUGAACACUAUGGUGGUUCUGAUAAGCAGUGAUAUUGCAUUAGAGCCUUUUGGAACAAGAGGAUCUUUUCAGGUGGAAACUGUAAACUGCUUCAUGUUGGGCUGCAACCUUUUCUUCAAGCAAUACUUUCUUUCUGUAUCACGACUUAUGUUGCUUCCGGAGCCAUCCCGUGUGGACUGCCCUUCAGUGAAAGAAUAUGUGUGUUGACAUGUUGGAUUGUAAUCUUUGUUCCACUCUAAUGGCUUUUGGUCCUCCUCUUUCUCUUUAUGACAGAGAACCAUUUAGUGAUCCAUCUCUAUAUUGUAGCAUUGCUGGUGCUUUGCAAUACUACACUCUCACCAAGCAUAACAUCUAUUUUUCCGUGACCAAAGUAUGUCGGUUUAUGCAUGCGCAAACUCUUAUUCAUUGGCAAGUUGUCAAGCGUAUCUCAUGAUUUCCCAAAGCCACAAGUUCUUAUGGUCUUUCUGUUCAAGCUUACAAUGAUCUAUCUUUUCUUGGUUAUACUGAUGUCGAUUGGGCUAGUUGCCCUGAUAACAAGCACAAUACUAGUGGGUACAACACUUUUCCUGGUCCUAAUCUCAUUUCAUGGGCAUUUUCAAAGCAGAAGGUUGUGUCUCACUCCAAUAACGAAUCUGAAUAUAGGGGACUCACUAAUUAAUGUUGUUGCCAAGGUCACUUGGAUUGAAUCUGUCUUACGUGAGUUGCGUGUUUCUCUACCCCAACCACCAAUUUUGUUGUGUGACAACAUUAGUGCUACACACUUGGACAAACCAUGUUGAAAUACACUAUCAUUUUAUCCAUGAAAGGCUUAUGCAUCACACACUCAAAAUUCAAUACACCUCUUCUAUAGACCAACUAGUCAAUGCUAUGACCAAAGCUCUUCCUUCAUCUCACUUGUACAAUCUUCAGUGCAAGCUGAUUGUUCUUCCCAAACCACUCAACUUGAGGGGAGAUGUUAAGCCAAUUUAAUAAAUUGAUUUCUUUUGGUUAAUUUGUUAGAAUCAUUUUUAUUAGAGGUUUGUUUGUACAAUUACAUCCAUUUAUCAGGAGAGUACACGUGUACAACUCCUCUUUUAAUCUCACCAUUGUAUAUAUAUGAUACACGACCUUACUCAGAAUUGCAUAACAUUUCCUCUGCUCAUUCCUUUUCUUCUUUGAAUUUUCCCUUACCUCACUGAUUUUGAUUUAUACCUGGUGUUUUCACCUUUGGUCUCUACCUUUCUAGCCAGUUUUCUAAUUAAUCCGUAUAUGGUAUACCUGUCAACUAAUGAGGAGAAAGAGAAAAGGGGAUUGCUGUUCCACCAGCUACAUAUAAUAAUUAAUUACAAUCAUGGUAAUGGAUCCUGAAAUCCAUCCUUUGUGGAUUUUGUACGGAAUAUUGUUGUUAUGUAUGUGGGCUCACUUAGAUGUAUAUUGCUAGCCUGUCUGGGAAAUGUGAUUGCAGGUCCAGAUUAUGAUGUUGAUAUUAGUGGGAUAAGCAAGAGAUGCAGUUAACACGUAUGUGAUGGACUUGAGUAACUUUUCCAUUUCAGUCCAUUUUUUAAGAUUAUGCUUAGUCUUAUUACAAGGAAAGACCAUAAGAAUCAUGAGUCAUUGGCAAGGUAAUAUCAUUCCCUCUUUACAGGCUUCUUCACCUUUUGGUUUUUUUAAUAUCCAUCAAGAUCUUUUAAUUGGAGGACAAUUACAAGUAUAUAUAUAUGUAUUAAAAGGGGAAAAUAUUAAAACAGGAAAUUUUAGGGAAAAUAUAAUAAUUAUUUCUUCCUUCUUUCCCAUAUAGAACUACACAAAAUAAAACUUUAAUAAUUUUUUCUUAUCUUUUUUAUUAUUAUUUUUUCUUAGAAACAUCCGUGGUCUCACAAGCUUGUAAUCCUAGAUUGUUAGGCUCCUUUAACAGUGCCCCAACAUCGUGGUCCAAUGACAAGCUUCCACGCCUUAAAAUCAGAAAAUGCCAUUAAACUUUAUCAGACAUUACAGUUCAAGACAAAGCUUUCAUUUGCUUAAUGUGAUAAUGAAAUUGUUAAUUUCAUUUCGUGGGCAUCUAAAUUUGGACGAGCAAGACCUCUGAAUUCCCUGUUUUUAUCACCAGCAGAGGAGAUAAAAUCUUAAUGGUGAGAAUCUCCACGUGAAAUUUAUGUGUACUGUCAACAUAUUUUUGUUUAUAUAGUCCAGUAGCUGCAGGAAGUCUAGAUUAUAUAGGUAGCAGUAGCACUAUUUAUAGCACUCGAUAUUCGCUGUAUGAAUACAUUAAACCUUGUUUUCAAUACGCAUCACAAGCAAGUACUAGAUACUACAAGGAGUGACAGUCGCAUCAACAUUUCUUGAUAAUAGCAGUGACUGAUUUAUACACAGAACAGUACUGUACACGUACCAGUCACCAGAGAUAGGAUCUUAUUCCUACAUACGACUCUUAUUGAUCGAAGUCACUCAGUUGGGGUAGCCUGGAGUUGGAGGUUUGUGUGGUGGCUUCUUCUUUGGAGGAGGCUUUAUCUUUGGAGGCAUCAUCUUUGGAGGCAUCUUGUGUGAGUCUUCUUCAGCAUUCUCUACAGGAGGAUGGCCAGGCUUAUGACCCUUAGGUGGUUUGCCAACUGGGAUUGGUGGCUUGUGUCCUGAGAGUGGCUCCUCUUCUUCGGGAGGUUUGCCAACUGACGUUGGUGGCCCGUGUCCUGGGGGUGGCUUGUGUUUUGGGGGUGGUUUCACUCCACCGGGAGGUUUACCAAUUGGUGUUGGUGGUUUGUGCUCAAUCGGUGGCCUCUCAACUGGGGGGCGCUUGGGGUAAUCAGCGAGUGAAGAAGUGGUGAGAACCACCACUCCAAGCAACAACACUAGCAAGUAUGUGGAAGACAUCUUUGAGUUUGGCUCAGAUGGUGUAGAACUAGAAUCCUGGGUGGCCUUUUAUAUUAGUUGGGCCCUAUGCCCGAACGACAAGUGUCAUGGUGACACAUAAAGUGAUGGGGUCGAUUUGGGCCUACCGGAUUUGAAAACUUGGACAAUUCGAGAAGCGUCUCCUGACUCCGGGUUGUAAAGUGAAAGAUUAGGUAUCGACCAUUGAAGUAUGAUCACAACUUUUGGCCUUUGGCUCUCUCUACUGCCGUAUAGCUUUUUUCCUUUGGAUAUUUUUCUUAGCUAGACACAAUUAUUGAGCAGUCUAAUCUCGAAAUGGGAUUAGUAUAGCUUUAAGCAAAUUUAUUAUAGUUAGUGGAGGACUUUUAAGAGUGCAGACGACAUUUAACACAUGCAUGCAGUAGUAUAGGGGACAUAACACUAUUCUUUUUCCAAAGAUUCACAUGAUUUUUAUAUUAUAGUAUUGGCACAUUGUAUGUAGCUGGUUUUGUGGUUAAAAUUCCAUAUGUAGACACUGGCGUUUCUCCAUUUCUCACAAUUGAUGUUUACCUCCACGAUUACUAGAUUAGAUAUACCAAACAAUAACACAUUGUAUAAUCUAUCCGCCCUUCAAAAUCUACUGUAUGAUGAAAUGUUUCAUGUGUGUGUGAAGUGUUAGAAAUGCACUAUAGGCAACAUCAUCUUCUUUUGUCUAGGCUUGGGCCUCAAAUUAUACUCCCAUGCCAUGAUAAAUUUUCAUGUGCAUUCUCUAAAGAAGAGUGUCUUGAAUGUGCCAAAUCAUUUUGAUUGAUUUUAUGAUGUUAAUUGCUCCGCAUAUGGAUGGGUAUGUGCUUUAUUUGCUUAUUCAAUCCACAAUUACCUUGAACUGAAGUCCUAUUGGAGCUCUAUUAUUUUAGCAACGUCCUGUCAAAUAGGCUGCUAACUUGGGGUGGUAUGGACCCAAUGAUCCAUCUUAAUCUUGGGUUGAUUUUGUCUGACUCUAUCUAUCUCAGAGAGAACCAGGAUCACCAGUGCUGGUCUGCUUAAAGAAGACUCAGUACUGGAUUAAUAUUGGUUUGGGUCAAUAGCUUAUAAUGCAUUGAAUGCAGAAUAAACAAGAUCAAUGAAACCCAAAACACACUGCCCACACAACUUCACUCUGGUGUCUGUUAUUCAUCAAUUCUAUUCCCACAUGAACUGGUUCAAGUUUAAGAAAAUGACAACGGAUCCACUGUAUUAACUUGGUUUUGCUUGGUUUUGAGCUAGUUGCCAAACCAGCCAUGAGUUUUACCUCUAAUGUCAAUGAACAAACCCCAAAUGAACAACUGCAACAGCUUAAAGAGAAGGAAUGGAGAUGAAAAUCCCUGUUUCUUCUCAUUCUGGGGACAAAUUAGAACAUAACUACAAAGGUUCUAUUAAUUGACUUACUCUACCAUGAAUUAUGGUUCUUUGGUUUUCCAAAUUUAAAUUGUACAUGAGAUUAUUUUUUUCCUUUAUAUAUAAACAUAUUAAGGUUUUCUUAUUUCGUGGGCAAAUGCGCUAAGGAUGAAAGUCAUUUCAUUUGGCUGCAACAGCAUCUUAUAAUCAACAUGCAUAAGCAGCAGUUUUAAUUGAUCGAUUGAACACCGACUCACAAGAAUAGAUAGAAUGGUACAAGACAGCUCUUAUUAAUUUAUACUCGUUACUCAUUUUAUGUAGCCCCAUUAAGAUGGCUGGCUGGACCACCGAGGUCUGGGGGUGGUGUUGCUUGUGUGAUGCAGCGGGCCGGGCAGACACUUCUCUAGUUGCUUCUAUUUGGAGUUAGAGGAUCAGUCUCUGCCAACCUUGAGGACUCUCUACCUCAGAGGGUCCAGGUGGUGGACUCUGGUGUCGGUAGCUUUGAACUCUCAGUAGACUAGUGUGUCUUAAUCAGUCACUGCCAGAGGCUGGCGUAGGCAGUGACGAUAAGGUGAGACAAAUUACCGAAUAGUCAAUAUCGACUGCACUUGACCAUUAUAGAUUUGUUCUGACAAAAGUGAGAAAAGGGAGAAAAUCGGAUGUUGACCUUUAUAGAAAAAGAUAAGAUUUACUGCAACACAGAGCACUGAUUUGUUACUUGGAAACCAAGUUAUGCUAUUAGCUAGCCUCCAUUAGCAGCAGGGUACCUUGCUGCCUGAUCCUAAUCUGAGUUCCCAAGGUUUCAAUCUUCGUUUGUUAACGCUUCAGGAUUUGGAUAUUUCAGCUUCGUUUCUCCAUUUAGCCAACGCUGCCUGGUUUGGAUUUCAAUCCUCAUCUGGAACAUUCUUUUUUCGGUCUGAUUCAGGAAGUGUUUGGUGAUAGUUGAUUAAAAUUAAACAGUACUAUCAUACAAAUAAAGCUGAUCUAAUUUUGGUGGGCAAUAUACCAACUCAUUUAUUCUUGAAAACACCAUGGGGAAUUGGAGGUCCAUCCGAAGUACUAUUUGAUGGGACUCACAAAAAGAACAGGUGCACAUUUAUGAGAUCCGUGGAAGAGAUAACUAUGACAGCUAUGCAUGUACAACAGAUUUAUGUCGAGUUCACCUCGUAGAUAUUUUGUUUUCAGUGUCGGUGGACCCCAAAAUGGAAAUCGGAAAUUAAGGUUAUAUUUAUUUUUUUAUUUAAUUUUAAAUAGAAUUUUAAUUUUUAAUAAUAUUAAGUAUUAAAUUAUUUUUUUAAGGGUAUUUUAUUUUUAUUAAGUAUUAAAAAGUAAAAAAAAUUAAUAUGUUGCUUUUUUAUUUUAAAAAAAUUAUAUAUUUUAAUUUUUUCUAUUUACUAAAAAGUUUAUAAUAAAUUAUAAAAAAAUAAAAAAAUAAAAAACUUAAAUUCUGAAAAUAAAUUAUUUUUAAUAAAAAAAUCCAAAAAAGCAAACACCACCUAAAUUUGAGAUGACUCAAAAUUUUAUAUUUUUUUUCACCUAAAUUAUAUUCAUAAAUUUAAAAUUAAAAAAUUAGGAAGUUGAAUUUUAUUUUGGAUAAUUGGAAACUACAAGAAAUCAAUAAAAAUAUUUGGAAAAAAAAGAAAAAGAAAAACUAUCUAUAUAUUCACCCCCUUCUAAGAAACAUAACUUUAGUUUUUAACUAUUUUUUAAAAUAAUUUUUGAAAAAUGUUAUAUAAUAUUUUAUAAAACAAAAAAUCUGUUUGACAAUUUGAUAUGUCUUUAACUUAUUUUUAAUAUUUAUAUAUAUAUAUUUUAAAAAUAAUUUUAUAUUUAGAACUUUAUCUUUAAUUAUUAUAUAUAUUUAUAUAAUUAUUUUUUUUAAAACAACUCUUAAAAAAUAAGUGAAAGUAAUUGAAAACAACUCAAAGAUAUUUGAUGAAAACACUCUAAUUUGUAUUUUUGAGAAUAAAAAAAUAAAUAAAUAAAUUUCUAGUUAUCAAAUGUAUUUUUUAAUUCUUUUAUUCUAAAAAAUAGAAAAUCGUUUUUGAAAAUAAUUAUUAAACAACAUUCUUAAAAAUUCACUCGUUACAAUCUAGAUUUAAUGCAAGAAUGAUUGAAGGAGUCCUCCAAUAGAACCCAAAGUUAUAAACAUGAACAAGAAGCCCUAGAAACACCAAAGAUCUCAUAUGGUAUAUAUAUGAGCUUGAUUGAGAACUGUUUUAAAUUCAGUUUUUUUUUUUUUUUUUUUUUUUUGUUUUCAAAGUCAAAACAAGUUUACUUUUAAUUUUUACUUCUUUUUUUUAAUUUUAUAAAUAACAGUUUUUUAAUAAUUUAUUUUGAAAACAUGAUUAUUUUUAAAACUUAUAAUGAAAAUAGGAAUUUUUUUUUUAAUAUCAUGGUUAUUUUCCCUUCUUUUAAGGAGGGCUAUUUUAAAAAUAAAUUUACAAAUAUGAAAAAUGAUUCAAACUAAAGCAGUACAAAUAAAAAACAUUUUUAAGAAAUAUUUAAAAAUAGAGAAAAUUAUUUGAGAACAUUUGAAGUCCUUAAAUAGACUUUUGUUUUAGAAAAGGCAAGAUAAUUAUUUUUGAAAAUUGUUUUCAUAAUGAUAUGCAAAAACCUACGUAAAAACCAUAAUUAUAAUCGGCCACAUAUCAAAUCUACUAAAUAUGAAAAGUAAGUACAUAAUUAUAUUUGACUUAGAUGCAAGGAGGAAAAUGUCGCGAUAUUAUCGCCGAAAUAUCGUGUGUCGAAGGGUAUCGACACGAUUUUUCUUGCAGAAAUAUCGGCCAGUCGAUUUUUCGGGAUAAAUCUCGAGAAAUCGGCAAUUUAUCGCGAUAUAUCGGCGAUUUUUCCUCGAUAUAUCUUCUGGUCAACGCGGGUCAACGGAGUCAACACGCUACAGUGAAAGUCAAAUGUGCUACAAUGUCCCCGCUACAAUCACCUCCCCAAACAAAUUGCCAAAUUGCUUCCGAGGGGAUUUGAACCAGCCUUCUUGCCAUUUGGGCUAACUCGCCCUUAUGAUAUAUAUUGCAUUAAACAUAUAUAUACUUAAAGUCCUUAUAUAAAGAAAAUGUUAAAAAAAUAUUUUAAAGAGCAAAUUAAUUAUAAUUAUUUUAUAAUUAAAAGCAAAAUUUUCUUUUAAUUAAUUACCAAAAAUAUAAAAAUUAUAUAAUUUUCUUCAUAAUGUUUUUAAUAUCAUUAAUAAUUAAUUAAAUAUUAAAAAAUUAUAUAUAUAUAUAUAUAUAUAUAUAUAUAUAUUAUAAUUUAUUUUAUAUUGUUUAAUACAAUUGAAUUAAAUGGAUCAUAUUUUAAUAUUAAUAUAUAUUUUAAAAUUAGACAUAUUGUAAUCAAAUAUCAUAAUAUUAUAUGUAAUUUAAUAAUAAAUGUACACUUAUAAAAUUCAUAUUUUUAUCGAUGCAUACAAUAUUAUUAUCAAAUAUGAUAAAUCAUGUUAUACAUAUAUCAAAAUUUUCAAUAAAAUAACUUUAAAAUGUCUAUUAUACUUCUAAUUAUAUUAUUAUGAGGUUUUCUUUACAUUUUCAUGAGUUUUAAACAAUUUUAAGCACCAAUAUUUUUUUCCAAAAUAUCCACCGAUAUAUCUCCGAUAUAUCCAAUAUAUCUCCGAUAUCUCCGAUAUAUCCGUAAAAUCGAAGUACCGAUAUAUCCGUGAUUACCGAUAUUUUCAUCAUUGCUUAGAUGCAACCUUCUUCCAAAUGACAUACUUUAGUCAAUACUUAUAUUUUUUCGUUUCACUUCUUUGAUACAACACCUCAUGGAUUUAUUGUUUAAUUUAUUUGUAAUUAUAAAACUAUUUUUCAUUUUUAAUAAGACUUGAAUUAAUUUAAUAAAUAUUAUAUAAUUUGAAUUUAUAAUUCUUUUUAUAAAAUCAAAGUAUAUUAAAAAAAAAACAAUUUAUCCGAAGAAAGUUUUUUAUUUUUUAUUUUUUAAAACCGAUUUUAAAAAUAACUAGCUAGACACCCUUAUUUUGAUAAAAUACGAAAUAAAAGUGUAAAAACAACAUGGCCAAAUAGGGGCUUAAAUUUUAUUUUUAAAACAUUUUUUUACACUAAAGUGCAUUUUAAAAACACCAUCAAAACCAACUACAAGUUAUGCUUCUUCCCGUAAUAGAAAUAUUUUAGGCCAAAAUAGAACCUCCCCAAAUAAAGACCCUAUACUAAACUCCUUUUCAUUUUAUUAAUACAAAAGUGGGGAAAAAAGGUCUAUGCUCACCUAAAAAACAUGAAUAUUGUGAAUUCACCAUUUCUAUAAGGAAGUUGAAAACUUCAAAAUUUUAUCAACAAAUUCUCUAAAAUCCUCAAAAUAUAUAGGGCCUGUUUCACAAAGUUUUUUAAAAUUUGUUUUUAUAAAUUGCUUUUAAAAUAUAGAAUAAAUAACAGUUUUUUAGAUUUUUUGAAAAAUAAGAGUGUUUGGUAAGAUGUUUUUUUUUUUUUUUUUUUUUUUAAGAAUUAAAUAAAAAAUAAAAAAAUUGUUUAGAUAAAAGAAUUUGUAUUGUUUUUAAAAACAAUGUCUUACUUUUAUGUUAUAAAAAUUUUAUUAAUUUAAUUUAUAAUAAUAUGAAAUGAAAUUCAAGUUAAGUCUUAUUAAAAAAUACAAAUUAAAUCUAUAAUUAUGCAUGAGUUAAAGAUAAAUAUAUAUUUUUUAAAACUAUAAAAUAAAUUUUCUAUUAUAGUGAAACAAAAAUUACUAUAAAAUAAAAAUAAUUUUAAUAUUCAUUUUUAAUACAAGUCAAAUAAGUACUUUAAUUAAUUUUUUUUAUCAUGAUUUCUUAUGUUUUUUUUUUUUUCUAGAAAUUAUUUUAAGUAAUAUAACUAAUUUUUUUUUUAAUGUUUUAUAAAAAUAAGGAUAUUUGGCAAGUUGUUUUUAUAAAAGGAUUUUAAAAAUAAAUGGAUUUUUUUUUUUUUUAAAAAAAGAACAAAAUGAUUUGUUUGAAUAAAUUGUUUUGAUUUUGUAAAAACAUUUUAAAUUCAAUUUAUAUAAUAUUAAUUAAUUAAAUUAAAUUGAAGUUUUAUUGAAAAUAAAAAUAAUUUUGUAAUUAAAAUUAGAUUAAAAAAUAUAUAGGUUUUAAUAAAUCGUAAAUAGUAAUAUUAUAAUAAAAUUAUAAAUUAUAUUUUUAACAUAAAAUAUACUAUUUAUUACAUAUUAAAAAAAAUAUUUUAUUAUAUUAAUAAUUUUAUGGUAUUAAUGAGUUUAUUAUUUAAGUUUUAAAUUAUUUUUAAAAAUUAAUAAAUUUGUUAACAAAUGCAAUGUACUAAAUGUGGUUUAAUUUGGAGUUAAUUUGUUUAGGGAAAAAAAUAAAAAAUAAAAAUCUUAUGUAAAAGAGAAAUAAUAGAGUGUGUGUGUUUUUUUUUAUUAUUUUUAAAAAUCAGUAAAAAGAACUUUUACUUAUUGCCUAAAAAUUAUUCUCUAUUUUAUUUUAUUUUUUAAAUCUAGAAAUAGAUAACAAUAAUAAAAAAAAUUAAAAAAGAAAAAUGUUUUUUAAAACUCAGACUUAUAAUUGCUUUUGUUUCUCAUUCGCACCCCUGGAUUCCUGGAUUCUAAACACAAAAUUAAGUUGAAUCGUCCAUCUAUCUUGUAAGCCAAGAAUUCACAUAGAAGAAAUAAUCGGAAUUUGAUUUGAUAUCAGAUUUAGAGUGGCUCACUACUCAUGCAUUGUCCCACAAUAGUAAUGCUUUGGGCCGAGAUAAACCCAUUUGUGGGCCCAAAUAAAACCCCUGGUUUGAAAACAUCGAUUUUACAGUGGCCCAAAAGAUUAUCUAUGAGGGGAAGAUAACUUGGAAGUCAAGCAAACACAUUUAUCGCUAACUUUUCUCUAAUUAUAAAAUUAUAACUUGGUCUUCUACACGUCUCACUUAAGAGGCGGAGCCACUUGGCACUACCUUUCCAUAUUGUAAAAGGAGAAGAAGCAGAAGGAGAAGAUUCUUAUGCCAUUCCACACACCAUGGCUAGUACUGCUAUGCUGCUUGGCCCGCCGGCUCUCCGCCAUCCUAAUUCUCCCGCCGGCACUGUCUUUGAAGAUGGGGUCAUUCUAACGGAUUCCCUGAUCGUCCGCACCAGUAAUCUGGAGCUUUCUGAAAAACCGCCACUGGAAUCCCUGGCGUAGUGCUCUGUCAGUGGGGAUAUUGCUAUGGAUUGUUUGGAUUCCCAAGCCCACAAUCUUCAUCUUCCCGGGAAACCGCCGAUGGGCUUAACGGAAAACAAGUCUCCGACCUUUUUGUCUUCCGGGAACCCGUGCUUGGACUUCUUCUUCCAUGUGGUUCCCGAUACGUCGUCUGAUGAUCUGAUCCGACGGUUUGAGUUGGCUUGGGAAUUCAAUCCGCUGACGACGUUAAAACUGAUAUGCAACUUGAGAGAGGUGAGAGGCACCGGAAAAUCUGACAAAGAGGGUUUCUACACGGCGGUUCUCUGGCUCCACGACCACCAUCCCAAAACCCUAGCCUGCAAUGCUAGGGUGUUGGCCAGCUUCGGUUAUUUCAAGGAUUUUCUCGAGAUUCUCUACCGGCUUCUGGAGGGCCCUAAAAUUCGAAGAAUCGAAAAGAAAGACUGGCUGGAUCGAAAAGGAAGGAAGAAAAAUUCCCGGAAAAGGAACUCAAUAUUCAAGCGAGAAAAUAGGCCUGGAGUUGAAUUUCCUGUAGAAGAGAAGGAUGUGGAGUAUAUGGUGGAAGAAUUUGUGGAUAAAGAAAAGGCUAGGGUACUGAGAAAGGAGAGAGAACUUGCUCUUGCCAAAAGAGCCCUGCACAAGUAUUCUACUGAUUCUAAUUAUCAGUUCUUACAUGAUCAGAUUUCAGAUUUAUUUGCUGAACUUCUGAAAUCUGAUAUUCAGUAUUUAAACUCCGGUGAGCUUUACAAGAUUAGUCUCGCAUCCAAAUGGUGUCCCACAAUUGAUUCUUCUUAUGAUAAAUCCACCUUGAUAUGUGAAAAUAUUGCUCGAAAGGUUUAUUCUCGCGAGGAAUAUAUAUCCAGAAUACCAAGGAAUUGAGGAGGCUCACUAUGUUAAUAGAGUCAGGGAUAGGUUGAGAAAACAAGUACUUGUUCCAUUACGUAAGGCCCUGGAGUUGCCAGAGGUUUUCAUGUGUUCGAACCAGUGGGGAUCACUUCCCUACAACCGUGUGGCUUCAGUGGCCAUGAAAUCAUACAAGAGCCUCUUCUCAAAACAUGAUACAGAGCGGUUUGGUGUGUAUCUUGAGAAAGUGCAAACUGGGAAGGCUAAGAUUGCAGCUGGUGCAUUACUUCCCCAUGAGAUUAUAGCUUCAUUGAAUGAGGAGGAUGGCGAGAAAGUUGCAGAGCUUCAGUGGGCGAGAAUGGUGGAAGAUUUAUCAAAGAAUGGGAGGCUCACAAAUUGCAGUGCGGUAUGUGACGUAUCAGGAAGUAUGAGUGGAACUCCAAUGAAGGUGUGUGUGGCUCUGGGGCUGUUAGUUUCAGAGCUCAGUGAAGAUCCAUGGAAAGGUAAUGUAAUUACUUUCAGUGCAAGUCCUGAGCUUCACAAGAUCCAAGGAGACAGCCUUGUAUCCAAGACUGAAUUUGUGAGGAUGAUGGAAUGGGGUGCGAACACUGAUUUUCAGAAAGUUUUUGACAGAAUCUUACAAGUAGCAGUGGAGGGAAAUCUGAGUGAAGAUCAAAUGAUAAAGAGGGUUUUCGUUUUCACUGAUAUGGAGUUUGAUGAAGCUUGUGGGAGGUAUAACUAUUGUGAAUAUGACUAUGAUAUGGAGGAAAUUGAUGAGAGUCAGAAGGCAUCUCAGAAGUGGGAGACAGAUUAUGAAGUGAUACAGCGGAAAUUCCAGGACAAAGGAUAUGGAAAAGUUCCGGAGAUAGUGUUUUGGAACCUUAGAAACUCAUCAGAGACUCCAGUGAUGGCCACAGAGAACGGGGUGGCCUUAGUAAGCGGGUUUUCGAAGAAUCUGUUAGACCUUGUUUUUGGAAGGAGGUGGAAUUCUGACCCCUCAGGAUGUGAUGGAAUUAGCCAUCUCUGGUGAAGAUUACAAGAAACUUGUUCUAUUUGAUUAAGAUAUCAAGAGAUUUAUCAAUAAUAAUAUGUUUUUUUUUUUCUAUGUGAAAUACAUGUAAUAUUAACUAUGGAGUUAUCAAAGUUCUGGAAAUUUAAUUAUUUCUUCUUUUCAAGUUUUGUUUGUCUUUGUUAGGAAUUCCCCUUGGGCGGACCCAGCUGGGGACUUGGAUUGAGGAAGUAAGGAGGCGAAAUUGUGUUCUUCUAUGGACAGAGAAAAAAGAUAAAAAUAAAAAAUAAAAAAGGAGGUUAUUUGCAUUUGGAUGUCAUGUGGUUUCAGGGUACAACUACAAGUUCGAAAUUGUACAUAAUGUGAAAAUUCCUGUGUGGAGAACAGCAUAAAUAUGUAUCUCAGUGUGUUUUGUUUGAGCUAAUUGGCAAAUUCGCUUUAAACAUGGUCACAUGGAUGCAUAUUUAUUUGUGAAAUGAUAGUAGUCGAUUACUUGGUCAGUAAGGUUUGUAUCUCUAACUCCAACAUCUUAUUGUAGUCUUUUAAAAUGUCAAAAGUUUAAUGCUAGCUUGAGAAAUUUUGGAAUGGAGACAUUCUAAACAAAGUUAAUAAUCCAUGAGACUUGGUAAAACCGAUCAGAUGAUGCUUACGUACAUGAAUGCCUUCUUUAAGCCGUAUCCUAUUUUCAUUGAAUGAGACGUGCCAUCUAGUUUUGUUCUUGUCUUGAUUGGAUCAUGAUCCCGGGAAUUGAUUACUGUUCUGAAUUUGCGAAUGUUCAAGGUAUUAGAGAAAGUUAAUAUUAUCGUUAAUUUACAUAUUAGUAUUUAUCUAGUUAUUAUAUAUUAGUUUGAAUUAUAAUAUAAUAUAGAAUUUGAAUCAAGUUUACUAUUAGUUUGAAUUACAAUAGGAAAUAAAGUUUGAAUUAUAGUAUAACUCAAAUAUAUUUGUAUAUAAAUAUCCAUCUUUAUCAAUGAGAAUAGUAAACCAUAUUUUUCUCUAUCUUCUUCUUUCUCUAUAUAUAUGGUAUCAAAGCCUCCAAAUCCUAAACCUAGUCUCAACUUAGAGCAAAUUUAGGGUGCAGGGUUUAGGCCCCGCCUCCCCCAACCCUUACCACAAAUGGUAGUGACCUUGUUAUGCCUAUGUAUUGUCAAUGCCUCAUUUUCUAUGGUCUUCAAUACAAUAUCUAGUUUCAAUGUCUCUUUCCUUACUAUCUCCAAUGCAAUAUAUUGAUUUCAAUAUCUCUUUACAACCAAGAGCUCCAAAUUUUCCUGGUUCAAAUCUACCAUAAUUUUUAUUCUCCUUUGCUUUUUACCAAUAUUAGUUCCCCUAAUUUAAUAUAUAUCUCUUUAUUACCUUCAACUCUACCUCUCUCUUUCUUUAAAAGCUUCCUCAAAGAUUUGAUUGCUUUCUUGCAUGUUUUGGGAAAACAAACAUGCUCAUAUUCUAUUACCUCUACUUGAGAUCUGCCUUAUACUCUACCUUCUUCUUUACCUCCUAUAUCAUCUACUACAUUAGCUUCAAAAACAUUAUUUAGUUUGAUGCUAAAUAAGGCUCCUAAUCCUACCCUUCCUUCAACUAACUUUCUUUUACAAGUCCCUCAAAGUUUUUUUUUUUUUUUUUUUGGAAAUUUGGCUUAGAAAGAUUUCAUUACUCUUACCUAAUCUUUCAACCAUCAAGUCGAAUCCACUUAUCUCUUGAAUCCAAGGAGACUACCCUCCACAAAAACAAGGAGAUUGACCCCCACAAUAACAAAGAGAUUGUCCUCCAUAGAAACAAAGAGAGCUUCCUUCAUGGAAGCCGAAUACAUCGCAAUCUAUUUUCUUUCUCUCAAGAUCAAAUCUCCAAUCGGAGCUCCAUCUUGUGGGGAUAUAUUAGAAAAAGUUAAUAUUAUCCUUAAUUUACAUAUUAGUAUUUAUCUAUAUUAUAUAUUGAAUUAGAAUAGAAUAUAGAAUUUGAAUUAAGUUUACUAUUAGUUUAAAUUACAAUAGGAAAUAGAGUUUGAAUUAUAGUAGAACUCAAAUAUAUUUAUAUAUAAAUAUCCAUCAUUAUCAAUGAGAAUAGUAUUCCAUAUUUUUCUCUUUCCCUGAGGCUUCAGAAUGUGAUCUUGAACAUUUGAUCUUUUGGAUUCUUCUUGUUUCGGUGGUUUAAUAUAAUGGAAUGUUUAAUUAUAGCCUACUUUAUCACCAUGGAUGUGCUCCUGCAGAUUUCUUGAGGGUGAUGGUUAUUUUGUCAUGUUUCUUGAAUGGUUUGCAUCAGCUGCCUGAGCUGUUGUUGCUGGUCACUUUUGCAACCAGGGAAAGAAUCAUGGCUUUGGAGAAGCCAGCUUCUGUUUUUGUUGCCCAGCUGUUAGUUCACUAAGAUUGGGGGUCCUAACAUGUAUGUAUAAUCAUAAGCAAGGAAAUUUUAUGUCUUACGCUAGAUAGGUACCAUGAUAUGAUGUUUGAUUGAUUUAUUAACUCUACCUGUUUCAAAAGGCAUCAACAUUAAUUUUACCCUUUUAACACAUUGGAUUGUUUGACCUUACGAGAUUUUCUAUUUCUGUACUAUUUGAACUGCAAUCGUUAUGGUCCUUAGGUCUCUAAACCUUCGUUUAAAAUAAAAGUAAGGAGCACACAUAGUAAAAGUUAAUUUUGGGUAACUUUUAAAACAAAGAGAAAAGUAAAAGUUGUUUUUGAGAAAAACAUAUAGAAAUUGAAAGAUUUUUUAUUUUGAGAAAAAAAAGUCAUAGAAAAGAAAUAAUAUCCCCAUAUAAGUAGAUAUGAUCUAUCCGAAGUGUAGCUACUCUCCUGGAUUUAUUCUAACAUUUUAAAAUUUUUCUCAAUGGGCAAAGGAAUAUCAAAUCAAGCUUGAGUAGGAUUAAUUUCUUAAUUUUUAAAAUAACUUAUAAUUAAAAUUUUUUGGUGUUUUCUUUUUUGGACAAUUUUUUAUGAAGACUCUGAAUCAUGCAAGAGAUAUGGUUAUUUUAAAAAAAAAAAUAAUUUAAAACUCAAAUACAUAAUCAAUGUCACAAAUUUAUAAACAAAAGGUUUUUAAAAAAUACUAUUAUUUCCCCUCUACACAUAAUUUUACUUUUCCGAUUUAUUUAUUUUUGUUGGAAAACAGUCUUCAAAUCAAGUAAAAUUAAUAUGUUAAAUUUGUUAAACAAAUAAAUUUUAAAAUACAAUUUGGAACUCAAAAAUCAAUUCAAGUAAUGCUAAAAUUCAAAAAAUCAAAUUUGGAAUAAAAUGACUUUGUAAAUUUUUUUACUAAACAAAUGAAUUUUAAAUCAAGUGAGAUUUAAUACAUUGGAUUUUUAUGAGAAUAGUAAUUUUAAAAAUUAAUUUGGAACUCAAAAAUAGACACAAUAAAUACCAAAAAUCAAUGAACCAAAAUUGGUUUGGAAUAACUCCAUAAUUUUUUAUUUAUUUAUAUAUUUAUUUUUUUGUGCACACGAAUUUCUUACUAAGCAUAUUGCUUCCAAAUUGAGAAAAAUUUACUAUUUAGAUUUUUUUAAUGAGUUUAAUGGUAUUUAAAAAUAAUUCAAAAAUUCGAAAAUUGACUAAUUUAAUAUUAUAAAUUCAUAAACCAAGACUAAUUCAAAAUGCAUUGGGGGCUAAGGGGGUUGAAAUUAAUGCUCCAUUUGGUUGUGGCCACCAAUUGGCAAUGGCCACCAAUCAACCAAUCAAGGUGGCUAAGGGGGUUGAAAAUAGGGACAAUGGGGUGGGUUUGGGACAGGACACUCAUAUCCCAUUCCCAUCCCAAUUACACAGUUAUUUCCCAUCCUUAUUCCAAACUUGUGUUGGGGCAAGUUGAUUUGUUCCCAUCUUUGUUAACGAAAUGACUAAUAACCUCAUCCUCUCCUUGUCUUAGAUGUACAUUUUCUCAAAUUUGGUCAGGUAUGAUUGAUUCAAGCCCUAACCUUAAUUGGUAAUGAGUGGAUACCACACCUAAUUGCAUUCUUCUUUCGUUGCAAAAUAAUGAGAUUAUAAUAAUCUAGCAAAUAAGAAAAAAUAGUAUGGAAGUUCAAAUUAACACCAUAACUAUCAAUAAUUUUAAGCUUAUAGAUGACUUAAAUGAUUGAAAACUAAUGCAAAAUACUAAAAAAAAAAAAAAUCAUCUAAAGAAUUCACAAGAGAAUAGAACGAACAAAACCAAAUAGGAACAUGGGUCAACAUUAGUUACAGAUUUUGAUCCCUUUCAAGGCCAAUCUUUGAACCAAGACUUCAUCAAAUCUACUACUUCAAAGGCUUUUGUGUUCUUCUUGAGUUGUACUCUGGAACAAAGACUUCGAGGUGAUGCUUUAGAUGAUUGCAUUACACAUAUUUAGGGUAGGGAGAUUGGAGAAGCUUGAAGAUGCCAACGAUGGGUACAAUUGAGUGGUCAAUAAGAACAAUGUGGCCUAUGACUAGUUUGAUGUCAUGGUAUAGGAGUUUUGGGCAUUGAGGUGAAAGCAAGAGCAACAUGGAAUUGAUUUCAAAGUCUUUCAAUUAGUGUAAAGGAGGAAGAAGAAGUGGUAUUGAUCCUAGAAAUAGUGUUUUAGGUGUUGCAUUAGAGGAAAAGAAAAAGAAAAAGAAGGAACCAUUGGAAUUAGUACGAGUGUGAAGAGAGAAGUGUAUACAUAAGGGGAAGUAAAAGCAAAGUUCUAAAAAUUUAUUUUUUUAUUGGUGGUGUAUGGUUGCAUGAUUAUCCCUAUAAAUAAUAGGAGUUUUUUGGUGUUCUACUAGUAGUUGAAGGAUAAUUUCAUAAGAUAAUAUUUAGAGCGGGGUGGGGUGAGUUGUGACAAAAUCCAUACCCGUCCCAAACAUUGGUUCAGGUUUUUAAAAUAUUUUCAAACUUAUCAUAUACCCAAUUUUAUAUUUCAUACUUGUCCUAAUAGAGACAGGUUAGUCAGGGUUACUUGAGUAGCCUACAAAACUAUCAUCCCUAGUUGAAAUGCUCUUUUUGGCAGUGGCAGCUAGAAGCUCGAUCGAUUGACCUACAAGACUAGUUGUCAUCAUUUUAAAAAGAGUUUUGGCUUUGGUUGUGAGUGCAAUUGAAUCUAAACUAACAUUUCCUUAAUGCAUCUACUUCAAUCCUAAACUUCUUACUUAAGCCUCAAUUGUUGUUAAGAUUUUGGAAAACCCAUUUCCUUAAAUUGUAAAUUUAAGAAAAAAAAAAUUAAAAGUGAGACAUUUCUUGAUUGAAUGUUGUUAAAGGUCCCUUGGAAUUAAGACUUGGUUGAAGCCUUGGAAGAUUAGCAGAACUCUCAACUUAUGUUUGAACCUUGAGGAGAGUGGACGUAGGCCAAAAUUUUGUCAAACCAUUAUACAAAUUGAGUUUGAAUUCUCAUUUCUUGAUUUCUUAUUUAUUUGCUUUUUCUUAUUAUUACUUGAAUUGUCAUUUGCAUUCAUUAAUGUUAAAAUUGGUUAUAAUUAGCCAACACUAAUUCUCUUUCCCCUUCCCUUAAUUUCUUGGGUGUAAACCUAGGUUGGAUUAACUAGAUUUUAUCAAAUCUAUUAAGAUGGUAAAAGAAUAAUUAUUCUUAACAUACAUAAGAUCAUCUUCAAUCAAAUGACUCAUUGGCUGAUAUGUUGAAUUUGCUUAUUACUUGCAACUCAAAAUUGUGUUCUAGUUGAUAUGUCAAGUCCUGAGUGUAUGGACAUUAAAUUUGUAGUACGUGAUGAGUAUUUAGAUGGUCCAAUUCCAAGAAAGUGAUUGAAAACUAGUUCAAGAAAGGUGCAAAAGGGAAUUGUUUUGGUAUUUUCGUUUUUAUUCUUGAAGGUGGCAGAGCUAAAAUUUGAGAAAUCAAGCAAAACAUACUGAAAUUACAUUGAAAGAAAGAAAAUGGGAGUUAAUGUCUUGCAGUACAUGAUAAGGACUUCAUGCAUGUAGUGUGACCCAUGUCUUGGACUGAUGCCACACUCACGGUUACACUUAUACCCUUAGUUCUCUCUUUACUACCUUAGCUAACCUAGAUCAGGUUAUGAGAUAGGCACCUCACCACACCAUUACUUGCCCAUUAAUUAGUGACAUUUUCAAGCAAUGAGGUAACAUGGUGACACCAAGAGGGUAUAUUCCUCACCCCCAACAAGCCUAGACCUGGUCUAAAAAAAAUGGAGAAAAAUGACGUGUUGUUAUGCAGAAAUAUAGCAACCAUGCCUUCCUCAUUACUUAGAUUCAGAAUGUGAAGGUGAAAUUGAGAAACAGAAACUCUUGAAACCAAAAUGAAAAUUGAUACUUUUACGAAGAAUUACAACAACAUUAGAGGAAGACUACAUUCUUCCUCUUUAUUCCUACAUUUCUACACUACUUCUACUCCACUCCAUAUUUCUACAUACAUCUUUAAUCAGUCUUCCCUCCUUUAUAUAGAGCCAUCUUCACACAAAUUCCGCAAGGUAGAAAAGAGGAAUGAAACUUGGAGCAAGGUUCGACUACUGGCUGUAGCUUGUCAAGGCUGAAAGUGAACUUUUUUUCUUGGCUUUUCUGGGCAUAGGUAGUAACUUGUAGGUUCCUUUUUGGAAUGAAAAUGGUACGGCUAGAACAUGUGGCACUCUCUUGUUGGAUGAUGUGUCAAGCAUGUGGCAGCCAUCUAGUGGAGAUUAUGUCAAUUUUGGGAUGGAGAGUUGGCAUCCAAUUGCAAAGAAAUAUGACAUCUACCAACAUGCAAUGUCAACCUAUGUAGAUCAUAUGAAGAUAGAGAGGAAAAAUAUAGAAAUGGAUAUAUAACUAGAACUAGCUUUUUAUUAAAUGAGACGGAGAGCCAACAAUGAAGGAAAAUCAAAAUUUUUGGCUCAUAUCAAAGAAUUCACAUUGUGUUACCCUAGGUUUUCUUAAAACUUACUUUUAUGAUAAUAAAAAAUCAUUAUUGUUUAAUCCUUUGUUUUAAACGCAUGUUUAGCAGGUUGUAAAAUGUAAAUAUCUUUCGAAAUUCAAAUAUGAAGAUAUGACAUCAUUUCAAGCAAUAUAGUCUCUAGGAAUUAAUGUAAAGCUAAAUUAAGGUGCAAUUAAGUUAGUUCAAUGCAUUAUUUUAAGAAACUUGACCUAUCAAAACCUUGUCUUACUUCAAAGCCUCUUUUUCUUUUCUUCCAACUAACAUUUUAAUAAGUGAUCGCAAAAGUACAAAAUUAGAUGAAAUCCAUUUCAAUGGUUAAAAUGAUCAAAUUCAAACUUUUUCUAAGUAUCUUUUAAAAGCAUCAAUAUUGAAAGACAAUUUUAUAUUUAGUCAAAGCUUGGACAGAGCCAAAAAGCACACAAAAAUUUAUAUUUUCUAGCUCUCUACCUUGGAUGGUCUCUUGAUCCUACUUGGAGAUGUGCAUAAAUAAAAGGAUUUGAAAAUGACAAUUGACUAAGUAUGUAGUCAAUCAAUUACUCAUUGAUUGACUAGUUGAUCAAUUAACUUUGCAACAUCAUAUGCAAUCCUAAUAGCUAGUCAUCUAAUCAACUAGGUAGUAAAUCAAUAGGCCAAAAAUAUGUUUAUAAUGACUAUUUUGUACAAAAACCACUUAUAUAGUUAAAUAUAAUGCAUUUCAUUUAUAAAUCUUCUAAUUCUUGAAUAACAAUCCUAUCAUCCUUUGAAAGUUUUUAUUACACCUUUUCUACAUUUGUUCUAAAACUUAUACAUCACCCUUAAUUGUACCAUGAGAACCUAGCAUUUUUUUUUUUUUUUUUGUAUUUCAUCAAAGUUAGCUCUUGUACUCAUUGUUGUAUUAUUUUUAUUGUAACUUAGAGAGCGAGUGUUUUCAAGUGAGUGAAAUUGACUUGUAAAUAUUGUAAAGAUUCAUUGAUAUGUAUCUCAAACUAGGUGUACAAGUUGAAACAUUUGCUAGUAGAUUUUCUCAAGAUUUAGAAUGAGCUUAAGGCUAUCGAAUUAGGUGGGGUUGCGCCAAACCAUAUCACAUCGUUGUUUGCACCUUUUUUUUCACUCUCUUUUACUUAGUUGCUCUAUAUAUAUUGUCUAGCAAUAUCCUAAAGGCUUGAUGGGCUAGGGAGCAUCCCUCUGAAUGAAAAAUUUUCAUUCAAUUCUUAGUUGUAUUACGCAUAUAUAAAAUGCCUCAUUGUUUUAAUGGUAUUCAGUCGUGGCACCACAGAUAUGGACAUCUAAAUUUUAAAAGUUUGAAACUUUUAGCUAAAGAAAAUAUGGUGCUUUGCCUUUUUGGAAAGCAUGUUGAUGAAAUCCAUGAGAAUUGUAUACUUGGAGAGCAACAUCGAGAUAACUUUUUUUUUUUCUUUUUUUAUAAUGCAUUGUUUGUCCAAAUUCCGUACAAAUUAGGCCACCACAUGUUCAUAAUUCUCCCUUCUUGAAUUUGAAAACUCGGACAAUUUGACAAUGCGACACCUAAGUCCGGUUUUUAAAUGCUAAAGUGAAAGGGCAGGUAUGGACCAUUGAAAUGUGAUAACAACUUUUGGCCUUUUCCUUUUCUCUGUAGCCAUGUUGUCUCUUUUUAAUUUCUUUUGCAUGAUUUUCUUACCUAAACAGAAUCAUAGACUUGUUUAAUCUCUAAGUGGGAUUUCAUCCACCUUAAGCUACUGUAUUAUAUCUCGGUGGAGGACAACCGACAUAGAGCACAUGCAAGUGGGUAUAUGGGACAUGAAAUAUCUUCUUAUAAAGCUUGUUUUGCAGUUAAAUUAAUUGGAUAAGUAGACACUGGCGUUUCUAAAUUUCCCACCUAAGAUAAUGACCUUAUCCUUGACUGCUAGAUACACAAACAAUUAUACCUUCAAAAUCUACUGUGAAGUGCUUCAUGUAUGUGUGAAGUAUUAGAAAUUUCUUUCUUGGCAACUUGUUUUUUUCUUUGCGGUCUACUGAUAGGUUUGACUAAAAUUAUAUUCCCUGUCCUGCUAAUUAAUUUUCACGUGCAUGCUCAAAAGAAGAGUAUGACCUUAGUGCACCAAAAUCACUUUCAAUAAUUUGUGAUAAGUUUUUUUGCAUGACAUUAACCUUAUUCAUUUAGAUAAUGUUUAGUUCUCAUAAAUAUUAAGAAAAUGAAAAUAAAUAUUAAGAAAAAUAUUCUUAUAUUUGAUUGUAUUAUGAAAAAUAUCAUAAAAAAUCAAAUAUAAUUAAAAUUAAUUAAUAAUUUAUAUAUUUUAAAAUUAUUUAAUUUUUAUAUUAAAGAUAUAAUAUAAAUGAAAUGAGUUUUAAGUAUUAUAUAAAAAUGAUUUAUUUAUUUAUUUAUAUAUAUAUAUAUAUAUAUAUUUAGUUUUUCUCUUUAUUUUAUUUUCCUUAUGUUUUCCUCACAUUUUCCGGAAUCAAAGAUAGGGAAAUCCACAAUUACCUUCAACUGAGUAGAUUCUAUUGUUUUAGCAAUGUUAGGCUGCUAACUUGUGGUGGUACGAACCAAAUGAUCCAUGUUAAUCUUGGCUUGAUUUAAUUUGGCUCUAUCUCAGAGAACUCAAGGAUCACGUCAACUCUGGUUUCUACUAUUCAGGUCCAUUCCCAGAUGAACUGGUUCAAAUUUGAGAAAAUGGUAACAGACCUUUAGUGAUAUUGGUUUGGAGCCAGUUGCCAAACCUGCCCUGAGCUUUACCACUAAUGUCAAGGGACAAAGCCAUUUGAACAAAAACAAUAGCUUCAAGAGACUGAAUCGUGGAUGAAAUCUGAUCCACAUUUCUUCUCAUUUUGGGAAAAAAUGAGGACUUAACCACAAAGAUUCUACUGCCUCAUAGUGCUUUUCCUGAUCUAAGGUUGGCUCGUUUCCCAAAUUGUGAGGUGCACGUGCCACUCUCACGCUCAGGAGUGUAUCCACGUGGUGGACAUAAGAUGGUGGCUUAAUAUCUGGUGUCGGUGGCUUUACUUUACUAGGAGAGUAGUGUGUCUUCAUCUCAUUCACUGCCAGAGGGUGGCGUAAGCAGUGACGCUAAGGUGGGGCACAGUCAAUAUCAUUUGCAUUUGACCAUUAUAAUUUUCUCCCGGCUUUAAAGUAACCUUAUCGUGAUAAUGGAUUACUAGCACUAGUUCAGAUGACAGUCAUGUUAAAUUCGGACCAUGUUUGUGUCACAUUAUCAGCAACCAUGUGCUUGUGGUUCAUGCUAUCUGCAACUAAACUUGAUAUAUAACCAGGUGAACUUCAAUCUAAAUUCUGGAAGUACUCAUGUGAUAGAUGGUGCCUGUCUGCAGUGAGUGUAUCUAUAAGAGGGAAGGCUUGGCAAAUGUUCAGUUUUCUGGGAAUUCAACAGGGAUCUAAAAUAGAUUGUUUUCUUUGCUGAUUUCAAUGGUUGAAAUUUGAGAAGAUUGUGUCCACAUAACACAACUAUUACUGGUCCUUCUGUUGCAAUUUAUCCUCUAAGGCUCUAACAUGUCUUCCAAUUCCCACUUCCCACUUCCCUGUUACUCCAGGAAAGCUGUUUCUGUCAUUGUGAAGAAGAAAAGAGACUGUACAUAUCGAUGCUUUUAAGUGGACUGGAGAAUUCAUAUCAGGUGGUCUGCAGCCAUACAUGCCACUUUGUGAAGGUUGGAACAGUCAAUCACUAGGCUAUAUUAGUGGGGCCCAGCCACUUCAAUCAAGGACAAGUCUUCAUACUUAAAGUCAAAUUCUGCCUUUAGUCUCAUUAUAAAUUGCUGUUUAAAUAUCAAGCAAACAUUUGUUUAAUGCGAUUAAGACAGCACUAACUCAAUACUUGUUCUAUUUUUGGAUGCAAAUGCUUGAUAGUUUCAUCAUUGGAGGGGAUAAAGGUGCAUUCAUGAUUAUGAAUACUUGUAGUUAUAUUUUCAUUCUCUUUUUUCUCAAUGGGACUUGUUGGCACAAUUUUGCUGUUCAGAAACCUACCUCUCCAUGGAAAAUCAGUUGUGAUUGAUAUUACUGGAUAUAUUCAAGAAAGCUAAAUGUAGAUAGCACAAAAUAUUAUCGACAUAAAUAGCAUUAACAGCGUACGUAUGUCUCAAUGCUCAUCAGCUAUAAGCAAGGGGCAAACACUUACUAUGAGCAACUUACGUCAAAAUUCCGGAAUAGGACAUAGAAGUGACAGGUCAGUAAAUAUAGAACACUGCAUAUGAGUCACAAGAAAGGAAAUUACGGGUACAUAGCAGCUCUUAUUUUACAUCCUACUCAUACUGAUCAAAGUCACUCAGUUGGGAUGGGUGGGAGUGGGAGGUUUGUGGGGUGGCUUGUGCGGAGGAGUUGGCAGCUUCUUUCCAGGACCUGGUUGCUUCUCUGCUGGAGUUGAAGGAGGCUUAAUCUUCCGAGGUGGCUUGUAUGAGUCUUCAGCAUUCUCAGCAGGAGGGUGACCAGGGUUGUGACCACAAUGUGGUGGCUUCUCUCCCUUAGGUGGUUUGCCAACUGGGGUUGGUGGCUUGUGUUCCGGAAGUGGCUUCUCUUUGUGUUCAGGAGGUGGCUUCUCCACUGGAGGCUUGUGUUCAGGAGGUGGCUUCUCCACCGGAGGCUUGUGUUCAGGAGGUGGCUUCUCCACCGGAGGCUUGUGUUCAGGAGGUGGCUUCUCCACCGGAGGCUUAUGCUCUGGUGGUGGCUUCUCCACCGGAGGCUUAUGCUCUGGUGGUGGCUUCUCCACCGGAGGCUUAUGCAAUGGUGGUGGCUUCUCCACCGGAGGCUUGUGUUCAGGAGGUGGCUUCUCUACCGGAGGCUUAUGCUCUGGUGGUGGCUUCUCCACCGGAGGCUUAUGCUCUGGUGGUGGCUUCUCCACCGGAGGCUUGUGUUCAGGAGGUGGCUUCUCCACCGGAGGCUUGUGUUCAGGAGGUGGCUUCUCCACCGGAGGCUUGUGCUCUGGUGGUGGCUUCUCCACCGGAGGCUUAUGCUCUGGUGGUGGCUUCUCCACCGGAGGCUUGUGUUCAGGAGGUGGCUUCUCCACCGGAGGCUUAUGCUCUGGUGGUGGCUUCUCCACCGGAGGCUUGUGUUCAGGAGGUGGCUUCUCCACCGGAGGCUUAUGCUCUGGUGGUGGCUUCUCCACAGGAGGCUUGUGUUCAGGAGGUGGCUUCUCCACCGGAGGCUUAUGCUCUGGUGGUGGCUUCUCGAAUGGGGGAUGCGUAGGGUAAUCAGCUAGUGAGGGGGCGGUGAGAACCACCAGGCCAAGCAACACUACUAGCAAGUAUGUAGGAGACAUCUUUGGGUUUGGGCUCAGAUGGUGCAAAACUAGGAGAAUUGGCUAGCCUUUUAUAGCGGAUCGUACCCAAUAAUGAAAUGACACGUGUCAUUAUGACCCAUGUGUCAUGUGGUCGAUUUGGGUCCUACAGUGUUGAAAACUUCGACAUCCACUUUUUUGGCCUUUUGCUUUCUCUACAGUCGCCUUGCUUUUUCCCUCUUUUCUUUUGUUUUCCUCCUGCCCCAUUCUAUCAACUAAUCACAAUUAUGUAGUUGUUUAAUUCUUAAAUGAGAUAUUAUCCGUCAAUCAUAUUAUCUUUUAUCAAGAGAGAACGGAGUGAAAAGUGGCAAUCCAAAGAAAGAAGAUCCAUAAUGCAGCUGUAAUUUUAUCGUUUACUUUUAUCUCUAGGACCACUGCAUUUUUGUUGAGAGGUGCAAUAAUACACGUCUUUAUCUGCCAUUCAAUGUUUACAGUAAAGAGAGGGCACAAAACUCUUCACUGCUCUGCAUGUGCCCCAAAAAUGCAAUUGGACAAAUUAUGAUUUGCAUGCUAAAAAGAGGCAAAUGAGGUUAAUUAGCACCAAAAUUAUUUUGUUUUCUGGACACCCCGGGGCCCUUUGGUUGGUUUGGGGGUCAGAAAAUGAACAUCAUAGGGGGUUUUUCCCUAAUGUGCAUUUGCAUUUGUAUCUGAUGGCUUUAACUCGCCUUGUUACUACAAAGAAAUUGUCACAGAUAGGAACUUAUUCCAGGCUGAGUAUCUCCGCAUGGACCCUAUAAAAGAAGACAAGUCAUAAUGAACAUCUAACCUUUGUUCAAUUUGAUUCAAUGCCCCUAUUGUGUCCAUCUCACAAAUCUGAAUUAUUAUAUCCAUUGAAUACAUAAAUUAAUGAAGAAAAUAUGAAACCCAAGAUACAUCUCUGCACAACCUCAACCCUGGUUGCUAUGUUUCACUUCUAUUCACAUGAGGAUAUUGAUUACGGAAUAAGGAAACCUAGCAAGGGUUUACUCGGCUCUGGUUUGAUGCUAAUUGCCAAACUUGCAACAAGCCCUGAGUUUGACACCUAAUCGAUGGGCGAAUUAAAAGUCUCCUCCAAACAUAUAUUCCACAGCUUGAAGCUCACAGAAGAUGCUAUACAGGCAGGGAAAAACCUUCAGAGUUAGCUACCAAAGAUAAUUAUCAAGGAGAUAUCACCAAGAGAAUUCCAUGGAGUCUGAAUCAAAGACAAAUUGCUCGCUCGUGGGGGUUCUUACUUAAUUUCUUUUGGGUAUAACUCACUGAGGGCACUGGCUUUGUUAUUUGCAUUUCGCAUUUAGAGUUCUGUUCUGGAAGGUUUGUUCUGGAAACAUAUAAAAGGAGCAUCAUUUUGUUCUAGGGUAACCCAUAGUUGUGAGUGGGUCCAUUUGCAUGCUACUUAGUUGAAAAGUUGGACAAUUUGCUCCGACGCCUACCUCCUGGAUUCCAUGCUCGGAUAAAGCAAGAAUAAUAAAAUAUUUAUAAUUUACAAAUGGGGGAAAGAAAAAAAUGUCAACAACAAACUAGGAAAAAAGAGUAGUAAAAUUUAUGCCACAUGCUAUUGAUAGAAGGGGCAUGUAUUAGAUCCAUCACCAUUUGGUAAGAUUUUAGUAUUAUAUUUUUCAAGGUUCAUUAUUUGAGGGUGUGUUCUUCAUCUCUGUUGCAUUGCUUCUUACUAGGCCCACUGAGGUGGGUUCUUCACCUUUUGUAUAUUCUCUGCACUAGAUCAAUGAGAAAGGGGGAAUUUUGGUGAAUUUGCAGCCGUUGGAUGAUUGAUUCUAGGCUCAGUCCACCAAUGAUGCUCUCUUCACUCUUUCUCAUCUAGUGUCAUUCACAACUAUGUUUUGAUUCAUAUUUGUACUAUCAAAGAUAUCUCAUUAUUCUAGCUCAUUAGGUAGAGUUCCUAAUCUUCCUCCUUUUUGGUCUAUGGACAGUAUUGGCUUCAUAUUAAGAUCAUGUUUCAAUAAUUGCACAUUAAUGAAUGGAUCAUGACCCACAUAAACAGAGUCAGGGUUGAGUCAGUGAACCCUAAAAUUUCACAAUUCUAAAUUUGGGUUCUUUAACAAUGCAGGGUCAAGGACGCGUGGUGAUGAAGGAAAGCUGGUAAGCUCAGUGUUACUUCAAUUCCUGCCAUGUAGGAUGGUGAGGAGAUAUUCACUAUGCAAUUAAUAAUAGACAAUAUUCACUAUGCAAUAAUAAAGCAUAAAUUAAGUUGAAUGAAAAGCAUUUUCUUUGCAAGGAGUUGAUUUUGGUUUCAUAGUUUGUUCAACUGCUAUUUUGGAUAGGAAAGUGUGAGGAGAAGAAAAUAAAAAAUAAAAAUAAAACAAAAAAUAAAAAAUAGAUUUUAUAAAUUCAUUUAAUUUAUUUUUUUUUUAUAAAAAUUAACUAAUUUAAAAUAUAUGUAAAUUUCUAAUUAAUUUAAUUACAUUUUUUUUUUCAGUUUUUCAUAAUAAACCAAAUAUUAGAAAAUUAUUUUUAUUAAGACACCCAAGAUGAGGUAAUAUGCAAUGAAAACAUGAAUUAUAUUAAAAUUCAAAACAAAUUAAGAGAAAUCGGAAAAUAUACAUAGAUAUCUAAACAAAGAAAUUUAAAGAGAAGGAACCACAAACUUUAUUUACAUAAUUUGAAAAUAAAAAACAUAAAACAUACUUAUAGUAAGGAGAAAUUGAAUAUCUUACAAUGGAAGAAGGGAGAAAAGCUUUGAAGAAAGCUUUUGCUUGGAAGCUUACAUGGUGAGAGGUAGAGAAAGGAGAGAGAGAGAAGAAAAUGAAAAAUGAGAAGUGGAGAAAAUUGGAAGUUUUGUGUGCUUACAACUGAGGAUAGAGCCUCCUUAAAUAGCAAAAAAUGGAAUAUUAAAUAGUACCAAUCAGGAGACAAAAUAUUGUUUGCUUUUGAAACCCGUGCAUGAAUAGUAAUCCCGUGAGUGAAUAGUGAAUAAUAAAAGUGAAUAGUAAAAGUCACUUUCUACUAUAGCACUUUAGACUUUUUCAUCGAGAAUCUUACUUUCGGCUGAGUGAUGAUAGCUGAUAGGUUGCUUUGGAUUGUGGAGUCAUAUGUUUGAUGUUUUCGGUGCUGAAACCGCUUAGUUGGAGAAUAAUCUCGUCAGUAGAGCAUCAUGAGAAGCUUGAAUGGAGAGAGCUUAAUGAUGCCAUAUGAUUGGAAGGAAUCCUAUUUUAAUUUCCUUAUUGGAGGGAGAAUACCCUCACAAUCAUCUUCAUUAUCUUGAAGGUAGUUUGAUAUAGAGUCAUCUGACUCAGCAUAAGAGUCCUCUUGGGAGAAGCUUGAACUGCUUUUGUCAAGGAUUUUCUGAAAUUCUUGAGGGGUUUUUGCUAUUGCUAACAUGGUUUGGAGUUGCUGUUUCUUAAGAAGAAACUGUGCAAUAUCAUAAGAUGAUGAAGCUUGUGUAGGAUGCUUUAGGAAAUAUUGCUUUAUUGCUUGUAGUGAGGUAUCAUUUUUCAAGGCAUCCCACCACUUAGACUUGAAAGUCCUUCCAAGGGUUGGAAAGGCUGCUGAUUCAUCUGCUAUAAUGAUAUAAUCCCACUGGACUAUCCAGGCAAGGCCAAAUUCACUAAAAAAGAAUAAUAAUUGGGGAAAACUGAAAGUUCUCUAGGGAUAACAAAAGAACUUUGGAAUAGCUCAAAGCCAUCCAAAAUGGGUUUUGGGAGAAUUUUAAUAGUUGGACCAAAAUAUGUCCACCAAUUGUGGAACCAAAAUGGAAAAGAGGGGAGUUGAUGCUUAGAUGGGAAAUAGAACAUCCCUGAAUGAUGGAAGUCCUUGUUCUGGAUCAGAAAAGCAUUGAACCAUACUCUUUGGUAGUCUCAAUAAUUGAAAAUUUUAGGUUUUGAAGGCUUAGAAAAUUCUCUUGAAAAAUUAGGAUUCCCACCCCACUGCUUAACUGUAAGGAUUUUAUAAAUAUGGUAAGUGGAGAAUGCCAAAUCCAAAUUGCUGAAUUUAUCAGCAUUGUGCUUGAUUUUAACAGAGCCGGUUUCCAUAAGGAUUGCUUCAUAAAAUUCUCUUGUUUUUAAAAGAUCACCAAAGGGAUAAUGAAAAUUUUCAUGAAAAGCUUUUGCUGCAAUAUCUCUAGGGUUUUUAGAGAAAAACUCUUUUUCAAUAACCAAAAGAGGUUGAUUUAAAUCUUUUUGCCAAUAUCUUGCUUUUGCUGAAAGAGGUGUGGGGUUGGCUACCACCACAAUUUGCUUAUUUGAAAAAGAAGAGCUUGAUGCUAAUUCAUUUUGAGAGGGAUUAGCUUUAGUAACCUGCUUAAAGGUCUGAGACACAGUAAUAGUUGGAUACUGAGUAGCCUUGACUGGUUUAGAAGGAUUCGAAGGAUCAUAGUACAAGGACAAAAUCUUAUUAGGCAUAUGGUCAGAAGAAUGAAGCCUUGCUUCUUCUUCUAGCUCAACUUGUUGGCUCCAAAGUAUUUUAUGGGGAGAAGGUUCUUUGCUGGUUUUAGAAGACUAGGAUUCUGGAAGUUUAGGAGCUUGGGUAUUCUUUUUAGGGGCCAUGGUUUCGUGAAUCCUGUAAAAUUCACAAGUUAAGAAAUCAGGGCUCGAAGAAUGUUCUCCUUUAAUAUACUCAAUUUGUAAAUUAAAAUUGCUUAAAAUAGCUUGAUAUAUAGCAAAAAUAUGCUUAGAAGUUAUAUUCUUAACAUCCUUUUGUAAAACUAAUUUUGCAAAUUUACAAUCAACUCUUAAUAAAAACUUUUGAUUCAAAAGAUCAUCUUGAAAUUUUGAAAUGCAUAAAACAACGCUUAAAGUCUCUUUUUUAAUGAUGUUAUGAAUGAGUUGGGUAGUAUUCCAGGUUCUUGAAGUAUACCUAACUAACAUCUCAAGGUUACCAACACUUUGCUUAAGAAUCCCACCAUAACCUAUGUCUGAGGUAUCGAUCCCAACAAACUCAAAGGUUUCUGGAUUGAUAGAGCCUAAACAUGGUAGGGUCUUGACUUUGGACUUAACAUCAAUAAUGAAAACAAUGGUGAAAACAGAAAACUGGUUAAAGUUUUCAUCCAUUAUAUUCUGGAAUUCUGAGGUGCAUUCUUAAGAUCAAAGGGCAUUAUGAACCAUUCAUAAUGUCCAAGAGAUACCACAAAGGUGGUCUUAUUUGGAAUAGGACACCUAAUCCAACUUAAUGUAUCAUUAAGAGGCAUGUAGUUGACGACUAGUCUAGGUGUUCCUUUUUCUGAUUCAACUUGUUCCUGAACAUAGAAGGUUGAACAACUCCAAAGGGACUUAGACUUCCUUAUCAACUUUUUAUCAAGAAGAUCCCAAAUCUCCUUAUCACAAUAGCUUAACAAACCCUUGUUCAUCUGGAUAGGUCUUGAUUUAGUGGGAAUAUUCUUGUCACUAAAGUCUAGUUCAUAAGGUAAUUCUACCUCAUGUUGUUUCCUAUGCCAAAAUGCAUUAGGAAUGUUAGAGCAAACUUCUUCAACAAUCAGAUUAAUUUCUUGCUCAUGACUUUCCUUAGCUUGAAUCACCUGAUCCCUUAAGGUGUUUAUAUUUUUCUUAUUAGGUGGUUGGCAAAUUCAAAAAUAAUUUCCUUAUCUAAGAGCUUUGUUCUUAUACUUUGGUCAUCUACCCACAUGGGAUAGAUGGAGCUUAAAAAGGGGAUUCCAAGGAGAGCUUUCUCCUUAAGAUCCUUAACUAGAAUGAAGGUUUGCUUGAUGCAAAUGCCUUGGUUAUUUAUGUGAGCAUCUGACAGCUUAUACUCAAUGUCAAGCCUUUUACCAUUAGCUCCAAAGAGAGAUUCUUUGGUUUUCUUACAAAACUUAAUAGGACCUAGACCUUCUUGUAGGCAAUUCAAAGCUGUUCCUGAAUCAAUCAAAGCAACAAUAUCAAUGACAAAUUUACUCUUAAUUACUAUAGUAAGGGAGACUUUCCACCUCUGGAAAAUAACCCUACUAACAGUAUUUAAGUAUCCAUCCGUCUUUUCAUCAUUAGCAUGUGAAGAUUCUAGAACCUCUUCAAGGUUUUCCUAGUUAUCAACAAGAUUUUCUAUAACAAUCCUAUUUAUUUGUUCUUGGAGAUCUGAAAAACCUAAGCUUGUGUAUUGUCUUAAAUCUUUAAUUUCCUUCUUAUACUGUCUUACUUCUUCUUGAAGAUCCUUAAUGGUUACGUCUUUGGUAGACUACUGGUUAAAUCUUCCUAAGAUUUCAUUUAAGUUAUAAGAAUUUACUGUCUUCUUAAUCUCUUGCUUAUCGACAAAUUUCUUAAAAACUUCAUAAAGAUCUUGUUUAGUUUUUUCAUCUUCAACUUUCCUUAAAACAUCUAGGACAAGUUCUUGAUCUUGGCUUAUGACAUUUAUAGUCUUAGGUUGGCAAUCACAAUUAUCCUUAAUGUAUUCUUCUUGGUCACUAGAAGUUUGGCUUGAGAUUUCCUCACCACUACUAUCUAGUUGGUUAAUACCAUUUUCAUUAUCUGAAUCAAUCCUUGAUUCAGACUCUGUGGAAUUUAACAUUACUUUACAAAGCAUAUCUUUUAAGUCUUCUGUGACAUUUAAGUUAUUAAUUUUCUGCUUAACCCUACAAUCUUUCUUAUAGUGGCCUAUCUUACCACACUUAAAACAAACUGGCUUAGAUUGUGAAGGAGCUUCUAGCUUUUUAUGGGCUUCUUUGUUCAUCAUUCUUUGGAUGUGCCUUUGUUUCUUAGUUUCAUUCAUCCUAUAGUUGCCAUGAGUUCCUCUCUUGUUGUGAUAGGACUUUUCCUUACUAGGCUUUGUACUUACUUGUUUCUUACGUUGCUUAGAGGGGGGCUUAGUUUCUUUUUGGUUGAAUCCAAACUAGCUACAAAAUGAACCAAACUCAUUCUUGUAGAUCCUUUGUUCAUUUUUCAUCUGUUGCUUAAGCUUAAAGUCAUUGCACAGUUUAAUUGCUUCUGAUGUGACAAUGCUUAUAAUUUCUCCAUAAGAAAGCUUAUCAUAAGGGAUUUGUCCAUUAAACUGUUCCCUUAUCUUAAUCCUAAUCCUCUCAGAGAAAAGUCUAGGUAGUCCUAAGAUGAAUUUUUCUUUCCAAAAAGACUGGUUAUAGUUUGAUCUUAGUAUGACUUUGGUUAGGAAAACUUCUCUAUACCAUCUAAAGUCAUGAAGCUUGGGACACUUAAGGUUGGUUAAGAGAUCUACAAUCUUAUCCUUAAUCUUUGCAGGAUCUCCAAUGAAGUGCUUUGAAAUUGAAUAGAUUAGAGUAGCCACUACAUCCUCUAUAUCUUGUCCAUCUUCAUCCUUAACCACUUCAUUUUCCUCAUUAAUCCUAUAGGCUUUUAGGAUACCAUUUCUAUCCUCAAAGGUGAGAUAAUUAUCCCACCAACCCUAAAGUUGACCUGUAAACCCAACAACAAUUGUUUGAGCUACAGCAUGGCCUGACAAUCUAUUGUUUAACUUAUAGGUUGUACUAACCAUGGUCAUUUCUUGAAGCUUAGUGAGUAUGUUGUACUCAAUCAUACCAUCUAUGUUCCAUUCAUAGAUAGUGUCACUAGUGUAGGAAGCUUGAGUAUGCUGGUUUCUUUCCUCAUACUACAUAUCAGGAAAAGUUGGUCUAGGGUAGUAAUUCCUAGUUCUUGGUUGUUGAUAAUCCUCAUAACUGUUUGGUUAGGAGGUUCCUUAAAAAUCUUAAUUAGUUCAUCAGCCUCUGCUUCAGAACUAAUUUCUCCUUUAACCAUAUUGAUUCUCUUGUGAGAUGGUUGAGGUGUCUCAGAGACAACAAGGCUAUCCUUAACCUUUUGGCUUAUCCUAUCAAUGAGGGCUUGAUCAAUAUGGAGAUUCUCUAGGAAUUUCUUAGAGAAUUCAAAAGGCUUAAAUAAAGACUUAUUAUCUUUCUUAACAAACGUAGUCUUAAUGUAGUCUUGUGUUUCAAUGAUAUCCUCAAACUUGUUGAGUUGAUCGCCUGUAGUCUUAAGAAACAUGUUAGUGUAGUUGUUUUGUUCCAUGAUUCUUCUAACGUCAACAACACUAUCAAUUCCUUUAUUCUUUGGCCUAGUCUUAAAAGGUGAAGCUUUGACUAUGGUUCAAUUAAUGUUCUUUUAUAUCUUAGCUUCUAGAGGGUGGAUGGAUUCUAUGAUAGUAUCGUCACUAGUUUUCCAUAUCUUAGUUUUUUUGGAUGUGUCAUUGACACGCUUACUAGGGUAAUCUAGAUAUUCCUCUUGUUUGAAGAGUUCAAACCAGAUCCAAUACUUAAUGUUCUUCUUUUCUUGUCUUAAGUAUGUGUAGAAUUCUUCUUGGUAGAGGGUUCUAAUGUCUUUAAGGACCUUGCUAAAGAACCAAACUCUCCUUUUCUUAUUGACUUCAGAAUAGAAGUCUUUCCUUAAGAGGUCCUUGUUGAUUCAAAGUCUUCGUUAAUUAGGCUUACAGUGUUAAUCAACUGAGAAUAAGUAGGAGACAUAUCAGGAGAUUCGUCCUGAUGUGAUUCUUGAGUAAACUCAUUUUCCUCCAUGUAAAAGGGUUUGGCCACGUUGGUGUGACUUCUAACACCUGUUAGCUUAAUAUUCUUAGGAUUUGCUGAACUAGAUCCUUCCUCUAUCCUAGUGGUUCUUAUUGGGAUAGAUGAACUUGAAGCUCUAGAGGGCUCAUAAUAUGAAAUUCUAAGGCUGCUAGAAUGAUGAAAAGAGUUGGAGAAAAUUAGAUCUCGUUCUCCAUCAGGAUAUUGAACAAUCUGUUCAAUUCUUUCAGAUCUUUGCUCUAUGGCUGGGACAACAUUAGCAAAAUGCCAAUUUUCUGGAAACUCAACCUCAUUCCACUUGAUUUUCAUGGGGACUAUGAAAUUAGACUUGUUUAUCAUAUCUAAGUGGAAGAUAGUGGUUUCACCCUUGGGACUGGUGCACAAUGCUCCAAAUCCAACGCUUAUGGUCAUGCUCUUAUAGGCAAAUCUGGUGAUGAUGGAAACAUGAUUGUUUCCUUGCUUGAACUUAAAGUCAUGGGUCUUAACAUGAAGGACAACUGAAUCUAAGAUGUUGACAUCUCUUAGUCUAACUGUGAAGUUAGGGAAACACUGGAAAUAAACAGGACCAUCAUUUAAUCCUGCUUGGGUAGCUCCAAUAAUAGAAUCUCGGUAAUCAAGAUGUCUAUUAUCUCUUAAACACAUGACAAUAAAGGUGUUUAGACCUAGUCUUGUCAAGGGCUUAGCUGCAACUUGAAUCAUGCCAAAGUGUAUGAAGUUGUAGUCUCGCUUAUGCUUAUCAAUGGACUUACUAUCCAAGAGUCUUAUGACUUGAUCGUCGUGUUCUAAACUUACUGACAUUUCAGGGGUUUUAAUGGUGUAAUCUGUAAAGAACUUAAAGGUUCCUUUCUUAUAAAUUUCUUGAUUAGGUACCUUGGGUAACUUCCAAUCAUCUAAAUCAUCUUGGAUCUUAGGAUAAUUGAUCUCUUCAUUGUUUACUCUUGAGAAUUUGUGGAUUUCCUAGACAUGGUUCUGAAAAUCAAACUCAUUUUAAGGUUUUAAUCUAGAGCCUAAUAGCAGAUUAACAGACCUAGUGAGUAAUCACCCCAACCCUUUUCCAACCUUAACAAACGCCUAUCUCCAGCUAACAAUGGGCUCAACUCGGCAAGGAUCGCACUCAGGCACACUACUAUCUUUCCUAGGAUAGAUCAAAACACCCAAAACAAACCCGACUUCCUUUUCCUAGGAUAUAUAUAGUAUUUUGGGUUUGAGUAGGAGUUCAUGUUUUGUAUGUAAUUGUAGUCUACGUUGGACUAGGUUGUUUGCUCCUAAUUGAAAUAGGAAUGGUUGGUGUCACAUCUCAUUCAUUUUCUCAUCUAUUUCCAUGUUUAGAUAACUCAAGUAAUCAUAGGAAUGAAAUUAAGAAUGAUUUGAGGGAAAUGAAAUCUCACUUGUAAGUGGGAUCUCAAUUCAUCAUUAAUAGAAGGUAUUUUGAUUACAUAGUGCAAGUUAUUUUUAAAAACACUUUUCAAAAAUUGAAAAACCAAAAACUCUCUUGGAUAAGUUGUUUUUAAAAAGAAUUUUUGUAUUUUUAUUUUGUAAAAAAAAAAAAUAGUAAUUCAAUUUAUAUAAUAUAAAUAGACUUUAAUUUUAUUAAAAAUAAAAAUAAUUUUUUAAUUACAAAUAAAUUAAAAAAUAAAUAUUUGUAAUAAAAUAUGAAUAGUAAUAUUAUAAUAAAAUCAUAAAUAAAUUAAAAAUAUUUUUAAAAACAAAUAAGUUUAAUUUUUUUGAGGUACAAAUGAGCCAAAUUUUUCAUUAGGUACACAACCAACAAUUUUUAUUGGAAACAUUCCUCAAAAAAGAAUUCGUUUCCCAUAUAGCAAAGAUAUUUAUUAUUUAGUAUCUAACCAUCCGUAGUAAUCAUAUCAAUUCUACUAAGUUAUUUAAUAAUUCAUUUAUAUAUAGUACUCAAUUAUGAAUUUUUUUAUUUGAUGUAUAAUUAAUUAAUCAAUGUUUUGAAUUUUGAAUUAUUCUUAAAAUUUAAAACAUUAAUUAUGUCUAUUACUUUUUAUAGUCAUUAUAUAUAUAUAUAUAUAUAUAUAUAGAGAGAGAGAGAGAGAGAGAGAGAGAGAGCUUAAAUUUAUCUUUAAAAAUUAUUAAAUUUAUUAAUAAAUUCAAUACAAAGACUCAUUUGAUUUGAAAUUCAUUUCUUUAGUGAAAAUUUUGAAACUAAAUAGUACUUUGUUUUACUUUGUUUUUAAAUCAUACUCACAAAUAAGUUUUUAUCAUUUAGCCAAAAAAUCUCAAAGAUGUUUCUAAUUUUAUUUAUUUAUUUAUUUGUAAAUGAAAAUAAAAAAUUAGUUUAAACUAAAUAUGCGGAUAUUAUUGUUAAUUUAUUUCAUUUUUUAUUUCCAUUGUUAUUUAACAUUGAAACGGAAACAAAUAAUCAUUCCAAUCUUACAUUCUUAUAUGCAUCUAAACACAAGAAUUGAAAUCACCAAAUUCAUAUUCAAGGCAAAAUAGAAAUGGAAAAAAAAUAUUCAUUUUCAUUCCUCAUUCUCAUGUGCUAAACAUGACAUUAGUUCUACUACCUAUUUCACCAUUCUUCUUGAUAAAUUUGGUAUAUGCAAUAUUGAUCUAAGUGUGAGGUGAAUAAGAAUGAUGAUGGGAUGGGCUUGGAAAUAAGGGCAAAGUUUCUAGGUGCUAUCUAGAGGGGCAACGCGACUUUUUCAAAUUUCGAAUAUUUGUUCUCAACAUAAAGCAAAACUUUACUCACACAAUAGAUAAGACUCUGUUUGUUUUCUUCAUCCACGACUAUAUAAUGUAUAGCUCUUACUCAAGGGAUGAGCUACUUACUAUUAAGGAUUGGGUAAGAUAUUGCCUAAUGGCCAAGAAGGCAUGUCAAAAAAUAAAUCUAAUCACCAUAAAAAAUAAUAGGGGAAAAUUAAUAUAUUAUGAAUGAUGACUUUACUAUUUCUCUAUAUACAUAAUUAUAUAUUUUGAAUUUUCUCACUAGGUAAUGAGAUUCUAAAUCAACUGAAACAUAAUUAAUAAUUUAUAUUUUUAAUGAAUCUUUUAAUUUUUAAAAAUAAUUUAAAAUUUUAAAAAACAAUUCAAUUAAUUACAUAUUAAAUCAAAACAUUUCAAAAUAUUGUGUUUGUAGAUGAGUACUAAAUGCUUGCAUAUAAUAAUAAUAAUAAAAAAAUUGACUCAUUUAGAUGUUAAAAAAGUUAAAUGUUUUUCAUUAUUCAUUUUAAGUAAAAUAUUAUUGACAUUAUUAUUAUAAAAUUAUUAUUAUUCAUUUUUAACAAAAAACAAAAUAAGUUAUUCUUUUACCAAGAUGUCAAUAUCUAUAUUUUUCUAACAUAUAUUAAAAUAGUAUACUUUUCUUUUAUUAAAAAUAAUAAUUAUUAUUAUAUUAUUAUUCAAGUUUUAUUAAAAAAAUUUAUCUUUUAAUUCAUUUGUAAUUACAAAAUAAUUUUAUUUUAUUAAGAAUUUAAUUUAAUUACGCUUUUUUUUUUUAUAAAAAAAACAGUUAUGCUUUUACCAAGAUGUUAAUAUUCAUAUUUUUCUAGCUAACAUAAAUAGAAUAGUACACUUUUUCAUAUAAAAAAAUAAUUUAUGAUUUUAUUAUAAUGUUACUAUUCACAUUUUACUAAAAAUAUUUAUUUAUUUUAUUUAUUUUUAAUUAUAAAAUAAUUUUAUUUUCAAGAAUUUAAUUUUAAAAAAAUAGAAAUCAUUUAUUCUUUUACCAAGAUGUUAAUAAACAUAUUUUUCUAACAUAUACUAAAAUAAAAAAGUUUACUUGUUCAUUAAAAAAUAUAAUUUAUGUUUUUAUUAUAAUACUACUAUCUAUGUUCUACUAAAAAUAUUUAUUUAUAAUUAAAAAAUAAUUUCAUUUUUAAUAAGACUUGAACUAAAUUAAAUUUAUAAUUUUUUUUUAAAAUAAAAUAGAAAAUUAUUUUUUAAAAACAACUUAUUGAAAGAAAUUUUUUAUUCUUUACUUUUAAGAACUGUUUUUAAAAGCAACCUAUAAACCCCUUUGGGUCUGUUUGGCUAUGUUUCAUGCAACUUGUUUUUAAAAAUUGUUUUUUAUUCUUUAAUUUAAUUUUUUUUAAGUUAAAGAAUAAAAAACAACUUUCUAGUGUUUUAUAAAAAUGAGAGCUUUUGACAAGUUGUUUUUAAAAACCAUUUUUAAAAAUAAAAAAUAAAAAACUUAUUUAGAUAAAUUGUUAUAUAUAUAUAUAUAUAUAUAUUUGUAAAAACAUUUUAAAUUCAAUUUAUAUAAUAUAAAUUUAAUUUAAUUUAAGUCUUAUUAAAAAAAAAUUGUUUGGAUAAGUUUUUUUUUUUAAAUAGUUUAUUAUUUUUGUUUUGUAAAAACAUUGCAAAUUCAAUUUAUAUAAUAUAAAUUAAUUUAAUUCAAGUCUUAUUAAAACCAAAAUAAUUUUAUAAUUACAAAUAAAUUUAAAAAUAAUUUUUUUAGUAAAACAUGAAUAAUAAAAUUAUAAAUUAUAUUAUUGUGGACCCUGCAUUUAUGCUCAUGCGCUUCCACUUGUUGGCGAACUCAUUUUUUAUUUGAAAAUGAUUUAUUUUUUUAGAAAAUGACUUAGAGUCGCCACUUAUUUUUGUUUUAUUUUUAAAGGGCAAGCAAAAUAAGAAAGAAAACCCUAAGUGUGACUCCUUAUUCGAAAAAGGUAGUCUGUGUAAAACCGGAUCAGGGUUCAGGGAUCAGGUUACUUAUUGGGAAGGUAUGACAAUGACCGUAGCACUCCUCUAAGUCCUUAAAAACGGGCCUCUACUAAAAAAAAUAAAGUAAUCAUGGCAAUCAGUAAGGAAAUCACUGGAUACCCAGAACAAUUAUGCACAUGUGAGAAUUAAAACAUGCAUAAGAAUGGACAAAGUGAGAGUGGGUGCGUACCUUGACAACGAACCACAAUGCGUUAUCAAGAAAUGGGGUUAGUGCACGAUCAAUGAACAUAAAACACGUCACACAUGUCACUAAGCAGAGUGAGAAAUCAUCAGAUAUUACAAUUCAAUCAAAUUUAUUUUUAGAAGAAACAUCUGUUGAUGUAGAGCCCCUACCAAAGCCUAAUUUAUUUUUGCAUGAAUCAAUUUCAUAAAUUCAAUCGCUUGGAAUUACAGAAUUAAAUUCAUGCUUAUUUUAAAACAUCUUUUUAAAAUCAUGGAAGAUGUGAAAAUGGUUUUCCAAAGAGAAAAUGACAACUGAUUUUAUUGAAAAUGGGAUUUUGGGGACCUAAACGUUAAAGAGGGAUUAGGAAUUGAAAAUUAAAUCAUUUGAAAAUUGAAUUUUUCAAAAAUCAGUUUUGAAAGCAUGCAUGCAAGUAUGGACUGUGAAAGUGGGCCUAGGGAGGGUGGCCAUGCAAAAUGAGGUCAUACACGUGGGCCUUGGGUACAAUUGGGACUACUUUGCUGGUGCCAGUGGUGCUUGCAGCUGUCAUCCAUGAUUUCUUCAUUGGGAUCAAUUUCCAUUCUUACUGCCAAACAUUCCAUAACAAUUGACCAAACUAGUAACCCUGACCUUGCAUGAAAAUGAACGUUACCUAGAAACUCACUGCCAGUGAGAUUCAUUGCUCUUUCAAAAGGUCUCAUUUUCUUUCUCAUCCAAUUGCUUUAAGGAGCAUUCUAGCGUCACGAUUGGUGACUGCGCAUCAUCUAGAGCCUUCUUUCUUCUCAGAAUCAGGUUUGCGUGCAGAGGCCUGUGCUUGUUCAAGGUUGACCUAAAUUCAUCUAGGUUUAGAACCGACCAGUUGAGCUUGGGGAGCAACGACAAGAAUAUCAGUCACUUGCGAAGAGAAAACUCGAGAUCUUUCAAGUAAUGCCUGACAUAGAUUCCUCCAACCUGUGGCCAAUAUCUCAUUCCUUGUUGGCCAGACGCCUAUUAGGGCGUAUCUCAAUCAAUAAUAUGAUUUUUCGUUUGUUCACAAUAAAGACCGGAAGCCAUGGUUGUGAUUUAUGCAGUACAGAAGAAGUUGCCAUGGCUGGUAUCCUUACAAAUUCUGGUGUUUCUGCUAUCUGUUCAAGUGCAAAACACAACAGCUUUAUCAAGUUUGUCCCUAACAACUGAUAUUGAGCCCUCUGGAGGAAACCUUGAUAAAUUCAUAAUCACUUUUGACUCAUGCAUGGGCUGCCCAUCAAAUUUUCCUAGCAACGAGACGACUGCUGUCAUCUACUGCAAAGAGAAUUUCUUCUCGCAAAGACAAGAGGAGUUUAAGAAUACACACUAUUCUGCCAUUUCAUUUCCUCUUUCUCCACAACCAACAUAAACCAUAGUGUCUACAUUAGAGUACUUAGAAAGAGCUUAACUGAUGACCGUUUUUCCACAACCAAAUGCCCCAGGUAUGGCACAAAUUUCACCGAAAACAGAAGGGAAAAGGGCAUCAAGAACACGCUGUCCUGUAAGUAGUGGGGUAUCAGGACUACUCUAGGGAAGUUAUUUCUGUCAUUUUGAAAAAGAAAAAUUAAAGAAUGUACACAUGCUUUCAAGUGGACUGGAGCAUUCUACAUAUCAGGUGGUCUGUAGCCACAUGUGCCACUUUGUGGAAGUUGGAACAGUCGAUCACUAGGCUAUUUAGUGUGGCCAAGCCACGUUAAUCAAGGACAAGUCUUCAUACUUAAAAGUCAAAUGGUGCCUUUAGUCUCAUUACACAUGGCUAUUUAAAGAUGAACUAAUCUUUAGUGUAAUGUGAUUAAGACAGUACUAACUGAUCAAUAUUUUUUCUAAUUUUGGAUGCAAAUGCUUGCUGGCUUCAUCAUUGGAUGGGAUAAAGGUGCAUUCAUGACUCUGAAUACUUGCAGUAAUACUUGCAGUAAUACUUCAUUCUCUUUUUUCUCGAUGAGACUUCUUGGCACAAUUUUGCUUCUCAGCAACCUACCUCUCCAUGGAAAAUGAGUUGCGAUUGAUGGUACUGGAUAUUUUCUAGGAAGCUAAAUAUAGAUAUAUAGCACUCAAUGUCAACGAUAUAUAUAGCAUUAACAGUAUAUGUCUCAAUGCUCAUCAGCUACAAGCAAGGGACAAACACUUACAAUGAAUAACUCACGUCAACAUUCCUAAACAGGACAUAGAAGUGACAGAUCUAUAUAUAGAACACUGCAUAUGAGUCACAAGAAAAGAUAAUACGGGUGCAUAGCAGCUCUUAUAUUACAUAUUACUCAUACCGUUCAAAUUCACUCAGUUGGGAUGGGUGGGAGAAGGAGGCCUCUGGGGUGGCUUGUGCGUGUGAGAAGUGGAAGAAAGUUGAAUGGAAUGAAACUGAAAAACAGGGUAGAAUAGAGGUUUCUUGAAUCUUCUGAAAUCUUUAUUUUUCUGAGAUUUAUUCUCUGUUUUUGUGAGUCGUGACUCUACAUAUAUACAUGUAUUUAAAGUUAGUUAUGCCUUAUAACUAAUUAUCUAACAGUACCAAAACUAAUCAUCUAGUUGCAUGUUUCUAAUUAAUGCUAUUUAGUUACAACUAUAUAUGGCUUAACAUCCUCUCUCAAACUCAAAAGUCUAGCUAGAACAGUGAGUUUGCUUCAUAGAUUGAGAAAUUGUUGAAUAGGUAAGGCUUUGGUAAGAGCAUUAGCAAUCUGGUCAUAAGAAGGAAUGUGUUGAACCACCAAAGUCUUAUUGAGCACCUUUUCCUGAACAAAAUGGCAAUCUAGUUCCACAUGCUUAACUCGAGAAUGAAAAUAGGAUUGGCAGCAAGAAAGGUGGCUGAAAGAUUGUCAUAGAACAAAACAAAAUAGGAGAAUAAGAAGAUGAGAUAGAAAACUCCUGAAGAAGAUGUUGAAUCCAUUGAAGUUCAAAAGCAACAUUUGCUAAGGCCCUAUACUCAGCUUCAUUGCUGGAACGAGACACAACUUUCUGCUUACUGGAGUUCCAGGAGACUAGAUUAGAGCUAAAAAAGAUGCAAUGACCACUUGUACUUCGACGAUCAUCAGGGCAACCAACCCAAUCAACAUCAGCAUAAGCAGUAAGUUGAAAAUCAGGAGAAGAAUAAAAGGAAAGACCAAAGGAAGUAGUGCCCUUAAGAUAAUGCAACAAUCGUUUAACAACUUGCCAAUGAAGAUCAGUUGGUUAUUGCAUGAAUUGGCAAAGUUUAUUGAUAGAGAAAGAGAUGUCAGGCCUUGUAAUGGUACAAUAUUGCAGGGCUUCAACAAUGUUGCGAUAUUGAGAAGGGUCAGCCAAGAGGGAACCUUUAGAGGCAGAUAAAGUGUGAGAGGUAGUCAUUGGUGUAUCAAUAGGUUUAAAAUAUGGAAGACCAGCACGAGUUAACAAGUCCUGAAUAUAUUUGGUUUGGGAAAGAUGAAGAGAAGAUCCUUGCCAACAUACUUCUACACCCAAGAAGUAAUUCAGAAUACCAAGGUCCUUGAGAGCAAACUGAAAGUGUAAAGACGAAACCAUUUGGUGGACUAGCACGGUAUUAAGACCACUAACAAUAAUGUCAUCAACAUAGAUGAGAAUAAUGAUCAUGUCAGUCCCUUUCCGAAGAGGAGCUUGCUUCAGACCCUACAAGGCUUUGCGAAGUUUACAGAAAAAACCGGGUUUAGAAUGAUCAACAAAGCCUGGAGGUUGAACCAUGUAAACCUCUUCUUCUAACUCACCAUUGAGAAAGGCAUUAUUAACAUCUAAUUGUUCCACUAACCAACCAUGAGAAAUAGCAAGAGAAAGAACAAUUCAUAUAGUAGUUGGUUUAACAACAAGGCAAAAGGUUUCAAAAUAAUCAAUACCAUAUGUUUGAUUAAAACCCUUUGCAACUAAGUAGGCUUUAAAACGAUCAAUUGAGCCAUUAGCUUUGAGUUUCAGCUUGUAUAUCCAUUUACAACUAAUAAUGCGUGUAUUAACAGGUUUAGGAACCAAUGUCCAUGUGGAAUUGGUGAGAAGAGCAUCAUACUCAGUCUUCAUAGCAGCUUGCCAAUUAGGAUGCAAUAUUGCUUCUUUGAAAGAGGAGGGUUCGACAACAGUAGUUUGGAUAGCAAGGCUAAAUAUUUUUUUGGGUUUAAAAAUACCAUUUUGGCUACGAGUAACAAUAGUUCGGUUUGGAAGUGAAAGAGGAUCAGUGGAGGAGGCUGGAACAAGGGAUUGUGGUAAAGUAGGAAAGGAAGGUGGAUGAGAUGGAACAAAAUCAGUAGGGACAAUAAUGGGAGAAGAAAAAUUAGGUGGAGAAUGAUGAGGAUUCCUUGAAGAUGGUGUAGGAAUAGAGAGAAUACCAGAAUCAAGAAGUGUUAAAGAAGAGUUGGAUGAUGAUACUGGUUGACAGGAUAAAGACUUUGUUAAAAAUGGAAAUCGAGUUUCAUCAAAUACAACAUGACGAGAAGCAUAUAUCCGAGAGGAAGCCAUAUCCAAACAGAGGAAUCCCUUGUGUUUAGCACUAUAACCCAAAAAACAGCAAACAACAAAUAUAUUUGCUAGCUUGUGAGAAGCAUAAGGGCGAAGAUAAGGAAAACACAAGCAUCCAAAACUUCAAAGAGAUGUAUAAUAAGGUAAACGAUUAUAAAGAACUCCAUAAGGAGAAUUUUGUGAAAGAACAGCAGAGGGAAGGCAAUUUAUGAGAAAAAUGGCAGUUUGAAAUGCAAAUGACCAAUAUUUGAGAGGGUAUACCAGCUUGUAUUAACAAAGAAAGACCAACUUCCACAACAUGACGAUUCUUUCUUUCAACUCUUCAAUUUUGCUAAGGAGUAUAAUGACAAGAGACUUGAUGAAGAAGACCAUUUGUAGCCAAAUAAUUCUGAAAAGCUGAAACUGAAACUCAUCAAAUUGAUUUUUAGUAUCAAAUUUUCUUCAGACUGAACACAUUGAUUUUUAGUAUCAAAUUUUCUUUCAACCAUGGCUUGAAAAUGUUGGAACAUAAGUAAAGCUUCAUCUUUAGUUUCCAAAAGGUACAACCAUGAGAAUAUGCUAAAAUCAUCAAUUAGCAAGAGGAAAUAUUGAGCAUUACCAUUGACAGAAACUAUAGGAGUUGCACCCCAAAGAUCAACAUGGAUGAGACCGAAUGGUUUUAUUGCUCUAGAAGUGGAUAUUUCAAAUGGAAAACGAUGGCUUUUAGCCAACUGACAAGACUCACAUACAGAGUUAUUAUUGUCAUGUUUCAAAGGUAUUUUAUAAAGAGAUAAGAUUUUGGAAACUACAUUAAUAGAGGGAUGACCAAGUCUAUUAUGCCAAAGCCUCAAAGAACCAACGGCUAAAGUACUACUAGUAGAGUAAAAUACUAGUGGAUGACCAACAACUCUUGGUGUAGCAAGAAGUUUAUAGAGACCCUUCUCAAUUUUUCCUUGAAGAAGAGCAAGUCUCGUUUCCUGAUCCUUUACCACAAAAUGAGAAGAACGAAAUUCAAUAAAGGUGCCAUUGUUUGAGUAAAAUCGUUGCACGCUAACUAAGUUGGUGGUAAUAGAAGGAACAUGUAAGACAUCAUUGAAAAACAAAGAACCACUUGAAGAGGCAAGAGAAAAUUUACCAAUAUUUGCAAUGGAUAAACCCUUACCAUCUCCAACAAUUACUUUGUCACCACUGGUAAAUGGAUUAUGGAUUGUUAAAUUGUUAAGAUCAGAUGUGAGAUGAUGGGUAGCCUUUGUAUCAAGAAACCAAUAAGUGUCUCCCAUUGUUGCAGAAGUUGUAGUCAUAGCCUCAGGAUUGUUAGAGGUGGAAUGUUUAGAAUCUUUUGGCUGAUAAUCAGAGUUAAACCGAUACCAGCAUUGUAAAGCGGUGUGUCCGAACUUACAACCGAGAGAAAUAAUCUUUACUUAUUCUCUAAAAACUGUUCUUUAUUCCACACAUUAUUUCUAAAAACUGUUUCUAGAUAACAAUGACAAAAUAGUAUUAGGAAUUUUUAAAAAUAAAAAUUGUUUUUAAAUUACAUGAUCUAUAUCAUUCACAUUUGACCAUUAUAGCUUUGUUCAGGAAAACACUUGAAAGUAACCUUAUCGUGAUAAGAGAUAUAAGUUGGCUGUAGUUUCAAACUGAAAACAGAGGAUGGCAAUAGAAAGCAAAGCAUUAGUUAUCUGCAAUCAGUGGUGAUCAUGCCCCAUGUCAAUUUCGGACCCAUAUCUUAAAACCGUAUAAUUUGCAUUUCAACAUUUCUGAUUUCUCAGAUGUUUCAUACUCCACAGAAGAACAUUGUUUGUGAAAGCAUGCAUUUAUGCUGGAUUUUGGAUGAUGUGGGAACUGGGGCAAGGAUCAUAUGGAAGAGUGGUCGAUUUUUUCUGUACUUUAACAUUUGAAAUAGGAGCAGCACGGGCAUUUGUGGGGCUUAAUUGAUUUUGAAGCCUGAAAUUGCGUUUCUGUCAUUUUGUAAAAAAUAUGGCAGAUUCCAUGCUCUCAUAUGUUUGGUCUGUGGCCAUGUAUAGAUGCCACUUAGUGACCAGUUUGUAACUGUCAAUCAUAGUGUUUUGACUCUGGCUCAACAACAUCAGCCAUUGACGGAUUUUCAUACAUGCAAAUCAAAUAGUCUUCUUCCUCCCUUAGGAAUUUCGGUUUAAAUGUUAUUAAGCAUACAUUUGGCUGACAAUUAUUAACCACUUCAUGAUAUGGUUUCUUACCCUUAAUCAAUGGUUUCUAAGUGAAUAUAUGCAGAAGGAAAUCUGAACUGUAGACAGCAGUAUUGAUAAUUAUCAAUAUUCUUUAUAUAAGAGAAUAAACAACGUCAUAGUGAUCGUCGCCUACAAGAAAGGUACAUUUCCCAACAAGAUGUAGUUGUGACUGGUACAUGGACGUAAUUAACUCGUAGAAAAGGAUAAGACCAGUGCACGGCAGCUCUUAUUUUACAUGCUAAUUAUGCUAACCAAAGUCACUCAGUUGGGAUGGGAGGGAGAUGGAGGUUUGUGCGGUGGCUUGUGGGGCGGAGUUGGUGGCUUCUUUUCAGGAGCUUGUGGCUUUUUCGGAGCUGAAGGAGGCUCAAUCUUAUGAGGCGGCUUGUACGAGUCUUCUUUACUCUCGACAGGAGGGUGGCCAGGGUUGUGACCAUAAUGUGGUGGCUUCUCUCCCUUAGGUGGCUUGCCAACUGGGGUUGGUGGCUUGUGUUCAGGAAGUGGUUUCUCUCCCUUGGGAGGUUUACCAAUUGGGGUUGGUGGCUUGUGUUCUGGGAGUGGUUUCUCUCCCUUGGGAGGUUUAGUGGGUGACUUGUGUUCUGGAGGUGGCUUCUCCACCGGAGGCUUGUGCUCCGGUGGUGGCUUCUUGGUUGGAGGGGGCUUGGGGUAAUCAGCAAGAGAUGGGGGGGUGAGAACCACCACUCCAAGGAACAACACUAGCAAGUAUGUGGGAGACAUUUCUGAGUUUGAGCUGAUCAGAUGAUGCAAAACUAGAAGAAUUACGUGACCUUUUAUAGCAAGUAGCUCCCAAUACCCACAUGACACGUGUUACUGUGACCAUAAAUAUUAUAGGGUCCAUUUGUGCCCUACCGGGUUGAAAACUUGGACGCUUGGCCGAGGACACACCGAACUAUGGAGGACUAUUGACGUGUGAUCACAGCUUUUGGAUUUUUCUUCCUGUGCAGCUGUCUAGCGGUUGGCAUUAUUUUUUUAAUCUUAAAUAAAGGCAUAGUUAUAGAGUACAUUUAUAUAUCUUCAGAUAGCCAUUAAUAUAUUUGAUGAAGAAAGACAAGUGCAUACAACAUGUAUACGGCUUGCUUCAAUCGAGUACAUUUAUGAUCAGUUUUCCAGUGCAAGUAAACCAGUUUUUUGUUCCACAACUAUUUUGGAAUCUUGUUUAUCAGUUUCUAUCAUUAUAAUGUCACAUAGGCUGCAAACUUGGGCACCCAAAGAUCUAGUUGGGCAAAUUUGUUUCAGAAUUUCAAUGGUGGAUUCAGUAAUUGUUAAAAGGUGUUUCUUCAUUAAGGAAAGAGUCCUGUAAAAAUAUUGUUAAAAGGUGUCAUAGAAACUAUAAUAAUUAAAUAACUUCUUUUCCCCGUGGGUGGUGUUUCUUCUGGGGAUACCCAAAAUGAGUUCAGAUUAAAAUUGGUUCGAGUCAAAGCUGUCUCUUUUGUCCAGAAAUCAACUAUUUUGCGCAUUGCAUGAAUCGAUAAAGAAAAAAUGAAAGCCAAAUCACACCUCCCCUGCAAAACCUAAACCCCGGUUGCUAACUUUCUAUGUUUCAGUCCUAUUCAUACAGGAAUAUUGGUUCAAGUUUGAGAAAAAUGGCAACUUACCUAGGGAUUACUUGGUUGUGGUUUGCGACGACUAUUUACGCAACCAACCAUGAGUUUGACUUUAACGUCAUGGGUUGAAGCCUCCUACAAUCGUGUAUGAUAGUUCAAAGCUCGUAGUAGAAAUUAUACAGGAAGGAAGAAACCUCCAAAGCUAGCUCCAAAAGAGAAUUAUCACAUCGAUAGCUCCAGAGAUUCCCAAGGGGACUGAAUCAAAGACAAGUUCCUCACUUUUUCUUCUUUUGAGGCCAAAUAUGAACCAAGGAUCACACGACCUCAUUCAACUUCAUAAGUUUGAUUUCAUGCAGUUGAACACUGGGUGAAGGCCAUGACAAGAAUUGAUUAAAAAAUUCUACCACUGUUUUAAGUAAUGGAAGAUUAUUAUCUCUGAUUGGCACCACAACAGCACAUGCUGCUAGAUCUUUCUAGACACUCCAUGCAAUGAAAGUACAAUGGAUCUUGUAACGAUAGAAACUAAGCCAUGCUACAGUACUAGAUGACGAGGUAAAACUAUUAGACAUGGGUGGCAGCCUAUAUGGGAGGGACACAAGUCUAAUUGAUUUGCAUUUCAGCGUUCUAGAUGGGUAUGUUUUGGAAGAUUUGUUCUGGAAAUACCGCACCAAGUAGGAUUCUUUUUUCUCUUGAGUGGGUCCACUUGCAUGCCAAUUAUCGAGUUGAAAAGUAGAGCACCUACCUCGUGCUCGUGGAACCGAAGGUCAGUGAAGUGGGGCUCCUUUUGGCCUCUUGUGUUUCUGUUCCAACCAAGGCGGCGGAGGGAAAAACAGCAAUAUGUCUCCGCUAAAUAUCAACGCAUGAUAGCGAAUGAGGGAGAAAAAAAGUAAUUGGCAUCUCAAUCUCACAAACUUGGUACAGUAGUGACAUUAAUAGUCUUCCACAUGGUUUUUAUUUUAUUUUAUUUUAUAUUUUAUAUUUUCCAUUUUUUUAUUUUUUUGUAUGUCAAGGCUAAUGAAUAAAAUGCGUUAGCUUGUUUUGUGAUUGGAACUGCAAAUGUCCAAAUUGGAGUUUCUCCAUUUCUCAGUUCGGAUGGUUAACUUUAUAAACAAGAUAUAGGAAACAUGUGAACGUCUUGAGGAACAAUUCGAAUUAUUGAUUAGAACUCCUAGGUUGAGUUCCAAGAUUUAAAUCAGACCCCUCUAGCAGCUUCAGGGGUACCUAGCAAUUAGAACAUAUUAAUGAAGAUUUAGGAUUUAGACUCCGGAAUACAAAUUAAUAUGUAUCUUAUGCUCUGACUAGCUUCCCUGCAUAUGCACAAAAUGGAGAUGACCCAAAAAAUAGCAGAAUCGCCUUAGUUUAUGUGGUUAAGGUGAUUCUCCGGUUAAUAUCCACAUUGGCUCAUUAUGCAAAUCAACUGAGCUAUUUUUUUUUUAAUGUCAAAUAGGAACUCCUAAUUAACCUAACCAUUGGCCUGUGUAAAUUGAUUUCACAUGCACAAUGUUGUAGUAGAAGUCCACAUUUUGAAUUUUAUUUUUGGAAAGGUAAGGAAAAUGAAGCAUUGUGUAAUUAUAAAAAUAACUUCAUUGGAAUUCACAAGGUUCACCCAAAAUGGAGCUACAUCCGUAUUCUAUCUUACAGUAGACUAUAUAGAUUGUACAAUAGUAAAUUGCAAAUACAAUUAAUAAGUCUUGUGUUUCCUUACUAAUAAUCCUUUGACAUAAACAUUGCAGCACUAAGGUCCUCUUGGGCAGACACCUUGCACCCAUGAGAGCACUAAGAGGAAGCAAGGCGGAGUCAUGGGUGCAAUGUCAUGACUUGUUGCACUAAGAGAGGCUUGGUGAUGGCAUAGUGCUGCAGUAGCAAGAAUGUUGCCUUGGCAGGGACACGAUCUAGGGACAGAUGCCAAGAAAGGCUUAGCACUCACAUGAGUUGCACAAAGAUGAAUGAAAUAGAACAUCAAAGAGACAUCUUGGCAAGCUCAAGAAAGACAUGUGGGUUGGUAAAUGAAUGGAUGCAAGAGGCAACAACAUGAGGAGUUUCAAAUGGAUAGGGAAUGAGUCAAAGACAUUUGAAAGCUACAAGUUGGAUUCUAAUUACGAUUGCAAUUUGAGUUUGAGUAGGAGUUUAUAUUAUGAUUGUAAUUGUAGUAUGAGUUGGACUAGGAUUGCUUAUCCCUAGUCAAAAUAGGAGUUGUUCAUGCCACACCCUAUGAAAAGAGUUUGAGUAGGGACUAGGAUUGCUUGCUCCUAGUCAAAUAUGGAGUAGGUGGUGCCACACCUAUAAAAAAAAAAGGGACAACAUGAGAGAGAGAGAGAAUGAAUUCACCAAAGAUAUUGUGGGAGUUUUGCUUUGUUACAUCUUGUAUUAUUAUUUAGAAUAGUAAUAAAAUACAAGUUGGGGCUAGAGCCCCAUAAUCUCGUGUGCCUUUGUGGGUUAUUCUUUAUUUGCCAUCUCGUGUGGAUUGGAUUAGAUUGAUGAGGCGAAAUAUUAUGUGGGAAAUUUAUGUUGGGACACUUACCAUAACCAGGUAAAAUCUACCAAGUCUUUUGUAAUAUCUUCUACAAAUAUUUUAGACCAGUUCUUCACAAAACAUCAUAAUAUGUUUUGUGUUUCUCUUGGAUUUUGAGUUGAAUUGUCUUAGAUCAAUUGAAUGCAUCUCAAUAUUAUUAUCUUGUUUGAAGGCUUGAUGAUUUUCCAUUUAACUUUACUUUCUUUAGGUUAUGCUUGAUUCCUUAAAAGUACUAAGGAAAACAAAAAAUAAAAAAAAAUAAAAAAUGCAGAGGGUUAGGACAUGUGUUAUCUAAUUGUCCUAUCCAAAGAUAUUAAGAAAGUCAUGUAGGAAAGUAAUUGAAAACUAGGUCAAGAAAGGAGCAAAAGGGAAUUGUUUUGGUAUUUUCUUUUUUAUUCUUGAAGGUGGCAGAGCUAAAAUUUGAGAAAUCAAGCAAAACAUACUGAAAUUACAUUGAAAGAAAGAAAAUGGUAGUUAAUGUCUUGCAGUACAUGAUAAGGACUUCAUGCAUGUAGUGUGACGACCCAUGUCUUGGACUGAUGCCACACUCACGGUUACACUUAUACCCUUGGUUCUCUCUUUACUACCUUGGCUAACCUAGAUCAGGCUAUGAGAUAGGCUCCUCACCACACCAUCACUUGCCCAGUAAUUAGUGACAUUUUCAAGCAAUGAGGUAACAUGGUGACACCAAGAGGGUUUAUCCCUCGCCCCAACAAGUCUAGACUCGGUCUCAAAAAAAUGGAGAAAAAUGAGGUGUCGUUAUGCAGAAAUACAACAACCAUGCCUUCCUUAUUACUUAGAUUCAGAAUGUGAAGGUGAAAUUGAGAAACAGAAACUCUUGAAACCAGAAUGAAAAUUGAUACUUUUACGAAGAAUUACAACAUUAGAGGAAGACUACAUUCUUCCUCUAUAUUCCUACGUUUCUACACUACUUCUACUCCACUCCAUAUUUCUACAUACAUCUUUAAUCAGUUUUCCCUCCUUUAUAUAGAGCCAUCUUCACACAAAUUCCGCAAGGUAGAAAAGAGGAAUGAAACUUGGAGCAAGGUUCGACUACUGGUUGUCGCUUGUCAAGGCUGGAAUUGAACUUUUUUUCUUGGCUUUUCUGGGCAUAGGUAGUAACUUGUGGUUCCUUUUUGGAAUGAAAAUGGUACAGCUAGAACAUGUGGCACUCUCUUGUUGGAUUAUGUGUCAAACAUGUGGCAGCCAUCUAGUGGAGAUUAUUUCAAUUUUGGGAUGGAGAGUUGGCAUCCAAUUGCAAAGAAAUAUGACAUCUACCAACAUGCAAUGUAAACCUAUAUAGAUCAUAUGGAGAUAGAGAGGAAACAUAUAGAAAUGGAUAUAUACCUAGAACUAGCUUUUUAUUAAAUGAGACGGAGAGCCAACAAUGAAGGAAAAUCAAAAUUUUUGGCUCAUAUCAAAGAAUUCACAUUGUGUUACCCUAGGUUUUCUUAAAGCUUGCACAAAGCCAAAAAGCACACAAAAAAUUAUAUUUUCUAGCUCUCUACCUUGGAUGGUCUCUUGAUCCUACUUGGAGAUGUGCAUAAAUAAAAGGAUUUGAAAAUGACAAUUGACUAAGUAUGUAGUCAAUCAAUUACUCAUUAAUUGACUAGUUGAUCAAUUAACUUUGCAACAUCAUAUGCAAUCCUAAUAGCUAGUCAUCUAAUCAACUAGGUAGUAAAUCAAUAGGCCAAAAAUAUGUUUAUAAUGACUAUUUUGUACAAAAACCACCUAUAUGGUUAAAUAUAAUGCAUUUCAUUUAUAAAUCUUCUAAUUCUUGAAUAACGAUCCUAUCAUCCUUUGAAAGUUUUUAUUACACCUUUUAUACUUUUGUUCUAAAACUUACACAUGUACAUCACCCUUAAUUGUACCAUGAGAACCUAGCUUUUUUUUUUUUUUUUUUUGUAAUUCAUCAAAGUUAGCUUUUGUAUUCAUUACUGUACUAUUUUUAUUGUAACUUAGAAAGCGAGUGUUUUCAAGUGAGUGAAAUUGACUUAUAAAUAUUGUAAAGAUUCAUUGAUGUGUAUCUUAAACUAAGUGUACAAGUUGAAACAUUUGCUAGUAGAUUUUCUCAAGAUUUAGAAUAGAGCUUGAGGCUAUUGAAAUAGGUGGGGUUGCACCAAACCACAUCACAUUGUUGUUUGCACCUUUUUUUCACUCUCUUUUACUUAGUUGCUCUAUAUUUGUUGUCUAGUAAUAUCCUAUAGGCUUGAUGGGUUAGGGAGCAUCCCUUUGUGAAAAAUUUUCAUUCAAUCCUUAGUUGUAUCACGCAUAUAUAAAAUGCCUCAUUGUUUUAAUGGUAUUCAGUCGUGGCAUCACAGAUAUGGGCAUCUAAAUUUUAAAAGUUUGAAACUUUUAUCUAAAGAAAAUAUGGUGCUUUGCCUUUUUGUAAAGCAUGUUGAUGAAAUCCAUGAGAAUUGUGUACUUGGGAAGCAACAUCGAGAUGACUUUUUUUUUUUUCAUUUUUUAUAAUGCGACACCUAAGUCCGGUUUCUAAAUGCUGAAGUGAAAGGGUAGGUAUGGACCAUUGAAAUCUGAUCACAACUUUUGGCCUUUUCCUUUCUCUGCAGCCAUGUUGUCUCUUUUUUCUUUUGCAUGAUUUUCUUACCUAAACAGAAUCAUAGACUUGUUUAAUCUCUAAAUGGUAUUUCAUCCAGCUUUAAGCUACUGUAUUAUAUCUUGGUGGAGGACUUUUAAGAGUGAAACCGACAUAGAGCACAUGCAAGUGGGUAUAUGGGACAUGAAAUUUCUUCUUAUAAAGACUGCAUGGUUUUUAUAUUAGAGUUGUUGAGGCGCAAUGUAUUUAGCUUGUUUUGCAGUUAAAUUAAUUGGAUAAGUAGACAUUGUCGUUUCUAAAUUUCCCACCUAAGAUAGUGACCUUAUCCUUGACUGCUUGAUGAGAUACACAAACAAUUAUACCUUCAAAAUCUACUGUGAAGUGCUUCAUGUAUGUGUGAAGUAUUAGAAAUUUCUUUCUUGGCAACUUGUUUUUUCUUUGCCCUCUACUGAUAGGUUUGACUCAAAUUAAAUUCCCUGUCAUGCUAAUUAAUUUUCACGUGCAUGCUCAAAAGGAUCACGUCAACUCUGGUUUCUACUAUUCAGGUCCAUUCCCAGAUAAACUGGUUCAAAUUUGAGAAAAUGGCAACAGCCCUUUAGUGAUGUUGGUUUGGAGCCAGUAGCCAAACCCGCCCUGAGCUUUACCACUAAUGUCAAGGGACAAAGCCAUUUGAACAAAAACAAUAGCUUCAAGAGACUGAAUCGUGGAUGAAAUCUGAUCCACAUUUCUUCUCAUUUUGGGAACAAAUGAGAACUUAACUACAAAGAUUCUACUGCCUCAUAGUGCUUUUCCUGAUCUAAGGUUGGUUCGUUUCCCAAAUUGUGAGGUACGUGCCAUUCUCACGCUCAGGAGUGUAUCCACGUGGUGGACAUAAGAUGGUGGCUUAAUAUCUGGUGUCGGUGGCUUUACUUUACUAGGAGAGUAGUGUGUCUUCAUCUCAUUCACUGCCGGAGGGUGGCGUAAGCAGUGACGCUAAGGUGGGGCACAGUCAAUAUCAUUUGCAUUUGACCAUUAUAGUUUUCUCCCGGCUUGAAAGUAACCUUAUCGUGAUAAAGGAUUACUAGCACUAGUUCAGAUGACAGUCAUGUUAAAUUCGGACCAUGUUUGUGUCACAUUAUCAGCAACCAUGUGUUUAUGGUUCAUGCUAUCUGCAACUAAACUUGAUAUAUAACCACGUGAACUUCAAUCUAAAUUCUGGAAGUACUCUUGUGAUAGAUGGUGCCUGUCUGCAGAGUCCAUCAAUUGAAAAAUGGAGUGAGUGUAUCUAUAAGAGGGAAGGCUUGGCAAAUGUUCAGUUUUCUGGGAACUCAACAAGGAUCUAAAAUAGAUUGUUUUCUUUGCUGAUUUCAAUGGUUGAAAUUUGAGAAGAUUGUGUCCACAUAACACAACUAUUACUGGUCCUUCUGUUGCAAUUUAUCCUCUAAGGCUCUAACAUGUCUUCCAAUUCCCACUUCCCUGUUACUCCAGGAAAGCUAUUUCUGUCAUUGUGAAGAAGAAAAGAGAAUGUACAUAUCGAUGGUUUUAAGUGACUGGGGCAUUCAUAUCAGGUGGUCUGCAGCCAUAUAUGCCACUUUGUGAAGGUUGGAACAGUCAAUCACCAGGCUAUAUUAGUGUGGCCCAGCCACUUCAAUCAAGGACAAGUCUUCAUACUUAAAGUCAAAUUCUGCCUUUAGUCUCAUUAUAAAUUGCUGUUUAAAUAUUAAGCAAACAUUUGUUUAAUGCGAUUAAGACAGUACUAACUCAAUACUUGUUCUAUUUUUGGAUGCAAAUGCUUGAUGGUUUCAUCAUUGGAUGGGAUAAAGGUGCAUUCAUGAUUAUGAAUACUUGUAGUUAUAUUUUCAUUCUCUUUUUUCUCAAUGAGACUUGUUGGCACAAUUUUGCUGUUCAGAAACCUACCUCUCCAUCGAAAAUCAGUUGUGAUUGAUAGUACUGGAUAUAUUCAAGAAAGCUAAAUAUAGAUAGCACCAAAUAUUAUCGAUAUAAAUAGCAUUAACAGCGUACGUAUGUCUCAAUGCUCAUCAGCUAUAAGCAACGGGCAAACACUUACUAUGAGCAACUUGCGUCAAAAUUCCAGAAUAGGACAUAGAAGUGACAGAUCUAUAUAUAUAUAGAACACUGCAUAUGAGUCACAAGAAAGGAAAUUACGGGUGCAUAGCAGCUCUUAUUUUACAUCCUACUCAUACUGAUCAAAGUCACUCAGUUGGGAUGGGUGGGAGUAGGAGGUUUGUGGGGUGGCUUGUGCGGAGGAGUUGGCAGCUUCUUUCCAGGACCUGGUUGCUUCUCUGCUGGAGUUGAAGGAGGCUUAAUCUUCCGAGGUGGCUUGUAUGAGUCUUCAGCAUUCUCAGCAGGAGGGUGACCAGGGUUGUGACCAUAAUGUGGUGGCUUCUCUCCCUUAGGUGGUUUGCCAACUGGGGUUGGUGGCUUGUAUGAGUCUUCAGCAUUCUCAGCAGGAGGGUGACCAGGGUUGCGACCAUAAUGUGGUGGCUUCUCUCCCUUAGGUGGUUUGCCAACUGGGGUUGGUGGCUUGUGUUCUGGGAGUGGCUUCUCCCCCUUGGGAGGUUUUUCCAAUGGGGUUGGUUUGUGUUCAGGAGGUGGCUUCUCCACUGGAGGCUUGUGUUCAGGAGGUGGCUUCUCCACCGGAGGCUUGUGUUCAGGAGGUGGCUUCUCCACCGGAGGCUUGUGUUCAGGAGGUGGCUUCUCGAAUGGGGGAUGCUCAGGGUAAUCAGCAAGUGAGGGGUUGGUGAGAACCACCAUGCCAAGCAACAGGACUAGCAAGUAUGUAGGAGACAUCUUUGGGUUUGGACUUAAGACAGUGGAAAACUGCGAGAAUUCUCUAGCCUUUUAUAGCGGGUCGACCCAGUACUCACAUGACACGUGUCAUUAUGACACAUGUGCCAUGGGGUCGAUUUGGGUCCUACAGUGUUGAAAAGUUGGGCAUUUGAGGUGUGAGCACAACUUUUGGCCUUUGCUUUCUCUACAGCCGCCAUGCUUUUCCCUUUUUUCCUUUUCCUUUUGUUUUCCUCCUGCCUCGUGUUCUCAACUAAACACAAUUAGGUUGUUUAAUUGUUAAAUGAGAUUUUUGUCUGUCAAUCAUAUUAUAUCCUAUCAAGAGAGAACAGAGUGUAAUGUAGUACACAUAACACGAGGCAGUAGUAAUUUUAUCAUUUAUUUUUAUAGCUUGGACCACCGCAUUUUUUCUUCUAAAAUAUUCUGUCUUGUUAAGAGACGCAAUAAUACACAAUUUUAUCUGCCAUUCAACAUUUACUGUAAAGUUCUUUUAUCUCUUUGUAGUUCUAGAAAAGUACAAAAUGGAACAUCAUGUAUAUGGUGCCUUCUGUCCUAAAAAAGAAACUGGACAAAUUAUGAACUGCAUGCUAAAAAGAGGCAAAGGAGCUUAAUUCGCAGCAUAAUUAUUUUGGUUUCUAGAGAGCCCGGGGCCUUUUGGUUGGUUUGGGGUCAGAAAAUGAACAUCAUAGGGAUUGUGCCCUUAACUGGCCUUGUUACUACAAAGAAAUUGCCAUAGAAAUUUAUUCCAGGCUGAGUAUCUCCGGAUAGACCCCAGAAAAGAAGAGUCAUAAUGAGAAUCAACCUUUGUUGAGUUUGAUUCCAUGCCUCCAUUGUGUUCAUUUCAUGAAUCUGAUUUGCAUUUAACAUUACAGUUUUGUUCUGGAAACAAUCAAAGGAGCAUCGUUUGCUUCUUGGGUGACCCAUAGUGGUGGGUGGGUCGAUUUGCUUAGUUGAAAAUUGGACAAUUGGCUCCAUCGCCUACCUCUUGGAUUCCAUGCUCGGAUAAAACGACAACAAAUAAAUAUUUAUAACUUACAACUGGGGAAAGGAAAAAAUAGUACUAAAUUCAUGGUACAUGAUAGUGAGAGAAGGGGGUGUUACACUCAGCUAAAGUUCUUUUCUAAAUAUUGCAUGGUGUUUAAUUUUAUGUGUCGGCGCGCGUGUGAAUGGAACCUGCAAAAGUCCAAAUUGGCGUUUCUCCAUUUUCCACAUAGGAUGGUGACGUUAAUAGACAAAGAUACAAUAUCUGUAGACAUUGCUUAAAAAUCGAUGUGAAGUAUUAGAAAUUACAGGCCACUGUACUGGGGGAGCGGCUGCCCCGCCAAAGGAAGAAUGUAGCAAUUUCUUCUGUUAGCCAGGCCUUAGGAUUUAUGCAUGGGAUGCCUAAUAACAAACAGAGAAAAUAUGCUUUUGGGGAAGGUAUCCAACAACAGACACCAUCAUUCAGAUGGUGGGAAGGUAUCCAACAGAUGCCAUCAUUCAGAUGGUAACAUAUAUAUACAUUUAUUAGUGAGUUUUUUUAAUACCUAUAAAAAAAAUAUACACUUUGAUAUUGUGGCUGAAUCCAUUACAUACUCAACUAACCUUGCUCAUUAGGGAUUUGACGUAACAAGGGCAACGUUGCAGUAAAAGCUCGAAACUUUAUGCAGGUGACAUUACAUUUGGUAAAGAAGAGGAAAAUAAGGAAAGCCAUCCAUAAAAGCAAAAUUCCUCAUGGGAUGAAAUUCACAAACUUCAUUUACGUUAGAGUCGCAUCCAGGCAAUUAAUUCCACAUUAGACCGCCUUUUGACAUGUGUACGGAUCUUUUUUCAAAAAUUAUUUAUAAAUAAUUGAUACUUACAAAAAUAAUUUAAGAUUUAUAAAGGAUAAAAAAAUAUUUUCAAAUCUAUGACAAUUUAUAAAAUAUUAAUAAAAAAUUAUCUCUUAAACUUAGUAUAGUUUUAUCGUAUUAAACUUUUAUUUUGAACAAAUAAUUUUAAUCUAAGUUUUAAAUUCUAAAAUUAUUUCCUUAAAAUAAAAUUUUAAAAUUCAACACUUCAAUUGAAAUUGUCUUUUAAAAAAAAUAUCUUCUUAUUUUAAUCCUUAUAAACUAUAGUUGAUUGAAAAUACUAUUGAAGUUCUCUCUUCAAAAAAAGUCUUAUUUUAAUCUUCAUAAAUUGCCCUUGAUUUGAAAAUAAACUUUGGGUUAUCAUAUUUUAAAUAAUAUAUAUAUAUAUAUAUAUAUAUAUAUAUAUAUAUAACAAAUACUCUAUUUUUUUUUUAAAUGAACUAAUUUUAAUUAUAUUUUAUUUUAUUUUUUUAUAUAUUUUUAAUGAUAAACCAAACAUAGAAAAUCAUUUUUCUAAAUAUUUUAAAAUUUCUAAGCAACCAAACAUAAUCUUCAAAAUAAAAGGAGAAUAAGGAGGGACAAGUGAGAAAUGGCGAUUAAAAAAAAGUGUACAAAAGCUCAAUUAAUUUUCUUCUAGUCUUUUAUAUAAAAAAGUAUUGGUAUGUAAAUUAAUAUUUGGAUUUUAAUAGUAUUUUAUUUGUCUUUCUCUAUCUCAUGUAAAAGAGAAUUUAAGAUAUUUCCUAAAGCAAAGCAUUAGUUAUCUGCAAUCAGUGGUGAUCAUGGUCCAUGUCAAUUUCGGACCCAUAUCUUAAAACCGUAUAAUUUGCGUUUCAACAUUACUGAUUUCUCAGAUGUUUCAUACUCCACAGAAGAGUAUUGUUAGUGAAAGCAUUUUGUAACUGUUACUCAUAGUGUUUUGACUCUGGCUCAACAACAUCAGCCAUUGACGGAUUUUCAUACAUGCAAAUCAAAUAGUCUUCUUCCUCCCUUAGGAAUUUCGGUUUAAAUGUUAUUAAGCAUACAUUUGGCUGACAAUUAUUAACCACUUCAUGAUAUGGUUUCUUACCCUUAAUCAAUGGUUUCUAAGUGAAUAUAUGCAGAAGGAAAUCUGAACUGUAGACAGCAGUAUUGAUAACUCUCAAUAUUCUUUAUAUAAGAGAAUAAACAACGUCAUAGUGAUCGUCGCCUACAAGAAAGGUACAUUUCCCAACAAGAUGUAGUGGUGACUGCUACAUGGACGCAAUUAACUCGUAGAAAAGGAUAAGACCAGUGCACGGCAGCUCUUAUUUUACAUGCUAAUUAUGCUAACCAAAGUCACUCAGUUGGGAUGGGAGGGAGAUGGAGGUUUGUGCGGUGGCUUGUGGGGCGGAGUUGGUGGCUUCUUUUCAGGAGCUUGUGGCUUUUUCGGAGCUGAAGGAGGCUCAAUCUUAUGAGGCGGCUUGUACGAGUCUUCUUUACUCUCGACAGGAGGGUGACCAGGGUUGUGACCAUAAUGUGGUGGCUUCUCUCCCUUAGGUGGCUUGCCAACUGGGGUUGGUGGCUUGUGUUCAGGAAGUUGUUUCUCUCCCUUGGGAGGUUUACCAAUUGGGGUUGGUGGCUUGUGUUCUAGGAGUGGUUUCUCUCCCUUGGGAGGUUUAGUGGGUGACUUGUGUUCUGGAGGUGGCUUCUCCACCGGAGACUUGUGUUCUGGAAUUGAUUAAAAAAAUUCUACCACUCUUUUAAGUAAUGGAAGAUUAUUAUCUCUGAUUGGCACCACAACAGCACAUGCUGCUAGAUCUUUCUAGACACUCCAUGCAAUGAAAGCACAAUGGAUCUUGUAACGAUAGAAACUAAGCCAUGCUACAGUACUAGAUGACGAGGUAAAACUAGUAGACAUGGGUGGUAGUUGAUUACUACUCAAAAAGUACUCUUUUAUAGUUUGAAACUAACUGUUUUAAACACUUUUGAGUAGUAGUUAAUAAAUUUUAACUCAAUUGGCACAUUAAGGAACCUAGCAAGGGUUACUAAUAAACUUUUGGCAAGUUUUGGUGUUUUUGGUAGUUAUUCGAUCAUUGAAACAAGCCAAGAAUGAGGGAGAAUUUUGUGAAGUCCAUGGCAAUGCAAGUUAAAGCUCAAAUACACGAAGAAUCCAAGCUUUGGAGCACUACAUAGCCCUUUGCCAAGCCAAUUAGAGAUGCAAGGAACAAAACCAAAGGAAGAAAUCCAACAACCAACAUUUUCGCAUGGUUGUGUGAAAUUUCGCACACCAUGCGAAACCACAAGAGGUAGCCAAAGAAUUUCACAUGGUAUGCGAAAUCUUCUCAUGCACCGACUCCGUUAGAUUUUUAUCUUCAGAUAUUUUGUGUAAUUUCCUAGUUUCUCCUUGUAACCAACCUAGAUAUUUUCUUUUAUAUCUUUUUUUAUAUUUUUUAGGUAACAUCAUAUAUAAGGGGAGAGACAUAAGGAGGAUAUGGAUGUUUUUCAUAGAACACUUGUAAAUUUUCAGUAGUAAGAAAUAUACAAAGCUUUUUGCUAUGCCUUACCUUCUCAUUUUGUUUUCACCUGUCUUUCUAGCCAAACAACCUCUAAGGAUGAUUUCUCAGGGGAUGAGUGGCUAGGUUUUACGUUUCUUGGAGUGAGGGAAGCUAGGUGAAGGACCUGAAUGCAAAGAUGAGAGUUUUCCUUGCUUUAAAUGAAAGUAGUUGUUAAACAUUAAUGGUUUUUAUUUUAAGGUUUAGCUUUAAAUCCCUUAAAAACACCUUGAAUGACCAAUACUUGGUAAGCUUUUCGGAUUCUAUGGAUGCUUAUUGCUAGAUCCAUGGAUGUCUAUUAGUUAUCAUUUACGAGCCUUUGGAAGGUGAUUCAAGGUGAGGGUCUUUAGUGUUUGAAGCCAUUAAUGGGAAGCAAUUACCAUUUUUUCAUGAAUCCUUUGGAUCAAAUCUUAAUUGCUAAAUAUAAAACCGAUUUGGGAAAUAACCAUCCUUUAUGUUAUUAUCCCCAACGCAAGGAGAAGAUCCGGAAUCUUCCCUUUUGUCUAAGGAACCCGAUCCUAGUGACCUAAAGCUCCAAGAGACCUUUUCUUUGUAGUUAACUUCAUUUAUUGUUUUUGCUUAACUUAAAAUCAAUCUUUGCAACCACAAUUCCAUUUUCUUUAAAAGCUAAUUUUUAUAAGGAAAAACACCAUUUUAUUUCCUUCACUAAGUCAACUGUACGAUGAAAACCCAUCCCUGUGGACGAUCCUAGAGCCAUUAUACUAUGUUAGCUAUGCUACCCUAGUGUGAGGUGAUUUAGGUUUUAUAAAUUUUGUUGAUAACACCCAUCUGAGCCAGAAUCAAAUGGCACAACUGAACCAGGGACGAAUCAAAUGGCGCCGCUAUCGAGGAUGGUGCCAAAGUACAUUGACAUGACUUUUGGUGAACACUUGUGAUCUUCAUCACAAGUUUGGUGAUUUUUCUAUUACUAAUUUUUUUCUUUGUUUUUAUUUUAGCUUAUCUUUUAUUUAGUUUUUAGCUAACCUUAACUUUUUCUUAGAAUUGUAUUUCUUCUAUUUUCUUUGUUUUUGUUUCAGUGAUCUUUAGUUGUGCAUGCCCUAUUGGAUAAGAAAUAUUGAGGGAAUACUUGUGAAGAUUGAAAAUCCUCGAGAAACUGAGUUGGAAGUGUGAUUGAACAUCAUGGAUGUUCCACCUGAAGACCAGAAUAGCCAACAUGGUUAAGAGGAUAAUUUCAAAGCAUACCGAUCCAUGAGGGACUGCAUGCAUCCACCUCGUAUGAGUGCACCGUCAUGCAUAGUGCCUCCCACUGAGCAACUAGUAAUCUGACCUCACAUUGUGCCACUCCUACCUACUUUCCAUGGGAUGGAGAGUGAGAAUCUCUACUCGCAUAUUAAGAAAUUCGAGGAGGUUUGUAAUACAUUCCAAGAAGGAGGAGCUUCAAUUGACUUGAUGAGGCUCAAGCUAUUUCCUUUCACUUUGAAGGAUAAGGCUAAGAUUUGGCUUAAUUCUUUAAGGCCAAGGAGUAUCCGAACUUGGACUAAUUUGCAAGCCGAUUUUCUUAAGAAGUUCUUCCUUACCCAUAGGACCAAUGGUUUGAAAAGGCAAAUUUCGAACUUCUCAGCUAAAGAGAAUGAGAAAUUCUAUGAGUGAUGGGAGAGGUACAUGGAAGCUAUUAAUGCUUGUCCUCACCAUGGCUUUGACACAUGGCUCUUAGUGAGUUAUUUUUACGAUGGUAUGUCUUCUUCAAUGAAGCAACUCCUAGAAACUAUGUGUGGAGGAUACUUCAUGAGUAAGAAUCCGAAGGAAGCCAUGGACUUUUUGAGUUAUGUGGCUGAAGUUUUAAGAGGAUGGGAUGAACCAAAUGCUAGAGAGGUGGAAAGAAUGAAGUCUCAACCUAAUGCUAAGGGUGGGAUGUAUGUUUUGAAUGAAGACAUUGACAUGAAAGCAAAGGUUGUAGCUAUGGCAAGGAGAUUGGAAGAGCUAGAAAUGAAGAAGGCACAAAAAGUGGAAGCCAUUUCUGAGACAUCAGUGCAAGCUAUGCCUUGUUCCAUUUGUCAACCUAAUGCUAAGGGUGGGAUGUAUGUUUUGAAUGAAGACAUUGACAUGAAAGCAAAGGUUGUAGCUAUGGCAAGGAGAUUGGAAGAGCUAGAAAUGAAGAAGGCACAAAAAGUGGAAGCCAUUUCUGAGACAUCAGUGCAAGCUAUGCCUUGUUCCAUUUGUCAAUCUUAUGAGUACCUAGUGGAGGAGUGUCCUACAAUUCCAGUAGUGAGAGAGAUGUCUGGUGAUCAAGCAAAUGUUAUUGAUCAAUUCAAGCCUAAUAAAAAUGCUUCAUAUGGCAACACCUACAAUUCAAAUUGGAUGAACCAUCCAAAUUUCUCUUGGAAACCAAAGCUACCUCAAUACACACAACCUGCUCAAGCACCUUAGCAAUCCUCGAAUCUUGAACAAGCUAUUGUGAACCUUAGUAAGGUUGUGGGAGAUUAAAAGUCCAUCAAUGCUCAACUGAAUCAGAGAAUUGACAGUGUAGAGAGUACAUUGAACAAAAGGAUGGAUGAGAUGCAAAAUGAUCUGUCUCAAAAGAUAGACAAUGUCCAAUAUGCAAUCUCAAGGCUUACCAACCUCAACACAGUGCAAGAGAAAGGAAAGUUUAUUUCUCAACCUCAUCAAAAUCCCAAGGGUAUCCAUGAAGUGGAGGCUCAAGAGAGAGAAUCUUCAAAGGUGAGGGAAGUCAAAGCAGUUAUCACCUUGAGGAGUGGUAAAGAGGUUGAUCAACCCACAUCCAAGCCAAAGCAUAAUGAAGAGAGUUUUGUAGAAAAAGAAAAGAGAGGAAAAUAAAGGAAAGAGAAUAGAGAAAAGUACAAAGAAAGAUGACCAUGAGUCUAGUGUGGAUGAAGAGCCCAAGAGGAUAGUGAUCAAGGAAAAUAUGAUGAAGAAACACAUGCCUCCACCUUUCCCCUAAGCUUUGCAUGACAAAAAAGGAACCAAUAAUACAUCGGAAAUUUUUGAAGUAUUGAGGCAAGUGAAGGUCAAUAUCCCUUUGCUAGAGAUGAUCAAACAAGUGCCGACAUAUGCAAAAUUCUUGAAGGACUUGUGCACUGUAAAGAGAGGGUUGAAUGUGAACAAGAAAGCUUUCUUGACCGAGCAAGUGAGUUCCAUCAUACAGUGCAAGUCUCCAGUGAAGUACAAAUAUCCGGGCUACCCUACCAUCUCAGUGAGUAUUGGAGGUACUUGUGUGGAAAAAGCUUUGUUGGACUUGGGAGCAAGUGUGAAUUUGCUACCCUACUCUGUCUAUAAGUAGUUGGGACUUGGAGAGUUGAAGUCAACAUCCAUCACCCUAUCUCUGGCAGAUAGAUCAGUGAAGAUUCCAAGAGAGAUGAUAGAAGAUGUCUUGGUUCAAGUUGACAAAUUCUACUAUCCAGUGGAUUUUGUUGUUCUUGAUACGGAUCCGAUUGUCAAAGGAACUAAUUAUGUUCCUAUCAUACGAAGACCCUUCCUAGCUACAUCAAAUGCAAUCAUCAAUUGUAGGAAUGGAGUCAUGAAACUCACGUUUGUCAACAUGACAUUAGAGCUCAACAUCUUCCAUUUGUACAAGAAGCAUAUCCAUUCAGAAGAAAAAGAAGGUCUAGAGGAAGUGUGCAUGAUUGACACUUUAGUGGAGGAGCAUUGUGAUCGACAAUGCAAGAAGAUUUAGUUGAGAGUUUUGGGGAUCUUGAUGAAGGGUUACUUGAACCCUCAGAUUUGCUUGCUACCCUACUCCAUUGGAGGAAGAGAGAAGAAAUUCUACCCUUAUUCAAUGAGGAGGAGACACAAAGAGCUGCUAAAGAUAAGCCCCCAAAGCUUAUUCUUAAGCCACUACCCACAGAGUUGAAGUAUGCAUACUUGGAAGAAGACAAGAAGUGCACUGUUGUUAUAUCUUUAGCUCUUACCAUUCAUCAGGAGGAUUGUCUACUUGAAGUCCUUAGAAGAAGUAAGAAGGUAAUAGGGUGGCAAAUUUCUGAUUUGAAAGGGAUCAGCCCUUUUGUCUGCACCCAUCAUAUUUACAUGGAGGAUGAAGCUAAGCCAAUUCAUCAACCUCAGAGAAGGUUGAACCCUCACAUGCAAGAAGUGGUGAGAGUUGAAGUUCUUAAGCUACUUUAGGCUGGUAUUAUUUACCCCAUAUCAGAUAGCCCAUGGGUGAGUCCUACUCAAGUUGUGCCAAAGAAGUCGGGGAUCACGGUGGUGCAAAAUGAUAAGGGAAAAGAUGUCUCUACAUGUCUCACUAUAGGUUGGAGGGUGCGUAUCAAUUACAGGAGGUUGAAUGUAGUGACAAGGAAUGACCAUUUCUCGUUGCCCUUUAUUGAUCAAGUGCUUGAGAGGGUCUCUGGGCAUCCUUUUUAUUGUUUCUUGGAUGGCUACUCGAGGUAAUUUAAGAUAGAAAUUGAUGUUGAAGACCAGGAGAAGACCAUUUUCACAUGCCCAUUUAGAACCUAUGCAUAUAGGAGAAUGUCUUUCGGCUUAUGCAAUGCACCCACAACUUUCCAAAGAUGCAUGUUAAGCAUUUUCAAUGAUAUGGUGGAGCAUAUUAUGGAAGUCUUUAUGGAUGAUAUCACCAUAUAUGGAAGUGCAUUUGAUGAAUGCUUGGUCAACUUAGAAGUUGUUCUGAACCGAUGCAUUGAGAAAGACUUAGUGCUUAAUUGGGAGAAGUGCCAUUUCAUGGUACACCAAGGGAUUGUCCUUGGGCACAUCAUCUCCAAGCAAAGCAUUGAAGUUGACAAAGCAAAGGUUGAACUCAUUGUUAAGUUGCCAUUCCCAACAAAUGUCAAAGGAGUAAGGCAAUUCCUUGGCCAUGCCGGGUUCUAUAGGAGGUUUAUCAAGGAUUUCUCUAAGCUUGCAAGGCCUCUUUGUGAAAUAUUGGUGAAGGAUGUUAAAUUCAUAUGGGAUGAUAGAUGCCAAAGGAGUUUUGAAGAAUUGAAGCUAUUUUUGACAACCUCACCAAUAGUGAGGGCUCCCAACUAGCAACUGCCCUUUGAGGUAAAGUGUGAUGUCAAUGACUUUGCUAUAGGAGCUGUUCUUGGGCAAAGAGAAGAUGGAAAACCUUAUGUGAUCUACUAUGCGAGCAAGACAUUGAAUGAGGUGCAAAGAAACUACAUAACCACCGAGAAAGAAUUGUUAGCUGUAGUUUUUGCCUUGGAUAAGUUUCGUGCUUACUUGGUGGGAUCCUUCAUCGUGGUUUUUAUUGAUCACUUUGCUUUGAAGUAUCUAUUGACUAAGCAAGAUGCUAAAGCAAAACUGAUUAGAUGGAUUUUCUUGCUUCAAGAGUUCAAUCUCCAGAUCAAAGACAAGAAAAAAAUGGAGAAUGUGGUAGUAGACCACAUUUCAAGGCUAGCUAUCGCACAUAAUUCCCAUGCUUUGCCCAUUAAUGACGAUUUUCUAGAGGGGUCUCUCAUGUUGGUGGAAGUUGUCCCUUGGUACGCUCACAUUGCUAACUACCUGGUCACAAGAGAAGUUCCAAGUGAGUGGAAAGCACAAGAUAAGAAGCACUUCUUUGCAAAAAUUCAUGCCUACUAUUGGGAAAAGCCAUUUCUAUUCAAGUAUUGUGCGGAUCAGAUAAUAAGGAAGUGAGUUCCUGAAGAAGAGCAACAGGGGAUCCUCAGUCAUUGCCAUAAAAAUGCAUGUGGAUGCCACUUUGCUUAUCAGAAGACAACCAUGAGGGUGCUGCAAUCGGGUUUCUGUUGGCCAUCACUUUUCAAAGAUGCCCACACCAUGUGCAAGAGUUGUGAUCGAUGCCAGAGGCUUGGGAAGUUAUCAUGUAGGAACAUGAUGCCUUUGAACCCCAUUUUAAUAGUUGAUCUUUUUUAUGUUUGGGGCAUUGACUUCAUGGGACUUUUCCCUAUAUCUUUUGGCUACUCUUACAUCUUGGUGGGAAUAGAUUAUGUUUCUAAGUGGGUUGAGGCAGUCCCAUGCAAACACAAUGACCAUAGAGUGGUUCUCAAGUUUCUUAAGGAGAACAUCUUCUCAAGAUUUGGGGUGCCCAAAGCCAUAAUUAGUGAUGGGGGUACUCAUUUUUGCAACAAGCCUUUUGAAACUCUCCUAGCCAAGUAUGGGGUGAAGCAUAAGGUAGCUACACCUUACCACCCUCAAACUAAUGGGCAAGUUGAGUUAGCAAACAAGGAGAUUAAAAACAUAUUGAUGAAGGUGGUGAACACAAACAGAAAAGAUUGGUCAGUCAAGCUCUUCGAUUCACUAUGGUCAUGUAGAACAGCUUACAAGACCAUUAUCGGGAUGUCUCUUUAUCACCUAGUCUAUGGAAAAAAUGCCAUCUCCUUGUGAAAUUGGAAUACAAAGCUUGGUGGUCAAUCAAGAAGCUCAACAUGGAUUUGAGCAGAGCUGGGUUGAAGAGGUUCUUAGACCACAAUGAGAUGGAGGAAUUGAGAAAUGAUGCCUACAUCAAUUCAAAAAUUGUAAAAGAAAAAUUGAAGAGGUGGCAUGAUCAGUUGAUUUCCCGCAAGAAUUUUCAAAAUGGAUAAAGAGUCUUGCUCUAUGACUCUAAACUCCACAUCUUUCCGAGCAAGCUGAAAUCAAGGUGGAUAGGUCCUUUUACCAUUCACCAAGUGCAUUCAAAUAGAGUAGUGGAACUACUCAACUCCAACAACAUCGGGAGCUUCAAAGUGAAUGACCAUUGUCUCAAGCCCUUUGUAGAGUCUUUUUUCUCGCGACAAGGAGGAAUUCAUCCUCCUUGAUCCACAUCAAGCUUGACAAGACCAGUUUUUUUUUAUGGACUUAGUCUUUCUAAAGACUAUCGAGUCCAUAACUUUUUAUUUUAUUUUUUAUUUGAGAGUUUUUCGGUAUUAUUACUUGUUUUGUUUUUUAUUUUUCGUUUUACUUUUAUUUGGUUUGAUUUAACUUAGAUUUUUUAUGAUCAAUUGCAGGGGGGAUUUCAAAUAGAGGAAAAACCAAGAUAAUUCGCACACCCUGCGAAAAUUUCGCAAGGCAUGCGAAAUUUAUGGCUCAUUUCGCAUGGGAUGCGAAAUUUCGCACACCCUACGAACCAAUUUCGCACACUUUGUGAAAAUAAACCAACCCUACGAAAUCAUUUCAAAUACUCUACGAAAUUUUCGCAGAGCAUGUAAAAAAUUUCGCAGACCAAACACCAUUUCGCAUACUAUGCGAAAAUGUAAGGGGUCUACAAAACCAUUUCGCACCUCCAAAGCCAUUUCGCACAUUGUGCAAAAAUGAAAAGUCGCCCUAUCAUCCAUUUUUAAACCCCUUGAGCCCUGAAAUCCCCAUUUCGCAAGCACCCCUGUCCUUGCGAAUCCCUCAUUUUCCUCUGCCACCUUGCGACCUUGUCCCUCUCCAUUUGAUAUCGUGCCCUGCGCACAUCUCAUUUCAAAGACUCGCACUCUGCGCCCUCUCAAAGCACGAACCCAAGGCUCACAUUCCAUUUCCGACAUGGCACAGACCCGAGGAGCCCUUCCCGCCCCUUCAUCGAGACGCACACCAAGGUAGAGAGCCUCUUUUGCUCAGAUGCCAAGUGAUUCUCCAUUUCAGGCCACGGAGGCCCUGCGGAUUCCACAUUCCAAGGGUAGAACAGCCACUGGUCCUUCCUCUUCUAUUCCUCAGCGUAGAUAUGAGACGAGGAGACCACCUACUACACAAAGGGCGACUACUUCGCGCCAUGAGAAUUCGGUACGACACCCUCCUGCCAAGAGGGCCAGGACUUCAGGCCCAGGCGAGUCAUCCAAAGCUUCACAGCCUGAGCCUCCUGCAGAUUCCGAGGUUCCUACUGACAUAUCAUCGGAGUCUAUUAUCAAACGCCCGAUGCUCACAGCACCGCCCAUUGAGGGCAACUCUGAUUGUAGAGCGAGACCUUUCCACUUGGAGCUAUAUUUUAAUUAAGAGGCCAUGCCACAGCAGCCUGAGCUCCAAGACUCUUAUGGCUUACUACAGAGGUACCAUCUUGAGGACCUUAUGACUCCUCGUGAGUUCUUUUAUCCCAGAGUAGCACUAGACUUUUACCAGUCCAUGACUACUCGUGGCGUCCCGAGUCCUACCGCGAUGCACUUCACCAUUAAUGGACGUCAUGGUAUCCUCGAGGCCAGACAUAUUGGAGAGGCUCUACAGAUUCCUUUCGAGCUAGAGGACCCAUCUGUUUUCUGCCAAUGGUCCCCAAUAUCUCAGAGGGACAUGGUCCAUAUUUUAUCCAGGGGGACAUCUACAUAUUCGAUCCUUCUACGGAAGGAGCUUCGACCUGGGAUACUCCUCGUAGAUGUGGUGCUACUUUCCAACCUCUUUCCCUUUUAGCAUUCGAUACAUAGGCGAGGAGCUAUUUUGGACGCUUUAUUCUGUAUAUCAGAGGGCUUCUACUUUGGCCCGCACCACUUGAUCAUGGUUUCCCUCAUCCAUUUUGAGGAGAAGGUCCAUAGAAAGAAGCUUCAGAGGGCGAACACCAUUCCAUUACUAUUCCCGAGGUUGCUCUACUAGAUCUUGGAGUACAUGGGCUUUCCUACUGAGCCUCGGCUUGUGUGCCGCCGCCUUUGUCAAGAGCGAUCCACUCUCGACAAAUGGAAUCAGUUGGCGGGCUAUUCUACACCUCCAGGAGCCCCUCCCAUGGUAGCACCUCUAGUGUCCCCACAGGCAGAGUAGGGCAAGCUCCCGGUAGAGACUGCACCCCUAGUGCCCACACCUGAGGCUACUUCUGCUGUUCCGCCUACGACUCCUACUGUUCCACCAGUUGGUCCUUUUACAUCUGAGUCUUCCAUCAACAUCUCGACUUCGGAGUUUCGCGCCCUUGUGCAUACCUUUCAGACACUCACCACCACACAUACUGCUCUCUUCUAGAAAAUGGCUGAGAUGCGUGCCCAUCAGGACCAGCAGACUACUAUACUCCGCCAAAUUCAACAGCACCUGGGACUUCUGCCUCUGCCUCAGCUUGACCUUCCCACAUCAUCAGAGCCUCUAGCUCCAGUUGAGGAUACUAUUCCACCUGAGGACACUACCACAGUAGAGGUUCAGAUUCCACCACCUCAGGAGGCCACCACAGCUACAUUAGAGGAUGCAUCAUCUCCACCUGAGGCUCCCACUACUUGAUCAUAGGACAUCUCUUUAUCUUAUUGUAUUUACAUAUUAUAUUACUGGAGAUUUGUCUUUGUUUUGAUACUUUAUAUUCUGGCAUUGAAUGUAUUGCCUAAUGAUAUCUCAAUUGUACUUUCUCAUAUUAAUAUAUAGACAUCAAUUUUUUUUAGUAUACUUAGGAUUUUUCUAUUUACUCUACUCAUUACUCUUUUGUUUUUUUUUUUUUACUCAUGUGGUUUCUCCUAUACGACUCAGACUCCAUUUCACUCAGGAGGUACCACUUCUUCCCUUUAUUUUCAAUUGCUCUUGAAACAUUGAGGGCAAUGUUGAUCUUGGUUGGAGGGAGAGUUGAGGAAGGAAGUGAUUACUACUCAAAAAGUGCUAUUUCAUAGCUUGUAAUUAACUCUUUUAAAACACUUUUGAGUAGUAGUUAUCACCUUUUAACCCAAUUAACAUAUUAAGGACCCUUGCAAUCAAUUCUAAUCAAAUUGUGUUAAGUUUUGGUAUUUUGAUAGCUUUUUUAUCACCAAAGCAAUCCGAGAUUGAGGAUAUUUAUUUGGAAUCCAUGGCAAAAGAUGUUUGGACAGGACGUCCGGACACACCAUCGGAGGGCGGCGGAACGUGGGCUGUGGCAGGCUGUCGGAAUGACGUAGCAAGGCUUGUGCACUUUAGCCAAUGAUCGGGAUAACAUAUCCGAAAUUCUGCUCCGCCGACAUUCCACCCGGAUGUCUCACAUCCGGAAUUCUGCUCCGCCGACAUUACACCCAGAUGUCUCACAUCCAAAAUUCUUCUCCGUCGACAUUCCAUCCGAAUAUUUCACAUCCGACGCUUGACGCCGGAUGGGAGAGGAGGGCGUUUCAACUUCCCCGGUCAGACAUAUCCGAAUCCUUUGAUAACGCUUACCCGGAGAGUUUCGCAGCCAUUUUGCACAGUGCCGCGGUGUUCUCUUGAAGCUUCCCGAUAUGUGCGACCGACAUUUUGAGAUAUUUUGCUUUAGAUAUUUGAUGUCUAAAUCCCCAAACUCUCCUUGUAACCCACCAAUUAUAGGAUUCCUUAGUUAUUAAGUUUGGAAAAAUGGUGAAUAACCCCUUAUAUAUAGUUUGCAAUUUUCAUAAAAAAGAUAUGUAGAAUCUCGGGAGCUUGUUCCCAGAGAGACGCAUCCUUUGUACAGUUUUGGAAGGAAGUAAAAUACAGAGCACUUGCUCUGCUUUUCAUAUAUAUUUUUGUUUUCUCGUUCUUUUUAUUUCUAGCCAAUCAAAGUCUGAGGAUUUUUCCUCAGAGGAUGAGAGGCUAGGCUCUUCGUCUCUUGGAGUGAAGAAAACUAGGUAAGUUUCCACAUGCAUAAAUUGAAAGUUUUGUUGUUUUAGUUUUUAAUGAAGAGAAAGUGUGACCCGUUAAUGGUUUUUAUCUUUUUAGUUAACUUAAAACGCCUUUAAAUCACCCGGGCCAACACUUGAUAAGGCAAGUGGUCUCCAUCCAUUGAGAUGCACUAGUUUAUCUCUUGCGAGCCUUUGGGAGGUGGUUUGAAGGUAGGAUUUUCUAGAAUAACCAACACUUGAUAAGCUUUUGGACUCUAAGGAGACAUCCAUUAGUUAUCUCUUGCGAGCUUUUGACGGGUAAUCCAAGGUUAAAGAUCACCUUGAAUGGCAAGUACUAGGUGAGAGGUAUGAGCCAUUGCAAGAUGCAUUAGUGAGAGGGAUUUAGUGUUUGAACCCAUUAAAGGGAAGCAUCUGUACCACACCGGUUCGGGAAAUAACUAUAUGUUAAAUCCCCAAUGAGAGGAAAAGAAACAAGUGACCGGAACUCCCUUUUUGUAUAAGGAACCUGAGCCUAGUGAUCUAAACUCCAAGAAACACUUUUCUUUGUAAGUAAAAUCAGUUACUAUUUUUGGUUAGUUUAAAACCAAACCUUUUUCAUUCAAACAUCUUUAUGUUUUCUUUUAAAGCUAACCUUGAAAUGAAAAGGCACCAAUUCAUAUUUGAAUUAAUAUCAAUUGUGAAGUGAAAACCCAUCCCAGUGAACGAUCCUAGAGCCACUAUGCUAUAGUAGCUUUGUCUUUGCUACCCUAGUUCAUGGUUUAAUAGGUUAUAAAUUUUGUUGAUUACUCCCACAAUCAAAGGAGCACCAGUUGGACAUGAAUCAACUGAGACACUAAUUGGGCACAAAUCAGGAAGUUUUGUUAAUAAUGCUAGGUUAAUUUGUUAAUUUAGUUACUUUCUGCUUAAUUUUAAAAGUUUUCACUUUACUUUCCAUAGUUAUUAAGGAAAAAUUCUCAAAAUGAAAUGGGAGAAAUUGAAUUCUUACAUUUUUACUUGAAUUUUAGAAUUUGUAUUAUGCUUAUUGAAGCUGAUGAAUUAUUGAAACUCCUAUUGAAUUCAACCUUAUUUCUUCCACUUUAAUCUUACCACACACGGUGCACAUUAGGUUCCGAUUAUAAGAGGUGCGUUCUUAGCCUAUUGGAGGUUGGUCAAUUUGUUAAAGUUUGAGAAAGAUCUAGGUUAGGGGAGAGAGAAUAGUCUGACAUACUAUAAUCGAAAACUAAUAAACUUAACACUUAGAUCUUUGUGGAAGAGUAAGGAUUGGACCUUUGGGAGUGGAAAUUCGUUUGAUGCUUAAAUUUGCAUAAUGCUUACACUUUAUAAAUUGUGAUUAGGCAAGAGAUUUGAUGACUCUUGUUCAAGGUUGGGUUUUGCCUCUUUGAUGUUCCAUGAGAGAGUAUAAUCCUCAUCAUGCCACUUGAAAUUUUUUUUGGAGUGAUUAACAUGAUUUUGUAAAUUACUUUACUGUCUAUUUUUUUUUUAUCUCUCCUUCAUUGCUAAUGGACUAGCAAUAUGUCAGUUGAGGGGAGUGAUUACUACUCAAAAAGUACUCUUUUAUAGCUUGAAACUAACUGUUUUGAACACUUUUGAGUAGUAGUUAAUACCUUUUAACUCAAUUGGCACAUUAAAGAACCUAGCAAGGGUUACUAAUUAGUUUUUGGCAAGUUUUGGUGUUUUUGGUAGCUAUUUGAUCAUUGAAACAAGCCAAGAAUGAGGGAGAAUUUUGUGAAGUCCAUGGCAAUGCAAGUUAAAGCUCAAAUACAUGAAGAAUCCAAGCUUUGGAGCACUUCAUAGCCCUUUCCAAAGCCAAUCAGAGAUGCAAGGAAGAAAACCAGAGGAAGAAAUCCAACAAUUAGCAUUUUCGCAUGGCUGUGCGAAAUUUCGCACACCAUGCGAAACCACAAGAGGCAGCCAAAGAAUUUUGCACACUAUGCGAAAUUUCGCAUGGUAUGCAAAAUCUUCUUGUGCACCAACUCCGUUAUAUUUUUAUCUCAAAUAUUUUGUGUAAUUUCCUAGUUUCUCCUUGUAACCAACCUAGAUAUUUUCUUUUAUAUAUUUUUUAGGUAACAUCAUCUAUAGGGGGAGAGACAUAAGGAGGAUAUGGAUGUUUUUCAUAGAACACUUGUAAAUUUCCGGUAGUAAGAAAUAUACAGAGCUUUUUGCUCUACCUUACCUUCUCAUUUUGUUUUCACUUGUCUUUCUAGCCAAACAACCUCUGAGGAUGAUUUCUUAGGGAAUGAGUGGCUAGGUUUUACGUUUCUUGGAGUGAGGGAAGCUAGGUGAAAGACCCGAAUGCUAAGGUGGGAGUUGUCCUUGCUUUAAAUGAAAGUAGUUGUUAAACAUUAAUGGUUUUUAUUUUAAGGUUUAGCUUUAAAUCCCUUAAAAACAUCUUGAAUGGUCAAUACUUGGUAGGCUUUUUGGAUUCUAUGGAUGCUUAUUGCUAGAUCCCUGGAUGUCUAUUAGUUAUCAUUUAUGAGCCAUUGGAAGGUGGUUCAAGAUGAGGGUCUUUAAUGUUUGAAGCCAUUAAUAGGAAACAAUUACCAUUCUUUCAUGAAUCCUUUGGAUCAAAUCUUAAUUGCUAAAUAUAAAACUAGUUCGGGAGAUAACCAUCCUUUAUGUUAUUAUGCCCAACGCGAGGAGAAGAUUCGGAAUCUUCCCCUUUGUCUAAGGAACCCGAUCCUAGUGACCUAAAGCUCUAAGAGACCUUUUCUUUAUAGUUAACUUCACUUAUUGUUUUUUCUUAACUUAAAAUCAAUCUUUGCAACCACAAUUCCAUUUUCUUUGAAAGCUAAUUUUCAUAAGGAAAAUCACCAUUUUAUUUUCUUCCCUAAGUCAACUGUACGAUGAAAACCCAUUCCCAUGGACGAUCCUAGAGCCACUAUACUAUGUUAGCUAUGCUACCCUAAUGUGAGGUGAUUUAGGUUUUAUAAAUUUUGUUGAUAACACCUGUUUGAGCCAGAAUCAAAUGGCGCAACUGAACCAGGGACGAAUCAACAACUUAUAUGGGAGGGACACAAGUUUAAUUGAUUUGCAUUUCAACGUUAUAUAUAGGUAUGUUUUGGAAGAUUUGUUCUGGAAAUACUGCACCAAGUACGAUUCUUUUUGUCUUGAGUGGGUCUACUUGCAUGCCAAUUAACGAGUGGAAAAGUAGGAGCACCUACCUCAUGCUCGCGGAACCGAAGGUCAGUGAAGUGGGGCUCCUUUUGGCCUCUUGUGUUUCUAUUCCAACCAAGGCGGCGUAAGGAAAAACAACAAUAUGUUUGUGCUAAAUAUCAACGCAUGAUAGAUGUUUUUGUUUUUUGGUAUGUCAAGGCUAAUGAAUGAAAUGCUUUAGCUUGUUUUGUGACUGGAACUGCAAAUGUCCAAAUUGGAGUAUCUCCAUUUCUCACUUCGGAUGGUUAACUUAUAAACAAGAUAUAGGAAACAUGUGAACAUCUUGAGGAACAAUUUGAAUUAUUCAUUAGAAGUCCUGGGUUGAGUUCCAAGAUUUAAAUUAGACCCCUCUAGCAGCUUCAGGGGUACCUAGCAACCUAUAGCAUAUUAAUGAAGAUUUAGGAUUUAGACUCUAGAAUACAAAUUAAUAUGUAUCUCAUGCUUUGACUAGCUUCCCUACAUAUGCACAAAAUGGAGAUGACCUAAAAAAAUAGCAGAAUCUAGCUUCCCUACAUAUGCACAAAAUGGAGAUGACCCAAAAAAUAGCAGAAUUUCCUUAGUUUCUGUGGUUAAGGUGAUUCUCCGCUUAAUAUCACAUUGACUCAUUAUGCAAAAUCAACUGAGCUAAUUUUGUUUAUUUAUUUAAUGUCAAAUAGGAACUCCUAAUUAACCUAACCCUUGGCCUGUGUAAAUUGAUUUCACAUGCCCAAUGUUGAAGUAGAAGUCCAUAUUUUGAAUUUUAUUUUUGUAAAGGUAAGGAAAAUGAAGCAUUGUGUAAUUAUAAAAAUAACUUCAUUGGAAUUCACAAGGUUCACCCAAAAUGGAGCUACAUCCGUAUUCUAUCCUGCAGUAGACUAUAUAGAUUGUACAAUAGUAAAUUGCAAAUACAAUUAAUAAGUCUUGUGCUUCCUUACUAAUAAUCCUUUGACAUGAACAUUGCAGCACUAAGGUCCUCUUGGGAAGACACCUUGCACCCAUGAGAGCACGAAGAGGAAGCAAGGCAGAGUCAUGGGUGCAAUGUCAUGACUUGUUGUUGCACCAAGAGAGGCUUGGUGAUGGCAUGGUGUUGCAGUAGCAAGAAUGUUGCCUUGGUAGGGACAUAAUCUAGGGAUAGAUGCCAAGAAAGGCUUAGCACUCACAUGAGUUGCACAAAGAUGAAUGUAAUAGAGCAUCAGAGAGACGUCUUGGCAAGUAAAUGAAUGGAUCCAAGAGGCAACAACAUGAGGAGUUUCAAAUGGAUAAGGAAUGAGUCAAAGACAUUUGAAAGCUACAAGUUGGAUUCUAAUUACGAUUGCAAUUUGAGUUUGAGUAGGAGUUUAGAUUCUGAUUGUAAUUGUAGUAUGAGUUGGACUAGGAUUGCUUAUCCCUAGUCAAAAUAGGAGUGGUUCGUGUCACACCCUAUGAAAAGAGUUUGAGUAGGGACUAGGAUUGCUUACUCCUAGUCAAAUAUGGAGUAGGUGGUGCCACACCUAUAAAAAAAAAGGGACAACAUGAGAGAGAGAGAGAGAGAGAGAGAGAGAGAGAGAGAGAGAGAGAGAGAGAGAAAGAGAUAAUGAAUUCACUAAAGAUAUUGUGGGAGUUUUUCUUUGUUACGUCUUGUAUUAUUACUUAGAAUAGGAAUAAAAUACAAGUUUGGGCUAGAGCCCCAUAAUUAAUCUCGUGUGCCUUUGUGGUUAUUCUUUAUUUGUCAUCUCGUGUGGAUUGGAUUACAUUGACUUAGAGGGCUUCUAAGCACCACCUUUGUGGGUUAUUAUUUAUUUUCCAUUUCUUGUGGAUUAGAUUAGGUUGACUUUGAGGGCUUUUAAGCACCACCUUUGUGGGUUAUUCUUUAUUUUCCAUAUCGUGGGGAUUGGAUUAGGUUGACGAUGAGAAAAAUUAUGUGGGAAAUUUGUGUUGGGACACUUAUCAUAACCAGGUAAAAUCUGCCAAGUCCUUUGUAAUAUCUUCAACAAAUAUUUCAGACUAGUUCUUCACCAUAAACAUCAUAUUGUGUUUUGUUUUUCUCCUGGAUUCUGAGUUGAAUUGUUUCAAGUCAAUUGAAUGCAUCUGAAUAUUAUUAGCUUGUUUGAAGGCCUGGUGAUUUUCCAUUUAACUUUACUUUCUUUAGGUUAUGCUCACUAUAAGAAAAAUGAGAAAUAAUGACGCUUUUUACGCGUUAAGAAAGGCAACAGAUGAUGCUUCUCUAAAGCGUCCUCUUCGGCUCUGUCAUUAUAUGUGUUAGCCAAUAAUGACGCUUCUAGGAAGUGCCAUCUUUGAAUAAUGUUAAUAACGACACUCGUAAAAAGUGUCAUCUUUAAACAUAUUCUGGUCAAAUAAUUUUUACAAAAUUAGUAAUCUUCAAGCCGUUUCUGAAUCAUAUCUGAGCCUAUUUCUGGGGACCAGAAAACCAUCUUUUUUCCAUUCGCCUGAGAGGUCUGAUUAGCAUUUCUGGAAUCAAUCUCUAAACCCAAGCUUCCCUCAUCUACCCAUUUAACCCUCAUGCCCUCCUGUUUGAACAACUUUCCCACUAUAUACACAAAUUUUUUACCUUCUGUUGUUGGUAUUCGACCUCUUCCCAUUCCCAGCACAGAAUCCACCAUUAGUGCCACUUUGUGAAUAAAAUCAUCGAACCAGAUCUUUCGGGCGGAAGAUGAGCUCCAGAGAAAUAAAAUUUUUGGGGUCUUCCCAGCAUGAAAGUCAUAGGUAGCAUUAAUGACAUCAAGAAAUGGGGCACUGUUGAGAAAAAACAUGUUCCCAUCAACCACCCAAGAAUUGUACCAGACUCCAAACACUUCUGGAUUACAUAUGCCUUUACUAAGAUAUAUUUCUUGAUCUCCAUAUCAGAAUCUUGGAGACUCUUCAUUUUAUGAGCUCUGACACUACUGUGAAAUUGGUCCACAUCAAUCACAGGAUGACCCCUUCUAGCAAGAUCAAGCAGGAAGUCUGAAUUCGGGCCCAUAAAAAUGUAGUUCUGAAUAUUGAAACUCUCAAAGUGGCACAACAAAUUCCUUAUGACUCUUUCAGAUGCUCCAAACAGGCUCACAAGUAUAAUGGUAUCCUGUUUUUGCACAGAGUAAAGAAAAUAUCCGAGUUCUUCAAAACUCCUUACAACUAUUCCAGGAUGUACUUCUUUGAAACAGAAAUCGUACCACUUUAGCUUAGUCAGAGGUUGAAUCUAAAAUAACAAAACCCAAACUGAAAUCAAAAUCGAAAUCAACCCUAAUAGAUUUCAGAAACAACAAAUUAAAAGAGUAAAGCACAAAAGGGGGAAAACACAUAUGAAGCAAUCUCCAUACAAGCCCUAACCUUAGAUAAACCCAAAAAAAAAAAUCAAAGCAGAGAGUUACCAUAGAGCAUCUCUGUUUCAAGCUUAGAAAAUGUUUAAUGCCAUUGAUAACUAGUUGGCUAGUGGUGGACUUCAAGCUUCUCUAUUUCGGUGUUAGUAGCUCUCAAUGGCUAUGGUGAGAACAAAGAAAUGAGAGGCUUAGGGUUUGGGAUGUGAGGUUAUUGAUGAUGAUGAGGAUAAAGUUAUGGGCUCUUGGAGGGGUUAGGGAAAUUGAAGAUGGCUGAGAGUAAAGGCUAGGGUUUUUGAGAUAGUUAAUAGCUUUUUAGGGUGUGACUGUCCAUAGAUAGAAGAUAAAUGAGGGUGUGAGAAUUUAUAGAUCUCUAGGUGAUAUGGCGGGUGUGAGAAUGAAAUUUUAGAGGGAAUUGUGUGUUUGGUAGAAAUUUCACACAUGCAUAUAUAAUGUUUCAGAACAUGGCACUUUAAAAAUACGACAAGGAAGAAAUUAUUUAUUGACGCUUAAAUAAAGCGCCAAGGUCUCCAACAUUUUUGCAAUCAAUGACGUUUGUAAAAGGUGCCAUUGAAUAGGAGUGCCAUUGCUUUCCCACAAAGCAUCAUUGUUAAUCAAGCCUUUAAAAAACGCCAAGAUAUGUUGCCACUUAGGUUAAAUAUUGACGCUUUUAAAAAACGCCAAGGAAAAAAACGUCAUUAUUCAUGUUUUUUGUAGUAGUGGCUUGAUUCCUAAAAAGUAAAGGAAAGCAAAAAGUAAAAAAAUAAAAAUGUGGAGAGUUAGGACAUGCGUUAUCUAAUUGUCCUAGUCCCAAAUAUAUUAAGAAAGUCAUGUAGGUUACUUGGAGUAACGAGUCAAGUAAAGCAAGCCUUCUAGUGUUUAAGACAUUAGAUAUUACCGAACUGAUUAUGUCAUUAAUGUAUUGCAUUUGUUGUUUCUAAUAUAUAGAAGAAGAUGAAAUUAUUGGAAUAAGUGGGAAAUAGGAAUAAAUCCAAGGUACCAAAAAGUCACUUUAUCUUAGAUGUUGUUGGAAACAUAAGUGAUUUCACAAUAACGACUAUGAGACAAUCAAGGAUUAAUAAGAUAGACUUUAUAUGAUAUACCUCCCAAUUAGAGCCUAAAAAUAUGGAUGAAGCACUUAGAGAUGAAUCUUCAAUUUUUGUACUAUAGGAAGAAUUAAAUCAAUUUGUUAGCUAUUCUUUGGAUAUUUGAUUCAUCACAAGCUACAAAUCACUUUUGAUGACCAAACACGAAACUAAGAGGAUUGGGCCCAAUUCGAUGCCUAUCAACAAUGAUUUGUAUUCCACCUCAUUAAUUAUUCAAAGUUGGGAAGCUAGGUCUAACCACUUUCUCUACCUGUUCACCCUUAGAGGAGCAGAAGAAAAUUCUAACUUUGGUGCCUAAUGCCUUUGACAAUCUUUCGACAAAGAGAGUUCACUAAUUACUUUGAUUAUUUCUCUGUUGGUCACUGGGGGACAAGACUUUUGUAAUGAAGUCAACUAGAACUUGCCCUUUGAGGGCCAUUCAUGGACGAUAUUACACCAUGAAUUCCCUUAGGUCAUGUUUGGUAUGUGAGAAUGAGGAGUGGAAUGGACAUCUUAUUCAUUUUUUCAUCUAUUCAAAUGUUGGGAUAACUCAAGUGACCAUGAGAAUGAAAUCAAGAAUGAUUCAAGGGAAAUGAAAUCUUACUUAUAAGUGUGAUUUCAAUUAAUCUCUAAUAGAAAUUAUUUUGAAUCAAUAGUGCAAGUUAUUUUUAAAAACAUUUUUCCAAAAUUAAAAAAAUCAAUUUUUUUUUUUUCGAUAAGUUGUUUUUAAAAGGAUUUUUUUUAUUUUGUAAAAAGAAAAUUGUAAUUCAAUUUAUAUAAUAUAAACUAAAUUUUAUUUUAUUCAAAAAGAAAUAAUUUUUUAAUUAUAAAUAAAUUAAAAAUAAAUACUUUUAAUAAAAUAUAAAUAGUAUUAUUAUAAUAAAAUCAUAAAUAAAUUUAAUUUUUUUUAUAAAUAUUAUAAAAAUAUGGAUAUUAACAUUGGAUAAUUGAUUUAUUUUGUUAAAAUAAAAAAUAAUAAUUUUUAAUAUUAUUUUAUGUUAAAUGAAUUUUAAAAUAAAGAAAGUUUAAUUAUUUUAAGGUAUAGAAGAGCCAAAUUUUGCAUUACAUACAUAACAAACAAUAUUUAUUAGAAACAUUUCUCAAGGAGAAUCUUAUUCCAUCUCACAAAGAUACUCGUUUAUUCGAUGUUUGACCAUCCGUAACAAUCAUGUCAAUUCUACUGAUUUAAUAAUUCCUUUACAUUUAUUACUCACUUAUGAACAUGGUAUUGUGAUUUAUUUAUUUAUUUGAUGUAUAAUUAAUUAAUCAAUUUUUUAAAUUUCAAAUUAUUUUUAAAAACUAUUCAUUAAGGAAUUUAAAGCAUUAAUUAUGUCUAUUAUUUUUUAUAGUCAUUAUAUAUAUAUUGAGUUUUAAUUUAUUUUUAAAAAUUAUUAAACUUAUUAAUAAAUUCAAUAUAAAGUCUCGUUUCAUUUGAAAUUCAUUUCUUUAGUGAAAAUUUUGAAAAAAAAAUUGUUAUUUAUUUUACUUUGUUUUAAAAAAAUUGUUUCUAGAGAACAAUAAUCAAAUAAUGGUAUGAAUUUUUAAAAACAAUUUUGUUUUUAAAUCAUAUGCCCAAAUAAUUUUUUUUUAUUUAGCAAAAAACUUUGUUGUAGUAUGUGGCUCAUAUUGAGGGAAAGACAUAUAUGGAGAAAAAUGUGCAAAUGUUGGAGUGGAGCGGAGUGGAAUGACGACAUUUGUCAUUCAAACUUGUAUUUUUAUUGUUAAGGGUGACCGAUAGGUUGGUACGGUUUAGGGGUAUUUUUGGAAUUUCAUUACCUGAGGGUUAGUAUAAAUACCAUUUUAUGUAACCCUAAUUUUACAUAUAAUGUAAGUUUUCUUCCUUGUUCUUGUGGACAUAGGCAAUCCGUCGAACCACGUUAAAUCUGUGUGUUUUUUUUUCUUUUUUCUUUUUCUCUAAUUUCUUCACCAGGAAUCGUUACACUAAGAUCAACAAACUCUCAAAGAUGAUUUUUAAAAUGAAAAAAAUAAUGUAUAGUGUGAGAAUUUUUUAUUUUUUAUUUUUUUAAAAUGAAAAUAAAAAAUUGCUUUAAGGUAAAAGUGUGGAUAUUAUUGUUAAUUUAUUUCAUUUUUCAUUUUCAUUUCCAUUGUUACCUACAAUUGAAAUGGAAACAACUAAUCAUUACAACCUUACAUUCUUAUAUGCAUCCAAAUACAAAAAUUGAAAUCACCAAAUUCAUAUUCAAGGCAAAAUAGGAAUGAAAACAAAUAUUCAUUCUCAUUCUUUAUUCCCACGUGUCAAACAUGACCUCAAAGUUAUAAACAUGAACAAGAAGUCCUUGAAACACCAAUGAUCUCUUCUGGUAUAUAUAUGAGCUUGAUUGACAACUGUUUUAAAUACAGUUUUUUUUUUUUUUGUUUUCAAAAUCAAAACAAAUUUAUUUUUAUUUUUUAUAAAUAGUAGUUUUUUAAUAUUUUUUUUAAACCUUAUUAUGAAAAUAGGAUGUUUUCUAAUAUCAUAUUUUAAUUAUUUUCAAUUAUUUUCCCUUCUUUUAAGGAGGGCUAUUUUAAAAAUAUGAAAAAUGAUACAAAAUAAAGCAUUACAAAUAAAAAUCAUUUUUAAGAAAUAUAUGAAAAUAAUUUGAGAACAUUUGAAGUUCCUUAAUUAAACUUUUGUUCUAGAAAAUGCAAGAAAACUGUUUUUGAAAAUUGUUUUCAUAAUGAUAUGCAUUGAUCGUUUAAAAUUUAAUUACAUGAUAAAAAGACCUAUGUAAAAACCAGAGUUAUAUAAUCAGUCAUAGAUCAAAUCUACUAAAUAUGAAAAGUAAGUACAUAGUUGUAUAUGACUUAGAUGGAGCCUUCUCCGAAUGACAUUCUUUAGUCGGUACUCAUAUUUUUUUGUUUCGUGUCUUCAACAUAACACCUCAUGAUCCUUAAUAAAUCACCUGAAAACUAUAUUAGCACCUUAUUGUUUAAUAUUUCUCUAAAUUUUUUUAUUAAGCAAAUAAAUUCCAAAUUUAAAAUGACAAAUAAAAUUUAUUAAUUUUUAAAAAUAAUUUAAAACUCAAAAACCAAUUUAAUUGAUAUUAAAAGUCAUGAAACUUAAUAAUAUUAGAAAGUCAUGUAUCCAAAUUUAUUUUAAAUGACUUGUUUAAUUUCUUGUUUAUAUAUAUUAUAUUUUUAUAAUUUUUUUUACUAUACAAAUAAAUUUUAAAUUAAACAAAACUUAAUGCGUUGAAUUCAUUAACGAGUCUAAUAAUUUUUAAAAGUUACUUAAAAUUUAAAUACUAAAUCAAUUAGUACCACAAAUUCAUGGAAAAAAAUUGAUUUAUUACUACUAUAUUGUUUCUCUAUUGCAUAGAACCAUUAUUUUUCAAUUUUUUCAUUUGGCAAAUGAACAUCAAAUUAAACAAGACUAAGUGUAUUAAAUUCAUUAAUGGGUCUAGUAAUUUUUUAAAAUAAUUUAAAAUUCAAAUAUUGAUACUCCAAAUUAAACAAGACUUAGGUGGUGUUUGUUUUUUGGUUGAAUAGAAAAAGGUAAAAUAUUUGACUUUUUCUAUUUAGUUAAAAGUAACUUGUUGACAUCGUCCAAUAUAAUUAAAGUAAACCUAUUGAGGGCAAGUUCACUUUAAUUAUGUUGGACGAUGUCAACAGGUUACUUUUAACUCAAUAGAAAAAAUCAAAUAUUUUGACUUUUUUUUUAACUCAAAUAAUAAAUCCAUUAAUACAAAAAAAUUAUGGAUAAUUUGAAACUUUCUUUCUUUUUUUUUUUUUUUUUGCUACACAUAGCUAUAUUUUUAUAAAUUUUAUCAUUAGAGAAAUGGAUUUCAAAUCAAGUGAAACUUUGUAUUGAAUUAAUGGAUUUAACAUUUUUUAAAAAUAAUUUGGAACUAAAAAAAAAAGAUUUAAUUACUAAGAAAAUCAUAGAUCAAAACUAAUAUAUUCUGAUCCAUGAUUUUAUUAUUUUUCCUAUACAUACAAUUAUAUUUUUAUAAUUUUCUCACUAGGUAAAGAUAUUAUAAAUUAAGUGACACAUAAUUAAUAAUUUAAAUUUUUGAAUGAAUCUUUUAAUUUUAGGAAUAAUUUGAAAUUUAAAAAGUUGAUCCAAUUAAUUGUAAAUUAACUUAAAAUAUUAUAAAAUAUUAUGUUCAUAAUUAAGUACUAAAUGUAUAUAUGUAAUGAAAACUUAACUAGUUACAUGUUACAAAAGCCAAAAUUUAUUCAUUCUUUAUUUUAAAUAAAAUAUUAUUAAUAAUUAUUUUUUUUAAAAUAAUAUUUAGUAAUUAUUGUUUUUAAAUUAUUAUUAUUAAUUUUUAAUAAAAAAAUUGCAAAGUUAUUAAUAUCAUUAUAUUUCUAACAUAAAUUUAAAUAGUAUAUUUUUUAAUAUAUAUAUAUAUAUAUAUAUAUAUAUAUAUAUAUAUAUAUAUAUAUAUAUAUAAUUUAUGAUUUCAUUAUAAUAUUUUUAUUCAUGAUUGACGAAAAAUUAUUUAUUGUUUAAUUUAUUUGAAUUGCAAAACUAUUUUUCAAAAUUCAAGCGAGAAAAUAGGCCUGGAUUUGAAUUUCCUGUAGAAGAGAAGGAUGUGGAGAAUAUGUUGGGAGUAUUUGUGGAUAAAGAAAAGGCCAGGGUACUGAGAAAGGAGAGAGAACUUGCUCUUGCCAAAAGAGCCCUGCACAGGUAUUCUACUGAUUCUAAUUAUCGGUUCUUACAUGAUCAGAUUUCAGAUUUAUUUGCUGAGCUUCUGAAAUCUGAUACAGUAUUUAAACUCCGGUGAGCUUUACAAGAUUAGUCUCGCAUCCAAUUCCAAAUGGUGUCCCACAAUUGAUUCUUCUUAUGAUAAAUCCACCUUGAUAUGUGAAAAUAUUGCUCGAAAGGUUUAUCCUCGCGAGGAAUAUCCAGAAUACUAAGGAAUUGAGGAGGCUCACUAUGUUUAUAGAGUCAGGGAUAGGUUGAGAAAACAAGUAGUUGUUCCAUUACAUAAGGCCCUGGAGUUGCCAGAGGUUUUCAUGUGUUCGAACAAGUGGGGAUCACUUCCCUACAACCCUGUGGCUUCAGUGGCCAUGAAAUCAUACAAGAGCCUCUUCUCAAACCAUGAUACAGAGCGGUUUGGUGAGUAUCUUGAGAAAGUGCAAACUGGGAAGGCUAAGAUUGCAGCUGGUGCAUUACUUCCCCAUGAGAUUAUAGCUUCAUUGAAUGAGGAGGAUGCCGAGAGAGUUGCCGAGCUUCAGUGGGCAAGAAUGCUGGAAGAUUGAUCAAAGAAAGGGAGGCUCACAAAUUGCAUUGCAGUAUGUGACGUAUCAGGAAGUAUGAGUGGAACUCCAAUUGAGGUGUGUGUGGCUCUGGGGCAGUUAGUUUCAGAGCUCAGUGAAGAUCCAUGGAAAUUAAGGUAAUGUAAUUACUUUCAGUGCAAAUCCUGAGCUUCACAAGAUCCAAGGAGACAGCCUUGUAUCCAAGACUGAAUUUGUGAGGAUGAUGGAAUGGGGUGCCAACACUGACUUUCAGAAAGUUUUGACAGAAUCUUACAAGUAGCAGUGGAGGGAAAUAUGAGUGAAGAUCAAAUGAUAAAGAGGGUUUUCGUUUUCAGUGAUAUGGAGUUCGAUGAAGCUUGUGGGAGGUAUAACUAUUGUGACUAUGACUAUGAUAUGGAGGAAAUUGACGAGAGUCAGAAGGCAUCUCAGAAGUGGGAGACAGAUUAUGAAGUGAUACAGAGGAAAUUCCAGGAGAAAGGAUACAGAAAAGUUCCAGAGAUAGUGUUUUGGAACCUUAGAAACUCAUCAGCGACUCCAGUGACGGCCACAGAGAACGGGGUGGCCUUAGUAAGCGGGUUUUCAAAGAAUCUGUUGACCUUGUUUUUGGAAGGAGGUGGAAUUCUGAUCCCUCAGGAUGUGAUGGAAUUCGCCAUCUCUGAUGAAGAUUACAAGAAACUUGUUCUAUUUGAUUAAGAUAUCAAGAGAUUUAUCAAUAAUAAUAUAUUUUUUUUCUAUGUGAAAUACAUAUAAUAUUAACUGUGGAGUUAUCAAAGUUCUGGAGGUUUAAUUAUUUCUUCUUUUCAAGUUUUGUUUAUUUAAGGUUUUCUUUGUCUUUGUUAGGAAUUCCCCUUGGGUGGACCCAGCUGGGGAGUUGGAUUGAGGAAGUAAGCAGGCGAACUUGUGUUCUUCUAUGGACAGAGAAAAAAAAUAAAAUAAAAAAAUAAAAAAGGAGGUUAUUUGCAUUUGGAUGUCGUGGUUUGAGGGUACAACUACAAGCUCGAAAUUGUACAUAAUGUGAAAACUCCUGUGUCCAUUGCUGAGAACAGCAUAAAUGAUGGUGAUUUUCAAGUUGUGCCUGGUAUUCUACAGGAUGAAACAAGAAAGGAUCCAGGUGGUAUAUUGAACAAUAUCCCAAUCAUGUUGGUGGCAUCUUUAUUUAGUUAAUGGUAUUCAUUUGGUGGAAGCUGGUUGUUUAUGAUGUUUUUAAUUUUUUUUAACAUGAAGUUCGAUCAAAUACGUAUCUUAGUAUGUUUUGUUUGAGCUAAUUGGCAAAUGCGCUUUAAACAUGGUCACAUGGAUGCAGUUUUAUUUGUGAAAUGAUAAUAGUCGAUUACUUGGUCAGUAAGGUUUAUAUCUCUAACUUCAACAUCUUAUUGUAGUCUUUUAAAAUGUCAAAAGUUUAAUGCUUGAGAAAUUUUGGAAUGGAGACAUUCUAAACAAAGUUAAUAAUCCACAAGACUUGGUAAAACCGAUCAGAUGAUGCUUACGUACAUCAAUGCCUUCUUUAAGCCAUAUCCUAUUUUCAUUGAACGGGAUGUGCCAUCUAGUUUGGUUCUUUAAGCCUCCAAAUCCUAAACCUAGUCUCAAUUUAGAGCAAAUUUAGGGUGCAGGGCCUGCAUGCCUCCCCCUCCCCCUUCCACAAAUAGUAGUGACCUUGCUAUGCCUAUGCAUUGUCAAUGCCUCAUUUUCUAUGGUCUCCAAUGUAAUAUCUUAGUUUCAAUGUCUCUUUCCUUACUAUCUCCAAUGCAAUAGAUUGAUUUCAAUACCUCUUUACAACUAAGACCUCCAAAUUUUCUUGGUUCAAACCUACCAGAAUUUUUCUUCUCCUUUGCUUUCUAUCAAUAUUAGUUCCCCUAAUUUAAUAUAUACUUCUUUAUUACCUUCAACUCUACCUCUCUUUCUUUCUCUAAAAGCUUCCUCAAAGAUUUAAUUGCUUUCUUGCAUGUUUUAAGAAAACAAACAUGCUCAUAUUACAUUACCUCUACUUGAGAUCUACCUUAUACUCUACCUUCUUUCUUUACCUCCUAUAUCAUCUACUACAUUAGCUUCAAAAAUAUUAUUUAGUUUGAUACUAAAUAAGGCUCCUAAUCCUACUCUUCCUUCAACAAACUUUCUUUUUACAAGUUCCUUAAACUUUAUUUUUUAUUUUUUAUUUUUUGGAAAUUCGGGUUAGAAAGAUUCCAUUACUCUUACCUAAUAUUUCAACCAUCAAGUUGAAUCCACUUAUUGCCUAAAUCCAAGGAGUCUGCCCUCCACAAAAACAAGGAAAUUGAUCCCACAAUAACAAGGAGAUUGCCUUCCACAGAAACAAAGAGAUCUCCCUUCACAGAAGCCGAAUACAUUGCAAUCUAUUUUCUUUCUUGUAAGAUCAAAUCUUCAAUCGAGCUCCAUCUUAUGGGGGCAUAUUAGAGAAAUUUAAUAUUAUCCUUAAUUUACAUAUUAAUAUUUAUCUAUUUAUUAUAUAUUGAAUUAAAAUAGAAUAUAGAAUUUGAAUCAUAGUAGAAGUUUACUAUAAGAUUGAAUUACAAUAGUUAAUAGAGUUUAAAUUAUAAUAACUCAAAUACAUUUAUAUAUAUUUGACCUUACGAGAUUUUCUAUUUAUGUAUUUGAACUACAAUCCUUAUGAUCCUUAGGUCUCUAUACCUUCGUGAUGGGCUCCUUGACAUUUCAUAGGUUGUGCUACACAUGCAUUUGAAAUUUAGAGUGCAUUUGACAGUGAUUCUGGGAAGUGUUUUUGGCAUUUCUAACACUUAAAAUUUUUUAUUUUUCAAGUAUUAGAAAUGCUACAAACACUUUUGAAAAUUACUGUCAAACACACUCUUAGGAGCGCAUAUAGUAGAAAACUAGAAAUUGUGGUUUUUUUAGGAUUUACUGUAAUGUCAUUAGGAGGGUAGUAAGUUGAAACUGAGUAUGAAUAAAUAUUUCUUUCUUUGGGAUGUUCUUCUGGUAGGUGCUGAUGAAACUGUUCUUUUUACUGCCAAUGUCACAUAUCAGCCAGAAAUUGAAAAUUUCAGUCAAGGUGUCCUCGGUUUUAGUGGUGAGGAAAGCUAGAAAUUUUAAGGUGAAGUUCUGUUAAAAACCUUAAGUAGCUGGGAUAUCAGGCCUGUUUUGCUUGAAAAAAAAAGUUGCAAGAUAACUCAUAUGCCAAACAGGUUCUGAUAUUGUGAAUCUAUCGGCAGACAUCAGUAAUCUCAUCUUCUGAGAUGGAUGUUGGGGGUGCAUGUGGUGGUGGAGGGGCAAGGUUUCAUUUGGUUUAUUUUGUUGAUGGAUAUUGUCUAGCCCCCUGCGCCAAGUUUGAGGGGUGGUGGGUUGUGAUGGCCCUACAAUUACUAUUAAUUUCUUCCUCUUUUACCGAUUAAAGUGUCCGAACAGUCGAAGUUACCCUUAUGCAUGUCAACUUGAUCACUUACCUCUUCAAUGGAGUUUAUGCUGGUUCAUUUAGGAACUGAUUUUUAUUGUUAUGCAUUCUAUGCUGAUGUUUAGGCCUCUCCAUCAUCACUAUAUACAAAAAUUCUAGGUUGAUACUAUAGGUUGAGAUUUAUUUUUUAAAUAAAAAAUAAUAAAAAUAAAAAUUAUGGUGAUGUUUAGUUGUUUUAUGGAAAAUUUUAACAAGUUAUUUUUGGGCAAGUUUUCAAACAAAAAGAAAAGUAAAAGUUGUUUUGACAAAAACAUAUAGAAAAAAAAAAUCAUAGAAAAGAAAUAAUUUCCCCAUAUUCUAACUUUUUUUAAUUUUUCUCAAUGGGCAAAGGAAUAUCAAAUCAAGUUUGAGUAGGAUUUCUUAAUUUUUAAAAUAACUUACAAUUAAAAAAUUUUGGUGUUUUCAUUUUUGGACAAUUUUUUAUUAAGCAAAUGGACUCUGAGUCAUGCAAGAGAUAUGGUUGAUUAAUGGGUCAAACAAUUUUUUUAAAAUAAUUUAAAACUCAAAUACAUAAUCAAUGUCACAAAAUUUAUAAACAAAAAUAGGUUUAGAGAAGAUCUACACAUAAUUUUACUUUUCUAAUUUUAUUUUAUUUUAUUUUUUUGUUGGAAAAUAGUCUUCAAAUCAUGUAAGAUUUAAUAGGUUAAAUUUGUUAACAAUAAAUUUUAAAUUAUAAAAUAUAAUCUGGAACUUAAAAAUCAAUUCAAGUAAUGCUAAAAAAAAUCAAAUUUGGUAUAGAAUGACUACGUAAAAUUUUUUACAAAACAAAUGAAUUUUAAAUCAAGUGAGAUUUAAUGCAUUAGAUUUUUAUCAAAUAUAGUAAUUUUAAAAUUUAAUUUGGAACUCAACAAUAGACACAAUAAAUACCAAAAAAUAAUGAACCAAAAUUGGUUUGGAAUAACUCCACAACCUCUUUUUUUUUUUUUUGGUGCACACGAAUUUUCUUACUAGGUAUAUUGCUUUCAAAUUGAGAAAGAUUUACUAUUUAGAUUUUUUUUUUUAAUGAGUUUAAUGGUAUUUUAAAAUAAUUCAAAAUUUCAAAAAUUGACUAAUUACUAUUAUAAAUUCAUAAACCAAGACUAAUUCAAAAUGCAUUGGGGGCUAAGGGGGUUGAAAAUAGGGACAAUGGGAUGGGUUUGGGACAUGACACUCAUAUCUCAUUUCCAUUCCAAUUACAUAGUUAUCUCCCAUCCUUAUCCCAAACUUGUGUUGGAGCAAGUUGAUUUGUUCCCAUCUUUGUUGAUGAAAUGACUAAUAACCUCAUCCCCUCCUUAUCUUAGAUGUACAUUUUGUCAAAUUUGAUCAGGUAUGAUUGAUCCAAGCCCUAACCCUAAUUGGUAAUGACUGGAUACUACACCUAAUUGCAUUCUUCUUUCGUCGCAAAAUAAUGAGAUUAUAAUAAUCUAGCAAAUAAGAAAAAAUAGUAUGGAAGUUCAAUUUAACACCAUAACUAUCAAUAAUUUUAAGCUUAUAGAUGACUUAAAUGAUUAAAAACUAAUGCAAAAUACCAAAAAAAAAAGUUCAUAUAAAGAAUUCACAAGAGAACAAAAUGAACAAAAACCAAAUAUGAACAUGGGUCAACAUUAGUUAUGGAUUUGGAUUCCUUUCAAGGCCAAUCUUUGAACCAAGACUUCAUCAAAUCUACUACUUCAAAGGCUUUUGUGUUCUUCUUGGGUUGUGCUCUCAAACAAAGACUUCAAGGUGAUGCUCUAGAUGAUUGCAUUACACAUAUUUAGGGUGGAGAGAUUGGAGAAGCUUGAAGAUGCCAACGAUGGGUACAAUUGAGUGGUCAAUAAGAACAAUGUAGCCUAUGACUAGUUUGAUGUCGUGGUACAAGAGUUUUAGGCAUUGAGGUUAAAGCAAGAGCAACAUGGAAUUGAUUUUGGAGUCUUUCAAUUAGUGUAAAGGAGGAAGAAGUGGUAUUGAUUCUAGAAAUAGGGUUUUAGGUGGUGCGUUAGAGGAUGAAGAAGAAGAAAAAGAAGGAUCUGUUGGAAUUAGUGUGAGUGUGAAGAGAGAAGUAUAUAAAUAAGGGGAAGUAAAAGCAAAGUUCUAAAAGCUAUAUUUUUUUUUAUUGUUGGUGUAUGGUUGCAUGAUUAUCCCUAUAAAUAAUAGGAGUUUUUUUGGUAUUCUACUAGUAGUUGAAGGAUAAUUUCAUAAAUUUAUAUUUAGAGUGGGGUGGGGUGAGUUGUGACAAAAUUCAUACCCGUCCUAAACCUUGGUUCAGAUUUUUAAAAUAUCCUCAAACUUAUCAUAUACCCAACUUUUAUAUUUCAUACUUGUCUUGAUAGAGGCAGGUUAGGCCGGGUUACUUGAGUAACCUACAUAAUUGUCAUCCCUAGUUGAAAUACACUUUUUUGGCAGUGGCCACCAACUGAGCUAGAAGCUUGAUCGAUUGACCUACAAGAUUAGUUCUCAUCAUUUUAAAAAAAGUUUUGGCCUUGGUUGUGAGUGCAAUUGAAUCUAAACUGGCAUUUCCUUAAUGCAUCUACUUCAAUCCUAAAUUUCUUACUUCCUAAGCCUCAAUUGUUGUUAGGAUUUUGGAAAGCCCAUUUCCUUAAAUUGUAAAUUUAAGAAAAAAUAAAAUAAAAGUGAGACAUUUCUUGAUUGAAUAUUGUUAAAGGUCCCUUGGCAUUAAGACUUGGUUGAAGCCUUGGAAGAUUAGUGGAACUCUCAACUUGUGUUUGAAUCUUGAGGAGAGUGGACGUAAGCCAAAAUUUUGUCAAACCAUUAAACAAAUUGAGUUUGAAUCCUCAUUUCUUGAUUUCUUAUUUAUUUGCUUUUUCUUAUUAUUACUUGAAUUGUCAUUUGCAUUCAUUAAUGUUAAAAUUGGUUAUAAUUAACCAACACUAAUUCUCUUUCCCCUUCCCUUUCUUGGGUGUAAACCUAGGUUGGAUUAACUAGAUUAAUUUAUAAAAUCUAUUAAGAUGGUAAAAGAAUAAUUAUUCUUAACACACAUAAGAUCAUCUUCAAUCAAAUGACUCAUUGGCUAAUAUGUUGAAUUUGCUUAUUACUUGCAACUCAAAAUUGUGUUCUAGUUGAUAUGUCAAGUCCCCAGUGUAUGGACAUUAAAUUUGUAGUACGUGAUGGUAAUUAGAUGGUCCAACUCCAAGAAAGUGAUUGAAAACUAGUUCAAGAAAGGUGCAAAAGGGAAUUGUUUUGGUAUUUUCGUUUUUAUUCUUGAAGGUGGCAGAGCUAAAAUUUGUGAAAUCAAGCAAAACAUACUGAAAUUACAUUGAAAGAAAGAAAAUGGGAGUUAAUGUCUUGCAGUAGAUGAUAAGGACUUCAUGCAUGUAGUAUGACCCAUGUCUUGGACUGAUGCCAACUCACGGUUACACUUAUACCCUUGGUUCUCUCUUUACUACCUUGGCUAACCUAGAUCAGGCUAUGAGAUAGGCUCCUCACCACACCAUUACUUGCCCAUUAAUUAGAGACAUUUUCAAGCACUGAGGUAACAUGGUGACACCAAGAGGGUUUAUUCCUCGCCCUCCUCGCCCUCAACAAGUCUAGACUUGGUCUCAAAAAAAUGGAGAAAAAUGAGGUGUCGUUAUGUAGAAAUACAACAACCAUGCCUUCCUCAUUACUUUGAUUCAGAAUGUGAAGGUGAAAUUGAGAAACAGAAACUCUUGAAACCAAAAUGAAAAUUGAUACUUUUACGAAGAAUUACAACAACAUUGGAGGAAGACUACAUUCUUCCUCUUUAUUCCUACAUUUCUACACUACUUCUACUCCACUCCAUAUUUCUACAUACAUCUUUAAUCAGUCUUCCCUCCUUUAUAUAGAGCCAUCUUCACACAAAUUCCGCAAGGUAGAAAAGAGGAAUGAAACUUGGAGCAAGGUUCGACUACUGGCUGUAGCUUGUCAAGGCUGGAAGUGAACCUUUUUUCUUGGCUUUUCUGGGCAUGGGUAGUAACUUGUGGGUUCCUUUUUGGGAUACAAAUGGCUAGAACAUGUGGCACUAUCUUGUUGGAUGAUGUGUCAAGCAUGUGGCAGCCAUCUAGUGGCGAUUAUGUCAAUUUUGGGAUGGAGAGUUGGCAUCCAAUUGCAAAGAAAUAUGACGUCUACCAACAGGCAAUGUAAACCUAUGUAGAUCAUAUGAAGAUAGAGAGGAAAAAUAUAGAAAUGGAUAUAUACCUAGAACUAGCUUUUUAUUAAAUGAAACGGAGAGCCAACAAUGAAGGAAAAUAAAUUUUUUUGGCUUAUAUCAAAGAGUUCACAUUGUGCUACCCUAGGUUUUCUUAAAACUUACUUUUAUGAUAACAAAAAAAAAAAAAAACAUUAUUGUUUAAUCCUUUGUUUUAAACGCAUGUUUAGCAAGUUAUAAAAUGUAAAAAUCUUUCUAAGUUCAAAUAUGAAGAUAUGACAUCAUUUCAAGCAAGAUAGUCUCUAGGAAUUAAUGUAAAGCUAAAUUAAGGUGAAAUUAAAUUAGUUCAAUGCAUUAAUUUAAGAAACUUGACCUAUCAAAAGUACAAAAUUAGAUGAAAUCCAUUUCAAUGGUUAAAAUGAUCAAAAUCAAACUUUUUCUAAGUAUUUUUUAAAAGUAUCAAUAUUGAAAGACAAUUUUAUAUUUAGUCAGAGUUUGGACAAAACCAAAAAGCACACAAAAUCCAAGCGACCAUCUCUAGCUUGGAUGGUCGCUUGAUCUCUAGCUUGUGUACUUGGAAAGCAACAUCGAGAUGAUAUAUAUAUAUAUAUAUAUUUUAUAUAAUAUUGUUUGUCCAAAUUCCCUAAAAAUUAGGCCACCACAUGUUCAUAAUUCUCCCUUCUUGAAUUUGAAAACUCGGACAAUUGGACAAUGCGACACCUAAGUCCGGUUUCUAAAUGCUAAAGUGAAAGGGUAGGUAUGGACCAUUGAAAUGUGAUCACAACUUUUCUCUGUAGCCAUGUUGUCUCUUUUUUCUUUUGCAUGAUUUUCUCACCUUAACAGAAUCAUAGACUUGUUUAAUCUCUAAAUGGGAUUAAUUUCAUCCAGCUUUAAGCUACUAUAUUAUAUCUAGGUGGAGGACUUUUAAGAGUGCAACCGACAUAGAGCACAUGCAAGUGGGUAUAUGGGACAUGAAAUUUCUUCUUAUAAAGAUUGCAUGAUUUUUAUAUUAGAGUUGUUGGGGCGCAAUGUAUGUAGCUUGUUUUGCAGUUAAAUUAAUUGGAUAAGUAGACAUUGGCGUUUCUAAAUCUACUGUGAAGUGCUUCAUGUACGUGUGAAGUAUUAGAAAUUUCUUUCUUGGCAACUUGUUUUUUCUUUGCGGUCUACUGAUAGGUUUGACUAAAAUUAUAUUCCCUGUCAUGCUAAUUAAUUUUCACGUGCAUGCUCAAAAGAAGAGUAUGACCUUAGUGCACCAAAAUCACUUUGAUUAAUUUGUGAUAGGUUUUUGUGCAUCAUGACAUUAGCCUUAUUCAUUUAGAUAAUGUUUAGUUUUUAGAAAGUAUUAAGAAAAGGAAAAUAAAUAUUAAGAAAAAUAUUCUUAUAUUUGAUUGUAUUAUGAAAAAUGUCAUAAAAAAAUCAAAUAUAAUUUAAAUUAAUUAAUAAUUUAUACAUUUUCAAAUUAUUUAAUCUUUAUAUUGAAGAUAUAAUAUAAAUGAAAUGAGUUUUAAGUAUUAUAUAAAAGUGAUUUAUUGAUCUUGCAUAUAUGUAUUUCUUUUUUUUUUCUUCUAUUUUUUUUCUUUAUUUUAUUUUCCUUAUGUUUUCCUCAACAUUUUCCGGAACCAAACAUAGCCUUAGGAAAUCCACAAUUACCUUCAACUGAGUAUAUUCGGUUGUUUUAGCAAUGUUAGGCUGCUAACUUGUGUUGGUACGAACCUGUUAAGCCUAAAGAUGUAAUUAGUUAGGAUAUUCUUUUCCCUCUAGUCUUGUAGCUCCACGUGUAUAGUUGGUUAGGACCUCAUUGUAUAUAAUGCCUGCCCUGUUAUUGUUGAAGACAACAGAGAUAAAUAAUAUUAACAUUUUUCCUCUCAUCUCUCUUUGUUUCCCUCUGUUUUCAUCUCCUCUCUCAUCUUGGUAUCAGAGCCUCCAUGGAUUCUUUCAAAGAAACCUCCGAAUCACCUUCUGCUAGCAUUGUUAAUGUGCAAAACCCAUUAUCUCAGUCAAACAACCUUCCUUCACCAGCAGCCACACCCUCUUUUUCUUUCUUGUCUAUGAAUCAACCUCUCACAGUGAAGCUGGAUAAUGGAAACUACCUCAUCUGGAAGAAUUAGCUUCUGAAUGUCAUCAUUGCGAACAGACUCGAUGAUUUCAUUUAUGGAACUCGACCCUGCCCUCCUUGAUUUCUCAAUCUGCAACAACAAACCCUCACUCCAGAGUACUCGGUCUAGCAGAGAUACAAUCGACUUCUAAUGAGUUGGCUGUACGCAUCCUUGUCCGAAGAUAUAAUGACUCAGAUUGUUGGGUAUUCAACAACUGUGGAGAUUUGGAACGUCCUUAAUCAGAUUUACUCUGCCUCUUCAAUGGCGUGGGUUACCGAGCUUCACACCAAGCUUCAAACGCUCAAGAAAGAUGGACUCUCAGUUGGUGAAUAUAUUCAAAGGCUCAAAUCCAUUUGCAAUAGUCUUGCAGCAAUAGGAGAACUAGUUUCUGAGAAAGACCAGCUUAUCUAUUUGUUCAAUGGAUUAUAUUGUGAGUAUAAUUCUUUUGUUACCUCCAUUCAAAAUCGAUCUGACCAACCAACUAUUGAGCAAAUCCAUAGCCUAUUGCUUAGCUAUGACUUUCGGCUUGAACAACAAAACUCUGUUUCUCUCCAUUAUGCCCAAGUCCGUAUGGCUCAUCUGAACAAGAAACCUUAUAAAUCAACUCCUCAACCUACAUUCAAUCAUAUUCACAUUCAACCUAGAUACUCUUCUCCACCUUUUAAGCCAACCACUAGUCAAUAUCAACCCAGGAUUUUGGGCAAACCACAACCACAACCAUGACAGCCUCAACCUCAAUGGAAACCACAUUUUUCAAUCCAGAAUCAAAAGCCUCAGUGCCAAAUUUGUGGUAAAUUUGGACACACUGCUCUUAUUUGCUUCCAUUGCACAAAUUUGAACUAUUCACCCCAACCUUCUCCUAAAUCUUUCAAUACUGUUCUCACCACAAAUUCCCAGCUCCCUAAUCCUCCAAAAUUUUCUUACCCUACAAUGGCUCAUCCUGCUGCUACGCAUAACACGAUUCCUGAUACAAAUUGGUACAUGGACUCAGGUGCUACACAUCACUUUACUCCGGACAUCAACAUGCUUGACACUGUGACACCAUUUAGUGGUUUAGAACAGGUGACAGUUGGGAAUGGUAAGCAACUCUGUAUCUCACAUCUUGGUACUGCAAAACUACCAUCCUCGUAUUCUCCUCUUGUUCUACAUCAGGUAUAUCACACUCCAAAAAUUUCAAAUAAUCUUAUUAGUGUUAGAAAAUUGUGUUCUGAUAAUAAAGUUUUUGUUGAAUUUUAUGCCACUCAUUUUCUUAUCAAAGAUCAAGUUUCGAAGAGAGUUCUCUUUCAAGGUCAACUUGAUAAUGGCUUAUACAAAGUUCAGUCGUCAUGCUCUCCUUCUACUAUUUCCUUUCAUCCUCAAGUUUUCAUAGCCAACAUCAAGGAUCAAAAUUUGUGGCACAAGAGACUAGGCCACCCAGCUUUAUCUGUUAUUAAUCAAAUCUUGGAUUCUUGUAACAUUGCUCGAACACAGAAAAUUGGUUUUAAUUUUUGUAGUUCUUGUCAAUUAGCAAAAAGCCACAGGCUUCCUUUUUCUCUGUCUCCAUCCAUUGCAGAAAAACCUUUUGAGUUAAUUCAUACAGACCUAUGGGGUCUUUCUCCUGUUCGCUCUAUUUCUGGUGCUCGUUAUUUUUUACUUUUCAUUGAUGAUCAUACUCGUUUUACUUGGUUUUAUUUGCUCAAAACAAAAGAUGAAGCAUAUCCUACUUUUCUCAAGUUUCAAGCUCUCAUUGAAAAUCAAUUUAAUACCAAGAUUAAGGUUGUCCAAUCUGAUUGGGGAGGUGAGUUUCGAUCUCUCUCCAUACUGUUUUCAAAUAUGGGCAUUGUCUAUCGUUUAUCAUGUCCAUACACCUCACAACAGAAUGAGUGGGUUGAGCGAAAAAAUCACCAUGCGGUUGAAAUGGGAUUGUCCUUUCUUGCUCGCUCGGGUAUGCCCUUAUCUUAUUGGCCUUAUGCCUUUCAAACUGCCACUUACCUUAUUAAUCGUCUCUCUACCCCUGUGCUGCACCAUCAAUCCCCUUACUUCGCACUCUAUCACAAAUUCCCAGCUUAUACUCAUCUUAAGGUCUUUGUUCCUCUUGUUUUCCAUAUUUACGCCCUUAUAAUACCCAUAAACUCCAAUACAGGUCACUGGAGUGUGCUUUUCUUGGUUGCAGUUCACACCACAAAGGUUAUCUAUGUCUUGACAUUCAUUCUAGCAGGGUGUAUAUUUCUCGCCAUGUGAUUUUUAAUGAAGAUUCUUUUACAUUCAAGAAUUUGAAAUCUUCUCUCUCUUAGUCUAUUUCUUCUUCCUCUUCUUUAUUAGUUCCUCUGUUCAUUUCCUUGCCUCCCCUCUCCCCAUAUCCUCCUAUUUCUCCAUCUAUAUCUCAUUCUUUUCUCUCUUCUUCUUCUACCUCUAGUACUUGUUCCCCUCUCGUUGCUCCUACCUCUCUUCCUCCCUCUUCACACUUUGUGUCCCAUCUAUUCCACCUCCUUCUCCACCUUCUUCGAGUGUGGACCUGCUUGUACCUUGUGUGAAUACAAAUUUACUUACUUUUUCUCGCACUCACAAUAUUCAUCCUAUGGUGACCAGAUCUAAGGGUUUGUAUCUAUAAACCUAAGUUGCUAUUGAGUGUCUCCAUAGGUUCUCUCACUAAGCCUACUUCCUUUCUUCAAGCUAUUAAAGAUCCUUCAUGGAAGCAAGCCAUGGAAUUGGAGUUUGCUGCCCUUCAACACAACAAGACCUGGCAUCUAGUUCAUUCACCUUCCUCAGGCAAAGUAAUUGGUUGUAAAUGGGUCUAUAAGAUAAAGCUUUAGCCUGAUGGCUAAUUGAGAGAUACAAGGCCCGCUUAGUAGCUUAGGGUUAUCAUCAAACUGAAGGUAUUGACUACUUCGAAACAUUCAGCCUGGUUGUCAAGCCUUCUACUACCGUAUUGUGCUCAGUCUUACUUUUUCCCAGAAUUGGUGUAUUAGACAGCUGGAUGUUCAUAAUGCCUUCUUACAUGGUGACUUAGCUGAAGACGUUUUCAUGGAACAACCACCUGGAUUUGUUGAUCCUCUCUAUCCUACUCAUGUCUGCAAGUUGGAUAAGUCUCUCUACGGUCUUAAUAGUCACCUCGGGCUUGGUAUACUAAGCUGAGUACUUCUCUACUACACUUGGGAUUUGUUACUUCUAAGAAUGACUCUUCCUUAUUUAUUUGUCAUUCGUCUCAUGGGUUACUUCUUGUUCUUGUCUAUGUGGAUGAUAUAAUCGUCACUGGGAGCCACUCUCCUCAAGUUACUCACCUUAUCCAAUAGUUGCAUCAUCAGUUUUCUUUAAAGGAUCUUGGUCAUUUACACUAUUUUCUGGGCUUGGAGGUUCAUCACACCCCUACUGGUAUUCACCUCAGCCAAGCAAAGUAUAUCACUGAUCUCCUUACCCGGGCGGCUAUGUUGGAUGCCAAGCCAUGUCCCACUCCUAUGUCCUCCAACACAUAUCUUUCUCUUCAUGAUGGAGUGGCUCUUGAAAAUGGUUCAGAUUAUUGAAGUUUUGUUGGUGCCCUUUAGUAUUGUACCAUGACACGCCCAGAUAUAGCUUUUGCAGUAAAUAAAGUGUGUCAAUUCAUGCACCAUCCCUCUGAUGUUCACUGGCAGGCUAUAAAACGUAUUCUCCAGUACUUAAAGGGCACAUCUCAUUUUGGUCUCUUCCUACAGCCUUCCUAUGACUUCAACAUCACUUGCUAUACAGAUGCCGACUGGGCUUCCUGCCUUGAUGACAAGUGUAGCACCAGUGGCUACUGCCUCUUUCUUGCCUCUAAUCUGGUUUCUUGGUCAUCUUCCAAACAAAAAGUGGUCUCCCGCUCCAGCGCCAAAUCAGAGUACCGAGGGGUAGCAAAUGGGGCUGCUGAAAUUGCUUGGACUGAAUCUCUUCUUUGUGAACUUUCCACCCACUCGACCUCCCCUCAUUGUCUGUGACAAUAUCAGUGCCACAUACUUAGCUGUCAAUCCUAUUUUGCAUGCCCGCACCAAAACAUGUGGAAAUCGACUAUCACUUUGUCUCGGAACGUGUUCUUCAACGCUCUCUCUCUCUCCAGUUUACACCUUCGGAUGAUCAACUUGCUGAUUGCAUGACCAAGCCUCUCUCCACCCAACGUUUCAUCACUCUACGCUCCAAGCUCACUGUUCUCACUAGACCAAUGAGCUUGAGGGGGGAUGUUAAGCCUAAAGAUGUAAUUAGUUAGGAUAUUCUUUUCCCUCUAGUCUUGUAGCUCCACGUGUACAGUUGGUUAGGACCUCAUUGUAUAUAAUGCCUGCCCUGUUAUUGUAGAAGACAACAGAGAUAAAUAAUAUUAACAUUUUUCCUCUCAUCUCUCUCUCUGUUUCCCUCUGUUUUCAUCUCCUCUCUCAUCUGAACCAAAUGAUCCAUGUUAACCUUGGCUUGGUUUGAUUUGGCUCUAUCUUAGAGAGCUCAAGGAUCACGUCAACUCUGGUUUCUACUAUUCAGGUCCAUUCCCAUAUGAACUGGUUCAAAUUUGAGAAAAUGGUAACAGACCUUUAGUGAUGUUGGUUUGGAGCCAGUUGCCAAACCCGCCCUGAGCUUUACCACUAAUGUCAAGGGAGAAAGCCUUUUGAACAAAAACAAUAGCUUCAAGAGACUGAAUCGUGGAUGAAAUCUGAUCCACAUUUCUUCUCAUUUUGGAAACAAAUGAGAACUUAACUAAGAAGAUUCUACGGCCUCAUAGUGCUUUUCCUGAUCUAAGGUUGGUUCGUUUCCCAAAUUGUGAGAUGCACGGGCCAGACUUCAGAACUCUCACGCUCAGGAGUGUAUCCACGUGGUGGACAUAAGAUGGUGGCUUAAGAUCUGGUGUCGGUGGCUUUACUUUACUAGGAGAGUAGUGUGUCUUCAUCUCAUUCACUGCCGGAGGGUGGCGUAAGCAGUGACGCUAAGGUGGGGCAUAGUCAAUAUCAUUUGCAUUUGACCAUUAUAGUUUUCUCCCGGCUUGAAAGUAACCUUAUCGUGAUAAAGGAUUACUAGCACUAGUUCAGAUGACAGUCAUGUUAAAUUCGGACCAUGUUUGUGUCACAUUAUCAGCAACCAUGUGUUUAUGGUUCAUGCUUUCUGCAACUGAAAUUGAAAUUGAUAUAUAACCAGGUGAACUUCAAUCUAAAUUCUGGAAGUACUCAUGUGAGCGAUGGUGCCCAUCUGCAGAGUCCAUCAAUUGAAAAAUGGAGUGAGUGUAUCUAUAAGAGGGAAGGCUUGGCAAAUGUCCAGUUUUCUGGGAAUUCAACAAGGAUCUAAAAUAGAUUGUUUUCUUUGCUGAUUUCAAUGGUUGAAAUUUGAGAAGAUUGUGUCCCACAUAACACAACUAUUACUGGUCCUUCUGUUGCAAUUUAUCCUCUAAGGCUCUAGCAUGUCUUCCAAUUCCCACUUCCCUGUUACUCCAGGAAAGCUAUUUCUGUCAUUGUGAAGAAGAAAAGAGAAUGUAGAUAUCGAUGCUUUUAAGUGACUGGAGCAUUCAUAUCAGGUGGUCUGCAGCCAUAUAUGCCACUUUGUGAAGAUUGGAACAGUCAAUCACUAGGCUAUAUAUUAGUGUGGCCCAGCCACUUUAAUCAAGGACAAUUCUUCAUACUUAAAAGUCAAAUUCUGCCUUUAGUCUCAUUAUAAAUUGCUGUUUAAAUAUUAAGCAAACAUUUGUUUAAUGCGAUUAAGACAGUACUAACUCAAUACUUGUUCUAUUUUUGGAUGGAAAUGCUUGAUGGUUUCAUCAUUGGAUGGGAUAAAGGUGCAUUCAUGAUUAUGAAUACUUGUAGUUAUAUUUUCAUUCUCUUUUUUCUCAAUGAGACUUGUUGGCACAAUUUUUCUGUUCAGAAACCUACCUCUCCAUGGAAAAUAAGUUGUGAUUGAUAGUACUGGAUAUAUUCAAGAAAGCUAAAUAUAGAUAGCACAAAAUAUUAUCGACAUAAAUAGCAUUAACAGCGUACGUAUGUCUCAGUGCUCAUCAGCCAUAAGCAUGGGGCAAACACUUACGAUGAGCAACUUACGUCAAAAUUCCAGAAUAGGACAUAGAAGUGACAGAUCUAUAUAUAUAGAACACUGCAUAAGAGUCACAAGAAAGGAAAUUACGGGUGCAUAGCAGCUCUUAUUUCACAUACUACUCAUACUGAUCAAAGUCACUCAGUUGGGAUGGGUGGGAGUAGGAGGUUUGUGGGGUGGCUUGUGCGGAGGAGUUGGCAGCUUCUUUCCAGGACCUGGUGGCUUCUCUCCCUUAGGUGGUUUGCCAACUGGGGUUGGUGGCUUGUAUGAGUCUUCAGCAUUCUCUGCAGGAGGGUGACCAGGGUUGUGACCAUAAUGUGGUGGCUUCUCUCCCUUAGGUGGUUUGCCAACUGGGGUUGGUGGCUUGUGUUCUGGGAGUGGCUUCUCCCCCUUGGGAGGUUUUUCCAAUGGGGUUGGUUUGUGUUCAGGAGGUGGCUUCUCCACUGGAGGCUUGUGUUCAGGAGGUGGCUUCUCCACCGGAGGCUUGUGUUCAGGAGGUGGCUUCUCCACCGGAGGCUUAUGCUCUGGUGGUGGCUUCUCCACCGGAGGCUUAUGCUCUGGUGGUGGCUUCUCGAAUGGGGGAUGCUUAGGGUAAUCAGCAAGUGAGGGGGCGGUGAGAACCACCAGGCCAAGCAAGACCACUAGCAAGUAUGUAGGAGACAUCUUUGGGUUUAGACUCAGAUGGUGCAAAACUAGGAGAAUUGUCUUUUAUAGCGGAUCGCACCCAAUAAUGAAAUGACACGUGUCUUUAUGACCCAUGUGUAAUGGGGUCGAUUUGGGUCCUACAGUGUUGAAAACUUCGACAUCCACUUUUGGCCUUUUGCUUUCUCUACAGCCGCCUUGCUUUUUCCCUCUUUCCUUUUGUUUUCCUCCUGCCCCAUUCUAUCAACUAAACACAAUUAUGUAGUUGUUUAAUUCUUAAAUGAGAUAUUAUCCGUCAAUCGUAUCAUAUUUUAUCAACAGAGAACGGAGUGCAAUGUGGCAAUCCAAAGAAAGAAGAUCCAUAAUGCAGCUGUAAUUUUAUCGUUUACUUUUAUCUCUUGGACCACUGCAUUUUUGUUAAGAGGUGCAAUAAUACACGUCUUUAUCUGCCAUUCAAUGUUUACAGUAAAGAGAGGGCACAAAACUCUUCACUGCUCUGCAUGUGUCCCAAAAAUGCAAUUGGACAAAUUAUGAUUUGCAUGCUAAAAAGAGGCAAAUGAGGUUAAUUCGCACCAUAAUUAUUUUGUUUUCUGGACCCCGGGGCCCUUUGGUUGGUUUGGGGGUCAGAAAAUGAACAUCAUAGGGGGUUUUUCCCUUAUGUGCAUUUGUAUCUGAUGGCUUUAACUCGCCUUGUUACUACAAAGAAAUUGUCACAUAUAGGAACUUAUUCCAGGCUGAGUAUCUCCGCAUAGACCCUAUAAAAGAAGACAAGUCAUAAUGAACAUCUAACCUUUGUUCAAUUUGAUUCAAUGCCCCAUUGUGUCCACCUCACAAAUCUGAAUUAUUAUAUCCAUUGAAUACAUAAAUUAAUGAAGAAAAUAUGAAACCCAAGAUACAUCUCUGCACAACCUCAACCCUGGUUGCUAUGUUUCCCUUCUAUUCACAUGAGGAUAUUGAUUACGGAAUAGGGAAACCUAGCAAGGGUUUACUCGGCUCUGGUUUGAUGCUAAUUGCCAAACUUGCAACAAGCCCUGAGUUUGAAGCUCACAGAAGAUGUUAUACAGGCAGGGAAAAACCUUCAGAGUUCGCUGCCAAAGAUAAUUAUUAAGGAGAUAUCACCAAGAGAAUUCCAAGGAGUCUGAAUCAAAGACAAAUUGGUCGUUCGUGGAGGUUCUUACUUUCUUUUGGGUAUAACUCACUGAGGGCACUGUCUUUUUUAUUUUCAUUUCACAUUUAGAGUUCUGUUCUGGAAACAUAUAAAAGGAGCAUCAGUUUGUUCUUGGGUAACCCAUAGUCGUGAGUGGGUCCAUUUGCAUGCUACUUAGUUGAAAAGUUGGACCAUUUGCUCCGACGCCUACCUCCUGGAUUCCAUGCUCGGAUAAAACAAGAAUAAAAAAAUAUUUAUAAUUUACAAAUGGGGGAAAGAAAAAAAUGUCAACAACAAACUAGGAAAAAAGAGUAGUAAAAUUCAUGUCACAUGCUAGUGAGAGAAGGGGUUGUUACACUCACUCGAAGUUCUUUUCAAAAUAUCGCAUGGUAUUUUAUUUUAUGUGUGAGCGCAGUUGUGAAUGGAACGUGCAAAAGUCCAAAUUGGUGACCUUUAAUAAAUAUUUAAAACAAAAAACGAAAAAAAGGAGGGAAAAGGGAUCAGAAAAGAUAAAACAAUGUGUACAAAAGCUCAAUUAGUUUGCAAAUUACUGUUUGGAUUUUGAUAGUAUUUUAUUUGAUGUAAAAGAGAAUUUAAGAUAUUUCCGAAACAAAAGCAUUAGUUUGCUCCAUGUCAAUUUCGGCAUUUCUCAUAUGUUUCACACAUACACAGAAGAGCAUCGUUUUUUAAAGCAUGCAUUUAUGUUGGAUUAAUUUGGAUUUUGUGGGAACUGGGGCAAGGAUCACAUGGAAGAGAGGUUGACUUUUUUCAGUACUUCAAUGGUUGAGACAGGUGAAGGCCUGAUUGAUACUGAAGCCUGAAAUUGCGACUCCGUCAUUUGUCAAAACAUAUGACAGCUUCCAUGCUCUCGUUUGGUUGCAUUGUUCUGUGGUCAUGCAUACAUGCCACUUAGUGAUCAGUCUGUAACUGUCAAUCAUUGGGCUUUGACUGAACAACAUCAGCCAUGUAUAAAUACUUGCAAAUCAAACGGUCUUCUUCCUCCCAUAAGGAAUUUCGGUUUAAUUAUGAAGCAUGCAUUUGGCUGACCAUCAUAAACCACUUCUUUAAAUUGAUGAAUGAUAGUUUUUCAUUCAUUCUUUCAUUCGUUCAUAUACAGAGUAUAUAUAGAGGGUAAUCAUCAUUCUAAGAAUGGGAAAGAAUGAUACAAGGAAAUAAUGAUAUAAAGAAAUAACAACUAAUAUUCUAAUAUCUCAACUUUCCUAAUAUCUAAACAUUCCUAAUAUCUCAACACUAAAUGAUAUAAAGAAAGAAUGAUAUAAGGAAAGCAUUCCUAAUAUCUCAACACUCCUCCUCAAGUUGGUGCAUAGAUGUCAAACAUGUCCAACUUGUCUAAAAAUUUUGAGAACAGUUGACUUGAGACAUCUUUGGUGAGGAUAUCGGUCAAUUGAUCUUCUGAUCGAAUCUUAGGCAAUUCCACAAUCUUAUCAUCCAACUUUUCCUUAAUGAAAAAUCUAUCCAUCUCGACAUGCUUUGUACGAUCAUGUUGUACUAGAUUAUGAGCAAUGUCACAUGCUGCUUUAUUGUCACAAAACAAUCGGAUUGGUUGCCUAGAUAGGUAACCUAAAUCCUAUAAGAGGAGUCUUAGCCAUAAUGCCUCACAAAGUCCUAAAGUCAUACCUCUAAAUUCCGCUUCUGCACUUGAACGAGCGACGACAUUUUGCUUCUUACUUUUCCAUGUCACAAGAUUACCACCUACAAAGGUAAAGUAACCAGAUGUAGAUCGCCUAUCAUCCACUGCACCGACCCAAACAGCAUUAUACUUCUAUACUCUGAUGAUCAACAUUUUUAGCGAACAAAAUUCCCUUCCUAGGAGCAUUCUUCAAAUACCUCAAAAUACGCAUGACUACAUUCAUAUGUUGCUCUCCAGGAUUAUGCAUGUAUUGACUCACUACACUCAAUGUAUAAGCAAGAUCUAGUCUUGUAUGAGCUAAGUACAUUAAUCUCCCCACAAGUCUCUGGUAUCUUCCCUUAUCGAUUGAUACUUGAUUAGGCUCAACACACAAUUUCAGACCUUCUUCUAUUGGUGUAUUAAUAGGUUGACAUCCCGACAUUCCAGUUUCCUGUAGAAGAUCUAAGGCAUACUUUCUUUGAGACAGAAAAAUUCCUUCACUUGAUCGAGAAACUUCAAUCCCAAGAAAGUAUUUCAGACGACCAAGAUCUUUCAUUUCAAAUUCUCUAGAUAGAUACUUUUGCAAAGCUUUUCUUUCUUCAGGAUCAUUUCCUGUAACUACAUGUCAUCCACAUAUAUCAUAAGUGUCGUAAUCUUACCAUGUUGCUUUUUCAAGAACAAAGUGUGAUUUGAAUUACUUUGAUGAUAGCCAAAAGCUCUCAUUGAUUUUGUGAACCUUCCAAACCAUGCUCUCGGGGAUUGCUUCAACCCAUACAAUGACUUCUUCAAUUCGCACACCUUCUGACAUUGCUUUUCUGACACCAUGCAUCCUGGUGGAAGAUCCAUAUAUACUUCUUCAGAUAAAUCGCCAUGCAGAAAGACAUUUUUUACAUCGAACUAUUGUAAUGGCCAAUCUAGGUUUGCAGCUAAAGACAAUAAUACUCGAACUGUGUUGAUCUUAGCUACAGGUGCAAAUGUCUCUGUGUAGUCAAUUCCAUAAGUUUGAAUGUACCCACUAGUCUUGCUUUAAAUCGUUCAAUACUACCAUCUGCCUUGUACUUCACAGUAUAGAUCCAACGACACCCAACUAGCUUCUUUCCUGGUGGACAUUCUACGAGUUCCCAUGUUUCAUUUUUCUGCAAUGAUUUCAUCUCUUCAUUCAUGGUUGCUUUCCACUUUGGAUCAGCUAAAGCUUCCUGCACACUAUUAGGAAUAGCUACAGUAGAUAAUUGAUUUACAAAUGACUUAUUUGAUUCAGACAAACCAUGGUGUGGACCCGCAUUUUUCACGUGCGCCUCUACUCGAUCGGCGAGACUCGCUUUCUAUUUGUGAAAAAUUAAUUUUAGAAAAGUUGGAGUCGCCACCUAUUUUAUUUUUAUUUUGAAGGGAAAAUAAAACAAGAAAGAAAAACCCUAAAAAGUGACUCCAUAGUUUUGGAAAAAGCAUGUCUUUGGGAAACCUGAGUCUAGGUCCGGGGAUCAUGUUACUUAUUGGGAAGGUACCUCUAGGAGGUAGCACCCCUCUAAGCCUUAUGAAGGUCUCUACUAACUAAAUUAAGGGAAGUGUGGCAAUAAAUCGAUUGAUCAUAGAUACCUAAGUAGACUAGGUGAUUUUAAAGUGUGGCAUGUCAAACACAAUCAAAUUGCAAUAAAGGAGAGUUAGGGCGCGUACCUGAACCGCUUCUCAAGCGCUAUCAUAAAACAUCAAUGGUUAAUUUAAAUAAUAUAUCAUCCAGCAUGUAUUUUAUUAGAAAUAAUCAAACAAUGAAACAUGUAUAUCAGAACACUCAAGCAUUAUUAGACAUAAGCAUUAUUUCACUAUUCACAGAAUUCAGAAAGUAGGUGAUAGAGGACAUACCUGGAUAGCAUAGAUAAUUUGUAAUGUGCUUCCUCAAGUUGUAAGGGGUUAGAUAACAAAUAAUAAAAUAUAGAAAUCCUAGCAUGCUCGUUAUCUAAUUAGCAUAGCAAAAGUGAUCACAGUAUACAGAAUCAUCAAUUAUCACAUACAUCUUGUAUAUAAUUCCUAAAAAAAAUAGAUAGACAUGAUUUCAACAAGUGUCAAAUGUGGCAACAAAAAUAAAUUUUGAAAAGAUUUUCUUAUGUAGGGGUUUCACCAAUUCCCCAAAUUAAUAUACACGAAUUUAGCUUAGAAUUAUCCCAUUUAUUUGGGACUACAAGCUUUGAUUCGUGUUUUUGUUCAAAACCAAAAAUUUUUGUUGAAAAUCAAGAAGGAUGCGAACCGAACAAGAUAUGGUUGCAUAUUAUUUUUAAAUAAAUAAAUAAAUAAAUAAAGGAGAUUUUGAUCCUGAGGACUUUAAUGAGUUUUUUUUUUUAAAAUAGAUUUUUAAAAUGAUUUUUUUGAGAAAAGUAUUUUAUUUUAAAAUAAAAGGGAUUAAUUUGGGAAAAAAAUAAAAUAUAAGAAAUAAAAUACCAAACAAAACAAAAAUGAAACCUCAAAGUAAAAUUUUUUUAGUAAUUAACAAAAAUGAUAAUGGUGAUGGUAGAGGGCAAUCUUCAUGAUUUUCCAAUGGCCUCAGAAAGAAAAUCAAAUUAAAUGAAGGAUCACUAACAGGCAAGACAUUCUAAAUUAGACAAACUAACAAAGUAUCAAUUCAUGAACUAACCGCUAGGAUUUUGAAAGCAUAUAAGCUAAGAUAAGGGUGAUCAGGAACUAAUAUUAAUGAUUUUGAAAUAAAAACUAAAAAAAAGGAUCAAUUCGGGUAAGGAACUAAAAUUAUAAAAGUACCUAAACUAAUUAUGACGAGUUUGACUAAAUUAAACUAAAAACAUGAACUUUCAAACAUAGAAUUAAUUUUACUAAUGAACCAAAGCAAACUAAAAAUAUGUACUUUCAAGCAUAGAAUUAAUUUUAUUGAUGAACUAAACUAUAACAAAUAUCUAAACUAAAUAUAAUGAAUCAAAUUAAAUUAAAGCAACUUAAAAACGCAAACUUUCAAACAUAGAAUCAAUUUUAUCAAUGAAUUAAAACUAUAAAUGUAUUUGAACUAAAUAGAUGAAUCAAACUAAAUCAGAGCAAAAUUAAAAAAAAAAAAGAACUUUCUAACAUGAAAUCAAUUUUAUCAACAAAUAAAUGAAUGAAUAACAAGUAAUUAAAAGAAUAGCUACUACAUGAAUAACUGAAUGAAUAAAAUUCAAAUGUUUUCAAUCUGAAGCAAUCAAUCAAAAUUAAAUAGGGAUCAAAUCAAAAUAAUCGAAAUCGGAAAAACAAUAUGCAAUCUUUCUAAAGGUUUAACCAGACAAUUGAAUUAAAAUUAUGAAUAGAAUAAAUUAAUAAACCAAAUCGAAACCUAAAUUGUACCUAAAAAGAUUAAUUAAUUAAACUAAGAAAUCAAAAUCAAUAACAAAACUAAACUAAGGAGUAAAUUAAGACAAGACUAAUUAAAUUAAACUCACAAACACGUUUUAACUAUCAUAUGGAUUAAAACAAAAUUAGCAUGGACUUAUGAAUUACGAACAAAAAUAAUCAAAACUAUUUUAAAAAACUCACCUCUAUUAUAAGAAAAAAUCUGCCUUUGAUGCGUUGAGGUGGCUCCCCUCUCUGUGUGGAUCUCUCUGCUCCCCAGAAAAAAAAUGUCUCUUCCUCCGUUCUCUUUUGUUUCAGCAAAAUAAUAUAUCCCCUGCUGUGGAUCUCUCUACUCCCAGAAAAUAAUAUAUUCUCUCCGUGUCCUAAAGUGGACCUAGGGUGCCUAAGUGGACCUAGGGUGCCUAAAUGGGCCUAGGGUGCCUAAAUGGGCCAAGUGUAUCUAAAUAGGCUUAGGGUGCCUAAGUGGGCCUAAGUCUAAGUGAGCCUAAGUCUAAAUCAAGACUACCAAGGAUCAUAAUAAGGGGUUAGGCAAUCCCUUAACCAAAGUCUCCAAGGUGGCUAAAAAAAAGUAAGUAGUAUGAGUAGCUAUGGGUCACCAAGGAACUACUGUGGAGCAUUGAAAACGAAUUUAAAGACAUGUGCCAAAGGGACAAAAUUGAGGGUCUACAGAUGGUUAGACACAUAGUUGCUCAUGGGAUAUUUGACUUUGGUAAACAAUUCAGAUUCAUAUGUGGGUUUAGGAAUACCUUUAUUAUGACGGUGUGGUAAUCGUUUCAUGAAUGGAUCAGGUUGCAAAUUAAGAACACCCUCAGCAAACAACGAUUGGUUUGGUAUUUCAGUGAAGACAUCUUCGAACCCAAAUUGUUGACCACUCAUAUCCAACUCACCCGCUUCCUGGUUCACUAGUUCAGAUUGUCCAAAUUCAUCAUUCUCAUAGAUAUGAUAAUCAUAAUCGAGAGUCUGAAUUUCCUUAUGGUACUCCCCCUGAAGUUCAGACUUAGAUGAAAAAUACAUCGAAUAUUCAUGAAACAGCNNNNNNNNNNNNNNNNNNNNNNNNNNNNNNNNNNNNNNNNNNNNNNNNNNNNNNNNNNNNNNNNNNNNNNNNNNNNNNNNNNNNNNNNNNNNNNNNNNNNNNNNNNNNNNNNNNNNNNNNNNNNNNNNNNNNNNNNNNNNNNNNNNNNNNNNNNNNNNNNNNNNNNNNNNNNNNNNNNNNNNNNNNNNNNNNNNNNNNNNNNNNNNNNNNNNNNNNNNNNNNNNNNNNNNNNNNNNNNNNNNNNNNNNNNNNNNNNNNNNNNNNNNNNNNNNNNNNNNNNNNNNNNNNNNNNNNNNNNNNNNNNNNNNNNNNNNNNNNNNNNNNNNNNNNNNNNNNNNNNNNNNNNNNNNNNNNNNNNNNNNNNNNNNNNNNNNNNNNNNNNNNNNNNNNNNNNNNNNNNNNNNNNNNNNNNNNNNNNNNNNNNNNNNNNNNNNNNNNNNNNNNNNNNNNNNNNNNNNNNNNNNNNNNNNNNNNNNNNNNNNNNNNNNNNNNNNNNNNNNNNNNNNNNNNNNNNNNNNNNNNNNNNNNNNNNNNNNNNNNNNNNNNNNNNNNNNNNNNNNNNNNNNNNNNNNNNNNNNNNNNNNNNNNNNNNNNNNNNNNNNNNNNNNNNNNNNNNNNNNNNNNNNNNNNNNNNNNNNNNNNNNNNNNNNNNNNNNNNNNNNNNNNNNNNNNNNNNNNNNNNNNNNNNNNNNNNNNNNNNNNNNNNNNNNNNNNNNNNNNNNNNNNNNNNNNNNNNNNNNNNNNNNNNNNNNNNNNNNNNNNNNNNNNNNNNNNNNNNNNNNNNNNNNNNNNNNNNNNNNNNNNNNNNNNNNNNNNNNNNNNNNNNNNNNNNNNNNNNNNNNNNNNNNNNNNNNNNNNNNNNNNNNNNNNNNNNNNNNNNNNNNNNNNNNNNNNNNNNNNNNNNNNNNNNNNNNNNNNNNNNNNNNNNNNNNNNNNNNNNNNNNNNNNNNNNNNNNNNNNNNNNNNNNNNNNNNNNNNNNNNNNNNNNNNNNNNNNNNNNNNNNNNNNNNNNNNNNNNNNNNNNNNNNNNNNNNNNNNNNNNNNNNNNNNNNNNNNNNNNNNNNNNNNNNNNNNNNNNNNNNNNNNNNNNNNNNNNNNNNNNNNNNNNNNNNNNNNNNNNNNNNNNNNNNNNNNNNNNNNNNNNNNNNNNNNNNNNNNNNNNNNNNNNNNNNNNNNNNNNNNNNNNNNNNNNNNNNNNNNNNNNNNNNNNNNNNNNNNNNNNNNNNNNNNNNNNNNNNNNNNNNNNNNNNNNNNNNNNNNNNNNNNNNNNNNNNNNNNNNNNNNNNNNNNNNNNNNNNNNNNNNNNNNNNNNNNNNNNNNNNNNNNNNNNNNNNNNNNNNNNNNNNNNNNNNNNNNNNNNNNNNNNNNNNNNNNNNNNNNNNNNNNNNNNNNNNNNNNNNNNNNNNNNNNNNNNNNNNNNNNNNNNNNNNNNNNNNNNNNNNNNNNNNNNNNNNNNNNNNNNNNNNNNNNNNNNNNNNNNNNNNNNNNNNNNNNNNNNNNNNNNNNNNNNNNNNNNNAACCAAAGGAAGCAUGUUCCAGACGUCGAUGCCACAACCAAAUUUCAGACUUUUUCUUCUCCUCCUUAGAUCCAUCUGCCAUCAAGGCUUGUUGCAACUUAUUUGAAUCCUUUGAUUGCAAGUCCAAGUAUAGAGUUUCCCCCGCUUAAUACGACAACCAAUCGUCUGUCUUGUUUGAAUGUCCUUAAUCACACAAAAUUCAGGCCAAAAAAUGACAAUACAAGAUAAGGCUGCAGUGAUUUGAGAAACUAACAAAAGAUUGUAAUCUAAAGAUGGAACAACUAAAACAGAAUCCAAAUUCAAAGUAUCAGUAAGAGUUAAGGAUCCUUCCCCAAUGACUGGGGUUGUGUUACCAUUGGCUGUGGAAACAAUUUUUUGUGAGGAAGGUCUAAGGGGUGAAACCUGUCUAGAAUCAAAAGUCAUAUGAUCUGUAGCACCAGAAUCAAUUAUCCAUGCACUAUUAAUAACAGGUGUAAAAGUAUUUAAAAACUUACCACAAUGAUCUGUAGCGGCUACUAAUGCAGAGACUUUCUCAACAACAUUAGUCUUUGUUUUUAUUUCGGUAACAGUUGCAAUCAAGGUUUUCUUGGAAUUCUUCUUCCGUUGAUCACGAUUAUUAUCAUUAAUAACAAAGUGUUGAUAGCCUAAACAUGAUCUAAAGGUCCAUGGUGCAAACCCUCGGUUCCUCAUUGUUUUCCUGGUCAUACCAAGAGUUGUUGCUUUGAAAUUGUGGGAUAUCCAGACUGGUGGGAUCAGUUUUAUUGCAGUGAGUGCAUUUGAAUGUUGACUUAUCAAUAUUAGGGCUUGUCUUCGGAUGGUUGAUUGCUGUUGGACUACCAUAGCGACAAAAUAUCCAGGAUUUCAAUUCCAGGGCUCUGAUACCAUCUUCAAAUUGAUGAAUGAUAGUUUUUCAUUCAUUCUUUCAUGUACAGAGUAUAUAUAGAGGGUAAUCACCAUUCUAAGAAUGGGAAAGAAUGAUACGAGGAAAUAAUGAUAUAAGGAAAUAAUAACUAAUAUCCUAAUAUCUCAACUUUCCUAAUAUCUCAAUAUUCCUAAUAUCUCAACUUUCCUAAUAUCUAAACAUUCAUAAUAUCUCAACACUAAAUGAUACAAGGAAAGAAUGAUAUAAGGAAAACAUUCCUAAUAUCUCAACACCACUUCAUGAUAUAUAUAGUUUCUUACCCUUAAUCAAUGGUUUCUAAGUGAAUUUAUAUAGAAAGAAAUCCAAACUGUAGACAGCAGUAUUGGUAACACUCAAUAUUCUGUAUAUAAUAGAAUAAAUAGCGUCACAGUGAUCGUCGCCUACAAGCAAGGUACAAAUACCACAAAGAGUGACCCACAUAGACAUUCCCCAACAAGAUGUAGUAGUGACUGACACAUAGCCACAAUUAACACGUAGAAAAGGAUAAGACCGGUGCACAGUAGCUCUUAUUUUACAUACUACUUAUGCCAACCAAAGUCACUCAGUUGGGAUGGGAGGGAGAUGGAGGUUUGUGCGGUGGCUUGUGGGGCGGAGUUGAUGGCUUCUUUCCAGGAGCUUCUGGCUUUUUCAUCGGAGCUGAAGGAGGCUCAAUCUUAUGAGGCGGCUUGUACGAGUCUUCUUUGCUCUCGAAAGGAGGGUGGCCAGGGUUGUGACCAUAAUGUGGUGGUUUCUCUCCCUUGGGAGGUUUACCAAUUGGGGUUGGUGGCUUGUGUUCUGGGAGUGGUUUCUCUCCCUUGGGAGGUUUAGUGGGUGACUUGUGUUCUGGAGGUGGCUUCUCCACCGAAGGCUUGUGCUCCGGUGGUGGCUUUUUGGUUGGAGGGGGCUUGGGGUAAUCAGCAAGAGAUGGGGUGGUGAGAACCACCAGUCCAAGGAACAACACUAGCAAGUAUGUGGGAGACAUUUUUGAGUUUGGGCUGAUCAGAUGAUGCAAAACUAAAGCAUUACGUGACCUUUUAUAGCAAGUAGCUCCCAAUACCUACUUGACACGUGUUACUGUGACCCAUAAAUAUUAUGGGGUCUAUUUGUGCCCUACCGGGUUGAAAACUUGGACAAUUGGGCAAGGACCCGCCUGACUAUGGAGGACUACUGAGGUGUGAUCACAGCUUUAGGAUUUUUCUUCCUCUGCAGCCGUCUUGCCGUUGGCAUGAUUUUCUUAAUCUCAAAUAAAGGCAUAGUUAUAGAGUUGUUUAAUCUCUAAAUGGGAUUUUAUAUAUCUUCAGAUAGCCAUUAAUACAUUUGAUGAAGAAAGAAAGACAAGUGCAUACAACAUGUAUACGACUAGCUUUCAUGGAGUUCAUUUAUGAUCAGUUUUCCUGUACAUGUAAACCAAGAUCAUAUAUGUUUUUGUUCCACAACAAUUUUGGAAUCUUGUUUAUCCGUUUUUAUCAUUAUAAUGUCACAUAGGCUGCCAACUUGGGCGCUAAAUUAAAGAUCCAGUUGGGCAAGUUCGUUUCAGAAUUUCAAUGGUGGAUUCAGGAAUUGUUUUAUAAGAUAUGCAAAAUAGUAGAGGGAUGAAUAGUGUUUCAUUAAGAAAAGAGCCCUGUAAAAAUAUUGUUUAAAGGUGCCAUAGAAACUAUAAUCAAUAAAUAACUUUUUUUCCCCAUGGGUGGUGUUUCUUGUGGGGAUCAGUGACUGGUUUGAGUCAACGCCGUGUCUCUUUAGUCCAGAAAUCAACUAUUUUAUGCAUUGAAUACAUCAACAAAGAAAAUAUGAAAGCCAAAUGACACCUCCCCCGCAAAAACUAAACCCUGGUUGCUAACUUUCUAUGUUUCAGUUCCAUUCACACAAGAAUAUUAGUUCAAGUUUGAGAAAAAUGGCGACUUACCUAGUGAUAACUCGGUCUUGGUUUGCGAUUUGACUUUAACGUCAUGGGUUGAAGCCUCCUACAAUCAUCGUGUAUGCUAGUUCAAAGCUCGUGGAAGAAGUUAUACAGGGAGGGAGAAACCUCCACAGCAAGCUCCAAAAGAGAAUUAUCACAUUGAAAGCUCCAGUUGAACACUGGGUGAAAGCCAUAACAAGAUUGGUUUUCUAUCGCUCUUUUAAGUAAUGGAAGAUUAUUAUCUCUGCUUGUCACUACAACCGUGCAUGCUGCUAGAUCUUUCUAGACACUUCAAACAGUGAAACCAAGUAUGAUUCUUUUUCUCUUGAGUGGGUCCACUUGCAUGCCAAUGAACGAGUUGAAAAGUUGGACAAUUGGCCACAGCGCGCACUUACCUUCUGGAACCGAAGGUCAGUGAAGUGGGGUUCCUUUUGGCCCCUUGUGUUUCUGUUCCAACCUACUCCAGGAACCGAAGUUCAGUGAAGUGGGGCUACUUUUGGCCUCUUGUGUUUCUGUUCCAACCAAACAAAAAUGGGAGGGAAAAAUAGCAUUAUGCUUGUGCUAAAGAUCAACGCAUGAUAGCUGAAUAAGGGAGAAAAAGGCAUUGCUAUCUCAAUUUCAUAAACUUGAUAAGUAGUGACAUUAAUAGUCUUCCUCAUAGAUGGAUACAUGGUUUUAUUUUAUUUAUUUAUUUUUAUUUUUUUGUUUUAUGUCAAUGCUAAUGAAUGAAGUGCAUUAGCUUGUUUUGUGACUAGAACUACAAAUGUCCAAAUUGGAGCUUCUCCAAUAUAUUUCUCAGUGAGUUAUUGAUUAGAACUCUUGGAUUGAGUUCCAAGAUUUGAAUCAGACCCCUCUAGCAGCUUCAGGGGUACGUAGCAACCUAUAGCAUAUUAAUGAAGACUUAGGAUUUAGACUUAGGAAUACAAAUUAAUAUGUACCUCAUGCUCUGACUAGCUUCCCUGCGUAUGCACAAAAUGGAGAUGACUCCCAAAAAAAUAGCAGAAUCGCCUUAGUAUGUUUUUGUGGUUAAGAUGAUUCUCCACUUUAUAUAUCCACAUUGGUUCAUUAUGCAAAUUAAUCAACUAAGCUAUUUUUAUUUUUUCUUAAAUGUGAAAUAGGAGCUCCAAAUUAACCUAACCAUUGGCCUGAUUGAAUUGAUUUCACUUGCAUAAUGUUAUAGUAGAAGUCCGUAAUUUGAAUUUUAUUUUUGCAAAAGGUAACGUAAAUGAAGCAUUGUAAUUAAAUUUAUUUGUAAUUACAAACUAAUUUUAUUUUAUUAAGAAUUAAUUUAAUUACUCAUUUAAAAUAAAAAUCAGUUAUACUUUUACCAAGAUGAUAAUAUUCAUAUUUUUCUAGUUAACAUAUAUAAAAUAGUACACUUUUUCAUAUAAAAAAAUAAUUUAUGAUUUAUUAUAAUGUUACUAUUCACAUUUUACUAAAUUGAUGGUACAUGAUAGUGAGAGAAGGGGGUGUCACACUCAGCUAAAGUUCUUUUCAAAAUAUUGCAUGGUGUUUAAUUUUAUGUGUCGGCGCGCGUGUGAAUGGAACCUGCAAAAGUCCAAAUUGGCGUUUCUCCAUUUUCCACAUAGGAUGGUGACGUUAAUAGACAAAGAUACAAUAUCUGUAGACAUUGCUUAAAAAUCGAUGUGAAGUAUUAGAAAUUACAGGGCACUGUACUGGGGGAGCGGCUGCCCCGCCAAAGGAGGAAGAAUGUAGCAAUUUCUUCUGUUAGCCAGGCCUUAGGAUUUAUGCAUGGGAUGCCUAAUAACAAACAGAGAAAAUAUACUUUUGGGGAAGGUAUCCAACAACAGACACCAUCAUUCAGAUGGUGGGAAGGUAUCCAACAGAUGCCAUCAUUCAGAUGGUAACAUAUAUAUACAUUUAUUAGUGAGUUUUUUUAAUACCUAUAAAAAAAAAUAUACACUUUGAUAUUGUGGCUGAAUCCAUUACAUACUCAACUAACCUUGCUCAUUAGGGAUUUGACUUAACAAGGGCAACGUUGCAGUACAAGCUCAAAACUUUAUGCAGGUGACAUUACAUUUGGUAAAGAAGAGGAAAAUAACGAAAGCCAUCCAUAAAAGCAAAAUUCCACAUGGGAUGAAAUUCACAAGCUUCAUUUACGAUAGAGUCGCAUCCAGGCAAUUAAUUCCACAUUAGACCGCCUGUUGACAUGUGUACCAAUCUUUUUUCAAAAAAUAUUUAUAAAUAAUUGAUACUCACAAAAAUAAUUUAAUAUUUAUAAAGGAUAAAAAAAUAUUUUCAAAUCUAUAACAAUUUAUAAAAUAUUAAUAAAAAAUUAUCUCUUAAACUUAGUAUAGUUUUAUCAGAUUAAACUUUUAUUUUGAACAAAUAAUUUUAAUCUAAGUUUUAAAUUCUAAAAUUAUUUCCUUAAAAUAAAAUUUUAAAAUUCAACACUUCAAUUGAAAUUGUCUUUUUAAAAAAUAUCUUCUUAUUUUAAUCCUUAUAAACUAUAGUUGAUUGAAAAUACUAUUGAAGUUCUCUCUUAAAAAAAAGUCUUAUUUUAAUCUUCAUAAAUUGCCCUUGAUUUGAAAAUAAAUUUUCAGUUAUCAUAUUUUAAAUAAUAUCUAUAUUUAAAAUACUCUAUUUAAAAAAAAAUGAACUAAUUUUAAUUAUAUUAUAUUUUAUUUUUUUAUAUAUUUUUAAUGAUAAACCAAACAUAGAAAAUCAUUUUUCUAAAUAUUUUAAAAUUUCUAAGCAACCAAACAUAAUCUUCAAAAUAAAAGGAAAAUAAGGAGGGACAUUUGAGAAAUGGCGAUUAAAAAAAAGUGUACAAAAGCUCAAUUAAUUUUCUUCUAGUCUUUUAUAUAAAAAAGUAAAGGAAUUGAAAAGUAUUGAUAUGUAAAUUAAUAUUUGGAUUUUAAUAGUAUUUUAUUUGUCUUUCUCUAUCUCAUGUAAAAGAGAAUUUAAGAUAUUUCCUAAAGCAAAGCAUUAGUUAUCUGCAAUCAGUGGUGAUCAUGCCCCAUGUCAAUUUCGGACCCAUAUCUUAAAACUGUAUAAUUUGCAUUCAAACAUUACUGAUUUCUCAGAUGUUUCAUACUCCACAGAAGAGCAUUGUUUGUGAAAGCAUGCAUUUAUGUUGGAUUUUGGAUGAUGUGGGAACUGGGGCAAGGAUCAUAUGGAAGAGUGGUCGAUUUUGUUCUGUACUUUAACAUUUGAAAUAGGAGAAGCUCGGGCAUUUGUGGGGCUUAAUUGAUUUUGAAGCCUGAAAUUGCGUUUCUGUCAUUUUGUAAAAAAUAUGGCAGAUUCCAUGCUCUCAUAUGUUUGGUCUGUGGCCAUGUAUAGAUGCCCCUUAGUGACCAGUUUGUAACUGUCAAUCAUAGUGUUUUGACUCUGGCUCAACAACAUCAGCCAUUGACGGAUUUUCAUACUUGCAAAUCAAAUAGUCUUCUUCCUCCCUUAGGAAUUUCGGUUUAAAUGUUAUUAAGCAUACAUUUGGCUGACAAUUAUUAACCACUUCAUGAUAUGGUUUCUUACCCUUAAUCAAUGGUUUCUAAGUGAAUAUAUGCAGAAGGAAAUCUGAACUGUAGACAGCAGUAUUGAUAACUCUCAAUAUUCUUUAUAUAAGAGAAUAAACAACGUCAUAGUGAUCGUCGCCUACAAGAAAGGUACAUUUCCCAACAAGAUGUAGUUGUGACUGGUACAUGGACGCAAUUAACUCGUACAAAAGAAUAAGACCAGUGCACGGCAGCUCUUAUUUUACAUGCUAAUUAUGCUAACCAAAGUCACUCAGUUGGGAUGGGAGGGAGAUGGAGGUUUGUGCGGUGGCUUGUGGGGCGGAGUUGGUGGCUUCUUUUCAGGAGCUUGUGGCUUUUUCGGAGCUGAAGGAGGCUCAAUCUUAUGAGGCGGCUUGUACGAGUCUUCUUUACUCUCGACAGGAGGGUGGCCAGGGUUGUGACCAUAAUGUGGUGGCUUCUCUCCCUUAGGUGGCUUGCCAACUGGGGUUGGUGGCUUGUGUUCAGGAAGUGGUUUCUCUCCCUUGGGAGGUUUACCAAUUGGGGUUGGUGGCUUGUGUUCUGGGAGUGGUUUCUCUCCCUUGGGAGGUUUAGUGGGUGACUUGUGUUCUGGAGGUGGCUUCUCCACCGGAGGCUUGUGCUCCGGUGGUGGCUUCUCCACCGGAGGCUUGUGCUCCGGUGGUGGCUUCUUGAUUGGAGGGGGCUUGGGGUAAUCAGCAAGAGAUGGGAUGGUGAGAACCACCACUCCAAGGAACAACACUAGCAAGUAUGUGGGAGACAUUUCUGAGUUUGAGCUGAUCAGAUGAUGCAAAACUAGAAGAAUUACGGGACCUUUUAUAGCAAGUAUCUCCCAAUACCCACAUGACACGUGUUACUAUGACCAUAAAUAUUAUAGGGUCCAUUUGUGCCCUACCGGGUUGAAAACUUGGACGCUUGGCCGAGGACACACCUGACUAUGGAGGACUAUUGACGUGUGAUCACAGCUUUUGGAUUUUUCUUCCUGUGCAGCUGUCUAGCGGUUGGCAUUAUUUUCUUAAUCUUAAAUAAAGGCAUAGUUAUAGAGUUGUUUAAUCUCUAAAUGGGAUUUUAUAUAUCUUCAGAUAGCCAUUAAUAUAUUUGAUGAAGAAAGACAAGUGCAUACAACAUGUAUACGGCUUGCUUCAAUCGAGUACAUUUAUGAUCAGUUUUCCUGUGCAAGUAAACCAGUUUUUUGUUCCACAACUAUUUUGGAAUCUUGUUUAUCAGUUUCUAUCAUUAUAAUGUCACAUAGGCUGCAAACUUGGGCACCCAAAGAUCUAGGUGGGCAAAUUUGUUUCAGACUUUCAAUGGUGGAUUCAGUAAUUGUUAAAAGGUGUUUCUUCAUUAAGGAAAGAGUCCGGUAAAAAUAUUGUUAAAAGGUGUCAUAGAAACUAUAAUAAAUAAAUAACUUCUUUUCCCCAUGGGUGGUGUUUCUUCUGGGGAUCAGUGACUGGUUAGGGUCACCCAAAAUGAGUCCAGAUUAAAAUUGGUUCGAGUCAAAGCAGUCUCUUUUGUCCAGAAAUCAACUAUUUUGCGCAUUGAAUGAAUCGAUAAAGAAAAAAUGAAAGCCAAAUCACACCUCCCCUGCAAAACCUAAACCCCGGUUGCUAACUUUCUAUGUUUCAGUCCUAUUCAUAUAGGAAUAUUGGUUCAAGUUUGAGAAAAAUGGCAACUUACCUAGGGUUUACUUGGUUUUGGUUUGCGACUAUUUACGCAACCAACCAUGAGUUUGACUUUAACGUCAUGGGUUGAAGCCUCCUACAAUCAUGUAUGAUAGUUCAAAGCUCGUGGAAGAAAUUAUACAGGAAGGAAGAAACCUCCAAAGCUAGCUCCAAAAGAGAAUUAUCACAUCGAUAGCUCCAGAGAUUCCCAAGGGAACUGAAUCAAAGACAAGUUCCUCACUUUUUCUUCUUUUGAGGCCAAAUAUGAACCAAGGAUCACACGACCUCAUUCAACUUCAUAAGUUUGAUUUCAUGCAGUUGAACACUGGGUGAAGGCCAUGACAAGAAUUGAUUAAAAAAUUCUACCACUCUUUUAAGUAAUGGAAGAUUAUUAUCUCUGAUUGGCACCACAACAGCACAUGCUGCUAGAUCUUUCUAGACACUCCAUGCAAUGAAAGCACAAUGGAUCUUGUAAUGAUAGAAACUAAGCCAUGCUACAGUACUAGAUGAGGGGGUAAAACUAGUAGACAUCUUUCUAGACACUCCAUGCAAUGAAAGCACAAUGGAUCUUGUAAUGAUAGAAACUAAGCCAUGCUACAGUACUAGAUGAGGUGGUAAAACUAGUAGACAUGGCUGGCAGUUGAUUACUACUCAAAAAGUACUCUUUUAUAGCUUGAAACUAACUGUUUUAAACACUUUUGAGUAGUAGUUAAUACCUUUUAACUUAAUUGGCACAUUAAGGAACCUAGCAAGGGUUACUAAUCAACAUUUGGCAAGUUUUGAUGUUUUUGGUAGCUAUUUGAUCAUUGAAACAAGCCAAGAAUGAGGGGGAAUUUUGUGAAGUCCAUGGCAAUGCAAGUUAAAGCUCAAAUACAUGAAGAAUCCAAGCUUUGGAGCACUUCAUAGCCCUUUGCCAAGCCAAUCAAAGAUGCAAGGAAGAAAACCAAAGGAAGAAAUCCAACAAUCAGCAUUUUGGCAUGGCUAUGUGAAAUUUCGCACACCAUGCGAAACCACAAGAGGCAGCCAAAGAAUUUCGCAUGGUAUGCGAAAUCUUCUUGUGCACUGACUCUGUUAGAUUUUUAUCUUCAGAUAUUUUGUGUAAUUUCCUAGUUUCUCCUUGUAACCAACUUAGAUAUUUUCUUUUAUAUCUUUUUUUAUAUUUUUUAGGUAACAUCAUAUAUAAGAGGAGAGACAUAAGGAGGAUAUGGAUGUUUUUCAUAGAACACUUGUAAAUUUUUGGUAGUAAGAAAUAUACAAAGCUUUUUGCUCUGCCUUACCUUCUCAAGGGAUGAGUGGCUAGGUUUUCUUGGAGUGAGGGAAGCUAGGUGAAGGACCUGAAUGCAAAGGUGGGAGUUUUCCUUACUUUAAAUGAAAGUAGUUGUUAAACAUUAAUGGUUUUUAUUUUAAGGUUUAGCUUUAAAUCCCUGAAAAACACCUUGAAUGGCCAAUACUUGGUAAGCUUUUUAGAUUCUAUGGAUGCUUAUUGCUAGAUCCAUGGAUGUCUAUUAGUUAUCAUUUACGAGCCAUUGGAAGGUGAUUCAAGGUGAGGGUCUUUAGUGUUUGAAGCCAUUAAUGGGAAGCAAUUACCAUUUUUUCAUGAAUCCUUUGGAUCAAAUCUUAAUUGCUAAAUAUAAAACCGGUUUCGAGAGAUAACCACCAUCCUUUAUGUUAUUAUCCCCAACGCGAGGAGAAGAUCCGAAAUCUUCCUUUUUAUCUAAGGAACCCGAUCCUAGUGACCUAAAGCUCCAAGAUACCUUUUCUUUGUAGUUAACUUCAUUUAUUGUUUUUGCUUAACUUAAAAUCAAUCUUUGCAACCACAAUUCCAUUUUCUUUAAAAGCUAAUUUUUAUAAGGAAAAACACCAUUUUAUUUCCUUCACUAAGUCAACUGUACGAUGAAAACCCAUCCCUGUGGACGAUCCUAGAGCCACUAUACUAUGUUAGCUAUGCUACCCUAGUGUGAGGUGAUUUAGGUUUUAUAAAUUUUUUUGAUAACACCCAUCUGAGCCAGAAUCAAAUGGCACGACUGAACCAGGGACGAAUCAAAUGACGCCGCUACCAAGGAUGGUGCCAAAGUACAUUGACAUGACUUUUGGUGAACACUUGUGAUCUUCACCACAAGUUUGGUGAUUUUUCUUUUACUAAUUUUUUUUAUUUUAGCUUAUCUUUUAUUUAGUUUUUAGUUAACCUUAAAUUUUUCCUAGAAUUGUAUUUCUUUUGUUUUCUUUGUUUUUGUUUCAGUGAUCUUUAGUUGUGCAUGCCCUAUUGGAUAAGAGAUAUUGAGGGAAUACUUGUGAAGAUUGAAACUCCUCGAGAAACUGAGUUAGAAGUGUGCUUGAACAUCAUGGAUGUUCCACCUGAAGACCAGAAUAGCCAACAUGGUUAAGAGGAUAAUUUCAACACAUACCGAUCCAUGAGGAACCGCAUACAUCCACCUUGUAUGAGUGCACCGUCAGGCAUAAUGCCUCCCACUGAGCAGCUAGUAAUCUGACCUCACAUUGUGCCACUCCUACCUACUUUCCAUGGGAUGGAGAGUGAGAAUCCCUACUCGCAUAUUAAGGAAUUCGAGGAGGUUUGUAAUACAUUCCAAGAAGGAGGAGCUUCAAUUGACUUGAUGAGGCUCAAGCUAUUUCCUUUCACUUUGAAGGAUAAGGCCAAGAUUUGGCUUAAUUCUUUAAGGCCAAGAAGUAUCCAAACUUGGAUUGAUUUGUAAGCCGAGUUUCUUAAGAAGUUCUUCCCUACCCAUAGGACCAAUGGUUUGAAAAGGCAAAAUUUGAACUUCUCAGUUAAAGAGAAUGAGAAAUUCUAUGAGUGUUGGGAGAGCUACAUGGAAGCUAUUAACGUUUGUCCUCACCAUGGCUUUGACACAUGGCUCUUAGUGAGCUAUUUUUACAAUGGUAUGUCUUCUUCAAUGAAGCAACUCCUAGAAACUAUGUGUGGAGGAGACUUCAUGAGUAAGAAUCCGGAGGAAGCCAUGGACUUUUUGAGUUAUGUGGCUGAAGUUUCAAGAGGAUGGGAUGAACCAAAUGCUAGAGAGGUGGGAAGAAUGAAGUCUCAACCUAAUGCUAAGGGUGAGAUGUAUGUUUUGAAUGAAGACAUUGACAUGAAAGCAAAGGUUGCAGCUAUGGCAAGGAGAUUGGAAGAGCUAGAAAUGAAGAACAUACAAAAAGUGCAAGCCAUUUCUGAGACAUCAAUGAAAGCUAUGCCUUGUUCCAUUUGUCAAUCUUAUAAGCACCUAGUGGAGGAGUGUCCUACAAUUCCAGCAGUGAGAGAGAUGUUUGGUGAUCAAGCAAAUGUUAUUGAUCAAUUCAAGCCUAAUAACAAUGCUUCAUAUGGCAACACCUACAAUUCAAAUUGGAGGAACCAUUCAAAUUUCUCUUGGAAACGAAAGCCACCUCAAUACACACAACCUACUCAAGCACCUUAGCAAUCCUCGAAUCUUGAACAAGCUAUUGUGAACCUUAGCAAGGUUGUGGGAGACUUUGUGGGAGAUCAGAAGUCCAUCAAUGCUCAACUGAAUCGGAGAAUUGACAGUGUGGAGAGUACAUUGAACAAAAGGAUGGAUGAGAUGUAAAAUGAUCUGUCUCAAAAGAUAGACAAUGUCCAAUACGUAAUCUCAAGGCUUACCAACCUCAACACAGUGUAAGAGAAAGGAAAGUUUCCUUCUCAACCUCAUCAAAAUCCUAAGGGUAUCCAUGAAGUAGAGGCUCAAGAGGGAGAAUCUUCAAAGGUGAGGGAAGUCAAAGUAGUUAUCACCUUGAAGAGUGGUAAAGAGGUUGAUCAACCCACAUCCAAGCCAAAGCAUAAUGAAGAGAGUGUAGCAGAAAAAGAAAAGAGAGGAAAAUAAAGGAAUUAGAAUAGAGAAAAAUACAAAGAAAGAUGACCAUGAGUCUAGUGUGGAUGAAGAGCCCGAGAGGAUGGUGAUCAAGGAAGAUAUGAUGAAGAAACACAUGCCUCCACCUUUCCCCUAAGCUUUGCAUGACAAAAAAAGAACCAAUAAUACAUCAGAAAAUUUUGAAGUAUUGAGGCAAGUGAAGGUCAAUAUCCCUUUGCUAGACAUGAUCAAACAAGUGUCGACAUAUGAAAAAUUCUUGAAGGACUUGUGCACUGUAAAGAGAGGGUUGAAUGUGAACAAGAAAGCUUUAUUGACCGAGCAAGUGAGUUCCAUCAUACAGUGCAAGUCCUAGUGAAGUACAAAGAUCCGGGUUGCCGUACCAUCUCAGUGAGUAUUGGAAGGACUUGUGUGGAGAAAGCUUUGUUGGACUUGGGAGCAAGUGUGAAUUUGCUAUCCUACUCUGUCUAUAAGCAGUUGGGAUUUGGAGAGUUGAAGCCAAUAUCCAUCACUCUAUCUCUAGCGGAUAGAUCAAUGAAGAUUCCAAGAGGGAUGAUCGAAGAUGUCCUGGUUCAAGUUAACAAAUUCUACUAUCCAGUAGAUUUUGUUGUUCUUGAUAUGGAUCCGGUUGUCAAAUGAACUAAUUAUGUUCCUAUCAUACUUGGAAGACCCUUCCUAGCUACAUCAAAUGCAAUCAUCAAUUGUAGGAAUGGAGUCAUGCAACUCACAUUUGUCAACAUGACAUUAGAGCUCAACAUCUUCCAUUUGUACAAGAAGCAUAUCCAUCAGGAGGAAAAAGAAGGUCUAGAGGAAGUGUGAAUGAUUGACACUUUAGUGGAAGAGCAUUGUGAUCGAGAAUGCAAAAAGAUUUAGUUGAGAAUUUUGGGGAUCUUGAUGAAAGGUUACUUGAACCCUCAGAUUUGCUUGCUACCCUACUCCAUUGGAAGAGAAGAGAAGAAAUUCUACCCUUAUUCAAUGAGGAGGAGACGCAAAGAGCUGCAAAGGAGAAACCCCCAAAACUUAUUCUUAAGCCACUACCCACAGAGUUGAAGUAUGUAUACUUGGAAGAAGACAAGAAGUGCCCUAUUGUUAUAUCUUCAACUCUUACCAUUCAUCAGGAGGAUUGUCUACUUGAAGUCCUUAGAAGAUGUAAGAAGACAAUAAGGUGGCUAAUUUCUUAUUUGAAAGGGAUCAGCCCUUUAGUCUGCACCCAUCAUAUUUACAUGGAGGAUGAAGCUAAGCUAAUUCAUCAACCUCAGAGAAGGUUGAACCCUCACAUGCAAGAGGUGGUUCGAGCUGAAGUUCUGAAGCUACUUCAGACCAGUAUUAUUUACCCCAUAUCAAAUAGCCCAUGGGUGAGUCCUACUCAAGUUGCGCCAAAGAAGUCUGGGAUCAUGGUGGUGCAAAAUGAUAAGGGAGAAGAUGUCUCUACACGCCUCACUACAGGUUGGAGGGUGUGUAUCAAUUACAGGAGGUUGAAUGCAGUGAUAAGAAAGGACCAUUUCUCAUUGCCCUUUAUUGAUCAGGUGCUUGAGAGGGUCUCUGGGCUUUUUUUUUUAUUGUUUCUUGGAUGGCUACUCCGGGUACUUUCAGAUAGAAAUUGAUGUUGAAAACCAAGAUAAGACCAUUUUCACAUGCCCAUUUGGAACCUAUGCAUAAAGGAGAAUGCCUUUCGGCUUAUGCAAUGCACCCGCAACUUUCCAAAGAUGCAUGUUAAGCAUUUUCAGUGAUAUGGUGGAGCGUAUUAUGGAAGUCUUUAUGGAUGAUAUCACCAUUUAUGGAAGUGCAUUUGAUGAAUGCUUGGUCAACUUAGAAGCUGUUCUGAACCGAUACAUUGAGAAAGACUUAGUGCUUAACUGGGAGAAGUGCCAUUUCAUGGUACACCAAGGGAUUGUCCUUGGGCACAUUAUCUCCAAGCAAGGCAUUGAAGUUGACAAAGCAAAGGUUGAACUCAUUGUUAAGUUGCCAUCCUCAACAAAUGUCAAAGGAGUAAGGCAAUUCUUUGGCCAUGUCGGGUUCUAUAGGAGGUUUAUCAAGGAUUUCUCUAAGCUUGCAAGGCCUCUUUGUGAAAUAUUGGUGAAUGAUGUUAAAUUCAUAUGGGAUGAUGGAUUUGAAAGGAGUUUUGAAGAAUUGAAGCUAUUUUUGACAACCGUACCAAUAGUGAGGGCUCCCAACUGGCAACUGCCCUUUGAAGUAAUGUGUGAUGUCAAUGAUUUUGCUAUAGGAUUUUUUCUUGGGCAAAGAGAAAAUGGAAAACCUUAUGUGAUCUACUAUGCGAGGAAGGCAUUGAAUGAGGCACAAAGAAACUACACAACCACCGAGAAAGAAUUGUUAGCUGUAGUUUUUGCCUUGGAUAAGUUUCGCGCUUACUUGGUGGGGUCCUUCAUCAUGGUUUUUACUGAUCACUUUGCUUUGAAGUAUCUGUUGACUAAGCAAGAUGCUAAAGCAAGGCUGAUUAGAUGGAUUCUCUUACUUCAAGAGUUCAAUCUCCAUAUCAAAGAUAAGAAAGGAGUGGAGAAUGUGGUAGCAGACCACAUUUCAAGGCUAGCUAUCGCACAUAAUUCCCAUGCUUUGCCCAUUAAUGACGAUUUUCUAGAGGGGUCUCUCAUGUUGGUGGAAGUUGUCCCUUGGUACGCUCACAUUGCUAACUACCUGGUCACGGGAAAAGUUCCAAGUGAGUGGAAAGCACAAGAUAAGAAGCACUUCUUUGCAAAAAUUCAUGCCUACUAUUGGGAAGAGCCAUUUCUAUUCAAGUAUUGUAUGGAUCAGAUAAUAAGGAAGUGCGUUCCUGAAGAAGAGCAACAGGGGAUCCUUAGUCAUUACCAUGAAAAUGCAUGUGGAGGCCACUUUGCUUAUCAAAAGACAGCCAUGAGGGUGUUGCAAUCGGGUUUCUGUUGGCCAUCACUUUUCAAAGAUGCCCACACCAUGUGCAAGAGUUGUGAUCGAUGCCAGAGGCUUGGGAAGUUGACACGCAGGAACAUGAUGCCUUUGAACCCCACUUUAAUAGUUGAUAUUUUUUAUGUUUGGGGCACUAACUUCAUGGGACCUUUCCCUAUGUCUUUUGGCUACUCUUACAUCUUGGUAGGAGUAGAUUAUGUUUCUAAGUGGGUUGAGGCAGUCCCAUGCAAACACAAUGACCAUAGAGUGGUUCUCAAGUUUCUUAAAGAGAAUAUCUUCUCAAGAUUUGGGGUGCCCAAAGCCAUAAUUAGUGAUGGGGGUACUCAUUUUUGCAACAAGCCUUUUGAAACUCUCCUAGCCAAGUAUGGGGUGAAGCAUAAGGUAGCUACACCUUACCACCCUCAAACUCAUGGACAAGUUGAGUUAGCAAACAGGGAGAUUAAAAACAUAUUGAUGAAGGUGGUGAACACAAACAGAAAAGAUUGGUCAGUCAAGCUUCUUAAUUCACUAUGGGCAUAUAGAACAACUUACAAGACCAUUCUCGGGAUGUCUCCUUAUCGCCUAGUUUAUGGCAAAGCAUGCCAUCUCCCUGUGGAAUUGGAAUACAAAGCUUGGUGGGCAAUCAAGAAGCUCAACAUGGAUUUGAGCAGAGCUGGGUUGAAGAGGUUCUUAGACCUUAAUGAGAUGGAGAAAUUGAGAAAUGAUGCCUACAUCAAUUCAAAAAUUGCAAAAGAAAAAUUGAAGAGGUGGCAUGAUCAGUUGAUUUCCCGCAAGGAUUUUCAAAAUGGACAAAGAGUCUUACUUUAUGACUCUAAACUCCACAUCUUUCCGGGCAAGCUGAAAUCAAGGUGGAUAGGUCAUUUUACCAUUCACCAAGUGCAUUCAAAUGGAGUAGUGGAACUACUCAACUCCAACAAUAUCGAGAACUUCAAAGUGAAUGGCCACCGUCUCAAGCCCUUUGUGGAGUCUUUUUCUCACAACAAGGAGAAAUUCAUCCUCCUUGAUCCACAUCAAGCUUAACAAGACCAAUUUUCUUGAUGGACUUAGUCUUUCUAAAGACUAUCGAGUCCAUAACUUUUUGUUUUAUUUUUUAUUUGAGAUUUUUUCGGUAUUGUUACUUGUUUUGUUUUUUAUUUUUCGUUUUAAUUUUAUUUGGUUUGAUUUAACUUAGGUUUUUGAUGAUCAAUUACAGGGGGGAUUUCAAAUAGAGGAAAAACCAAGAUAAUUCGCACACCCUACGAAAAUUUCGCAAGGCAUGCGAAAUUUAUGGCUUAUUUUGCAUGGGGUGAAAAUUUUCGUACAUCUUACGAACCAAUUUCGAACACUUUGCGAAAAUAAACCAACCCUGCGAAAUCAUUUCGAUUACUCUACGAAAUUUUCGUAGAGCAUGCGAAAAAUUUAGCACACCAAACACCAUUUCGCAUACUAUGCAAAAACCUAAGGGGUCUGCGAAACCAUUUCGCACCUCCAAAUCCAUUUCGCACAUUGUGCGAAAACCAAGAGGCGCUGUGCGAAAAUGAAAAGUCGCCCUGUCAUCCCUUUUUAAACCCCUCGAGCCCUAAAAUCUCCAUUUCGCAAGCACCCCUGUCCUUGCGAAUCCCUCAUUUUCCUCUACUACCUUGCAACCUCGUCCCUUUCCAUUUGAUAUUGUGCCCCGCGCACAUCUCAUUUCAGAGACUCGCACUCCGCGCCCCCUCAAAGCAUGGACUCGAGACCCACCUUCCAUUUCCGACGUGGCACGGACCCAAGGAGCCCUUUCUGCCCCUUCACUAAGACACACACCAAGGCAGAAAGCCUCCUUUGCUCAAGUGCCUAGUGAUUCUCCAUCUUAGGCCUCAGAGGCCUCGGAGGCCCCGUGGAUUCCACCUUCCGAGGGUAGAGCAGCCAUUGGUCCUUCCUCUUCUACUCCUUAGCGUAGAUACGAGACGAGGAGACCACCUACUACACAAGGGGCGACUACUUCGAGCCUUGAGAAUUCAGUACGAUGCCUUCCUGCCAAGAGGGUCAAGACUUCAGGUCCAAGUGAGUCAUCCAGAGCUUCAUAGCCUAAGCCUCCUGUAGAUUCCAAGGUUCCUACUGACAUAUCACCGGAGUCUAUUAUCAGAAGCCCGAUGCUCAUAGCACCGCCCAUUGAGGGCAACUCAGAUUAUAGAGCGAGAUCUUUCCACUUGGAGCUAUAUUUUGAUCAGGAGGCCAUACGACAGCAGCCUGAGCUCCGAGACUCUUAUGGCUUACUGCAGAGGUACCAUCUUGAGGAACUUAUGACUCCUCGUGAGUUUUUUUAUCCCAGAGUAGCACUAAACUUUUACCAGUCCAUGACUACUCGUGGCGUCCCGAGUCCUACCACGAUUCACUUCACCAUUGAUAGACGUCAUGGUAUCCUCAAGGCCAGACAUAUUACAGAGGCUCUACAAAUUCCUUUCGAGCUAGAGGAUCCAUCUGUUUUUCGCUAAUGGUCCCCAGUAUCUCAGAGGGACAUGGUCCGUAUUUUAUCUAGGGGAACAUCUACAGAUUCGAUCUUUCUACGGAAGGAGCUUCGACCUGGGAUGCUCCUCUUAGAUGUGGUGCUAUGCUCCAACCUCUUUCCCUUACAACAUUCGGUACAUAGGUGAUGAGCUAUUUUGGACGCUUUAUUCCGUAUAUCAGAGGGCUUCUACUUUGGCCCGCACCACUUGAUCAUGGUCUCCCUCAUCCACUUUGAGGAGAAGGUUCAUAGGAAGAAGCUUCAGAGGGUGGACACCAUUCCAUUACUAUUCCUGAGGUUACUUUGCCAGGUCUUGGAGUACAUGGGCUUUCCUACUGAGCCUCGGCUCGAGCUUUGCCGCCUUUGUCGAGAGUGAUCCACUCUCGACAAAUGGAAUUAGUUGGCGGGCUAUUCUGCACCUCCAGGAGCCCCUCCCAUGGUAGCACCUCCAAUGUCCCCACAGGCAAAGUAGGGCGAGCUCCCGGCAAAGACUGUACCACCAAUGCCCACACUUGAGGCUAUUUCUGCUGCUCUGCCUAUGACUCCUACUGUUCCACCAGUUGGUCCUUUUACAUCCGAGCCUUCCAUCACCAUCUCGGCUUCGGAGUUUCGCGCCCUUGUGCAUACCUUUCAGACACUCACCACCACACAUACUCCUCUCUUCUAGCAAAUGGUUGAGAUGUGUGCCCAUCAGGACCGGAAGACUACUAUACUCUGCCAAAUUCAGCAGCACCUAAGACUUUUGCCUCAACCUCAACCUAACCAUCCCAUAUCAUCAGAGCCUCUAGCUCCAACUGAGGAUACUAUUCCACCUGAGAACACUACCACAGUAGAGGUCCGGUUUCCACCACCUUAAGAGGCCACCACAGCUACAUCAGAGGAUGUGUCAUCUCCACUUGAGGCUCCCACUACUUGAUCAUAGGACAUAUCUUUAUCUUAUUGUAUUUACAUAUUAUAUUACUAGAGAUUUGUCCUUGUUUUGAUACUUUAUAUUCUGGGAUUGGAUGUAUUGCCUGAUGAUAUCUCAAUUGUACUUUCUCAUAUUAAUAUAUAGACAUCAAUUUUUUUUAGUAUACUUAGCAUUUUUCUAUUUCCUCUACUCAUUACUCUUUUGUUUUUUUUUACUCAUGUGGUUUCUCUUAUACAACUCAGACUCCAUUUCACUCAGGAGGUACCACUUCCUCCCUUUAUUUUCAAUUGCUCUUGAAAUAUUGAGUGCAAUGUUGAUCUUGGUUGGGGGGAGAGUUGAGGAAGGAAGUUUUGUUAAUAAUGCUAGGUUAAUUUGUUAAUUUAGUUACUUUCUGCUUAAUUUUAAAAGUUUUCACUCUACUUUCCAUGGUUAUUAAGGAAAAAUUCUCAAAAUGAAAUGGGAGAAAUCGAAUUCUUGCAUUUUUACUUGAAUCUUAGAAUUUGUAUCAUGCUUAUUAAAGUUGAUGAAUUAUUGAAACUCCUAUUGAAUUCAACCUUAUUUUUUCCACUUUAAUCUUACCACACACGGUGCACAUUAGGUUCCAGUUAUAAGAUAAAAAACUAUCUCACCCCCUAAACUUAGAAAAAUUUACACUUGGUACCUUUGACAUCGUUUUAAUAGUGUUGGGACACCUUAUAAAAGGCCAAUGAGCCUUUAAAAAAAAAAAAAAAAAAAAAAAGAGAAAGAACAAAGUAUUGCACUUGCCUUGAAACCUGAGCAAGAUCCGAGGGGUAUACAGUGAAAGUCUUUAAAACCUGGUGCCCUAAGCCUUGAUUGGUUGGGAGUCACCGACCUCAAUGCUCGUUAUAAGGGUGAAUAGGUGGAGUUUAACAUAUUGUAGGUGCUUGGGUAUUGAAUUUCAAUCUCAAAAGUCCGGGAAAAAAUCUAAGGAGUUAGUGGUCAAAAGAUCCUUAAAGCUUGAUGCCCUAAACCUUGAUUGGUUGAGAGUCAUUGAUGGAUCCCCGCUACAUGGACAUUUUAGAAAACAAUACCUUUAGCAUUGCACGCCUACAAUGAAAAAAAAAUGUGAAAUAAAAGAGGUGCGUUCUUAGCCUAUUGGAGGUUGGUCAGUUUGCUAAAGUUUGAGAAAUCUAGGUUGGGGGGAGAGAAUAGUCCGACAUACUAUAAUAAAAAACUAAUAACCUUAACACUUAGAUUUUUGUGGAAGAGUAAGGAUUGGACCUUUAGGGGUGGAAAUUCUUUUGAUGCUUAAAUUUGCAUAAUGCCUACUCUUUAUAAAUUAUGAUUAGGCAAGAGAUUUGAUGACUCUUGUUCAAAGUUGGGUUUUUCCUCUUUGAUGUUCCAUGAGAGAGUAUAAUCCUCAUCAUGCCACUUGAAAUCUUUUUGGAGUGAUUAACAUGAUUUUGUAAAUUAUUUUACUGUCUAUUUUUCUUUAUCUCUCUUUUAUUGCUAAUGGACUAGCAAUAUGUCAGUUGGGGGGAGUGAUUACUACUCAAAAAGUACUCUUUUAUAGCUUGAAACUAACUGUUUUAAACACUUUUGAGUAGGUGUUAAUACAUUUUAACUCAAUUGGCACAUUAAGGAACCUAACAAGGGUUACUAAUAAGUUUUUGGCAAGUUUUGGUGUUUUUGGUAGCUAUUUGAUCAUUGAAACAAGCCAAGAAUGAGGGAGAAUUUUGUGAAGUCCAUAGCAAUGCAAGUUAAAGCUCAAAUACAUGAAGAAUCCAAGCUUUGAAGCACUUCAUAGCCCUUUGCGAAGCCAAUCAGAGAUGCAAGGAAGAAAACCAGAGGAAAAAAUCCAACAACCAGCAUUUUCGCAUGGCUGUGCGAAAUUUUGCACACCAUGCGAAACCACAAGAAGUAGCCAAAGAAUUUUGCACACCAUGCGAAAUUUCGCAUGGUAUACGAAAUCUUCCUAUGCACCAACUCCGUUAUAUUUUUAUCUUCAGAUAUUUUGUGUAAUUUCCUAGUUUCUCCUUGUAACCAACCUAGAUAUUUUCUUUUAUAUCUUUUUUUUAUAUUUUUUAGGUAACAUCAUAUAUAGGGGGAGAGACAUAAGGAGGAUAUGGAUGUUUUUCAUAAAACACUUUUAAUUUUCUGGUAGUAAGAAAUAUACAAAGUUUUUUGCUCUGCCUUACCUUCUCAUUUUGUUUUCACCUAUCUUUCUAGCCAAACAACCUCUGAGAAUGAUUUCUCAGGGGAUGAGUAGUUAGGUUUUACGUUUCUUGGAGUGAGAGAAGCUAGGUGAAAGACCCAAAUGCUAAGGUGGGAGUUGUCCUUGCUUUAAAUGAAAGUAGUUGUUAAAUAUUAAUGGUUUUUAUUUUAAGGUUUAGCUUUAAAUCCCUUAAAAACACCUUGAAUGGCCAAUACUUGGUAAGCUUUUCGGAUUCUAUGGAUGCUUAUUGCUAGAUCCAUGGAUGUCAUUAGUUAUCAUUUAUGAGCCAUUGGAAGGUGGUUCAAGAUGAGAGUCUUUAGUGUUUGAAGCCAUUAAUGGGAAACAAUUACCAUUUUUUCAUGAAUCCUUUGGAUAAAAUCUUAAUUGCUAAAUAUAAAACUGGUUCGGGAGAUAACCAUCCUUUAUGUUAUUAUGCCCAAUGCAAGGAGAAGAUUUCGAAUCUUCUCAUUUGUCUAAGGAACCCGAUCCUAGUGACCUAAAGCUCCUAGAGACCUUUUCUUUGUAGUUAACUUCAUUUAUUGUUUUUGCUUAACUUAAAAUCAAUCUUUGCAACCACAAUUCCAUUUUCUUUAAAAGCUAAUUUUUAUAAGGAAAAGCACCAUUUUAUUUCCUUCACUAAGUCAACUGUAUGAUGAAAACCCAUCCCUGUGGACGAUCUUAGAGCCACUAUACUAUGUUAUCUAUGCUAUCCUAGUGUGAGGUGAUUUAGGUUUUAUAAAUUUUGUUGAUAACACCCGUCUGAGCCAGAAUCAAAUGGAACCACUGAACCAGGGACAAAUCAACAGCCUAUAUGGGAGGGACACAAGUUUAAUUGAUUUGCAUUUCAGCGUUAUAGAUAAGUAUGUUUUGGAAGAUUUGUUCUGGAAAUACUGCACCAAGUACGAUUCUUUUUCUCUUGAGUGAGUCCAUUUGCAUGCCAAUUAACGAGUUGAAAAGUAGGAGCACCUACCUCGUGCUCAUGGAACCGAAUGUCAGUGAAGUGGGGCUCCUUUUAGCCUCUUGUGUUUCUGUUCCAACCAAGGCGGCGUAGGGAAAAACAACAAUAUGUCUGUGCUAAAUAUCAACGCAUGAUAGAUGUUUUUUUUUUUUUUUUUGGUAUGUCAAGGCUAACGAAUGAAAUGCAUUAGCUUGUUUUGUGACUAUAACUGCAAAUGUCCAAAUUGGAGUAUCUCCAUUUCUCACUUCGGAUGGUUAACUUUAUAAACAAGAUAUAGGAAACAUGUGAACAUCUUGAGGAACAAUUCAAAUUAUUCAUUAGAAGUCCUGGGUUAAGUUCCAAGAUUUAAAUCAGACCCUUCUAGCAGCUUCAAGGGUACUUAGCAACCUAUAACAUAUUAAUGAAGAUUUAGGAUUUAGACUCCGGAAUACAAAUAAAUAUGUAUCUCAUGCUUUGACUAGCUUCCCUACAUAUGCAUAAAAUGGAGAUGACCCAAAAAAAAUAGCAGAAUCUAGCUUCCCUACAUAUGCACAAAAUGGAGAUGACCCAAAAAAUAGCAUAAUCGCCUUAGUUUCUGUGGUUAAGGUGAUUCUCCGCUUAAUAUCCACAUUGACUCAUUAUGCAAAAUCAACUGAGCUAAUUUUAUUUAUUUAUUUAAUGUCAAAUAGGAACUCCUAAUUAACUGAUUACUGUCGAAAAGUGCUAUUUUGUAGACCUAAUUAUAAGGGUUUUAAGCACCUUUGAGUAGUAAUCAUAUUCAUUUAACCUAAUUAAUUCAUUAAGCUCCUUAGUAAUUAGUUCUAACCAUUUUUAGUGGCAAGUUUACAUGUUUUUCAUCAGCUUAUGAACCAAUUCAAGCAUGCCAAUUGAUGGAGGAGCUACUUGGGCGAGUUAAGCAAGGAUUUUGGACGUUUACAGGCUUGAAUUUCAAGUGGAAACACGAGCACAAGCAAUGGGAACACCAUUUCGCAAGGGGAGGCAAUUCACCUUGCCAAAUGACCAAUUUCGCAAGGGGAUUUUCCUCAUGGUGCAAAAUUUGGUCAUUUCGCACCAUGAAGAAACCACCUUGCAAAAUUUCGCAAGGUGGAUUUAGGCACCUUGCGAAAUGCCAAAUUUCACAAGGUGGCUUUUCACCUUGCGAAAUUUGGACCUUUCAUCUUCCCCCCUUGCGAAAUGCCUUUGAAAUCCCCUGUUUUGAGACGCUGUUGAUGAUAUUCCACUGCCGGUUCUCCAAGAUAUUUUGCUUGACUUUUAGCUUUAUAAAUACCUAUUUUACCCUUGUAAUCAACCAAUGAAAAGGUUGCUUUUGUAAUAGCUCUUGUAAUUUAGCUUUUUAUUGUCUUUAAAUAGAGGUGAAGAGCCUCAGACACGAUCAUCUUGUAACCUGUAACUUUAUAAGUUAUAAGAGCACUUUUGUUCAUACGCUUCUUUUCUCUUUUCUUUCUCAUUUUCUUAGUAGCCAAACAUCCUUGGAGGAUGAAAUCCCCAAGGAUGAGAGGCUAAAACCUUUUAGUUUCUUGAAGUAAUGGAUGCCAUGUGAAGCUCCCGUGUCAGGAUGGAGAUUUCCAAGCCAUAAAUGUAAGUAGCUGAGCGUCAUAAAUGUUUUCAUUCAAAGUAAAGCUUUUAAUCCCUCUGACUUGCUUUGAAUGGCCAAUACUUGAUAACCUUUUGGUCUCAAUGGAUUCUUAUUGUUAGAUCCACUGACGUUCAUUAGUUAUCUCCUACGAGCCAUUGUAUUGCAAGUCGAGGAGAUGACCUAUACCAAUAAAAGAGCAUUUAUGAGGUUCAACUACCCUUUUUGUAAGUUUUCAAGGACUAAAACUCAGUUGUUAAACUCAUACCGGUUCGAGAAGUAAGCAUCACCUUAGUUGCUUCCCCAACUCGAGGUGAAAAGUCCCAAAAUCUCCAUUUUUACACAGUGAGUUAAGCAUGGCUAUCCAAAGCUUUAAGAAACUUCUUUUUCCAUCUUUUAACCUAUUUUCAUGUUAGUUUAGUUUACAACACCUUCAUCUUUUUAUGUUUUCAUCUUAACCUAAUUUUUAUUAAGAAAAGUUCACUCCAUCCUCCGAACUUCACCAGUUAAAGUAAAAACCCUUCCCAGUGUUCGAUCCUAGAGCCACUAUGCUAUAGUAGCUUUGCUACUUUAGUGUAAGGACCUUAGGUAUAAAUUUUGUUGAUACCCUUACAUGCCAAGCUACCAAGAGUCGGGUUAUCAUUAACCUAACCAUUGGCCUGUGUAAAUUGAUUUCACAUGCACAAUGUUGUAGUAGAAGUCCAUAUUUUGAAUUUUAUUUUUGUAAAGGUAAGGAAAAUGAAGCAUUGUGUAAUUAUAAAAAUAACUUCAUUGGAAUUCACAAGGUUCACCCAAAAUGGAGCUACAUCUGUAUUCUAUCCUACAGUAGACUAUAUAGAUUGUACAAUAGUAAAUUGCAAAUACAAUUAAUAAGUCUUGUGCUUCCUUACUAAUAAUCCUUUGACAUGAACAUUGCAGCACUAAGGUCCUCUUGGGAAGACACCUUGCACCCAUGAGAGCACUAAGAGGAAGCAAGGCAGAGUCAUGGGUGCAAUGUCAUGACUUGUUGUUGCACCAAGAGAGGCUUGGUGAUGCCAUGGUGUUGCAGUAGCAAGAAUGUUGCCUUGGCAGGGACACGAUCUAGGGAUAGAUGCCAAGAAAGGCUUAGCACUCACAUGAGUUGCACAAAGAUGAAUGUAAUAGAGCAUCAGAGAGACGUCUUGGCAAGUAAAUGAAUGGAUCCAAGAGACAACAACAUGAGGAGUUUCAAAUGGAUAAGGAAUGACUCAAAGACAUUUGAAAGCUACAAGUUGGAUUCUAAUUACGAUUGCAAUUUGAGUUUGAGUAGGAGUUUAGAUUUUGAUUGUAAUUGUAGUAUGAGUUGGACUAGGAUUGCUUAUCCUUAGUCAAUAUAGGAGCGGUUCGUGUCACCCUAUGAAAAGAGUUUGAGUAGGGACUAGGAUUGCUUACUCCUAGUCAAAUAUGGAGUAGGUGGUGCCACACCUAUAAAAAAAAGGGACAACAUGAGAGAGAGAGAGAGAGAGAAAGAGAGAGUGAAUUCACUAAAGAUAUUGUGGGAGUUUUGCUUUGUUACGUCUUGUAUUAUUACUUAGAAUAGGAAUAAAAUACAAGUUGGGGCUAGAGCCCCAUAAUUAAUCUCGUGUGCCUUUGUGGUUAUUCUUUAUUUGUCAUCUCGUGUGGAUUGGAUUAGGUUGACUUAGAGGGCUUCUAAGCACCACCUUUGUGGGUUAUUAUUUAUUUUCCAUCUCUUGUGGAUUAGAUUAGGUUGACUUAGAGGGCUUCUGAGCACCACCUUUGUGGGUUAUUAUUUAUUUUCCAUCUAUUGUGGAUUAGAUUAGGUUGACUUAGAGGGCUUUUAAGCACCACAUUUGUGGGUUAUUCUUUAUUUUCCAUAUCGUGUGGGUUGGAUUAGGUUGACAAGGAGAAAAAUUAUGUGGGAAAUUUGUGUUGGGACACUUACCAUAACCAAGUAAAAUCUACCAAGUCCUUUGUAAUAUCUUCAACAAAUAUUUUAGACUAGUUCUUUCAGUUAGUGUAAAGGAGGAAGAAGUGGUAUUGAUUCUAGAAAUAGGGUGUGUGUAUUUGAACUACAAUCCUUAUGAUCCUUAGGUCUCUAAACCUUCGUGAUGGGCUCCCUGACAUUUCAUAGGUUGUGCUACACAUGCGUUUGAAAUUUAGAGUGCGUUUGACAGUGAUUCCGGGAAGUGUUUUUGGCCUUUCUUACACUUGAAAAUUUUUAUUUUUCAAGUAUUAGAAAUGCUACAAACACUUUUGAAAAUUACUGUCAAACACACUCUUAGGAGCGCACAUAUAUAGUAGAAAACUAGAAAUUGUGGUUUUUUUAGGAUUUACUGUAAUGUCAUUAGGAGGGUAGUAAGUUGAAAUUGAGUAUGAACAAAUAUUUCUUUCUUUGGGAUGUUCUUCUAGUAGGUGCUGAUGAAACUGUUCUUUCUACUGCCAAUGUCACAUAUCAGCCAGAAAUUGAAAAUUUCAGUCAAGGUGUCCUCUGUUUUAGUGGUGAGGAAAGCUAGAAAUUUUAAGGUGAAGUUUUGUUAAAAACCUUAAGUAGCUGGGAUAUCAGGCCUGUUUUGCUUGAAAAAAAAAGUUGCAAGAUAACUCAUAUGCCAAACAGGUUCUGAUAUUGUGAAUCUAUCGGCAGACAUCAGUAAUCUCAUCUUCUGAGAUGGAUGUUGGGGGUGCAUGUGGUGGUGGAGGGGCAAGGUUUCAUUUGGUUUAUUUUGUUGAUGGAUAUUGUCUAGCCACCUGCGCCAAGUUUGAGGGGUGGUGGGUUGUGAUGACCCUACAAUUACUAUUAAUUUCUUCAUCUUUUACCGAUUAAAGUGUCCGAACAGUCGAAGUUACCCUUAUGCAUGUCAACUUGAUCACUUACCUCUUCAAUGGAGUUUAUGCUGGUUCAUUUAGGAACUGAUUUUUAUUGUUAUGUAUUAUAUGCUGAUGUUUAGGUCUCUCCAUCAUCACUAUAUACAAAAAUUCUAGGUUGAUACUAUAGGUUGAGAUUUAUUUUUUAAAUAAAAAAUAAUAAAAAUAAAAAUUAUGGUGAUGUUUAGUUGUUUUAUGGAAAAUUUUAACAAGUAAAAGUUAUUUUUGGGCAAGUUUUCAAACAAAAAGAAAAGUAAAAGUUGUUUUGACAAAAACAUAUAGAAAAAAAAAUCAUAGAAAAUAAAUAAUUUCCCCAUAUUCUAACUUUUUUGAAUUUUUCUCAAUGGGCAAAGGAAUAUCAAAUCAAGUUUGAGUAGGAUUUCUUAAUUUUUAAAAUAACUUACAAUUAAAAAAUUUUGGUGUUUUCAUUUUUGGACAAUUUUUUAUUAAGCAAAUGGACUCUGAGUCAUGCAAGAGAUAUGGUUCAUUAACCGGUCGAACAAUUUUUUUAAAUUAAUUUAAAAGUCAAAUACAUAAUCAAUUUCACAAAAUUUAUAAACAAAAAUAGGUUUAGAGAAGAUCUACACAUAAUUUUACUUUUCUAAUUUUAUUUUAUUUUAUUUUUUGUUGGAAAAUAGUCUUCAAAUCAUGUAAGAUUUAAUAGGUUAAAUUUGUUAACAAUAAAUUUUAAAUUAUAAAAUAUAAUCUGGAACUCAAAAAUCAAUUCAAGUAAUGCUAAAAAAAAAUCAAAUUUGGUAUAGAAUGACUUUGUAAAUUUUUUUACAAAACAAAUGAAUUUUAAAUCAAGUGAGAUUUAAUGCAUUAGAUUUUUAUCAAAUAUAGUAAUUUUAAAAAUAAAUUUGGAACUCAACAAUAGACACAAUAAAUACCAAAAAAUAAUGAACCAAAAUUGGUUUGGAAUAACUCCACAACCUUUUUUUUUUUUUUUUGGUGCACACGAAUUUUCUUACUAGGUAUAUUGCUUUCAAAUUGAGAAAGAUUUACCAUUUAGAUUUUUUUUUAAUGAGUUUAAUGGUAUUUUAAAAUAAUUCAAAAUUUAAAAAAUUGACUAAUUAAUAUUAUAAAUUGAUAAACCAAGACUAUUUCAAAAUGCAUUGGGGGCUAAGGGGGUUGAAAAUAGGGACAAUGGGAUGGGUUUGGGACAUGACACUCAUAUCUCAUUUCCAUUCCAAUUACACAGUUAUCUCCCAUCCUUAUCCCAAACUUGUGUUGGAGCAAGUUGAUUUGUUCCCAUCUUUGUUGACGAAAUGACUAAUAACCUCAUCCCCUCCUUAUCUUAGAUGUACAUUUUGUCAAAUUUGAUCAGGUAUGAUUGAUCCAAGCCCUAACCCUAAUUGGUAAUGAGUGAAUACUACACCUAAUUGCAUUCUUCUUUCAUUGCAAAAUAAUGAGAUUAUAAUAAUCUAGCAAAUAAGAAAAAAUAGUAUGGAAGUUCAAAUUAACACCAUAACUAUCAAUAAUUUUAAGCUUAUAGAUGACUUAAAUGAUUAAAAACUAAUGCAAAAUCCUAAAAAAAAUAAAAAUCAUAUAAAGAAUUCACAAGAGAACAGAAUGAACAAAAACCAAAUAUGAACAUGGGUCAACAUUAGUUAUGGAUUUGGAUUCCUUUCAAGGCCAAUCUUUGAACCAAGACUUCAUCAAAUCAACUACUUCAAAGGCUUUUGUGUUCUUCUUGGGUUGUGCUCUCAAACAAAGACUUCGAGGUGAUGUUCUAGAUGAUUGAAUUACACAUAUUUAGGGUGGAGAGAUUGGAGAAGCUUGAAGAUGCCAACGAUGGGUACAAUUGAGUGGUCAAUAAGAACAAUGUAGCCUAUGACUAGUUUGAUGUCAUGGUACAAGAGUUUUAGGCAUUGAGGUUAAAGCAAGAGCAACAUGGAAUUGAUUUCGGAGUCUUUCAGUUAGUGUAAAGGAGGAAGAAGUGGUGUUGAUUCUAGAAAUAGGGUUUUAAGUGGUGCGUGAUUACUACUCAAAAAGUGCUAUUUGAUAGCCUUUAAUUAAUCCUUUUUAACACUUUUGAGUAGUAGUUUAGGCCUUUUAACUCAAUUGGCAUGUUAAGGAUCCUUUAAAGCAAUUUUGAUCACUUUGUGCAAGUUUUGGUGUUUUUGUUAGUAUUUUGAUCACCAAAGCAAGUCAAGAAUGAGGAGAACUAUGAGGAAUCAUGGGCAAAGCUUAGAAUUCAAUUGCCAAGAGUGAAUCCGGAUUGCAAGGAGAAAAAGCAAAGAGAAUCUGUCAUGAAGCCUAUUCUUGAUGACAGUCGUAGCAGCCACUUUUGGAGCACUUUCUGAAGUCCAAAUGAUGCAAGCUAUAUACCAUUUCAAAGAUCAGGAAGUCAACAAUCCAAUGCUUCAAACGGUGCGCGAUUCGGAGUUGAAACGAAGAAGUUGCAGCCAUUACAAGCCAGUCACUCUAAAGUGUUGCGGAAUCAGCCUUUUGUUGCGAGAAUUUCGCAGCACUUUUGUACAGUAAGGUGUUUCUCCUUCUGACGAUGCACGAACCAUGCCGCGAGAGGGAAGCUAGGAACUUCAAGAUGGAAGCCAACUUUGCAGCCUGGUGAAGAUAGCUUGGUCUUGCGAAAUAAUUUCGCAGCCCUCUUGGGUGUCUGCGAAAUUUCGCAGGCACCACUUUUUUCCUGCGAAAUGGCUCCGGAAGCCUCCCGAAGCUUGCUACCGACAUUGGGAGAUAUUUUCCAUUAGAUUUUUGUUGUCUAAAUUCCAAAAUACUCCUUGUAAACCACCAAUUACAUGAUUCCUUAGUUUUUAAGUUAGUAAAAAGACCAAAUAUCUAUGUAAUAAUUAGUUUUAUAUUAGUUUGCUAUAAAUACCUCUCGGGAGCAUGUUCUCAGAGAGGAGUUCCUUCUGUAACCAUUUUGGUAAGCAAGUAAAGUCUUUUCUUUCUACUGCCUUACCUUCUCACUUUGUAUUUUCAUUUUAUUUCUAAGUUAUGAAUUCUCUGAGGAGCUUUCCCCAGAGAAUGAGUAACUAAACCUCCAAUUCCUUGGAGCUAAGGUUGCCGGGGAAGGUUCCAAGUGCAAGAAUGCAAAGCUCUGUGGUUUUAGCUAGUAAUGAAGAGGAAGUGAAAUCCUUUAGUGAUUUCAAUGUUUUUAGUUAACUUAAAACACCUUGGAGUCACCUGGGCCAACACUUGGUAAGGCAAGUGAUUUCCAACCGUGGAAAUGCACUAGUUUACCCCUUGCGAGCCUCUGGUAGGUGACUUCAAGGUAGGAUUUUCUGGAAUUACCAACACUUGGUAAGCUUUUGGACUCCUAGGAGACAUCCAUUAGUUAUCUCUUGCGAGUUUGUGAAGGGGAAUCCAAGGUUAAAGAUCACCUUGAAUGGUAAGUGCUCGUGAGAGGCAUGAACCAUUGCAAGUUGUAUCAGUGAGAGAAUUAAAGUGAAAUCUAAUUGAAGGAGUCUCUGUACAUCACCGGUUAGAGAAUUGACUAUAAGUUGAAUCUCUAAUGCGAGGAAAUGAACCAUCUGACCGGAGCUAUGUCUUUUGCAUGAGGAACCACCCCAGUGAACCUAAAUCUCCAAGGAAUGCUUUUCUUCCUAAAUUAUUCCAAACUUCUGUUAAGUUAGUUAGUUUAAGUCUAAACCUUUACCAAUCAAACUUUGUGUUUUAUUUCUUAAGCUAACCGUGAAAUGAAACAAAACCAAUUCACUUGGAAUUGGUAUCCUUGAUUGCUUGCAAAUCAUUCCCAGUGAACGAUCCUUAGAGCCACUAUACUAUAGUAGCUUUGUAUUUGCUACCCUAGUGUAUGGUGUUAUAGGUAUAAAUUUUGUUGAUCACUUCCUCAAUCAAGGAACACCAGCUGAACACAAAUCAGCUGAGACACCAAUUGGGCAUGAGUCAAAUGGCGCCGUUGCCGGGGAAUGAGUGUCAAGAUCAUUGUGAUACCAUUUUUGAGCACUUGUGAUUUUCAUCACAAGUUGGUAAAGUUUCUUUCACUUUACUAAUUUUCAUUCUCUCUUUGUUUAUUUACAAUCUAAGUUUAUCUUUUUAAAAUUUAGUCUAGUUUAAUUUUGCUAUUGUAGCCUUGUUUCUCUUGUUGUCCUCUGUUCUUGUUGUCCUCUGUUUUCAUUUUAGUUGCAGCUGAAUACUAGUUGUGUAUGCCAAAGUGGAUACGAGACAUUGGAGGUAGGCUUAUUAAGUGUGAUACACCUCAGAGAGGAGAAUUGGAAGUAAUCUUGAAUAUCAUGGAGGCUGCACCUGAAGAUCAGCAUAGUCACCAAGGUCGUCAAGACAAUCUCAAUGAAUUCAGAUCAAUGAGGGACCGUAUGCAUCCACCUCGUAUGAGUGCACCAUCAUGUAUAGUGCCCCCUACAGAGCAACUAGUGAUCAGACCAUAUCUUGUUCCACUUCUACCAACUUUCCAUGGGAUGGAAAGUGAGAAUCCGUAUGCACACAUCAAGGAAUUUGAAGAUGUUUGUAAUACAUUCCAAGAGGGAGGAGCUUCAAUUGAUUUGAUGAGGCUUAAGUUAUUUCCUUUUAAUUUAAAGGAUAAGGCCAAAAUUUGGCUUAAUUCUUUAAGGCCAAGGAGUAUCCGCUCUUGGACUGAUUUACAAGCUGAAUUCCUCAAGAAAUUUUUUCCUACUCAUAGAACAAAUGGCUUGAAAAGGCAAAUUUCAAACUUCUCAGCUAAAGAGAAUGAGAAAUUCUAUGAGUGUUGGGAAAGAUACAUGGAAGCUAUAAAUGCUUGUCCUCACCAUGGCUUUGAUACUUGGCUACUGGUGAGUUAUUUUUAUGAUGGUAUGUCCUCCUCAAUGAAGCAACUCCUCGAGAAAAUGUGUGGAGAAGAUUUCAUGAGCAAAAAUCCAGAGGAAGCUAUGGAUUUCUUGAGCUAUGUAGCUGAUGUUUCAAGGGGAUGGGAUGAACCAACUAAAGGAGAAGUGGGAAAGAUGAAGUCUCAGUUGAAUGCUUACAAUGCAAAGGCUGGGAUGUAUACUUUAAAAGAGGAUGAUGACAUGAAAGCAAAGUUGGCAGCUAUGACAAGAAGAUUGGAGGAGCUGGAGCUGAAAAGAAUGCAUGAAGUGCAAGCUGUUGCUGAAGCACCAGUGCAAGUGAAGUUGUGUCCCAAUUGUCAAUCGUUUGAACAUUUGGUAGAGGAAUGCCCUGCAAUUUCAGCUGAAAGGGAAAUGUAUAGAGAUCAAGCAAAUGUUGUUGGACAAUUCAGGCCCAAUAACAAUGCUCCUUAUGGAAAUACCUACAAUUCAAGUUGGAGGAAUCAUCCAAAUUUUUCAUGGAAGGCCAGAGCAACUCAAUACCAACAGCCGGAUCCACCAUCUCAACAAUCUUCAAGUAUUGAACAAAUAAUAGCUAAUCUCAGCAAGGUAGUGGGAGAUUUUGUGGGAAAGCAAGAAGCCACCAAUGCUCGAGUGGAUCAAAGAAUGGACAGAGUGGAUCAAAGAAUGGACAGAAUGGAGAGUAUGUUGAACAAAAGAAUGGAUGGAAUGCAAAAUGAUAUGAAUCAAAAAUUUGAUAACAUCCAAUAUUCAAUUUCAAGGCUUACAAAUUUGAAUACACUGCAAGAAAAGGGAAGAUUUCCUUCUCAACCUAACCAAAAUCCCAAAGGUGUCCAUGAAGUGGAAAGCCAUGAGGGAGAAUCAUCACAGGUGAAAGAUGUGAAAGCUUUGAUCACUCUAAGGAGUGGUAAGAAAAUUGAGCAGCCAACACCCAAGCCACAUGUUGAGAAAGAAGAAGAGAUGAAGAAAGGGAAGGAAAUGGAAGAUAAAGGCAGUGAGAUCAGUGAAGAAAAGAAGGACUCUGAUGCAACAAUGAAAGUAAUUCCAGAGAAGGAGCUUCUGAAGGAAGAAAUGCUGAAGAAAUCAACUUUUCCACCUUUUCCUCAAGCAUUACAGGGGAAAAAGGGGGUUAGAAAUGCAGCUGAAAUCCUAGAAGUAUUGAGGCAAGUGAAAGUUAAUAUUCCACUGCUGGAUAUGAUCAAACAAGUUCCAACGUAUGCAAAAUUCCUAAAGGACUUGUGUACUAUCAAAAGAGGGUUGACUGUAAACAAGAAAGCCUUCUUGACUGAGCAAGUAAGUGCAAUCUUACAGUGUAAGUCUCCUUUGAAGUACAAAGACCCUGGAAGUCCUACCAUUUCAGUCAUGAUUGGAGGAAAGGUAGUGGAGAAAGCCUUGCUAGACUUGGGAGCAAGUGUGAAUUUGCUUCCAUAUUCUGUCUACAAGCAACUGGGACUUGGAGAGUUGAAGCCAACAGCAAUCACUUUGUCUCUGGCAGAUAGAUCAGUGAAAAUUCCAAGAGGGGUAAUUGAGGAUGUAUUGGUUCAAGUAGAUAAUUUCUACUAUCCUGUAGAUUUUGUUGUUCUUGAUACAGAUCCUACUGUAAAGGAAGCUAAUUUAGUUCCUAUCAUCCUUGGAAGGCCAUUUCUUGCAACUUCAAAUGCAAUCAUCAACUGUAGAAAUGGGCUUAUGCAACUCACUUUUGGUAACAUGACACUGGAUCUAAAUAUUUUCUAUAUGUCUAAAAAGCAAAUCACUCCAGAAGAAGAAGAGGGUCCAGAAGAGCUAUGUAUUAUUGAUACUUUGGUGGAGGAGCACUGCAAUCAACAUAUGCAAGAUAAGUUGAAUGAAAGUUUUGUGGAUAUUGAGGAAGGUUUUUCUGAAUCUCCUAAUGGGCUUGCUACUCUACAAAGUUGGAGAAAGAUAGAAGGAAUUCUACCUUUGUUCAAUGAAGAAGAGGAGGCAGCUGUUGAAAAAGAAAUUCCAAAACUCAAUCUGAAGCCUUUACCUAUGGAGCUGAAAUAUACAUAUCUUGAAGAAAAUAAUCAAUGUCCUGUCGUAAUAUCUUCAUCUCAAACCAAGUCUCAAGUGAAGGAUGCAAGCUUCAAAUGGGAUCCGGGCAAACUGAAUCAGGAAGGGCAAAAAGUUUUGAUGUAUGACACAAGACUCCAUAUCUUUCCUGGGAAGCUCAAGUCAAGGUGGAUUGGUCCAUUUGUUAUUCACCGAGUAUAUUCCAAUGGAGUGGUGGACUUAUUGAAUUCCAAUGGCAAGGACAGCUUUAGAGUCAAUGGAUAUCGUCUUAAGCCGUUCAUGGAGUCAUUCAAAUCAGAAAAGGAGGCAAUCAACCUCCUUGAACCUCAAAAAGCCUAAGUGAAAUGGGUUUGCUGGACGUGGUUUUACCACAGUCCAAAAAUUUUUGUAAAUUUUGUAAAUUUUCAAGUUGUUUCCAUGCUUUUAAUCUUAGUUUUUGAUUUUAAAUCAUGUUUUUAGGUGUGUUUUAAUCGUUUUAUAUGAUCCCAGGCGGAAGAAAUUUCAAGGGGAUUGAAAAGAAAAAAAUCGGGUCGAAAUUGGAGCCGAAACAGAGCAAAAACAGGGGAAAAACAGAGCUCUGCGAAAUUUCGCAGGGUGAAGGAAACUUCUGCGAAAUUGGCAUUUUGCUGCCAAACCAUUCCGCAGCACUGUAGAAGCCUCUGCGAGUGUAUUUCGCAAUUGCGAAAGUGGAUUUGGCACACGAGUGCCACUUCGCAGCACAGUGACAUCAAUUUCGCAGCUGCGAAACUCACUGCGAAGUUGCUGCGAAAAUGGCAAGUUGCUGCGAAAUUGGCGUUUUGUUGCGAAACGUAAUCUGACCCCUGGGCUUCCGUUUUUCCUAUUUAUACCUGUCAAAAGUGCUGCGAAAAAGGUUUCAAAAAUUAGAGCACCAUUCUCGCAGCCCUUUCAUCUUCUUCGCCAAGCCACGCCGUCCGUUUCUCCGGUCGUCUUCUCCGUUUAGCAGCGCCGGCCAAAGAUCGAUAGCCCAAAAAUGGCACGAACGCGAGGGGCAAAGUCUUCAUCCCCUUCGAACCGCAAAAGGAGUCUGCGAAAGGAGCCAAGUUCAGGCUCUGUUCCAGAACCUGCUCCAAAGCCUUCGCCGUCGAGACCACAACCUUCUCCAGUGAAGCCGGCGCCACCAAAGCCGCCGGCAAGGCGAUAUUUAACCAGGUCAGGUGGUCAGCCAUUGAAGAAGAAAGCCAGAGUUGAGAGCUCUGAACCAAUCGAUUUGACUGAGCAAUCCCCUGAGAAAUCACCAAAUCCUUCACCGGUACAAAUUCCAGUGCCAUCACCGGUUCCCUCGCCAAUUCCCUCACCAGAAGCAACUCCAAUUCCAUCGCCGGUACCAUCUCCGGCACCCCAAGAAAAAGCUCAGGAGCCUCAAGCGCCAAUUCCAGAGCCCCAAAUUGCAGCUGAAGCACCUCUGGAAGAAGUGAUCCGAAGGCCAAUGCUGCCUCAGCCCCCAAUCGAAGGAAACCUGGAUUGCCGAACUCGGGCAUUCCAUUCUGAGCUUUGCUUCGAUUUAACAGCAUUCAGAGUGAGGCCAGAGCUUGCCCAAUCCUUCCAACUGCUGAGGAGAUAUCAUAUGGAGCAUCUGCUAGCUCCAAGGGAUUUUUUCUAUCCCCGGGUAGUCACGGAUUUCUACCAAACCAUGACAACCAAAGAAGUAAGAAAUCCAACUCUGAUUCAUUUCAUAAUUGAUGGAAGGCAUGGUAUUUUGGGAGCAAGACAUAUUGCUGAAGCCCUGCAAAUUCCUUUUGAGCCAACUCAAUUCGACAAUUUUAAAGCUUGGACAAAUCCUACUGAGUUAGAGAUGGUUAGCACACUAACCAGAGGAGCUGCAAAUCGAUCGCAUUUGUUGAGGGGGGAGCUACCUCCAGUUAUGUUUUUGAUUGAUGCCUUUUUGAGGCAUAAUAUCUAUCCCCUGCAGCAUUGGACCCAAAGAAGGGGAAUUCUCCUAGAAGCCUUGUACAAAAUGUCUGAAGGAUUCUUCUUUGGGCCUCAUCAUCUGAUCAUGGCAGCCCUUCUAUACUUUGAGGAGAAGGUUCACAAGAAGAAGCUUCAAAGAGCAGAUUGCAUUCCACUCCUCUUCCCAAGGCUGCUAUGCCAAGUUUUGGAGCAUCUCGGAUACCCCUCUGAGCCUCAGCAGGAAAGAAAGAGAAUAUGCCGUGAGCCUUUUACCCUUGAUAAAUGGAAUAAUAUGACGGCCUACAAAAUUGAUCAGCCUGGGCAGCCUCAGCCAGCAGCAAGGAGAGUCUCCCCAAGACAUAUACCUGAAGGUAUAACACUUGCUACUCCUGCCAUCCCUCGAGCUCCACCAGCUGCACCUGCUCCAUCACAGCCAUCCACAUCAGCUGAGCCGAGGAUGGCCAUCCCUAUAUCCGAAUAUCGAGAGCUGUGCCGUGCAUUGGAGACUCUUACAGCUUCUCAGAGCAAUCUUGCUCAGGAGUUGGCAGCCAUUAAAGCAUGCCAGGAGCAGAUGUUAGCCUCUCAGACUCAACAAGCUGCCAUCCUAAGGCAGCUUCAAGUCCAUUUCGAUCUGCCACAAGCUGUAGAGCCCUCUAUUCCUACUCCACCAGAGCCACACUCUCAGCCUUCAGAGUCUCAUCCUCCAGAACCCGAAGCACCAGCUGAUCCACCUACUGAGGAGGCAGAUCCUUCUGCCUAGCACCAUCACCCCCCUCAUCAGACAUUAUAUAUAUAUUUGCUGUUUAUGUUUUUAUGCAUGUUUGUUUUGUUUUAGUUGAAAAGAAAUCCCAGUAUUUUGGUACUAUAUAUGGGAUUCCUUGUGUUACUUGUCUUUAGUAUUGUAAUCACAUGAACUCAAAGUAAUACAAGUUGACUAUUUCUUGUUAAAAGUUAGCAUUAAAGUUUCCUUAUUUCCUUUUCUCACAUAUUCUAUUCUUUUUGAAACAUGUGGUUUUCCCCAAUCAAUAUUCGAAUUUGAUAUCAGCAUGGAGGUACCACUUCCUCCCUUUUAUUACAGUCACUCAAAUCACAUUGAGGACAAUGCUCAGUUCGGUUGGGGGGUAUGAGGAAGGAAGUAUUCUAAACCUUUUUGGUAUUGCAAUUAUAUUGGUUAAUUAGUUGUAGAUUUUACUUUUUACUAGUGUUACUCUAUUCUCCAUGAAUUUUGAGGAAAAAUUUUCAAAUUAAACCAAGAGAAAUUGAACUGUUGUUUUUCACUUGACUUAGAGUAUGGAUUAUGCUUACUAAAGUGGUUCAAUUGUUGAAACUUCUACUGAAAUUGAAUUGAGUUCUUCCACUUUAAGCUAUCCACACACUGUGCACAUUAGUUUCCGAUUAUAAGAUGAAAAGCUAUUUCCCUCUUGACUUAGUAUAUUUUUGGGACUUGGUAUAUUUGACCUCAUUUGAUAAAAAUUGAAACACCCUGCAAAAGGCCAAUGAGCCUUUGAAAUAAAGAAAGUUGUUUGCUUGCCUUGAAACCCGAGCAAGGUCUGAGGGGUAUAUGGUGAAAAUCUUUAAAGCCUGGUGCCCUAAGCCUUAAUUGGUUGGGAGUCACCGACCUCAAUGCUCGUUACAAGGGUGAAUAGGUAGAGUUAGCAUAUGGUAGAUGCUUGGGUAUUAGAAAUUCAUUCUUAAAAGUCCGGGGAAAAAUCCGAGGAGUUAGUGGUUGAAAGAUCCUUAAAACUUGGUGCCCUAAACCUUAAUUGGUUGGGAGUCAUCGAUGGACCCCCAUUACAUGGACAAGUCAGAAAGAGUACCCCAUAAAGCUACCUUAAAAAAAAAAAAAAAAAAAAAAAAAAAAAAAAAGAUGAAAGUGUGUUCUUUUCUUAUUGAUUUUGGUCAGUUUGCUAAAGUGUUGAAAAGAGAUAGGUUGGGGGGUGAGAUUAGUAGCAUAUUAUUCUCGGAACCUAAGGAACCAAUACACAUAGAUUUUUGUGGAAGAUUGAAGUUUAGUUCUUAGAAAAUGAAAUGAUUUUAAAACUUCAGUUUGCAUAAUGCACUCCCUUGAUUGACAGUGUUUAGCAUAGGUGUUAUGACUCUUGUUGAGAUUUGGGUUUGUAUUUCUUUAAUGAUUCAUGUGAGAAAUAGAUCAUCAUGCCACUUGAGAAUUAUUUUCCUUUUAGCAUGAUGUUGUAAAUUUUAGAUUAGUUUGCUAUUUAUUUUUUAUUUUCUCUCCUAUAUUGCUAAGGGACUAGCAAUAUGUCGGUUGGGGGGAGUGAUUACUACUCAAAAAGUGCUAUUUGAUAGCCUUUAAUUAAUCCUUUUUAACACUUUUGAGUAGUAGUUUAGGCCUUUUAACUCAAUUGGCAUGUUAAGGAUCCUUUAAAGCAAUUUUGAUCACUUUGUGCAAGUUUUGGUGUUUUUGUUAGUAUUUUGAUCACCAAAGCAAGUCAAGAAUGAGGAGAACUAUGAGGAAUCAUGGGCAAAGCUUAGAAUUCAAUUGCCAAGAGUGAAUCCGGAUUGCAAGGAGAAAAAGCAAAGAGAAUCUGUCAUGAAGCCUAUUCUUGAUGACAGUCGUAGCAGCCACUUUUGGAGCACUUUCUGAAGUCCAAAUGAUGCAAGCUAUAUACCAUUUCAAAGCUCAGGAAGUCAACAAUCCAAUGCUUCAAACGGUGCGCGAUUCGGAGUUGAAACGAAGAAGUUGCAGCCAUUACAAGCCAGUCACUCUAAAGUGUUGCGGAAUCAGCCUUUUGUUGCGAGAAUUUCGCAGCACUUUUGUACAGUAAGGUGUUUCUCCUUCUGACGAUGCACGAACCAUGCCGCGAGAGGGAAGCUAGGAACUUCAAGAUGGAAGCCAACUUUGCAGCCUGGUGAAGAUAGCUUGGUCUUGCGAAAUAAUUUCGCAGCCCUCUUGGGUGUCUGCGAAAUUUCGCAGGCACCACUUUUUUCCUGCGAAAUGGCUCCGGAAGCCUCCCGAAGCUUGCUACCGACAUUGGGAGAUAUUUUCCAUUAGAUUUUUGUUGUCUAAAUUCCAAAAUACUCCUUGUAAACCACCAAUUACAUGAUUCCUUAGUUUUUAAGUUAGUAAAAAGACCAAAUAUCUAUGUAAUAAUUAGUUUUAUAUUAGUUUGCUAUAAAUACCUCUCGGGAGCAUGUUCUCAGAGAGGAGUUCCUUCUGUAACCAUUUUGGUAAGCAAGUAAAGUCUUUUCUUUCUACUGCCUUACCUUCUCACUUUGUAUUUUCAUUUUAUUUCUAAGUUAUGAAUUCUCUGAGGAGCUUUCCCCAGAGAAUGAGUAACUAAACCUCCAAUUCCUUGGAGCUAAGGUUGCCGGGGAAGGUUCCAAGUGCAAGAAUGCAAAGCUCUGUGGUUUUAGCUAGUAAUGAAGAGGAAGUGAAAUCCUUUAGUGAUUUCAAUGUUUUUAGUUAACUUAAAACACCUUGGAGUCACCUGGGCCAACACUUGGUAAGGCAAGUGAUUUCCAACCGUGGAAAUGCACUAGUUUACCCCUUGCGAGCCUCUGGUAGGUGACUUCAAGGUAGGAUUUUCUGGAAUUACCAACACUUGGUAAGCUUUUGGACUCCUAGGAGACAUCCAUUAGUUAUCUCUUGCGAGUUUGUGAAGGGGAAUCCAAGGUUAAAGAUCACCUUGAAUGGUAAGUGCUCGUGAGAGGCAUGAACCAUUGCAAGUUGUAUCAGUGAGAGAAUUAAAGUGAAAUCUAAUUGAAGGAGUCUCUGUACAUCACCGGUUAGAGAAUUGACUAUAAGUUGAAUCUCUAAUGCGAGGAAAUGAACCAUCUGACCGGAGCUAUGUCUUUUGCAUGAGGAACCACCCCAGUGAACCUAAAUCUCCAAGGAAUGCUUUUCUUCCUAAAUUAUUCCAAACUUCUGUUAAGUUAGUUAGUUUAAGUCUAAACCUUUACCAAUCAAACUUUGUGUUUUAUUCCUUAAGCUAACCGUGAAAUGAAACAAAACCAAUUCACUUGGAAUUGGUAUCCUUGAUUGCUUGCAAAUCAUUCCCAGUGAACGAUCCUUAGAGCCACUAUACUAUAGUAGCUUUGUAUUUGCUACCCUAGUGUAUGGUGUUAUAGGUAUAAAUUUUGUUGAUCACUUCCUCAAUCAAGGAACACCAGCUGAACACAAAUCAGCUGAGACACCAAUUGGGCAUGAGUCAGUGCGUUAGAGGAUCAAGAAGAAGAAAAAGAAGGAACUGUUGGAAUUAGUAUGAGUGUGAAGAGAAAAGUAUAUAAAUAAGGGGAAGUAAAAGCAAAGUUCAAAAAGCUAUAUUUUUUUAUUGUUGGUGUAUGGUUGCAUGAUUAUCCCUAUAAAUAAUAGGAGUUUUUUGGUAUUCUACUAGUAGUUGAAGCAUAAUUUCAUAAAUUAAUAUUUAGAGCGGGGUGGGGUGAGUUGUGACAAAAUUCAUACCCGUCCCAAACCUUGGUUCAGAUUUUUAAAAUAUUCUCAAACUUAUCAUAUACCCAACUUUUAUAUUUCAUACUUGUCCUAAUAGAGGCACGUUAGGCCGGGUUACUUGAGUAACCUACAUAAUUGUCAUCCCUAGUUGAAAUACACUUUUUGGCAGUGGCCACCAACUGAGCUAGAAGCUUGAUUGAUUGACCUACAAGAUUAGUUCUCAUCAUUUUAAAAAAAGUUCUGGCUUUGGUUGUGAGUGCAAUUGAAUCUAAACUGGCAUUUGCUUAAUGCAUCUACUUCAAUCCUAAACUUCUUACUUCUUAAGCCUCAAUUGUUGUUAGGAUUUUGGAAAACCCAUUUCCUUAAAUUGUAAAUUUAAGAUAAAAUAAAAUAAAAGUGAGACAUUUCUUGAUUGAAUAUUGUUAAAGGUCCCUUGGCAUUAAGACUUGGUUGAAGCCUUGGAAGAUUAGUGGAACUCUCAACAUGUGUUUGAAUCUUGAGGAGAGUGGAUGUAAGCCAAAAUUUUGUCAAACCAUUAUACAAAUUGAGUUUGAAUCCUCAUUUCUUGAUUUCUUAUUUAUUUGCUUUUUCUUAUUAUUACUUGAAUUGUCAUUUGCAUUCAUUAAUGUUAAAAUUGGUUAUAAUUAACCAACACUAAUUCUCUUUCCCCUUCCCUUUCUUGGGUGUAAACCUAGGUUGGAUUAACUAGAUAAAUCUAUUAAGAUGGUAAAAGAAUAAUUAUUCUUAACAUACAUAAGAUCAUCUUCAAUCAAAUGACUCAUUGGCUAAUAUGUUGAAUUUGCUUAUUACUUGCAACUCAAAAUUGUGUUCUAGUUGUGUCAAGUCCCCAGUGUAUGGACAUUAAAUUUGUAGUACGUGAUGAGUAAUUAGAUGGUCCAACUCCAAGAAAGUGAUUGAAAAGUAGUUCAAGAAAGGUGCAAAAGGGAAUUGUUUUGGUAUUUUCGUUUUUAUUCUUGAAGGUGGCAGAGCUAAAAUUUGAGAAAUCAAGCAAAACAUACUGAAAUUACAUUGAAAGAAAGAAGAUGGGAGUUAAUGUCUUGCAGUACAUGAUAAGGACUUCAUGCAUGUAGUGUGACCCAUGUCUUGGACUGAUGCCAACUCACGGUUACACUUAUACCCUUGGUUCUCUCUUUACUACCUUGGCUAACCUAGAUCAGGCUAUGAGAUAGGCUCCUCACCACACCAUUACUUGCCCAUUAAUUAGAGACAUUUUCAAGCAAUGAGGUAACAUGGUGACACCAAGAGGGUCUAUUCCUCGCCCGGAACAAGUCUAGACUUGGUCUCAAAAAAAUGGAGAAAAAUGAGGUGUCGUUAUGUAGAAAUACAACAACCAUGCCUUCCUCAUUACUUAGAUUCAGAAUGUGAAGGUGAAAUUGAGAAACAGAAACUCUUGAAACCAAAAUGAAAAUUGAUACUUUUACGAAGAAUUACAACAACAUUAGAGGAAGACUACAUUCUUCCUCUUUAUUCCUACAUUUCUACACUACUUCUACUCCACUCCAUAUUUCUACAUACAUCUUUAAUCAGUCUUCCCUCCUUUAUAUAGAGCCAUCUUCACACAAAUUUCGCAAGGUAGAAAAGAGGAAUGAAACUUGGAGCAAGGUUCGACUACUGGUUGUAGCUUGUCAAGGCUGGAAGUGAACUUUUCUUGGCUUUCUGGGCAUGGGUAGUAACUUGUGGGUUCCUGUUUGGCAUAAAAAUGGCUAGAACAUGUGGCACUAUCUUGUUGGAUGAUGUGUCAAGCAUGUGGCAGCCAUCUAGUGGCGAUUAUGUCAAUUUUGGGAUGGAGAGUUGGCAUCCAAUUGCAAAGAAAUAUGACGUCUACCAACAUGCAAUGUAAACCUAUGUAGAUCAUAUGAAGAUAGAGAGGAAAAAUAUAGAAAUGGAUAUAUACCUAGAACUAGCUUUUUAUUAAAUGAAACGGAGAGACAACAAUGAAGGAAAAUAAAAUUUUUUGGCUUAUAUCAAAGAGUUCACAUUGUGUUACCCUAGGUUUUCUUAAAACUUACUUUUAUGAUAACAAAAAAGAAAAAACCAUUAUUGUUUAAUCCUUUGUUUUAAACGCAUGUAAGGUGUAAUUAAGUUAGUUCAAUGCAUUAAUUUAAGAAACUUGACCUAUCAAAAGUACAAAAUUAGAUGAAAUCCAUUUCAAUGGUUAAAAUGAUCAAAAUCAAACUUUUUCUAAGUAUUUUUUAAAAGCAUCAAUAGUGAAAGACAAUUUUAUAUUUAGUCGGAGUUUGGACAAAACUGAAAAACACACAAAAUCCAAGCGACCAUCUCUAGCUUGGAUGGUCGCUUGAUCCCACCUAGAGAUGUGCAUGAGUAAAAGGAUUUGAAAAUGGAAAUUGACUAUGUAGUCGAUCAAUUAACUUUGCAACAUCAUAUGCAAUCCUAAUUGCUAGUCAUCUAAUCAAUUAGGUAGUCAAUCAACAGGCCAAAAAUAUGUUUAUAAUGACUAUUUUGUACAAAAACCACCUGUAUAGUUAAAUAUAAUGCAUUUCAUUUAUAAAUCUUCUAAUUCUUGAAUAACGAUCCUAUCAUCCUUUGAAAGUUUUUAUUACACUUUUUUUACUUUUGUUCUAAAACUUACACAUCACCCUUAAUUGUACCAUGAGAACCUAGCUAUUUUUUAUUUUUUUUUUUGUAAUUCAUCAAAGUUAGCUUUUGUAUUCAUUGUUGUAUUAUUUUUAGUAUAACUUAGAAAGCUAGUGUUUUCAAGUGAGUAAAAUUAACUUGUAAAUAUUGUAAAGAUUCAUCGACAUGUAUCUUAAACUAAGUGUACAAGUUAAAACAUUUGCUAGUAGAUUUUCUCAAAAUUUAGAAUAGAGCUUGAGACUAUUGAAAUAGGUGGGGUUGCACCAAACCACAUCACAUCGUUGUUUGCACCUUUUUUCACUCUCUUUUACUUAGUUGCUCUAUAUUUGUUGUCUAGUAAUAUCCUAUAGGCUUGAUGGGUUAGGGAGCAUCCCUUUGUGAAAAAAUUUUAUUCAAUCCUUAGUUGUAUCACGCAUAUAUAAAAUGCCUCAUUGUUUUAAUGGUAUUCAGUCGUGGCAUCACAGAUAUGGGCAUCUAAAUUUUAAAAGUUUGAAACUUUUAUCUAAAGAAAAUAUGGUGCUUUGCCUUUUUGUAAAGCAUGUUGAUGAAAUCCAUGAGAAUUGUGUACUUGGGAAGCAACACCGAGAUGACUUUUUUUUUUUUUUUAUAAUAUUGUUUGUCCAAAUUCCCUACAAAUUAGGCCACCAGAUGUUCAUAAUUCUCCCUUCUUGAAUUUGAAAACUCGGACAAUUGGACAAUGCGACACCUAAGUCCGGUUUCUAAAUGCUAAAGUGAAAGGGUAGGUAUGGACCAUUGAAAUGUGAUCACAACUUUUCUCUGUAGCCAUGUUGUCUCUUUUUUCUUUUGCAUGAUUUUCUUACCUUAACAGAAUCAUAGACUUGUUUAGUCUCUAAAUGGGAUUAAUUUCAUCCAGCUUUAAGCUACUAUAUUAUAUCUAGGUGGAGGACUUUUAAGAGUGCAACCGACAUAGAGCACAUGGAAGUGGGUAUAUGGGACAUGAAAUUUCUUCUUAUAAAGAUUGCAUGAUUUUUAUAUUAGAGUUGUUGAGGCGCUAUGUAUUUAGCUUGUUUUGCAGUUAAAUUAAUUGGAUAAGUAGACAUUGGCGUUUCUAAAUCUACUGUGAAGUGCUUCAUGUACGUGUGAAGUAUUAGAAAUUUCUUUCUUGGCAACUUGUUUUUCUUUGCGGUCUACUGAUAGGUUUGACUAAAAUUAUAUUCCCUGUCAUGCUAAUUAAUUUUCACGUGCAUGCUCAAAAGAAAAGUAUGACCUUAGUGCACCAAAAUCACUUUGAUUAAUUUGUGAUAGGUUUUUGUGCAUCAUGACAUUAGCCUUAUUCAUUUAGAUAAUGUUUAGUUUUUAGAAAGUAUUAAGAAAAGGAAAAUAAAUAUUAAGAAAAAUAUUCUUAUAUUUGAUUGUAUUAUGAAAAAUAUCAUAAAAAAAUCAAAUAUAAUUUAAAUUAAUUAAUAAUUUAUACAUUUUCAAAUUAUUUAAUCUUUAUAUUGAAGAUAUAAUAUAAAUGAAAUGAGUUUUAAGUAUUAUAUAAAAGUGAUUUAUUGAUCUUACAUAUAUAUAUUUCUUUUUUUUUUCCUUCUAUUUUUUCUCUUUAUUUUAUUUUCCUUAUGUUUUCCUCAACAUUUUCCGGAACCAAACAUAGCCUUAGGAAAUCCACAAUUACCUUCAACUGAGUAGAUUCUGUUGUUUUAGCAAUGUUAGGCUGCUAACUUGUGUUGGUACGAACCUAUUAAGCCUAAAGAUGUAAUUAGUUAGGAUAUUCUUUUCCCUCUAGUCUUGUAGCUCCACGUGUACAGUUGGUUAGGACCUCAUUGUAUAUAAUGCUUGCCCUGUUAUUGUAGAAGACAACAAAGAUAAAUAAUAUUAACAUUUUUCCUCUCAUCUCUCUCUGUUUCCCUCUGUUUUCAUCUCCUCUCUCAUCUUGGUAUCAGAGCCUCCAUGGCUUCUUUCAAAGAAACCUCCGAAUCACCUUCUGCUAGCAUUGUUAAUGUGCAAAACCCAUUAUCUCAAUCAAACAACCUUCCUUCACCAGUAGCCACACCCUCUUUUUCUUUCUCGUCUAUGAAUCAACCUCUCACAGUGAAGCUGGAUAAUGGGAACUACCUCAUAUGGAAGAAUUAGCUUCUAAAUGUCAUCAUUGCUAACGGACUCGAUGAUUUCAUUGACGGAUCUCGACCCUGCCCUCCUCGAUUUCUCGAUCUGCAACAACAAACCCUCAAUCCAGAGUACUCAGCUUGGCAGAGAUACAAUCGACUUCUGAUGAGUUGGCUGUACGCAUCCUUGUCCAAAGAUAUAAUGGCUCAGAUUGUUGGGUAUUCAACAGCUAUGGAGAUUUGGAAUGCCCUUAAUCAGAUUUACUCUGCCUCUUCUAUGGCGCGGUUUACUGAGCUUCGCACCAAGCUUCAAACGCUCAAGAAAGAUGGACUCUCAGUUGGUGAAUAUAUUCAAAGGCUCAAAUCCAUUUGCAAUAGUCUUGCAGCAAUAGGAGAACCAGUUUCUGAGAAAGACCAUCUUAUCUAUUUGUUCAAUGGAUUAGAUUGUGAGUAUUAUUCUUUUGUUACCUCCAUUCAAAAUCGAUCUGACCAACCAACUAUUGACAAAAUCCAUAGCCUAUUGCUUAGCUAUGACUUCCGGCUUGAACAACAAAACUCUGUUUCUCUCCAUUCUGCCCAAGUCCAUAUGGCUCAUCUGAACAAGAAACCUUAUAAAUCAACUCCUCAACCUACAUUCAAUCAUAUUCACAUUCAACCUAGAUACUCUUCUCCACCUUUUAAGCCAACCACUAGUCAAUAUCAACCCAACAUUUUGGGCAAACCACAACCACAACCAUGACAGCCUCAACCUCAAUGGAAACCACAUUUUUCAAUCUAAAAUCAAAAGCCUCAGCGCCAAAUUUGUGGUAAAUUUGGACACACUGCUCUUAUUUGCUUCCAUCACACAAAUUUGAACUAUUCACCCCAACCUUCUCCUAAAUCUUUCAAUACUGUUCUCACCACAAAUUCCCAGCUCCCUAAUCCUCCAAAAUUUUCUUACCCUACAAUGGCUCAUCCUGCUGCUACGCAUAACACGGUUCCCGAUACAAAUUGGUACAUGGACUCAGGUGCUACACAUCACUUUACUCUGGACAUCAACGUGCUUGACACUGUGACACCAUUUAGUGGUUCAGAACAGGUGACAGUUGGGAAUGGUAAGCAACUCUGUAUCUCACAUCUUGGUACUGCAAAACUACCAUCUUCGUAUUCUCCUCCUGUUCUACAUCAGGUAUAUCACACUCCAAAAAUUUCAAAUAAUCUUAUUAGUGUUAAAAAAUUGUGUUCUGAUAAUAAAGUUUUUGUUGAAUUUUAUGCCACUCAUUUUCUUGUCAAGGAUCAGGUUUCGAAGAGAGUUCUCCUUUAGGGUCAACUUGAUAAUGGCUUAUACAAAGUUCAGUCGUCAUGCUCUCCUUCUGCUGUUUCCUUUCCUCCUCAAGUUUUCAUAGCCAACAUCAAGUAUCCAAAUCUGUGGCACAAGAGACUAGGCCACCCAGCUUUAUCUGUUGUUAAUCAAAUCUUGGAUUCUUGUAACAUUGCUCGAACACAGAAAAUUUGUUUUAAUUUUUUAAAUUCUUGUCAAUUAGCAAAGAGCCACAGGCUUCCUUUUUCUCUGUCUCCAUCCAUUGCAGAAAAACCUUUUGAGUUAAUUCAUACAGACCUAUGGGGUCUUUCGCUCGUUCGCUCUAUUUCUGGUGCUCUUUAUUUUUUACUUUUCAUUGAUGAUCAUACUCGUUUUACUUGGUUUUAUUUGCUCAAAACAAAAGAUGAAGCAUAUCCUACUUUUCUCAAGUUUCAAGCUCUCAUUGAAAAUCAAUUUAAUACCAAGAUUAAGGCUGUCCAAUCUGAUUGGGGAGGUGAGUUUCGAUCUCUCUCCAUACCGUUUUCAAAUAUGGGCAUUGUCUAUUGUUUAUCGUGUCCAUACACCUCACAACAGAAUGGGCGAGUUGAGCGAAAAAAUCGCCAUGCGAUUGUCCUUUCUUGCUUGCUCUAUGCCCUUAUCUUAUUGGCCUUAUGCCUUUCAAACUGCCACUUACCUUAUUAAUCGUCUCUCUACCCCUGUGCUGCAUCAUCAAUCCUCUUACUUCGCACUCUAUCACAAACUCCCAACUUAUACUCAUCUUAAGGUCUUUGGUUCCUCUUGUUUUCCGUAUUUGCACCCUUAUAAUACCCAUAAACUCCAAUACAGGUCACUAGAGUGUGCUUUUCUUGGUUACAGUUCACACCACAAAGGUUAUCUAUGUCUUGACAUUCAUUCUAGCAGGGUGUAUAUUUCUCGCCAUGUGAUUUUUAAUGAAGAUUCUUUUCCAUUCAAGAAUUUGAAAUCUUCUCUCUCUCAGUCUAUUUCUUCUUCCUCUUCUUUAUAAGUUCCUCUGUUCAUUCUCUUGCCUCCCCUUUCCCCAUCUCCUCUUAUUUCUUCAUCUAUACCUCAUUCUUUUCCCUCUUCUUCUUCUACCUCUAGUACUUGUUCCCCUCUCGUUGCUCCUACCUCUCUUCCUUCCUCUUCACACUCUGUGUCUCCAUCUAUUCCACCUCCUUCUCCACCUUCUCCGAGUGUGGACCUGCUUGCACCUUGUGUGAAUACAAAUUUACAUACUUCUUCUCGCACUCACAAUAUUCAUCCUAUGGUGACUAGAUCUAAGGUUUGUAUCUAUAAACCUAAGUUGUUGUUGAGUGUCUCCAUAGGUUCUCUCACUAAGCCUACUUCCUUUCUUCAAGCUAUUAAAGAUCCUUCAUGGAAGCAAUCCAUGGAAUUCGAGUUUGCUACCCUUCAACACAACAAGACCUGGCAUUUGGUUCCUUCACCUUCCUCAGGCGAAGUAAUCGGUUGUAAAUGGGUCUAUAAGCUAAAGCUUCAGCCUGAUGGCUAAAUUGAGAGAUACAGCCUGCUUAGUAGCUAAGGGUAUCAUCAAAUUGAAGUAUGGACUACUUCGAAACAUUCAGCCUGAUNNNNNNNNNNNNNNNNNNNNNNNNNNNNNNNNNNNNNNNNNNNNNNNNNNNNNNNNNNNNNNNNNNNNNNNNNNNNNNNNNNNNNNNNNNNNNNNNNNNNAGCUUCAGCCUGAUGGCUAAAUUGAGAGAUACAAGGCCUGCUUAGUAGCUAAGGGUUAUCAUCAAAUUGAAGGUAUUGACUACUUCGAAACAUUCAGCCUGAUUGUCAAGCUUUCUACUAUCUGUAUUGUGCUCAGUCUUACUUUUUCCCAGAAUUGGUGUAUUAGACAGCUGGAUGUUCAUAAUGCCUUCUUACAUGGUGACUUAGCUAAAGACGUUUUCAUGGAACAACUGCCUGGAUUUGUUGAUCCUCUCUAUCCUACUCAUGUCUGCAAGUUGGAUAAGUCUCUCUACUGUCUUAAAUAGUCACCUCGGGCUUGGUAUACUAAGCUGAGUACUUCUCGCUACACUUGGGAUUUGUUACUUCUAAGAAUGACUCUUCCUUAUUUAUUUGUCAUUCGUCUCAUGGGUUACUUCUUGUUCUUGUCUAUGUGGAUGAUAUAAUCGUCAUUGGGAGCCACUCUCCUCAGGUUACUCACCUUAUCCAACAGUUGCAUCAUUAGCUUUCUUUAAAGGAUCUUGGUCCUUUACAUUAUUUUCUGGGCUUGGAGGUUCAUCACACCCCUACUGGUAUUCACCUCAGCCAAGCAAAGUAUAUCACUGAUCUCCUUACCCGGGCGGCUAUGUUGGAUGCCAAGCCAUGUCCCACUCCUAUGUCCUCCAACACAUAUCUCUCUUUUCAUGAUGGAGUGGCUCUUGAAAAUGGUUCAGAUUAUCGAAGUUUUGUUGGUGCCCUUUAGUAUUGUACCAUGACACGCCCAGAUAUAGCUUUUGCAAUAAAUAAAGUGUGUCAAUUCAUGCACCAUCCCUCUAAUGUUCACUGGCAGGCUAUAAAACGUAUUCUCCGGUACUUAAAGGGCACAUCUCAUUUUGGUCUCUUCCUACAGCCUUCCUAUGACUUCAACAUCACUUGCUAUACAAAUGCCGACUGGGCUUCCUGUCCUGAUGACAAGUGUAGCACCAGUGGCUACUGCCUCUUUCUUGCCUCUAAUCUGGUUUCUUGGUCAUCUUCCAAACAAAAAGUGGUCUCCCGCUCCAGCGCCGAAUCAGAGUACCGAGGGGUAGCAAAUGGGGCUGCUGAAAUUGCUUGGACUGAAUCUCUUCUUUGUGAACUUUCCAUUACUCCCCCUCCCCUCAUUCUCUGUGACAAUAUCAGUGCCACGUACUUAGCUGCCAAUCCUAUUUUGCAUGCCCGCACCAAACAUGUGGAAAUCGACUAUCACUUUGUCACGGAACGUGUUCUUCAAUGCUCUCUUUUUGUCCAGUUUACACCUUCUGAUGAUCAACUUGCUGAUUGCAUGACCAAGCCUCUCUCCACCCAACGUUUCAUCACUCUACGCUCCAAGCUCACUGUUCUCACUAGACCAAUGAGCUUGAGGGGGGAUGUUAAGCCUAAAGAUGUAAUUAGUUAGGAUAUUCUUUUCCCUCUAGUCUUGUAGCUCCACGUGUACAGUUGGUUAGGACCUCAUUGUAUAUAAUGCCUGCCCUGUUAUUGUAGAAGACAACAGAGAUAAAUAAUAUUAACAUUUUUCCUCUCAUCUCUCUCUCUGUUUCCCUCUGUUUUCAUCUCCUCUCUCAUCUGAACCAAAUGAUCCAUGUUAACCUUGGCUUGGUUUGAUUUGGCUCUAUCUUAGAGAGCUCAAGGAUCACGUCAACUCUGGUUUCUACUAUUCAGGUCCAUUCCCAUAUGAACUGGUUCAAAUUUGAGAAAAUGGUAACAGACCUUUAGUGAUGUUGGUUUGGAGCCAGUUGCCAAACCCGCCCUGAGCUUUACCACUAAUGUCAAGGGAGAAAGCCAUUUGAACAAAAACAAUAGCUUCAAGGGACUGAAUCGUGGAUGAAAUCUGAUCCACAUUUCUUCUCAUUUUGGAAACAAAUGAGAACUUAACUAAGAAGAUUCUACGGCCUCAUAGUGCUUUUCCUGAUCUAAGGUUGGUUCGUUUCCCAAACUGUGAGAUGCACGUGCCAGACUUCAGAACUCUCACGCUCAGGAGUGUAUCCACGUGGUGGACAUAAGAUGGUGGCUUAAGAUCUGGUGUCGGUGGCUUUACUUUACUAGGAGAGUAGUGUGUCUUCAUCUCAUUCACUGCCGGAGGGUGGCGUAAGCAGUGACGCUAAGGUGGGGCACAGUCAAUAUCAUUUGCAUUUGACCAUUAUAGUUUUCUCCCGGCUUUAAAGUAACCUUAUCGUGAUAAAGGAUUACUAGCACUAGUUCAGAUGAUAGUCAUGUUAAAUUCGGACCAUGUUUGUGUCACAUUAUCAGCAACCAUGUGUUUAUGGUUCAUGCUUUCUGCAACUAAAAUUGAUAUAUAACCAGGUGAACUUCAAUCUAAAUUCUGAAAGUACUCAUGUGAUAGAUGGUGCCCGUCUGCAGAGUCCAUCAAUUGAAAAAUGGAGUGAGUGUAUCUAUAAGAGGGAAGGCUUGGAAAAUGUUCAGUUUUCUGGGAAUUCAACAAGGAUCUAAAAUAGAUUGUUUUCUUUGCUGAUUUCAAUGGUUGAAAUUUGAGAAGAUUGUGUCCACAUAACACAACUAUUACUGGUCCUUCUGUUGCAAUUUAUCCUCUAAAGCUCUAGCAUGUCUUCCAAUUCCCACUUCCCUGUUACUCCAGGAAAGCUAUUUCUGUCAUUGUGAAGAAGAAAAGAGAAUGUACAUAUCGAUGCUUUUAAGUGACUGGAGCAUUUAUAUCAGGUGGUCUGCAGCCAUAUAUGCCACUUUGUGAAGAUUGGAACAGUCAAUCACUAGGCUAUAUAUUAGUGUGGCCCAGCCACUUUAAUCAAGGACAAGUCUUCAUACUUAAAGUCAAAUUCUGCCUUUAGUCUCAUUAUAAAUUUCUGUUUAAAUAUUAAGCAAACAUUUGUUUAAUGCGAUUAAGACAGUACUAACUCAAUACCUGUUCUAUUUUUGGAUGCAAAUGCUUGAUGGUUUCAUCAUUGGAUGGGAUAAAGGUGCAUUCAUGAUUAGGAAUACUAGUAGUUAUAUUUUAAUUCUCUUUUUUCUCAAUGAGACUUGUUGGCACAAUUUUGCUGUUGAGAAACCUACCUCUCCAUGGAAAAUAAGUUGUGAUUGAUAGUACUGGAUAUAUUCAAGAAAUCUAAAUAUAGAUAGCACAAAAUAUUAUCGACAUAAAUAGCAUUAACAGCGUACGUAUGUCUCAGUGCUCAUCAGCUAUAAGCAUGGGGCAAACACUUACUAUGAGCAACUUACGUCAAAAUUCCAGAAUAGGACAUAGAAGUGACAGAUAUAGAACAUUGCAUAUGAGUCACAAGAAAGGAAAUUACGGGUGCAUAGCAGCUCUUAUUUUACAUACUACUACUCAUACUGAUCAAAGUCACUCAGUUGGGAUGGGUGGGAGUAGGAGGUUUGUGGGGUGGCUUGUGCGGAGGAGUUGGCAGCUUCUUUCCAGGACCUGGUUGCUUCUCUGCUGGAGUUGAAGGAGGCUUAAUCUUCCGAGGUGGCUUGUAUGAGUCUUCAGCAUUCUCAGCUGGAGGGUGACCAGGGUUGUGACCAUAAUGUGGUGGCUUCUCUCCCUUAGGUGGUUUGCCAACUGGGGUUGGUGGCUUGUAUGAGUCUUCAGCAUUCUCAGCAGGAGGGUGACCAGGGUUGUGACCAUAAUGUGGUGGCUUCUCUCCCUUAGGUGGUUUGCCAACUGGGGUUGGUGGCUUGUGUUCUGGGAGUGGCUUCUCCCCCUUGGGAGGUUUUUCCAAUGGGGUUGGUUUGUGUUCAGGAGGUGGCUUCUCCACUGGAGGCUUGUGUUCAGGAGGUGGCUUCUCCACCGGAGGCUUGUGUUCAGGUGGUGGCUUCUCCACCGGAGGCUUAUGCUCUGGUGGUGGCUUCUCGAAUGGGGGAUGCUUAGGAUAAUCAGCAAGUGAGGGGGCGGUGAGAACCACCAGGCCAAGCAACACCACUAGCAAAUAUGUAGGAGACAUCUUUGGGUUUGGGCUCAGAUGGUGCAAAACUAGGAGAAUUGGCUAGCCUUUUAUAGCGGAUCGUACCCAAUAAUGAAAUGACACGUGUCAUUAUGACCCAUGUGUAAUGGGGUCGAUUUGGGUCCUACAGUGUUGAAAACUUCGACAUCCACUU